This 204500-nucleotide long non-coding RNA is filed under the name Setaria italica (foxtail millet). RNAcentral describes it as "long non-coding RNA (SITA_LNC002653)". The stretch from base 104735 to 104806 matches the Rfam family "tRNA". Lineage: Eukaryota; Viridiplantae; Streptophyta; Magnoliopsida; Poales; Poaceae. The record is from RNAcentral.
GAUGUGCAGGGUCUCCAUUGGCAGCGAAGGCACUAGGAUCUGUACUACGUGGCAAGACAACGGAAGAAUGGAAGGCUGUGCUUAGCAAAAGCAUCGCCCAUAACAAGGACGAUCAAAUCCUGCCUAUUCUCAAGCUCAGUUACGAUGACCUGCCAUCACACAUGAAGCAGUGCUUCGCUUUCUGUGCUGUGUUUCCCAAGGACCAUGAGAUUGACGUGGAAAUGCUGAUCCAACUAUGGAUGGCAAAUGACUUUAUUCCCGAACAAAAAGAUGCUCAUCAUGAAACAAUUGGUAAACAGAUUUUCAGUGAGCUGGUCUCAAAGUCAUUCUUUCAAGAUGUGAAGCAAGUCAAAGGGGAAAGAUAUGAUUCCGUGUAUUGGUAUUUCUCUACAAGUACAUGUAAAAUCCAUGAUCUUAUGCACGAUGUGGCACUUUCUGUCAUGGGCAAAGAAGUUGCUACCAUAACUGAGAAGCCAAAGCAGAGUGAUGAGUUUCUUCAGAACACUUGUCGUCAUAUAUUGUUAUCAUGUGAGAAGCCAGAGGCCGUUUUGAAUGAUUCUCUGAAUAUAAGGUCUCCAGCUAUGCAAACACUACUAUGUGGUCAGCGCAUAGGAAAUUCCCUGCAGCAUCUCGCAAAAUACAGCUCUCUGCGUGCAUUGGGACUUUGGCAGGAUAAGAGCACAAUCCUACUGAAACCAAAGCAGCUACAUCUCUUGAGGUAUCUUGAUAUCUCGGGUAGUGAUAUAGUGGCACUUCCGGAAGAUAUCAGCAUUUUGUACAAUCUGCAAACGCUGAAUGUUGCGCACUGUCGCAAACUUGGCCGGCUUCCAAAGGGAAUAAAGUACAUGACUGCCCUCCGUCACCUCUACACUCACGGAUGUAAGGAGUUGAAGCGCAUGCCACCAGAGGUUGGACAUCUCACUUCCCUGCAAACACUUACAAAUUUCGUAGUGGGUGCAGGCCCUGAUUGCAGUAGUAUUGCAGAGCUGCAGCAUUUAAACAACCUUGGUGGUCCACUACUGCUUAGUCAACUCGAAAAUGUGACAAAAGCAGCAGAUGCAAAACAGGCCAAUCUUGGAAAUAAAAAGGAGCUCAGGGCAUUGUCAUUAACGUGGACACGUAGUGAGGGGGAGAAACAACAUUGUCAUAAGGUGCUGGAGGGUCUGGAAGCUCCUCCUGGACUAGAGGCUCUGAGGUUAAAGUAUUACCAAGGAACCAGUUUCCCAACAUGGGUGGGUACGCGGCCAAAAAUGGUGGAGCUUCAUCUUUCUGACUGUAACAAGUCCAAUAAGCUUCCUCCACUUGAGAGUGUACCAGCUCUACAAGUUCUUCGUCUGGAAAGAUUGAAAAAGCUGGAAAGCUUGUGCAGUGGUGGUACAUUCUUUCACUUUCCUAAUCUGAAGGAGCUUACGCUGGAAGACCUGCCGGAAUUUGAUAGAUGGUGUGAAGUAAACUGGGUCCAAGGAGAACAGAUAAUGUUUCCUCAACUUGAGAAAUUGUUUAUUACAAAUUGUGGAAAGGUUACAGCAUUACCAGGGCCAGCACUUCUCGGAGGAUCGUGCUGUGGAGAUUACAAGGAGCAAGACGAGAGGAAGCUUUGGUCGGCAUUUCCAGUCCUGAAGGAACUCGAAUUAAAAUGCUUAGCAAAGUUUCAGAGGUGGGGGGGCGCUGCUGAAGCAACUCAAGGGCUGCAGAUAAUAUUUCCUCAGCUUGAAAGUUUAUCAAUUUACAGAUGUAAAGAGUUGACAGCACUGCCAGAGGGGCCUGAGCUCGGAGCAGCACCGAAGGUGCUAAAAUCACAAGACUUGGAGCUUGGGACAACAUUGUGUGGUGGAGAUUAUGGAAAGGCACGAUCAUCCUUUCCAGCACUGAAGGUACUAACAUUGUUUUGGUUGGACAACUUUCAGAGCUGGGAGGCAACGGAAGCAGAUCAAGGAGAUACAAUAUUUCCAAAUCUUGAAGAGUUAUCAAUCGAAAAGUGCCCCGAACUGGCAGCAUUACCAUCAGCUACAUCUCAGGGAGUAUCAUUUGACCAUAGUGGUGUUACAGCAUGGUCAACAUUCCCAAACUUAAAGAAGCUCCAGUUAUGUUACUUAGAUAGUUUUAAGAGCUUGGGGAUGACGGAAGAUCAGAGAUUCCCUGACCUUGAGACUCUGUUUGUUGAGAAAUGUCCCAAGUUGACAACUCUACCGAGGGUGAUAGAAGCACCAAAGCUCCGUGUAUUAGAAAUAUAUGGCAGCCAACUGACAGCAAUAAUUGUGCCUACAGUUAUUAACUCAUUGUCCGAACUGGUGUUAUCAGUCGAAGACACAGAAACUACUUUACCAACUGUGCAUGGUGCCUUUGAGCUGGUGGACGCCAAUAAUAAAUACCCUCUGACAGAUCUGGAGCUAAGCGGCUGCAACUUUCUGUUCCCCUCAAGUCCACUGGCACUAUGGACAUGUUUUGUCCAGCUCCAACGUUUGACAAUGAAGAUCAACCAUGCGCUUGUCUACUGGCCGGAAAAAGAGUUCCAGAGCUUGGUAUCCUUGAGGCACCUUACCAUUUGGAACUGCAGUGGUCUGAUUGGGUACGCGAAAGCUGCUCCUGGCCAACCAAUAUCAGAAAGGACCCAAGUUCUGCCCCGUCUCAAGUCUCUAGACAUACAGGAUUGUGGAAGUCUGGUAGAGGUCUUCAACGUCCCCGCAUCUCUCGAGACGAUGGAUUUGCGCCGCUGCCCCAAGCUUAAGUCCAUAUUCGGAGAGCAACAGGACGAGCCAACAUUCAAUCAAGGGCCCAGCGCUGCACCGAAGCUGUCAUCAUCGGCCCAGGAUCACUUACUACUUCCAUGUCUUGAAUAUCUAAGAAUAUGGCGGUGCGAAAGCUUGUCAGAGGUUCUCAACCUUCCCCCAUCCCUCAGGGAAAUACUUAUUCGUGAGUGUGGCAAACUCCAACUCCUAUCAGGCCAGCUGGAUGGACUCCGAACACUAGAUAUUUGGGGAUGCCCAGAGUUGAGAUCACUGGAAUCUUGCUUGGGAGAGUUUUCAACCCUGGAACGCCUCAGUCUGAAAGAUUGCAAAAGCCUGGCAUCCUUGCCCGAUGGGCCACAAGCAUACUCAUCUCUCCGUCAUCUUCAAAUUACAUCAUGUCCAGGUAUACAGUCGCUUCCUUCAUCCCUGAAGAAGAGACCGGACAACCUCAUUCGUAAAUAUUUGGAUGCUCGUUACGAAGGUACCCACCAAACUCAUUUGUCAUUUCACCAUAGUUUGAAUGCAUAAAUCUGCUCAUGCUUUCUAGAAAUAUAUAUACCAUUCGUCUUAAAGCAUCCAUGCAGUAGUUUGAAUGACGUGGUGUGAUUAUUUUUACAUUAGAGAAAGGUGCAGCACACGACCACAGAAUUUUGGUGCCUUGGUAUAAUCACGUCGAGUUGUAUUACUUAAAUUAUCCAUUUUGAAUUUCUGAAUAGAUAUGACUACUAAAGAAGCUGCUUAACGAGAAUGAUAUGUAAGGCAAAAUAGAUUAUCUUUGGUCCUCCACUUCUGUCUUCAGUUCAUCUUUAUUCUGUGAACUGCUACUAGUAUUUGCGUCUAUAGACUAUAGCUAGGUGUGAACUGUGCCCAGAAAUUAUUGACAAGGAAUAGUGGAAAGAACUCAGCAAUCACUAAAAAAGCAUGAAGAGUGUCCCACAUAGUUACUUUUCAUGCAGUUGUCGUGGUGGCUUGCUGGUUUCAGCACUUGCGCAAUACGAAAUUAAAAAAAAAACCAAGUGAUCCCUCCACACUUGGACAAUUAAGAACACGACUAUAGAUUGUUUUCAAUUUGCAUUGAACUGAUAUUUUUCUAUUUCCCUAAUGUUACACCCCAAAUAGAGAUGCCAAGUUGCCAACAAAGGUUUUUACUUGUCAAUUUAAUUGAAUUUUGUUGUCUAAAGGACAAAAUGCGGACUAAAUAAAAGGUCCCAGGAGCCUACUGUGUGGUACCAAUUAGAUUAAGUAUUUUAAUUCAUUUGCUUAUACUUCAAAAAAGUUUCAAUUGUUCAAAAAAUUUAGAUUAAGUAUUUCUAAUUCAUUUGCCAAUGAUACAGAUAAUGACCAGGAAGGAUAAACUCCUCGAGACCGAAGUUUUCAGGGGAAUACAAGAACAACUAUAUGGACGAGGUCACAAUUCCUGCGAGGGAGUUUUAUAAUGACCGAUCAAAUCUGAUGCACCCUAAGGAGUUGGUUUCGGAAUAAUAAAUACGAUAUGUGUAUGCACAAUAUGUCUAUAUAUGUGUAAUAUUAUUCAUAUAUGGGUAUACAUAAUACGUAUGAAUGAAGUACAAGCAAUAUAUAUAUAUAUUAGUAUCUCAAAUGUUAUAUUAAAGAUAAAUAUAUAUUAGCGUAUUAGAACUACUAUACGUAAAGGAAACAAAUAUGAAAUGAGAAUAUAGAAUAAACAAAUAGAAAAUAAGGAACAAGGAUGAAAAUAAGGUUUCGUUGAACUAAUUUUUAAUAUAAAAACUUAAGUAUACGGUACAAAUACUAAAAAUUAGUUUGCAAUAUAUAUAGCUCAUAAAACAUAAAAAUAGUGUAACAAAAAAAGUAAAAACAAUAACCAUUAUGAUCAUCUCAAAUAAAAAUAUAAUGCUUCGGUGCUUUGUAAAAAUCCGACUUCGGGCAUUUCUUGAUGUAAAAUCUUCAAGAAAGGUAUCAAGAUUAAUGUUGUUCAAAACAUCAUUCGCAAUGCUGCACGUAGCCAAGCCAUUCAAUCUUUUUUAUGACAUAGUUGAUCUAAAAUAAUAUUAAUUAGAUAAUUGCUUUUUAACAAAAUUGAUGUAGAAGAAAACAAAGAUGGAAGCGCUCGCCUUUGACGUGCUCGGUGCUCCAAGCGAUCAAGACGUGCUCCACUGCUUCAGAAGGCAGAAGCAGCGCUCGGCAAUCCAACCCUGAUGCCUUGACGGUCUGAUGCGGCGCUCGGCGCUCCAGAGUCCAAACGCUGAGACGCAGGGCUCGCCUGAUCGCCUCCUGCAUCCGCUAAGGCGCUGACCCGCGCGAUGAGGCAACGAUCAGAUCGGUGGCGGGCGGCGGCAUGGAGCCAGGACUCAGGGGCGUAUACGACGCAGGCAUACGGAGAGUCGGAGACACAGAGUCAGGGCGUCAGGCGUCAGGACGCAAUUUUGCAGGCCUAGCUCGCUCUGAUCGCGUGAUGCUCUGAUCGAAUCGGAAUCCGCGACGGCAUGGGCAAGCAUAUUUGGCAGCCCUGGCAAGCAAUUUGGUAGGCCCAAAUUAGCACGGAUGGAAGACAGGCAGCAGUUGCACGUGCCAUUUAAAAAGGUCGAAACAAAAUGCACCAAUCAAAUUAUAUAUACUAACUAUCUGUAUGGCUCCAUCGGCUUCGUGGGCCCCGGGCGGUCGCACGGCCUGCCCUCCCCUAGAGCCGGCCCUGCUGCCGACGAUGCCCAGCGGCGGGCGCUCACGACGGCCCAGACCGUCCUCGCCGCAGACGGACGCGUUCUUCGGCAAGGCUCGGCGACGAUACAGCAGCAGGUAGGCUGCCGGCGACCUCCGCCAUGUGGCUCCCGAGGUCGGAGACGACCGAGUCAGAUGUGCGUACAGGCGCUUCCUCUGCUUGGUGUCCCGGCUCGCCGGAGCGCCGCCUCGUUCCAGGCGCUGCCCGCCUACAUGUCCUUGCUCCCAGAACGACCAACGAUCGCGCUACGCGCGCCGAUGAGGCGAUGAACGGAUUGCACAGAGCCCCCCUUAUUGGUUCGGCUUCUCCUCCCUGGCGCUGGCCGCUGCCGUCAUCGCUGUGCUCCGUCCCGGCGGGGGAUUGCGAGGCCCAUCACGAAUCUCGAAUAUUGGAAGGUUAAAAAAAAAGUCUUGCGAAAGAGCUGCGGCCCACCUCGAGGUUUCCAGCCAAGCCAGCCCAAUGUAGAGAAGCCCAUCAGUUUAUUUCCAGCCGGCCGGCCCAGCAAUUCCAAACAUCAGCAGGGACAGAAAGAGAUGAUUUGUCCACCAACCAGUGGACUUGACUUGCUAGAUCAACCGAAUCUGACCUGACCUGCUGAUCAAAGUGAUGGAUGGAUGGAGCUACCGAUCCACCCACCCACUACUACUACGUAGCCAACCCUUCCUUUCUCGUCUACCCGGCCUGCCAUCAUUCUUUUUCCGGCGAUAUAUAUCACAGCACACGUAGUCCUCGUUCUUCCUCAUCGCUCGUCGUCACCACACGUGUAGGUCCAGCGCAUGCAGCCGGAUUGUUGAUCCAUUAUUCCACUGUACGGUAUUAAUGGCUGCCGAGCUCGCAAGGUCGUCGUCGACCCUCGUCGCCCUCGUCAGAGCGGCGGCGUUAUGGGCGUCCUUCGCGCUUCUGCCGAUCGGCGGACAUGGCAGCCGACACCGCCACGCAGCCGGCGUCGUCGUCGUCGGCGGCGGCGGCGCUGCCGACCGCGGCAGCUACAGGCAAGUAACGUGUCGCCGCGCCGCUGCGUCUAGACAUCUAGUGUUCACCGAUGACGACUAAAAUGUGGUGCCUACAUGCAUGCAGGUACGCCGGCGCCGACGGUGGACUCACCCGCAGCAGUCCCGACGUCCACUGUCGUCACUGCCACACCCGCCGCGGCGGCGCUGCUACCAUCCUCCUCCUCACCGCCUGCGACACCCGCGGCGUCUUCCGCCACCGCCACCACCGCCGCGGACACGGCGUCGAAGAAGUUUCCGCUGCCUCACCCCGGUGGCGGCGAGCCGUACAAUCCCGCGGCGGAGGUGGCGUCGGCGCUGCCGGUGCCGACGCCCGACGAGCUGCCCAGCGCGUCCAGCCUCGGGUUCGACGGCCACGGCCUCGGGUUCGGCGGGCCCGGCGACGUGUGCUGCGGCGGCGGCGGGUACGGCUGGUUCGGCGGGCCCGGCGGGUACGGCCCCGGAACGUACGGGUACACCGGCCCGCUCUACUGGGGGGCGGCGCCGGCGGGAGGGUGGGGGAGCGUGGCCGCGGCCAACGUCGUGGUGCCGCUCGUCGUGGCUUGCGUCUCUGCAGCCCUCGCUUAUUAGCAUGCAUGCAGUAUAUAAAUUACUUGUAAUUUUUACAGGGGAAUUAUUAAGGUUACUCUACAUGUUUACCGCGCCUUUGCGCGAGCAUAUAAUUUUCCUUGUACACGUUUGCACUUAUGCUAACCACAAUAAUAAUAUGAAGUGGGUACUGUGGUUAAAUUUGAGAUAUGAAUCAUACUAAGGGUCAGUUUGGUGUAGCUCCGUGGGACUCCGACUCCUCCUGACAUUUUCUUGCAGCAUCACUAUAGUAUAGCACAGAGCUUCUUUUCUUCCUCCUCUCCCUCCCUCUCAUAGGACUCCUCCAGCUGCGCGCUACAGGAGCUGAAGCCCAUAAGCCCGGUCAAAGCCGGUCAAACAAGGCCUAAAUUGAGCUCUAAUCUGGCAGCGUGUUUAUUUUUAUUUUUUAUUUGGCUUCCACUCUUGACACCACACGGGUCCAACCUUGUAGUAGAAUUCAAGAAGGCUGCGACAGUGCAUGUCAUAGAGAAGGACAUCAGUGUUUCUGUUUUAAUUACUUUGGACGGAAACACUACUACUACAUUUACGAGAACAUGAUAAUCAUUGCAAUUGCCAGAUUCCUCCAUCUUGUUUUACAUAAUUUCCCGAUACAUCCUAUGCCUAUCUAUUUUUUAUGCACGAUCAACUUUUAAUUUCCCCUGGCAAGCAACUUUUGGAUUCUGCAAUGCCCGUGGUGGCUUGUGCUGAAUAAUUUUUAAAGCACGGGAUGUGUAUCUUCUGAUCUGAUGCGUCAAUACUAGCUUUUUGUACGUAGUUGGAACGUAGUGGAUUAGAUUAUUCUCUUCCUAUCUCAUCCAGGCCUAGCACAAAAAAGAAGAAUGGCAAGACUCAGACUACUGCUGAAUAAUGCAUACGGUGUAUUCUAUGGUAUAUAUAGGGAUGUAAGCUAGCAGAGUCAUGUACACAAGCUCCUUGUGGGCCAGGAAACACCGUGCAUCCCACUCAAUGAAAGUGGGCCAGGGAUCUCUCUCUCUCUCUCUCUCUCUCUCUCUCUCUCUCAUGUUGUUCUUAUACAUAUUUAUUCACAAGUUCAACAUCUAAGUUCUCAAUCCUAAUAAAUGAAACUACAAUGGAAAAAUAGAAACUAUAUAUGCAGGGUUCCUUCUGAAUUUGCUAAAAGAGAGGUUGGUGUGUGAUUGAAAUCAGUAAUACUGACUUAACGCUAGAGGUGCUAAGGCACGAUCACGAAAAAAAACUUAACGGUAGAGGUGCUCUACCGACCGGCAACAUAUGCCGAUUUGGUAUUAUCUCAUGAGGUCACGAAUGCUAGAGGAAUUCAAAUAUAGGCAUGUGAGCAUUUACCAUGUAAGUUCAAACUAAAAUAAUUAAUGAUGGACCGAUUGAGAUUUUUCACACCAACAAUAAAAAACAAACGCAAAAUGGAAUCAUUGAUUUUACAAAUUGGUGUAGGAGUACGUAUGUUAGAGAUUUGUCAGUUGUAGGAAAAACAAUUGGGAAGUCCACGCUUAACGCAGAAAACGGGCCCAAUCUUCUAUUUUACACGAACCAUCAAAACUGUGGCUCAGCUCCACGAUUUCGUUUCACAGAAUUUCCCGAUACUUCCCAUGCCUAUCUAUUUCAUCUAUGAUCAAUAAUGCAACUUAAUUUUCAUGUCAAGCAGCUUUUGCAAUUUGGAUUCUAUGAGUCCGUCCUGGCUGGUACGGUGGUGCCUUGUGCUGAUUUUAGGCACGCUGUUGCAUGAUGCAUCUUCUGAUGUAGGGCAGGAUUCUAUAUAUGACUCAACUGCUGAAAAAUGCCUAUGGUGUACAUACAGUGGUAUAUACAGGGAUAUAGAAUAGUGCUUUAAAUUUAGAGUAUUGUGUAGUACAAGAUCCUUGUGAUAGGGUUGGAAAGCACUAGAUGGGAUGCACCUACUACUUGCUACUGCAUGGCACACCGUUAAUUUUUUUUUUGAAAGGAAAAGGGCACGAGAGUGUGCCUAUUUCAUUAAUAUAGGGGGGUUACAACCGGCGGACCGGGAAAAAGACGGGAAAGAGAGGAAAAGGAAAAAAGACGGGGAGGCAUCCAGAGAGUUGUGUUUACGAAAGAAGGGCCGCUAGGCCUCUCGCUCCCGCUGCUAGCCACAUGUUAGCUGUGGAUUUGAUUUUUGCCAUUAGUGAUGUCGUCGGGGAACCCUGGUGGCGGAAGAUUCGGGAGUUUUGCUCAUUCCAUAUUUCCCACAGGGUUAGGCUUCUGCUCGCUUUAUACGGGAUCCCUGUUGUUGAUGUGAUAUUGGUCCACCAAUCGAUGGCCCUUAUGCUGUGCUUCCAUUGAUCCGGUUGCAGGCUUUCAUGUGAUAACCGUUGGGCUACGAGCUUCCAAAUUUGCUUCGUAUAUCUGCAUUCGGCUAGGAGAUGAUGCGCAGUCUCCAUCGUGCAACGGCAUAGGGUGCAUGUUGGGGUGUGGUCCCAGCCCCGUUUUGCUAGUCUGUCCGAAGUCCAGACCCUAUUUUGGAGAAUUAGCCAGGCAAAAACUUUGCAUUUUGCCGGUGCCCAGGCUUGCCACACUGUUGCAAGGUUAGUCGUCUUGACGCUACCUAGGAGUUGAGCCUUGUAUGCUGAAGUUGUGGUGUACUGAUCGCUCUAGGUGAAUUUCCAUGUAAUUCCGUCCUCCUGGCUCGGAUUUAGUUGGCACUGUUGGAUCAGAGGCCAUAGGGUUACGAAUUCGUUCAAGAGGAUGUUUGUAAAGCCUGUUGUGUGUUGUAGAUCUCUGAUCCAGUUGUUGUUGUGGAAUGCCUCCCGCAUUGUCUUCUUUUUCCUUUUGGUUUUCGCGUAGAGUUGUGGAGCGAUGUCCUUUGGUCGCCAGCCUGCUACCCACGCAUCCUGCCAGAAACGUGUCUUGUCCCCAUUGCCGAUUUGGAUCGUCGUACAUGCAGCGAAAAGUAGUCUAUCCUGGUCGUCGCAUGGUGUUUCGGUUCCGACCCACGUCUUGUCUGGGGAAGCCCAUUCAUGCCAUAACCAUCUAAGGCGGAGCGCUCUUGCGAAUUUAUGAAGGUCUAGAAUUCCAACGCUGCCAUGCUCUUUCGGUAAAGUUGUCCUCGUCCAGUUGAUUUUGCAUUUGCCCCCGGUGAGUUCGUUGUCUCCCGCCCAUAGGAAGCGUUUUCUUAUUUUGUCGAUGUCCUCUAGUACUUCUUUGGGCGUUCUGAGGGCCGUUAGGGUGUAGACAGGUUGUGAGGAUAGGACGGACUUGGUGAGGCAUAAUCGGCCGGCCUGCGUGAGGUUUCUUCCCUUCCACUUUGAUAGUUUGCUCGCCACUUUGUCGAUCAGUGGCUGGAAAUCUAUGCGGCGUAGUCGUUCGACCGUUAGAGGGAGGCCCAGGUAUUUUAUCGGGAAAUUCCUCUGCGCUACUGGAAGGUUACGGAGCACUUCCUGAAAGUUAGCGUGAGAGCAGCUUAUCGGUGUGACGCUAGUUUUUUGGAUGUUCGUUCUGAGACCUGUCGCUUCCCCGAAAUUUUGUAGGAGGUUCUUCAAGUUUGUGAUGUCACGUGUAGAAGGCUUAAUGAAAAUCACCGCGUCAUUAGCAUACAUGGAUGUUCUCAUUCUUGAUGCACGGUUAUUUAGUUUUUGAAGUAGUCUCUUUUCCGUGGCGGCCGAUAGUAGAUACUGCAGUGGGUCGAUCGCUAGGAUGAAAAGUAGCGGUGAGAGGGGGUCGCCUUGUCGGAGUCCUCUCCCAUGUUGUAUGUGUUCCAGCGGGAAUCCAUUGAGUAAAAUUCGUGAUGUUGACGUGGUGAGGAUGGCCGCGAUCCAUUCUCUCCAUUUUGGUGGGAAUCCUCUGUGUUGCAUCAUGGUGAGUAGGUAGUCCCAUCGUACUGAGUCGAAAGCCUUGGAUAUAUCGAGCUUCAUAAGCAGGGUCGGUUGAUUGUGUAUGUGGAAUCGGCGUGCCAGGUUUUGGACGUAAAGGAAGUUAUCGUGAAUGCUUCGUCCCUUGAUGAAAGCACUUUGGCAAGGUGAGACUAGUUGGUUCAUGAAAGGAGCUAGGCGCAGGGCUAAGGUCUUUGUUAUGAUCUUCGCAAUGGCGUGGAUCAGGCUAAUGGGUCUGUAAUCUGCGAUGCUCUCCGCCCCUUCCUUUUUGGGUAUUAGAAUGAUUGUGGCUUUAUUCAGAAGGUUUAGAUCUGCACAGCGAGAGUUGAAGAAGGAAGAUAUUGCCGUCAUGAGGUCACCUUUGAUGGUCUCCCAACAGGUGGUGAAGAAGAGUCCUGUAUAGCCGUCUGGUCCGGGCGCUUUGUUUUUUGGCAUCUGUGAGACGGCCCGCCGGACCUCGUCUUCUGUGAACGGGUUAUCAAGCGUAGACAGAUCGACGGUCGGGAAAGUUAGAGCUGACCAGUUUAGGUCAAGCGUCCUGCGUGGCGGUUCCUGCAUAACCUUUUGGAAAUGGUCUUGUACGAUCUGUUGUUUGUCGUUAUGGGUAAAGACCCAGCCAUUGUCCUGACGUAGCUUUUGAAUGAAGUUUUUCCUCCUCCUGCCGUUUGCUUUAAGAUGGAAAAAUCUUGUGUUGGCAUCUCCUUCUUUUAGGUACGUGACUCUGGAGCAUUGCUUUUUCCUAGCUCUCUCUAUGACGGCCCAACCCAUGAGUCUCUGCUUCAGUUUGCCCCGUAGCUGCGUUUCCGCCGUAGAUAGUGCUCGGGUAUCCUGUGCCUUAUCUAGAUGUAGUAUCACCUCCUGAGCCAUGUGCAUCUUCAUUCUUGCGUCUGAUAGUAUUGAUCUGCUCCAGCGUUUUAACGCCUGCGACGUCACAUAAAGUUUAUGGCCCAACCUGUGGAAAGGCUCCGUAUGGUGUGUCGGUGUAUUCCAAGCCGUGGAGACUACCUGCUGGAAAUUUGGCAAUCGUACCCAGAAGUUUUUGAAUUUGAAAGUUGUAGGGCGGCGUAGGGUGGCAUGGCUGGUUAGUAGCAGAGGACAGUGGUCGGAGUGGGAUGAUGAUAACGCGUGUAGUAGGCAAUUAUCGAAUCGGAGGUCCCAGCUUUCGUUGCAGAAAACUCUGUCGAGACGGACGAGCGUUGGUGUCCUACGUUCAUUGCUCCAUGUGAAUCUUCUAUUUUGCAGGUUUAAUUCCUUUAAGCCGCAGUAAUUGAUGGUGUUUCUGAAACUGUUCAUAAGCCGCCGGUUGAGGUUCAUAUUGUUUUUAUCUCUUGCGCGGUAGAUUAAAUUGAAGUCCCCUAGGAUUAUCCAUUUGGUGUCGUCAGAUGGUUUUAGUGACCGCAUGUGUCUUAGGAAGGCUUCUUUUUCGAGUCGUCGCGCCGGGCCGUAUACCGUGGUCAUGCAAUGCCGAACUGUGAUCUCUGCCGAUAUGGAAUAUCUGCCAAUUUUUAUGUUUUGAAUUUGUACCGCCGUGUCAUUCCAUAGUAGGAGGAUCCCUCCUUUCGUGCCUAUCGCCAGUUUAUAUGCGAAGCUGUUUAAUUUGUAGGCGCCCAGAAAGGUGGCCAGGCUAGAGUCGAUGGAUUGUAGUUUAGUUUCUUGCAGGUAUGCAAUUUGGCACGGUAUCGAUCUCAUCAUAUUGUGUACGGAUAGGCAGCGUGCUGGCGCGUUUAGUCCUCGGACGUUCCACGAUAAAAUAUCUAGGUUGCCGUAUGUCAUAAUGCAGUGUUUAUGCUCAUGUGGUGUACGUCGCUGCGGUGAUUUGAUCGAUUUAAAUCGUCGGUGGUUAUGUAUAAGGCUCUGUUGGCGGUUGUUGUUGUUGUUAGGCGUGGCGUUAAAACGACGCGGGCAGCAGGCCCCCCUAGUUGUACGGCAGUUUGCAGGUUCGUGAUACAUAGGAUUGCCCGAAGGUCGAAGCCAGCAGGGCGUGGAAGGAUAAAAGCCCGAAGGUCGCAGCCAGCAGGGCUUUGCAGUACAGGUGGUGAUACAAACAAAAGAACGAAAGACAUGUAGUGACGGUAGACGCUCGAAGAUGUUGUCGCCGGUCUAAGCUGUGGGGUCCCCAUUAAUCAGCUGUAGCUCCGCCGCGGCCGUGCCUGCGUGGUUUAUGAGUGCUUCGCCUAUCAUGUCCGCACCUUCGUCGUCCAGUCCAAAGAUAGCUAUCAGGGCUGCCACUAUGCUCUCCGGGAGUGGUCCCUGGAACAUUGACAGGAAGUUGCGAAGGACCUCGUCAAUUGGAGUCAUCUUUUCGUUGGUUAGUCCCAGCUUUCUGCAUAAAUUUCUUUGCACCUUCUCGGUCACCGGCAUGGAUGGCUUCCUUGCAAGCCGCGCACUUCUCCGGACUGCCGUCAUGUCGAAAGUGCGGCGUUGACGUUGGCGACGCAGCCCCAGCUCCUGGAUCAACGGUGGAGGUGGAUUGCAGAAGAGAGAAUUAAUCUCUCUCAGAUCCUGCUCUCCCUCCCUCUGCCUGUUCGGUGGGCUCCCUUGGAUGUUCUGUGCAAUGAAGCCCAUGGCAUUGGGCCUAUCUUGGCGAGCUGUCCCCCCUACAGAAGUGGCCGCAUGGGCCGAGGACCCGACAGCGGGCGGCGAGAGUGGCCCAUGUACCGUCGGGCCAUCUUGUGGCGCCAUCCGGGCCGGCGUCGUCGGCGACCUGCCCGGUGUGGUGGAGCGGCCCACCGAGGGCCCCCCCCCACAGUCGGGCCCCCAGCGAAGGCAGCGCCCAGACCAGGCGAAGUGGGCCGGUGGCCCAGCUGUGGAGUCAUCUGUGCCGUUGGCUUAGAGGCCAGUGGCCCUUUCUCCAAGCCGGUGUCGCGGCCCACUGUGAACGUGGCCUGCUUGAUGCCGACGGUCAUGGCGUCGAGUGCCCGUUCGACGUCCGCCACCGUCGGCGAUGGCGGCGCCGGGAGGAGUGCCGCCCGCAGGGUGCUGAAGACUUGGGGCAGCGGGAUGGUUGCGGACCAGGCUUUUUCCCCGAAGGAUUCGUCGUCGAAGCCGAGGCAGUCGGCGAGCCCGGAGAUCUUGCGUGUGUAGUCGUCGGCGUCGAGUCCCCUGUUUCUGGCUUCCAGAGCAAAAACGUUAGUUGGUGCCGUUACCUGGUUGUGCUUCAUCAUCGCAGUCGCCUGAGCCUGGAACAGAGCUCGGAGUUGGGACGGGUUGUAGAUGCUCUGCUCCUGUGCGUCCAGGGCGUGGUGUCGUCCUUGCGGCGGCGCGUAGUUGCGGCGGGGCGGUGACCUGGUGCGGUCGCGGCGCCCUUUAUCCGCGCAGCCCCAGUAGGCGUCGCCGUAUUUGCGCCCGUGCCCUGGGUGGUUGUAGUCGCGGUGCUCGUCGUCGUCGUCCCCGCGCCGAGGCGGCCAGAUGAAGUCCCGUUUGCAGGUCAUUUGGUCCGCCCGGUGCUUAGUGCGGCUCCUGUCGACUUGGCGAGCGUGUCGUCCCCGCUCGUGCCCGCCGACAGCCGCGUCACCUUCGCCGGAGGCUCCGCGCCCGUCGCCAGCGACACUAGAGGCACCAUUCCUCCCAUGUCGCUGGUCAUCCGUCCUUCUGUCGCCGUGGUCGUCGUGGUCCCGUGGUUCAGGCUCCCGCGGCAGUCGCGGCAGCCUAGCCGGGAAACGUGAUCUCGCGUCCGGUGGGGUGCCAUCAACCAGACCAUAUCGCCAUUCAUACCGGUGACGAAUCGGAGUAAUGUUCUCCGGGUCGUUGAUGGCUUGCUGUAGAUUGCGCGCCGCCGCCGUGUAGUCCUCCAGGAGGGGCAUAUGGAUGAAUACCUCAUAGCGGGCUCCUUGCUGCCAAGAUGUUAGGGGAGGUUCGGCCGAAACAGAGAAGAUGGAGGAUUUGGUCGCCGGGCUGUGGACGAAGGCGAGCCAUACCUUCUUCGGGAUCUCGCUCGGGUCGACCGUCCACGCCCAGAGCUCGAUGUGUCUGGAGUCCGCCGGCUGGACGAGGUCGGUGACGAUGUGCUGCAGUGCACACUUGUGGCCGAUGACGCACUCGACGAUUUCCGGCGUCCAGGCAUGGCUCGGGAUGCCAUCGAGGCAGAGCCGCACCCUGUAGAAGAUGCGGAAGCCGAGGGCGUGGGUGAGGCUGCGCCAUGGCCUGAGGCAGAUGUCGAUGCCUCCACUGGUAAGGGUCCACGGCGCCGUGCCUCUGCCGCCUGUGUCGCACUGUCGAAGCGGAUGAGGUACGGUUCCGGCUGGUGGAGCGUGACGUUGACUUCGCCGUGGCGCAGGUGGAGCUCCCUGCUGAUGAGCCCCGCAAUGUCCCGGGCUCCGGCACCUGGCAGCACUUCCGCCGACAAGCCGCAAGAACACCAACAACAUGGCCAUUGGCGACCCCCACACGCGCCCGGAGGUCGAGACGAUCUUCGUCUCCGAUUCCUUCCACCUCAUGCAUGACGCGAGGGAAUGGGAGGCCUGUGCCCUCGCACACCGUUAAAUGAAAGUGGGCCUGAAAACAUCUGUUGAUAAUGUAGCACAUUAAUCGAGCAGCCACACGGCGGCUGGGUCCUCUCCUAGAGCAUCCUCACCAUAUGUUCAAUCUCCAACUGGUUCUUCGUGUCCUCCUCAGCGCGAUUGUUUGCAUUUUACAGAAUUCUUGAUACCGCCUAUGCCUAUCUGUUUCUUCCUAGCUAGCACAACACGGAUGACAAGACUUUCACUGCUGAACAAUGCCUCAUGGUGGUAUACCUACCGUACCGUAGUGUAUAUAGGGAUGUAGAGCAGUCCUUUUCUAUGCAUAUGCUCCGGUCGAAUAUAUAUAUUUCAGACAAGAAAGUAAGAACAAAAUAAACUAACUUUCCCUUUCUGAACGUGAAAUAAAAACGAACGGAGGUAGUAUAUACUGCUAGCUAUUUAUGGUUGGGAUUUUGGAUUGUUCUCUUUUCUUUCUCUUGCUUACCCAGGCCUAGCACAGGAAGAAUGGCAUGACUCAACUGCUGAACAGUGCCUAUGGUAGUAGAGCAGUGCUGUAGGAGCUCCUUGUCAGGCCAGCAAAUAAACAUCAUCUGUUGGCCAUUCAUCAGGAUUGCAACUCGUUGACACUUGACAUGUAGACGAGAUUAUCUGAAAUGUACCUUGAUCAUUCAAUAUGGGAGGGAAACAUAAGAUUUUAGUAAUGAAUGGCCAACUCUUAAUUUUUCUAGUUUCUACGUGUGUCUCAACUCUAUGGAGUAAAACCCAAAGAUCACAGACCUCAGACCAAAUCUGACAAUUUAUUGAAUACUUGAAUUGCUGAUUCAUAUUAUUGCUCAAUUGCUAAAACAAUUACUGUUUGUGCUUCUCACAUCUUUCAUCACUAAGUAUCUCAUGUUUACAGAAGGCUUCUCAUGGGUCAGGACUCGAUCAGUUACAAAUUCAUAGCAUUCUCCGAUCCAUCCUUUAGUUUUGAUAAUCGACACAUUAUUAAGACCACUUCUUACUCACUAGUUUUGCUCAGAAUGACCAUCAGAACAAAUAUCAAGGCUCAAAUGGAAGUUUCAGAAAAUUCAGAUCUAAAUCUAUGGGCCUGACUCACCCAUCUCAGCAAGAACGUUUCGAGAUGGAUUGACAGCUCCUAGCCAUACCGAAUUCAAGGGGAGAAGCUCUAGCUAGAGCAUAGGAAAUCAAUCAAUCCAAACGAAGGUCGUGCUUUCCAUUACUAGCAUCGAGAAAGGGGAAGGCAAAAUCGACCAUUGGGUUCCAAUUCCGCUCGACGCCAGCCCAGCAGAAGGAGAGCACAGGGACGAGGACGCGAGGGCGGCUGCGAUGUCGAGGGGAACCCCGAGGACGGCUGCGAAAAUCUAUUCCAUUUCCAUCUUGUUGUAACUCUGUUUUACAGAAGUUCUUGAUACCUCCUAUGCCUAUCUGUUGCUACCAUGCAUCAACUUCAUUUUCCAUGCGAAGCAACUUUUGGAUUCUAUGCAUCUCUUAUAUGAUGCGCAGCCACACAAUAACAAUCUAGCUAGGGCCUUCAUCUAAAAAACAACAAUAGGUGUAAAAGAAAUGAACUGUAUAUGAAUGGAAAUAAACUAGAACAACAAGAAUGACAAGACUCUAACUGCUCAUAACGAUGCCUCUGGUGUACUACGGUGCUAGUAUAUAUAGGGAUGUAGAGCAGUACAGCUUUUGAGUGCUAGCUGUACAAGCUCCUUGUGAGGCAAAUCACUGGAUGUAUGCACCAUUCAAUGAAAGUGGGCCAGCAAACAACUACUGAUAAUGUAGCACAUUAUUAGUAGAGAGGGGAUCUCUGAGGUCAAGAAUAUUAGAGUAAUUCGCAUAUGUGAACAUUCACCAUAUAUGUAAGUGUAAACUGAAAUGACAGACAGAUUUGAGAUUUUGCACACAGUAACAAUGACGAAAACAAACUCGGAAUAACAUGAAUAGGCGUUACCUCGAGGCCUACUAGCACGAGAACACUACUGGAAAAGUGACUAUUACUACUGGGUACCUUGUGUGUUGUGUAAUGAUGAACCUCUAUGCAUGCUAUGCUAUGUGUAGUUGACUUGUGCUUAUGGGAUGUGUUGAAAUCCUUGCUACUACUCAUGACACAUCUCACGUACUACCCGAUUUAGUUUUACUUAAUGGAGUUGAUCAGUAGAUGAUAACAUAAUUAACUGGAAUUAAUUUGGAUGGUUUUUCAUAUAUUCGCUACAUUCUUUGAUACACCGGGACGUACGGAACACACGGAGGCUCCCUUGCCCAAGAGUUACAGCUAGAAAUGUGACAAGUCUGUUUUACAGAAGUUCUUGAUACCUCAUAUGCCUAUCUAUUUCCAUCAGCUUCAUUUUCCAUGCGAAGCAACUUUUGGAUUCUAUGCAUAUGCUCCACACGAUUAUAAUCUAGCUAGCCUUCAUAAAAAAAACAACAAUAGCUGUAAAAAAUAAAAUUUACUUGUACUACUUCCUCGGUCCCAAAAUUAUUAGUCGUUUUGGCUUUUCUGGAUUUAUAGAUUUUGCUAUUUGUGAUCGGAACAUAGCAUUAUUCACUUUUCUUUCUCUUGCUUACCCAGAUCUAGAACAGGAACUCAAGAAGAAUGACAUGACUCAACUGCUGAACAAGAGUACUUUAGGAGCUCCUUGUCAGGCCAGCAAAGCACUGGAUUCAAUGAAAGUGGGCCAGGAAAUAAACAUCUGUUGGCCAUUCAUCAGGAUUGCAACUUGUUGACACUUGACAUGUAGAUGAGAUUAUCUGAAAUGUAUCUUGAUCAUUCAAUAUGGGAGGGAAACAUAAGAUUUUAGUAAUGAAUGGCCAACUCUUAAUUUUUCUAGUCUCUACGUGUGUCUCAACUCUAAGGAGUAAAAGCCAAAGAUCACAGACCUCAGAACAAAUCUGACAAUUUAUUGAAUACUUGAAUUGCUGAUUCAUAUUAUUGCUCAAUUGCUAAAACAAUUACUGUUUCCGCUUCUCACAGCUUUCAUCAGCAAGUGUCUCAUGUUUACAAAAAGGCUUCUCAUGGGCCAGGACUCGAUCAGUUACGAAUUCAUAGCAUUCUCCAAUCCAUCCUUUAGUUUUGAUAAUCGACACAUUAUUAAGACCACUUCUUGCUCAGUAGUUUUGAUACGGUUAAGUCUGUACCGCCAAAUCCAUCCAUGACAGCCUUCGCGGAGGGAAAUUCUGCUCUGGCAGUAAAGCUGGGAGACACAGAUUUUUAGUAAGAUAACAUGAACCCGAAUCAUGGUUGAAAUAAGCCAUGUACAUGAGAGGCAAAGGCAGUUUACCUGCUUCGAACAACUACGCAUGGCAUGCCAAUGCGCUCUGCUGCAAGGACACCAGGUUGGCUGCCCGCAACAAGAAUGCAGUUUCGUACGUCGCAUCCAACGUAUUCAGACCCAGCUCGCAGAGCCGCUAUUACCUUCUCAGAGCUGACAAUGGUGACUAGGCAGUGAAAUUUAGAUAAUAUUCUAGGCAAUGAAAAUCAGAUAAUAUUCUUCCAGGGAGGUACAGUGUUAGAAAUAACCUUUCAGACACUGUGAUGUCAACGCUAAGCUUUAGGAUCGAUGCAACCUCUUCUGCAAUCCUCUGCUUCUCUGCGGAAGCUGUUGCAACAGAACAUUUGGAAUUAACUUCAAAUGGUCCUUGAACUGAAACAAAAAUGAACGAGGCUGCAAUUUUUUCAUUCAGCAAUACUUACCAGCCUUUUGGGCUUCCCUGAUAAGUUGCUCAUCCAAACUGGAUGUGACUCCUUUACCAAGAACAAGUUGCCCGUAGAAGCUUCCUUCAACCUCAUCUUUUCCAACAAUCUUUAUUUUUGAUGUUCUUUCAGGACCCAACUUUUUAACUAUGGAUCUAGAGUCAAAUAGAAAAGGAAUGAGAACAAAAUAUCUUGACAAAUUACAGCAUUUCCAUCAAUUAGUUUGAGAUAAAUAACAAGAGUAGACAGUAGAUAUUUUUUUAUACAAACUGUACCUUGAAAUAUUUUCUCCAUUCCUCCCAUAUGCAGCCAAUAUGGCGACAGGGAUACCCUGACUAAGUGCAUCAUCAAUGAACCUUCGAAUGAUUUCAUACACAGAAUCAGACACAUGGCAACUUAAAGUUCAAGAUAGAGUCAUUCAUAUCCUAUGGCAAGCGCAGAGUAUUUAAGAGAGGCAAACGCUGUUCAGAAAAAUACAUAAGAUCAAAAUAAGGACAAAAAUAAUUUGCUUAUAAAUGCUCAUGAAUUGAUGAAAUCAAAGCAUGCAGCAUGUGUAUCAGAACACACAGAAACUUUUAUUUGAAAUGCUAUGACUUCUGUUCCUUCUUUUAGAUAUCAACAAAUGGCCCACAUGAUCACUUAGUUAAAUGGUCCUGUAAUUCUUGCAAAAGUUUAAGGAUGAGAAAAAUGAACGACAGUGCAUACGUCUAUAGAGACUGCUUAUUACAAUUUACAAGUAAUUGACUGGUGUCUGCAGCUCAGGCAGGGUAUAUGGACAAGCAACAUUCUAAGGGCCUCAACUCCUUGUUCAUGCUGAUAGCAUGGAAAAUCAGGAAGGCUCGCAUCUUCCAAAGCAAAGAACGCAACAGUCGCUCAAGUAGUCUGUGAUAUUGGUGAGGUGAUCAGGCUAUAGGCCCAAGACAGAGCAAAAAGACAUGGUGAACUCAGCUCUGCUGUAGUUCCCACAUCAGGAGAUGCUAUUUCAGUCUAGAUCACAACUACUCUUCUUUUCCGGUAGUUCUUUUCUUAGCAUAAGUCAGUAGUUUGAACCAUGUGCCAGUGAGCGCUUCGGCGGAUCAUGUUGUAACAAUUUUUAUUCUGCUUCCCUUAAUGAAAAAGAUAUGCAGCUCUCUUGCGUAUUCUCGAAAAAAAGAAAGAUUGAAGUCUUACGUUUCAACUCCAGGCCGCAGUGGUAAGCUACCAGAAGCUGAGAAUUCUUCCAAAGCUUUCAACUAGAACAAGAGAAUGAUGCUCAAAGAAGUCAAUAUAACAAUAUUUAUAAUGAAAAUGGGUGAAAGAGAAGGAACACUAGUCCAUUUUGAUAUCAAAUUCAAGAUCCUGAUUAAUCAGGUUGAUUGAAAUCAGGUUCAAACUUAGAAAUUAGUGCCAGGAAAUGGUGGAUAAAAACUAGCGCAUAGAACAGGAAUUAAGCGAAGUAACCCUGCUUUCAGGUUAUAUCCAAACAUUCUGUUUUCUAACUGCCAGCCAGCUGCACUGGAUAAAAAUUAGUUUGUUCUCCAUUCCUUAGUAGAAUCAUACAUGGAUAAUAUGCACAAAAGAAAUUGAGAUCCUUGGCUGAAUGCAAUUGGCAUAUAUAAAAGUUAGGUGAAAUCAGGAGUCCAGUGAUGAGGAAAAGGAUCAGAAAACACUACCAGCAAGGUACAACUCAAGCUAACUUCUGUCAAGGCCUGAUAUAUCAUAAAGUGGCCAGGUAAUGCUUGAUAUGCUUACCUUUUCACGAAGAACACUUUUCAUAAAUGAUCCUUUCUCACUAGUCGGCAAAGAUGUAGGCCAGCCAAUCUGUGUCAAGUCAGAGGAAGGGGUUAAAUUCCAAAAAUGAAAUGCAUCAGCAGAUGCAAUUACUCAGAUCCACAAAGCUAUAUUACACAACAAGUAUUUUGUCACAUGGGAGGAACAAUUAUUUUUAAAUGAAAUUUGGCUACAAGCUACAGAAAUUGAAAGAAUUCGCUUAGAUGUUCUGUUUUCCCCCAAUGUCUUUAAGCAAAUGUAGCUGACUUGCGAUGUAGUGUAGCCAGAUUUGCUAAUUCCUACAAGACCAAAAAGCAUACUAGGGGAAGAAAUAGACCAUACCCUGUCAAAGAAUAAUGCCAGCAUCCUUUCCUCAUCACCACGAGCUUUCCUAGAAAACAAUGUAGCUUUAGGAAAAUAAUAAUCAACAUAAAGAGAAAAGGAAACACCUCCGUCCAGUCCAGUCCAAACUAAGAGGUUAGACAAAAGGGGACAACACAGCAAGGGAACACAAUCCAAUCUGUAAUGCCAAGAGCUAACCCAGUGUUGAAGGAGAGGCAGGACAUGUGAUUGACGACGCUAGAGAACUUAAUACGCACCUGACCAAAUCAGUAUAUAUUGGCUCUGUCCAAUUUGCACAAUCUAGCCCGAGACUUUGAAACGCUGGUGGAAUAAAAUAUUAAUAUGUAUUAGAAUCAAGACAGGCAAGAACUAUGCACAAUUGUGCAGCUAGACUUCUAUUCUGCUAGAUCCCUUCAUUGUUUAUCUACUUUAUUUGCUAUUUUGUAUUUCAACCUCAGCAUGGCAUGGCAUAGAUUAAAGAAAAAUAAAGUGCUACAAAGAGUAAUAGAACUUGAUAAGGACAUGAAGCAUAGAAAGAUUUAUAUGUCUCGCACCUACAUUGAAAGCCUGACGAUUGCCGAAACGGUAGACAUCUGCAAGAACUCUGCGGAACAGAAACAUGAAAUGCUCAAUCAGAAACAGUAAUUCUUCUGAUAUCAGCAAUGCAAAGGAAAGCAAGAAAAGGCAUCACUAUUCACUACUCCGUAAUAGGCUAAUAGCUCAAAAGAAAACUCAGUAGUAUUUGUUCAACAACAAAGCAUGGUUCAGCUAGAUCGAUACAAAAUGGAGAAUGGAUUCUCACAGAAAUAAUCAGAUACAAAAUUACUUAAUUGUGGCACUUGUCUCAGCGAAUUAUCUGAGGACACGUUACUCUCACUAAUUCCUGCCACUGUCUACAUCUGCACAGUUAUUCUAAAUUUGAACAUUUCUAAUCCCAGUAACCGCUCUAGCUUCAGCAACUACCUUGCUCUACAAGCAGAAAAGGCACUCCUUUUUUGGGAUAAAAACAAGGGGAAAUUGGAAUUCACGAACUGAGCAGUAGAAAGACUGGAUUUUUAUGGCCCCUCACCCCUCCACCUCCACAAGCAAGCCGAUGCUCGGCGGUACCGAGGUCUCCGAUGACGAGGAGGAGCACCGGAGCGGCGGCGCCGGGAGCCGGCGGCCGGAACUCGGGGCGACGGCGGCGCGGAGCGGAGGAGAUGCAGAGGCGGCCGAGGAGGUCGGAACGGAAGCAGGGGCCUUAGCUGUCUCCGGAGAGGCUGGUGCCGGCGGGGACGCCCGGAGCGGGACGCGCCGAGCGGCAGCUGCGGCUGCAGCGGCGGCCAUGACGGGCGAGGUGGGCGAGUGGACCGGCGGCGGCGAGCUAUCCGGCGCAGGGAGAGGACAGGGACACUGAUGAUUGGUCGGUACACCACGUGGGCGUGUGGGCCCAGGCACAGAUGAUGGCAGUUCUAAUCACACAGCGGCUAAGCUAACAAAAGAUCAUCUUUGAGUGACGGGUUAUCUCUUAUCGCUUUCGAAGCACUUAUUUACGGGCGGCGCCGUAUCAGCCCAUUUCUUUCGCCCGAUACAUCCCUUCUUCCUCCGUCUCAUUUUGCUUUUUCAAAGAACGACGCAAAAGAUAGUGCGUGUUUUAUUAAUAUAGCAGAAAAUAUAAGAUUAGAGGCUAUAGACAGGAAAAGGAAAAGAAAAGGAAAAAAAAAGACUCAUCCAGUUAGUUUGGGAUAUCAACGCGGGUCACCACUCAACUCAAAACCAGCACAUCCGACCGGUUGGGACGUCAACGCGGCCUCCCCACUCCACUCACCAAGGCGGCAUCCACCAACAAGGCAACAAUCAUGCUCAUCAAUUUGCCGAAAUCUCCGAGCGUGGUCCUACGUCGAUAGGGAACCGAUAGGAGUAGACUGCACCGCAUCGAGAAGGCCACCGCCAUGCGGGACCCUCCGCCGUAGUGCCGCUACAACACCAUACUCCAACUGAUGGAGUGAUACCACCGAAUCCGAAUAUCUCACAGGUUGCCUCGCAGUCACCACCACGAGAACAUGACGCAUGGGGGCCUCGCUACAACCAUCGUUGGACUCCACCUCGCUCUCAUCGCCUCGAAGAAACACCGUGCGCGAGGGCCUUGCCUCACCCGCCGUGGUACUCCAUGUCACGAAUCUGUUUCUUUUAUUGCCGUCAGAGUGAUAAGCAAUGCUGCUCCGUUUCACCAAAUCUCCAUCAAACAACCAAAACCGCCGCCGCAGGUCGACUUCGCCUCGUUGCUUCACCCGUGCAAAAGCCUCCGCGGUCAAGACAGCAAACCGAGAAGUCGCAUGCAUCGCUUUUUGACGAUGUACCGCACCGGAUAGCCUAGCCAAGCUGAUCAACCCGCUGAGGUCCGCUGCAAGCCUAAUUGUCCCACGCUGUCGUUGCCGCAAGUGCCAUCCUCCGACGUAGUCCCACACCGCUCUGACCGUUGCCAGGCAAUACCAGCCGCCGCAGUCCGCUGCAAGCAGCCAAAGCCGACAACCAUGUAACAACCCCUGACCGCUGCCAUACCUACGAUCGCCUCCACAUGGCCUUAGCAACACCUGUCUAGCUUUCCACACGACCGAAAUGCUGCCACCAGCUGCGGCCGCCAAUGACCAAUGGACCAACAAUGUCAUUAACCAAGAUGGGUCUCUAUAAACAAUGCCUCCAAAGAGAGCAUGAUGCCAAUGGUGCCGCCGGCGCUUGUCCAGGGUCUGGAUAGGGUUUCCAACCAGAGAACUCUGUGCAGUAGGGUUGUAGCUCCGAAGUGACGCCCCCAACGGGUAGAACAACGCCCUAGGGCGCCGUAGUCAACUCCACUACCAAACGCUAGCGAGGGCUUUCGCCUUGAGCAUCCCAACCCUCACCACACGCUCAUAGUUUGACAUUCCCAAACCACGGUCAUAGCAGCCCAAACUGGGGCGGUGUCACCACCGCACACCAAUGUGACCACGCCGCCAUGCCUCCACCUCCGCUUGCUCGCCGCCACAUCCACUCCUUGCAGCCUCCUCCACGUCGCGCGAGCCCCCAUCAAUGCUCAGCCGCCUUCCGCUCCCGUUGCCACCUCCGCAACUCCUUAGCCGAGGAGAGGUGGCCCGAUGACGCCUGCAGCCUCACCUCGGUGCCACCAGCGCACCCCUAUGCCAGGUGUCCUUGCCACGCCUCCAUGGCAUCACUGGGACACCUCGCACAUGGCACCCCGGCUGCGGCACCACGCUGCCACCGUUGAGGCAUAGAAGCCGUUGUGCCCCGGCUUGUUGCUCGCCCCACUUGCCCGCCCUCGCACAAUCUCACGCCGGACUGGUCGCACUCCGUCUGCCACCGUUGACCGAUCCACUCCUUUCCCCGCACAGCGCCACCUCACCUCUGCGCUCGGGGCCAGCCUCCGCGAGCUGGUCAACCACACGGCGGAUUGGAUGCCAUCCCCUGGGCCGCCUGCAUCCGCGUGGCUGCUACCCUCAUUCUCGCAGCUCACCGCCCCUGCCUCAAAUCCCCUCCCACGCAACCCGUCGCCCCAACCUGCAGCUCGCCGCCCCCGCCACAAAUCCCCUCCCACGCAGCCCAUUGCUGGCCGCGCAAUCGCUCCCGCCAGACACGAGCGAGCGGUGGCCACUUGCGCCGGUCACUUUUGCAACUCGUGGUGGAGUUCCAGCACCGCUGCCCAAGGGGGGUGUGAGCGCCACCACGCCCCGCGCUCACCCUCAGCUGUUGCCGCAGAGGAGCCACCGCCGCCAGGUCCUAGGCCCACCGAGACGCCGGACUUGAGGCCAGGACGGCCGCCUACCCACCGCCAUGACCCGCAGAUCCAUCCCCAGGGGCGCCGGAUCCGGUCCCUGAAAUGCCAGAUCCGCCAGCCUGGGGCGCCGCCGCCACCUCUGUAGCCCCACGCCACCGCACCCAAAGUCUGUGCCGGUCCCCGGCUGGUCACCGCCUUCCUAGCAGGCACUCGGGCUUCCGGUGCACUGCUCUGAGGGUGGUGAGGUGGGGAGGAGGUCAGGAGGGGCGGUGGUGGCGGUGGAGCCACCCAUGUCGCCUCCAGGGAGACGACGUGGGGCGGUUAGCACAUGUCUCAUUUUGCUUUUGAGAAAAAGUAUCUAUUUUUUUUAUAUGGAAGAACAUUUGGAUUGUCUAGACAACAAUAUCAUGGAUAUCUAGAUGUAUAUUUGGGAAUGGGACAGGAAGAUUCGAGGCUACACUCGAAUAUGCAUGGAUUUACAUUAUCUAUUAUCUAGCUCACCACACUGGGUGUUGUUGGUUUUCGCCAUGUGAAGACUUGGUCUGCUACAGACGGAUGAUGUUGGUAUUGGCGUUGCUUCCUCCUUGGAGGCAUCAUCUUGCAUGACAUUCACACUCUACCUCAGUUGGUUCUCUUUGUUAGGCAAUACGUGAUGUGCAUGUUUUCAUGGUGUCUUUCUCUCUUGCAGGUACGAGCCAUCUUAGGUCGUGAUUAGUGUGGUGGUGAUGGUGUAGUUUUCUUUUCUGUUGUUGUGUUUGUGUUUUGCUUGUUGCCAGGGUGGUGGUUCUUGUAACUUUGCACUUUAGGUGGGUUUCUCCUAAAAUUGCAUCUUUGUAAUUCUCUUCUUCUUAAUGAAAACGUGUUCAACAUGUAUUUAAAAAAAUUGUACAAGUUUAGUUUUAAGUUAGAAGUUUGAAACUGUGACAACAUUCACGUGCAAUGGCUCCAUUCACAGGCAACUUCUGUAGACCGUAAUUAAACAAACAAUACCUGCAAUGUUCCAUCAAAAAGGAGUUUUAUUAGCUGAGGUAUGCUCAAUUUCGCCACGUGGAAUUAUGGCCUCAUUUUGUGAAGUGAUUUUGGAUUAAAUGCCGAAUUGCUAAUUUCAGCAAGGGAGAAACUAACUCCAGUUAUUUGGGGUUCCAAAGUGAAUCGGACACAUUUCGAAGCAUAAUGAGGAGUUGAGGGAGGACUGAUCUAGAGCAAACUAUAUACCCAAUAUGGUGAGACGUCAAACCACUGUACAAGCGACAUAGGGUUGGUACGUAGAAGAGCUGCAUAUUUUUGUAUUAAGAAGAAAUUAAGUGAUAAAAUGUUUUUACAACACGGACCAUCCAUGCACACGCACAUGGUUGAGGACGAGGAGCCGUAUUUACAACGAGGGUAGGUAAAGUUAAGUGCUAUUACUAAUGCCAAAGCCAUGCAAAGCUAGUGAAUAGUGAUCCGUAUUUAAUUCCAAGUAGGUUGCAUCUAUCUGUUAGAUCUCCAUGAUCCUUCCGAGCUCGUCCCAGGUGCUACCACUUUCUCUCAAGGUCGUCAGCUCGCUCCACCCUGACGUCGAUGCUGGCAACGAAGGAGCUCCCAUCAUCAAUCCUGAUGUUGCUGCUGCUGUUGUUAUGGCCGAUGACACGCCAUGGAAACCAUGCAACAGGAACGGCUGGUUGUGGUCAGUGGCGCCAUAAGCCUCCUUCGUCUCUGACGAAUCGAAGUCGAAGCUGCUCGCCAUCGCCACGGAAAUCCUGUGCUGAUGGAGAUAGUGGUAGUCAUAGUAAUAUUGCAACUGCUGUUGCUGCUGCUGAUGGCUUCGUUCGCUGCUGUGUUCUUGUUUCAGCUGCUGUUGCUGGCACCUCCUAUUGUACGACGACAUGUUCCUCUUGAAGAUCCGGCAUAUCGUCCAUAUUUCCUGUGAUUAGAGAUGAACAAAAAGAAUUAAAUAGUGUUUCAGUUUAUCUGAAUUAUUGUGUUUGAGAGUUACAGGGUUGAUCUGUGAAUUAUUAGCACUGACUGCAUCUUGGAGCUCGGCCGCCGCCGCCGCCGCCGACGCCGCCGUCGAGGGGAGGCGGAACUCGUGCAUCAUCCAGUCGGUCUUGGUGCCCCUGCCGGCGCUGCCGCGGUAGUAGACGAGGGACUUCUUGAGCCCGAGGCACUCGCCGCCGCCGCCGUGGAUGGGCUUGUCGAUGCCGGUGGCCUUCCAGAAGCCGGAGCUGGUGACGCGGUUGGGCCGGAUACUGUUCCUGUACUUGCGUCCACGCAGGCAGAAGAAGUACCUGUCUUUGUCUCCUGAUGCACCCUGCACCACCCCAUGCCGAGCUUCAUCUGCAUGCAUGUUCAUGCAUACCUCCACACAGUCAGCUCCGAUCGAUCUCCAUGCAUGCUAGCUUCCAUCUUGAGCAAUCAAAGAAGAACACACUGUGACUGUGACAUGAAUUGAACAUACUUGGAAGAUCCCAGGGGUCAUGCUUGUAGAUGUCGAUCUCCUUGAUGAUGUCAAUACUGAACCCCUUCUUCUCCACCUUCCUCGCGAGGUAGAAGCCCACGAGCUCCUGGUCCGUCGGGUGGAACCGGAACCCCGGGAACACCAAGUCAUCCUCUUCGUUUUCGACUUCUUCGGCUCCGCCGCCUGUCUUCUUGAUCCUUUCCAACAAUGGCUUCUCCUCCUCCAUGGCUGGCUUCAUCAGGAGCUUGUUCUUGCUUCUAGGGCUAAGAUAGCUGCUUUACAUGCCAUACAUGGUGAUGAUGGUGGCCAAAUGGAGGCUGUGUACGGACUUGGUUAAUCGCUGUAUUAAUAUGUUUGGAUGGCCUGGCCCUUAUUGUAAAAUGAGUGGUCAUACGUUGAAUUGAAGACAGCCAAAGAUUAAGAUGUGAGAAAUUUUUGCCCAGGUCCAAGUCAAUGGAACUUUGGCCUUAUACGUUGAACUUUCUCAUUUCAUUUCCUGCACAAAUUAGAGGAAGCAAUUAAGCAAUUAUUUAACCUAAUCUACUUUACAAACUUCUAAAGACUCAAAUUUUUGACUUAGAACGCAUCAUAUAGUGAUGCCUUUUUUAAUGGUUGAGGACUCGUUCUGAUUUUUUGAGCUAGGAAUCUAUUUCAGAAGAUGGUUUGAUUUUUCUUUUGUAAUCUUUCCGUUCCAAAUUAUAAGUCAUUCUAACUUUCUUGGAGCGUCAAACAAUUUUACGUUUGACCAAAAUUAUAGAGAGGAUCACAAAAUUUUAUGGCACCGAAUAGAUAUAUACUAUGAAAAUAUAUUUAAUGAAGAAACUAAUAGUACUUAUUUGGUAUCAUGAAUGUUAGUACUUUAUUGUAUAAAUUUGGUCAAACUUGAGAUGUUUUGACUCUCUAAAAAUAACUUAUAAUUUGGAAUGGAGGGAGUAUGGUUAAGCAUAUCAAUACUAUGUUGUGUUGUGCCAAGUCAAGGCAGAGGUCGUCAUGCCCUUUGACUCGGUAGGAGUGUGAUUGAUUUGUCUAAGCUAGCCCUUUUAAUUUUGCAGGGUGAAUUAUCUGCUAUCCUUUUUUCUUUUAUUACCACAAACGAGGGUGAGUGGUAUUUUUCCCCUCAAAUUGGACCCUUUUGCUUGUUUGCAAAUUAAAUUUUGGAUCUGAAUGGUAACUACUAUCAGAUUUUGGAAUACAUUUGCUACAUUUUUGUUAACUGUUGUAAUUUCUCUCUGUCCGGUAGUUGUCGCGAUUUGAGACCGCGGUUGUCUCUUCAAAUUAACAGGAAAAAAUAGUUUCAGGAAGAAAAGCUCCGGGUGUAAAAGCUAAACCGUGCGUAGAUAUUUUUUUCUACUGAGAAAAGGGUUGAUCACAAAAUUUCGUCGACAGUUAAAUUUUUAAUGCCGUUUAUGUUGGGUGGAAAGGGAUGUGCGGAUUUGUCUCAUAUUAAAGUGUAACUUACAUUUUGAGCCACAAAACUUGGAGAAGCUUCGGAUUAGGUAAGAAAAUCAGUCCCCCUUUGCUACUUGUACUGCUAGAGCUGAAGAAUCUCAAAGCAUUCAUACGACACAAAACUCUGGCCAUCAAAUUUUUAGUCACUGCAAGGAAAGUGACACACCUACACAUGUUGCUUCAAAAUAACUCCAUAUCCAUCCAAGCAAAGAAAAAAGAUGCUAAAUAUUUCCAGGUUUGGAAAAGUGUGAUGGUUGAGUCCACCAUUUUCAGCCUGGAUGAAAAAUGCAGUCAGCAGCUGUGGAUUUGUAAGAGGGAAACAAUUUUUGUAACCUGACACUUGGCACUCGUAGUUAUCCAGGAAAUUUUGGCAUAAAGAAAAAUCUGAGUCCCUCUUUUGUUUGAUAAUGGUUAAGAAAACAUUUAGGACCCACAAAUUGACCUCUCCAGACUCUAGACUGAAUUGUUGCUUGUAUGGAUAGCAGGGCGCGACUUUCUUACAAUGAGUACAUCAUAUGUUUUACGGCGUAACACUGUCCUGGUUGUUUAAGAUAAUUCCGUUAAAAAAGAUCCGGUCUAUUUUCUGCAAUAAAAACUAUGAAUUUCCGAGAAAAAUAUCCUUAUAAAACUCUCAUGUGCUCCCACAAGUUCUAACACCUCUAUUGUCUGUCACUCAGUUUCAUCAAACAUAAGCUUUUUCUCGUUCUCUUUGUUGGUGGUGUUUCUAUUUUGAUCCUGGAUUCUACUGAUUUUUCAUCCUUCUUGUAAUGGGAAGCCAUGUAAUCUCCACUUAUUUUUGGGUAUACAUCUUGCAGUGCACAUGAUUUCCUUUUUGAAGUAUCUUACUUAUAUAUUCUGCUCUCUUUGAAACAAUUAGAAACAAUUAUUUAGGCUAUUCGAGUUGAACUAAGCUGGCUCUAUAUCCUGCAAUCAUACAAUUCUGGAACUUUUUUUUUCCAAUCUUUAGUUUUUAGAGAUUUUUUAAUAGUAGGCAUUCGUCCUGAUCCUGAUUAUAAUCAGACUAUCGCAACUGUUUCUUUCACAAGGUAUCUUCCAAUUAGUUGAGUCUCUUUAACUUCCUUUGUUUUGUUAUUUUUCUGUAGCACUGUCUAAACUACAAUGCAAGUAAUAGAUGAAUUCUCAGUUGAUGGCAACUGGUGAAAAAUCAUUUUUCAUGUCCUAUAACUGGAUGCGAAAGUUAUCAUGGCCUCUAGAGUCCAUUUUCAGCUAAGAAUGAUGAGUUUAAAAUUCAAUUCAAUGCUAAAUUUUGGUCCCUAUAUCUUCUUUUUUAUGAAGUAGUUGAAGUGCUCAACUACCAAAUUUAUUCAAACUUUGAUGUCUUUUUCGAUCAAACUAUUCAAAUGAUGCCACAUAAUAGCAACAAUGAUGAUCCAAAAGGAACCAAGAUUUUCUGUUGAACACACAUUCCAUCUCUGAAGACUGUAGAGAUAAGUAACUCGUAGGUCCUACCUUUCUGAAGCUCUGAUGCAUGCCAUGAAGUUGUCAACAAAGAUAAAAAGGCAAGAUGGUCAGAGCAAAUAUAAUCAGAUACAUUUUGGUGCUGUCAAAAGAGUUGAUGUCACUGCAUGCGUGCAGUAGAUCCAUCGUGAUAAUUUACUAUUGAAUUAAGGAAAGCAGGGCUGUUUAACUUCAUGCGUCAUGAAACCUGAUAAGAUCACUCAUGCUAACCAAAGUGAUCGAUCUCGUCUUCUUCUUCCUCUGCUUCACCUCCAAAGUCAGCAUAUUCUGCUGCAUGCUCUAGCAGAAGAAAUCCAGAUCAAAGUAGGUCGAGUGAAAUUUUUUUUCCAUCUCCAACCUUGCCGAAGCGACCGAACAUUCAGACACAAUCAAAAGGUCUUUUCUCAGAAGUCUACAUGACUCCAUGUUGGCUGCUGCCUGUGCAGUACAGGGACUAGAAAACUGUGAGCACAGCAGAGUGUUUUGUUACUGAACUCCAUCAGUUUUCGUGUUUGACGGUGAUGGCGUUCAUACUGCGUUGAAACUUGAAACUGAGAACAUGACAUACUCAAGUACAAGCACAACAGAGCACUUGAUCAGGAUACAACAAAGCCACAAUAAGCUGCCGCAACUUGCAAGAGUCAAAAACGCCCCCGGCAUAAUACAGUAGCCUGAAAUCUUCAUCUUAGAGCAUGGGGUUUCAGUGUCCUUGAAGGCAGUCGUUCAGGUGUAAAAAACACCUGAUAUUUCAGUAAAACAUCGCUGCCGGUAGAAACAACAAUGUCCCCUUGUCUCCUAGAUUAGAUAAAAAAAACUCUUCCCUAGAACAUUAUUGCUAAUAUAACUUGGAAUAGUCUGAGAGAAGACGCAUGCAUCUCAGUAUCAUUGAUAGACUCAGUUGGUCUGUUACUUUCUUUGGACCUUAAAGUAUUGACAAGUCCUGUGCAAUCUUCCCAAGCGUUGACUAAAUCCGUUGGCUGCUGAAACAAUCUUCUUAUGGGAAGUAGUAUUGUUCAGGCUUAAGGAAUGAGGAAUCUGGCUGUUCAUACCAAAAAAAGCGAUGAACAAUUCCACUUCCAUUUUGUGUUUUUUGUCCACACAACCUGGCAUAUCUUCAUUCUGAUUCAGUGUAGUGGCAGUGAUGCUAAUGAAUGGAUUUCCUUUGCUCUCUCAAAAUUCAUCAGAAUGAAUGCUCUGUUUGCACAUAUUGUGGUUUUGCAAGUGUCCCCAAACCUAUCACUCGAGCUGACCAACCAACGUGGUGCUGCCCUCGUGUCCUUCGGGGAUGGAUCAUACAUGUGGGGAUGGAUCAUACAUCAGCGAUGGACUCUUCGGAGAAGAUCAGGAAAACAACUCUGAAUUCUCUGCUACACUGAACGCGCUUGUCUGAAUUCGAAGCUGAAUUGCCAUCACAGCAGGAACUUGAGACUGAUUUUUUAUGCUGAGGAAUCUCCGGUUAAUCUGCCGACGGCAACCAAAUCAGAACAGCCAUUGGGCCUCCCGCAAAUUUCGCAUAAUAAGCUUCAAUGGAUGAGAAAUUUCGGUUGAUGCUCUGCUGCUUUCAGUUGUCUGUUGCGUUGAUGAAAAUGCUGCGUGUUUCAGAGUUCAGGCAUCAGCAAAAUGGAGUCUGCUGACAAUGAACUGGAAAACCAAUCUUCUUUAGAUAAUGGCAAGUCAAUAGAAGCGGCUUCAUCUCAAGAAAAAAAAGAACAUGCCGACUCUACGACCUACGCACCCAGGCACUGGUUGCAAAAUGCAUACCUACAUUUUCACACAACGAGCACACUAGUUAACGACUCAAAAAAGUCCCCGGUAUAAUAUAAUAGCCUGAAAUCUUCAUCUUUGAGCUGAAGCUAAUUUUGUCAGAAACAUGGGGUUUCAGUGUGCUAGGCAGCAGACCAGUGAGGCAGUGAGGCAGUCGUUCAGAUGUAAAAUUGAGCAUGUGAUGCUUCAGUAAGACAUCUGAUUGACAGGUCCUGUGCAAGAGUUGACUAAAUCCGUUGGCGGCUGAAACCAUCUUCGUCUUAUGGGAAGUAUCGUUCAGGCUUAGGAAUGGCGAAUUUUCAACGGAGCACAAGCUAAACAGCCCAGCCGGCUGGUUUCUGAAAUCGUCGAGCAGGCUCAGCUUUGGUGCAGCGCAGGUGCCACACACCUAUCCUUGCUGGGUUGGCCAGUAUCAGCAGGAGGACCACAUCCUUAGUCGACCUGCCUCCUGUUUGCUGUUGAUUAGUUGUUCAUUUCAUUACGUAAUCAUUGAUGCAAAGUUGUUUCGUGUGCGUACGCCCAGUUAGCCCGCGUUGUAACCUUAAACUAUCUCUUCUUUCUUCUUAAUACAAAGAUACGCAGCUCUCUUGCAUGUUCUUUUUCAAAAGAAAUGGUGAAUCUGGUUGUUCAUACCAGACAAGCGAUGAAUAAUUCCACUUCGAUUCAGAAAUGAUAUGUUGCUCAGGUCAACUCAAUGGAGCGAUCUCCUUUACUUCUGCCAUUGCUCACUGCAGUGUCAAAUUGUCAAUGACAACGCAAGGUAGUGUCAAAUUCAGAGCCCUCUAAUGAAGAGAGAGUAUGUCUGCAUUAAGUGUCUACAAUUUUUUUUAGCAGAAAGAACUGUGGCUCUGUAUGUUCUUUUAUUGCAUCCCUGGUAUAUCUUCAUUCUGAUUCAGUGUAGUGGCAGUAAUGAAUCGGUUUUCUUCGCUCUCUCAAAAUUCGUCAGAAUGAAUGCUCUAUCUGUUUGCAGAGCCCUUUUACGGUACAUAAUACUACUACUUAGUAUAUAUAGUAUAUAUAAGAUCUAAAUGUUCAUGAUUAUGGAUGAUUUAGUAAUUAUUAAAUGUGAAAAGUGAUAUUUUAAACGAAAUGGCCUGUUUGCAUAUAUGAGGUUUUGCAAGUGCCCAAACCUCAUCACUCAUGCUGACAAACCAACGUGGUGCUGCCUCGUGUCCUUUCGAAGUCGACAACUCCUGCUCAAACAGAGAACGGGUUCAACAGCAGAGGAACGCAACAGAGCUGGUAAGUUUGACGAGCAGCAGCAUCAGAGUCAUGCAGGAAUGCAUACCAGUACAGCCACAGUAUGCGUUUACAAAAUCUUGCAUCAGUGCAGCAUAGACAAGAGCUAAGCUUGAACAUGCUUCACAUAGCAGUAACAGCAAAGGAUUAACUAAUCUGACGAGUUAUUUUGGGUAAUGAAUAUCUACCAUAACUGUUCAAAGCGGUGUCAAGCACGCAAUUGGCCUCUAUUUUAAUAUAGCAGUAGCCCUCCUGUUGGCUCGUUUCAAAACAAAAGUAUGCAAUUGGCCAAGAACGUGUAGACUCAAAGAAAAGACAUACACUAGCACAAAACGGAGAUGUUGUGAGAGGAGCAUCAUUUUCAUGAGAAUAAUUGACAACCCUCAUGAGGUUGCGCUAGAAGAGAUGGAGCCUCUCAAUGUGUUCUAGCUCGAAAGGAAUUACUGGUACAGAGCAGCUGAGAGCCUGACUGCCUGAGAUGACGAGCUCUGUCAUGUCAUGAGGUGCAAUCAAUCACGCCCAUGAUGGAUCUUGUUCCAUGCUCACUACGCUGCCUUACAAUCGUGUGGGCGCAGUGUGGAUUGACAGAAGUACCAUGCGACAAUUCUUUUUUUUAGGGUCAACAGGGGACCCGGGGGGGGCGGGGGGGGGGGGGGGGGGGGGUUUUCCCCCUUAAUUUCUUUAUUGGGGCCUUUUUAAAGCCAAAAGUCUGUACAACUUGGGUUUCAGCAAGGAAAACAAGCGAGAGGGGAAGGGGGCUCAUUCAGUCAGUUACUAGGCAUUACAUUGAACAAAAGACAGUGCACAAGGCUUCAGCAAUCGCUCGACGCACUUCAUCCCAGCAGGACGCCCAGAAUCGUGCGUGAGAUGGUGGGGCUCUUGAGAAGACGGUGUCGUUGCGGUGCUUCCAUAGCAUCCAUGAGAUCAGAAGGAGGAAGCCAUUGUAGUGCCGUGCAGGGACUGUUGUCGGAUGGGGAACAAUCCAGAGAACUUGGACAGAGGAGUUGGCCGUGUGAGAGCCAAGCGACGCCCAAACCUGUGAUGCAAAGGAGCAGCGAAAGAUGAUAAUGGUUGCAGUCUUCCACCUGGCCACACAGCUCACAGGAUGGAUUGUCAAGGAUGUUCUUGUUCACCAAGCUGUUGCGGCACUAAAUUCGCUCCAAGCGACAAUUCUUUCCUCGGUGCCACCCAUUCCCAUUCCCUUGCAUGCUCGAUAAGAACUUUGGAGUUCAUUUGUUGCUUUUGUUGUGUUUAGUAGAUGGGCGCAUGACGGUAAGUAGAUGGUCAAUAGGGUUCCUUUCUCGAAUAUUUAUAGGCAUGUGAUUUCAUCGAGACAUGUUAGGUUGGAUAUUAACUCCUCCUAAUAGGUAGUAAAUUAAGGAGGUGUAGCUGCUCUGUGCUGCAUUUCUACUUACCGUCAUAUGGUUAUGAAGCGAGUAAACUUUGUUGAAAUUUCCCGUGUGGAUUAGUUCAAAUAUAUAGGAUGGUAAUUUUUUUAUGUAUUUGUAUAAUCUGAGCAGGCACAUUAAAUUGAUACAGGAUUCCCUGUAAAAUUCUCGCAAUUUUCCUAUUGGACACCCUCACAACAACACACGGGUUCGUCAGGAAUUUCUCAUAGCACAAUCUAUGUAUUUGUCCUCGAUCUUGUUUUGACGAGCAAAUAAAACAAGCCAACAACUGAACCGCUAGUGGAUGAUGCACAUAGUUGCAAGAUACUGCAGUGUGCUACUAUUUUAAGGGUUGAUCAAAUGCGAAACUGAACAACAAAGCCGAAUUACUUGAAAUCAAACUAACUAAUUAUUGAUGAGAAAAAUUGUAGGGCUCACAAAACUAUAUAUAAAAUGCUACAAAAAAUAGAAGCCCAUGAUGUGAAUCAUUGAAUCCUGUUACUCGUAUGUUUGCUAACCUCCUCUUCCGCUCGCCGUUGUCGUUCUUUCGGUCGGUGCAACGCUGUAUGUUAGCCUCCACUCUCAACUGUGUAGUCAUCUUCAGGCCGACCUGCCUGACAAUUAUCUAAUCUCAUGCUUGAUGCUGAUUUUGCCAGUGCGAAUCCACACGAGCGUCAUGCGACCAUUCUUUUCUCGGUGCCACCCAUUCCCUUCUCCCUUGCAUCAUGUCGACAGGAACUCUGAUUUGCAUUUUGUUGGUUCUUGUGUUUUUCUUCCCUGAUUGUUUGUGAAUCAGUUUUCGAUCAGUAGACGGGAAAAUGAUUCCAUCGAGACGGGUUAGGAGUAUAAAGAAGGUGUAGUGGCUCUUUGUGCUAGGAGCAUAACUGACAGCGCACAGCAUAUAUUCAUGGAACGUCAGUAUGCAUGGUCUGCAUGCACAUGAAUCUGAACAAUGCCUUUGUUGCUUAAGCUGUCACCUAGCUGCAGUUGCUACACUCAAUUUGGUGGGGGUGAAAUUCCCAUCUUGUCCUUUUUUUUAGGAUCAACGGGGGAGAGCAUCCCCAUCUGAUUUUCAUUUCAAAGGGCUUUGAGCAAGCCAAAAGCUUUACAUCUUUGGUUGUUUUCCAGCAAUUUUAAAACAAAAGGGGGUAAAACGUUAUAAAGUUGGUGAUUACAUUGAAGGGAAGGCUUGGCACCAGGCAUCAGCGAUCAUGCGUUCAUGGCUUCGUCACCUGAAACUCCAUAGGCAUGCAUCUUCUUGACAGUUGCUCCAGAAUCGACAGCGGGAGGGCGGCGCAUUGUUGUCGAAGUCAACAUCGUUGCAAGGGACACACUCGCAACCACAUCGGCGCAUUGUUGUCUGAAGGAUCUGAGAGCAUUUUCCCAGAUGCCAGCCAUUCUCAAAAUCUAUUUGCACUCGAUCUUGUUUGGACGAGCAAAUAAAAACAAGCCAGCUCUCUCAUGCUAGAGGUGGCAUCUUUGUCUCGUGACUAACAUCACUGGCUAGUGGAUGCACAUAUAUAGUUGCAGUAUGGACUAUGGGAGUGCUAUAUACUGUGUGGCUGGACCAUUCUCAAAGUGUAUUUUGUAAUCGAUCUUGGCUGGACGAGCAACAAGCCAACAACUGAACAGCGCUCUCUGACUGCUUUCAGAGACCAUAAGCAGAGUUACUACUGCUAAACAGUGGGAGUCAAAAACGGCAACUGAUAGUGUAGACCAUAAGGAGAUGAGCAUGAAGCUGGAGUCAAGGCCUUUUCUUUGAUGCCUCUUGAGUUGGUGGAUUGUUCUGAAUGCCAACGCACUGGCUGACGGCGUGCCAAACCUGUUGAGUGUAACUGCAUUGAGCAAAAGGAUGUACUGAAGUUUCAGCAUCCUGAUCACAGAGCGCGUACAGUGCUGUUUGCUGCAGGCCAUGUCGUUGCCUUCUUGCCGCCGUCCACAACCUCUCUCGCAAGGCUAGCGACAUGAAAAACUUCACCUUGAGAGGUGCCCAAGAUCGCCAAAUUGAUCCUGCAGCAGGGAAUCUGGCUGAUCCUAUGAAGAAUAUGCCCUGUAAGCAGAUUUGGCCGAGUAAAUUCCUGAACUUUCCCACCUCCAAGAGACCCUAUCUUCAGUCCCGACAGCUAACUGGAUUCCUGCAACCUCUUGCCAAAGCUGCACAUGCUGACUACAGCAGUGUGAAUCCAUAGGAGUAAGACCGUGCGACCAGUCUUUUCUCGGUGCAUCCCAUUUCCAUAUUCCUUUGCACGCCAACAAGAUCGAGCUUUGGAGUUGCAUUUGUCGGUUCUUGUGUGUUUUCUCCCCUGAUUGUUUUCUGAAUGAGUUUUCAUGAGUAGACGGGGUAAAUGGGAAGGGAAACCUCGAAAAGGUUAAUACAAUAAUAGAAUGGGCGCAUAUAUGAGUUGUGUGUGUGUGGCGGUCAAUAGGAUUUCUUGAAUAUUUAUAGGCAUGUGUGAUUUUAUCUAGACAUGUUACGUUAGAUAUUAACUACAAGUAAGAAGGUGUAGAGAUGGUCUGUGGUGCACGGACAUUUCUACUCAGUAAUUAUAGCCGUUGUUACGAAGGGAGUAAAUUUUGUUGUAAUUUUCCCAUGUAAGUUAGUUCAAAUAGGAUGGUAGCUUUUAUUACGUGCAUAAUCCAAGCAGGCUGUUUAAAUUAAGGGAGUGUUUGGCUCCAGUUGGGCUAAAGUUUAGCCCUGUCAGAUCGAAUGUUUAGAUACUAAUUAAGAGUAUUAAGUAUAGUCUAAUUACAAAACUAAUUACACAGAUGGAGUCUAAUUCGUGAGACGAAUCUAUUAAGCCUAAUUAGUUCAUGAUUUGAUAACGUGGUGUUACAGUAACCAUUUGCUAAUGAUGGAUUAAUUAGGCUUAACAUAUUCGUCUCGCGAAUUAGCCUAGGGGUUCUGCAAUUAGUUUUAUAAUUAGUUCAUGUUUAGUCCUCCUAAUUAGCAUCCGAACAUCCGAUAUGGCAAGGCUAAAUUUUAACCUCUGGUAUCCAAACACCCUAGGACAUAAUUUCCUCUAAAAUUCUCGCGCACAACCCUUUGUUGCUUAAGCCAUCAGCUAGCUGCAGUUGCUGUACCAUGUAUGUGUUCCAUUGAACUGUGCUUCUCAAUCGCUAGUCUGAUGACCUCGGUUCCAUUUGUACGUUGCCCGUUGUAACGGCCGGGUCACCCUCACAACAAUGCACUAAAUUCUUGUGGAUUUCUCAGUGCAUUUUCCUAGAUGGCAACCAUUCUCAAAGUGUAUUUUGUAAUCGAUCUUGGCUCGACGAGCAACAAGCCAACAACUGAGCAGCUCUCCUGUGGCCUCUUUGUCUCCUGACUAAUUAUACAUAUAAGAAAACCAGAUUAUUCCAAUGCUCCCCUCAUCGCCUGACAGAGGCCAGGGGUUGCGUUAAGAAUACGUACUUUAAUUUUGGCCAAGAAACAACCAAACAAACACAGCUGGUGUAGUAAUAAUGUGUUGUGCGGGGUUGUUUACAAGAUUACAAGUUCCUGAAGAAAGACAGACCAAAAAAACAAAUUAAGAAAAGAUUCUAAGCCUUGAUUCUGUUGACGAUCGAUGAUUUACGUGUCAUCAUCAGGAUCGACGAGUGUUGCUACGGCGAAUCUUGUUCCAUCCUUGCUCACCUGCGCCAUGACCUCGUCCUCGGCGCGUCACCGUACUCCGGUCGGCGCAACAUGUACGAUAGCCUCCACUCUCAACUCUGCCACCGCGUUCCAGAGUUCCACUGCGCUUCGCUUGGCAGUUCUCACACCACACGCAUGGAGCUGGCUUGAGCAGUGUGAAUCCAGUGGAGUACCAACCAGCGACCAUUCUUUUCUCGGUGCAUCCCAUUUCCAUUAUUCCUUAUUUGCACGCCAACAAUGCAAGAACUUUGGACCUGCAUUUGUUGGUUCUGGUGUGUUUUUCUUCCCCGAUUGUUUCUGAAUCAGUUUUCGAUCAGCAGAUGGGGAAAUGAGAAGGGAAACCUAGCUAGAAAAGGCUAAGCCGCUAAGACACUACUUUACUUAGAAUGGGAUUUCUCGAAUAUUUAUAGGCAUGUGUGAUUUCACCGAGACAUACGUUUGAUAUUACUACUAGCAGUAGUUAACAAGGUGUAGCUGCUCUGUGGUGCACGUACGGACAUUUCUACUGACCAAUGAUCACCGUGGUUAUGAAGGGAGUAAAUUUUGUUGAAAUUUCCCCAUGUAAGUUAGUUCAAAUAGGAUGGUACAUAGCUUUAUCCACAAGUUUAAUCAUAUCCAAGCAUGCACAAUAAAUUAAGACAUAAUUUCCUCUAAAAUUCUCGCAAUUUUCCCACCAUGCUCUUAUUAAUUUGAAACCCAAAUAACCGUCGGCGUUGUCCGAAAAAGAGAUCACGCGACGCGACGCUUGUACAUGAAUAAUCCAGAGGAUGCUUUUGUUGCUUAAGCAGUCACCUAGCUGCAGUUGCUAGUUUGCUACACUCAGAAUGUGGGACAUGGCACCAGUUCAUCUGGGAUAUCUGAGAGCAUUUUCCCAGAUGCCAGCCAUUCCCAAAAUGUGUUUGCACUCGAUCUUGUCUGGACGAGCAACAAAACAAGCCGAGGGCCCUCGCAAGUCACAACAACUCGAUCUUCUUCCAAGAUAGCAGCUUUCUCUUGCUUGGUGGCCCUCUUCAGUUUGUCUCUCGUGACUAGUAUCACUGGCUAGCUAGCUAGUUGUGGAUGCAGAGAGUUGCAGCAUGGACUGUGGAGUGAUGUAUAUAUGGGAAAAGCUGCAGUAGGCGAACCCGGAACUAACUGACAAUAGUGAGUGCAUCCCAUCAACCAUAGGAACAUAACAGUAACUCAACUUUAAUAGAAGAUGACCUAAUACCAUUAUGCUAUACAAACUGCACUGCAGCUAAACAGUGGGAGUCAAAAACGGCAACUGAUAGUGUAGACUUAUUUGGACAAUUUAAUUGGAAAAAAAAAACAAAACUAUAGCUACAAAGAGAACGGUCUGCUACUCUGCUUUCAAACCAUAAGCAGAGCUCCAGAUGCCGUUCCUACUCACCCUUCGGACGGACAGACAUUCCAAAACGACCGGUUGUGCAAAAUCGUCACAACAUCCAUUGUCGUCCAGCCCGGUUAGGAUACCUGGCUUUCACCCAGGCGACCCGGGUUCAAAUCCCGGCAAUGGAACUAUUUUUUCUCAUUUAUUUUUUUUCUUAUUCCUUGAACGAGACUAUCCCAAGCUUCAUCUCGGAUAAUGAAUUAUUGGAACUGAGAUCUCUGCAUCGACGAGAAACAUGGCUCCUGCAACGGCAUCCCGAGAGCUUCAUCUCUGAUCCAUUGUCGCCGAAAAUGGUUGAAGGAAUUAAUCACAAGUCAAAUGUUAAACUUUUAGCAGCCACUACUAAGAGCAACGGCAUCCCGCAACGAGGAUGCAUUAUGAACAAUGAACGCUUCGAGCGACCUUGUAUGAAAGUCCCCAGCAUAGGCCAUCCUUGCUAUAUUGAUAUGCCCAAACUGAGCUUCGCUCUCAUCCAAGCUCCAUUCAGUUCACUAGGGUUCAUUCAUCAAUCCCAGGUCACAGGGUUAUUGCAUCUACUCACGCAUGCAAGCAAAAAUCUUCAUAGGUUCUUCGCCUCCUUGGUUCGCAACUUCCAAGUCACCACCUUCGUUCUUCCUCCUCCCACCAUUCUCCUUGGACCCUGCAUCCGCCACCGCCACCAAACACUGAGUUUCCCCAAAAACAAAAUAAAGAAAAGAGAGAGAGGAAGAAAACGUAGUAAAUGGCAAGAUGAUAUAUAAAGAGAAAGUUGAGAGACCCACAUCACUCUAGGUCAAGCAAAUGAACUUUACAAGACAGCUACGCGUACCUGCAAACUUUGUUUAGAUGUGGUUGGCAUCGUGCAAAGGGUGUAUCAACAACUGACGAGAGGAAUGAUUGUGCUUUCUGAGUCAUCGUCCCGCAUUCUCUUCCUUUUCUUUAUUCUCUGCUACUUCCACUCAUCUUCCUUUUCUUUAUUCCUUUUCCAGUUGCUGCGGUUGGUUCUGGAUCAGCAGCAGCACUUGUGGGUUUGUUGAGUGAGAACCCGUUGCUUCUUGCCUAUCUUUCCACGCGCUCUUUCUCUCACAAUCUUCUUCCUCCCGAUUCCAAGUCUUCCAACUUCCAUCCCCACGGCCACGCACUGCUCUUCCCUCCUGCUCUGGUCUCGCUCGCUUGCGCGUCGUGGGGCCGGGAGAUCACGUCAAGGUCAAGGGGCUGCCACACUGCUCGAAGCUUUCCAUCUUCUCCGAAAAAACCAGGUUGGUUUCCCCGUCCUUUUGUUGGAGUUCGUGUAGAUUUCUGUCUCCGCCGGACCGAUGCCACCGUCGCCGCCUCCCACGGUCCCCUCCUUCCCUGGUGGCUCGUUUGCUUGACUGAUCAGUGACCUCAUCAGAAAGCAUUCCUAAGGAAACUGCUCACUUCAAACUCAGAUUGAGCACAAGCUAGGAGACCCGAUGGGCUCUGCGGUGGUGAGUGAGCUCAGCGAAUCACACUCUCUCUGUUUUUCCUGUUUGCAUCCCAAACUCUAAAGAACCUUGUUAAAAAAGAAAGAGUUACUAAGUAGUAUUACUCCAGAUCGACGAUUCCAUCUUUUUUAAAGCUUCCGAAUCAAUUUUUUUUGUUUGAUUUAGGAGUAAAAGAAAAACCACAGACCAUCAACUUAGAGAGCAACCAGAAGAAAUAAAAGCAGAGGUGAUGGAGGCUGCCGUGGUGAGCGCGUCGCACGGUGCAAUGGGCUCCCUGCUAGGGAAGCUUGGUGAACUUCUCACAGCAAAGUACAAGCUGCUCAAGGAAGCAAAGGGACAGAUCAUGUUCUUAAAGGCUGAACUCGAGACCAUGUAUGUCUUUCUGAAGAAGAUCUCAGAUACAGAGGAGCCUGAUGAGCAAGACAAGCACUGGGCCAAGGAGGUACGCGAGCUGUCCUAUGAUAUCGAUGACAGUGUCAGCGAGUUCAUGCUCCGCGUGGAAUGCGACUCCAGCAAGCCACACGGAUUCAAAGGGUUCAUCGUUAGGAGCAUGAAGUUAAUGACAACCGUGAACACUAGGCAUGAGAUUGCCAAAGAGUUUGAAGGCCUUAAGAACCGUGUCAAGGAGGUGAGUGAGCGGCGUACGAGGUACAAGAUGGAUGAUGUUGCCCCAAAGUCAAACAACACAGCCAUCGAUCUUCGCUUGCUGGCGCUCCAUGCUGAGACGGCGAGCCUUGUUGGCGUCACGGGACCAAGGGACCAGCUGAUUCAGUUGAUGGAUGCAGAGGGUGUGUCUGCACAUCAGCUAAAGGUGCUCUCUAUUGUGGGGUUUGGAGGUCUUGGAAAGACUACUCUUGCAAAUGAGAUUUAUCGCAAGCUUGAGGAGAAGUUCCAGUGUCAAGCUUUUGUUUCUGUGUCCCAGAAACCAAACAUCAGGAAGAUUCUGAGAACAAUACUAUCUCAAGUUGGCUUUGUACCUCCUAAGGACACCAACAUUGAAAUGUGGGAAGAGCCUGAACUGAUUAGUUCAGUGAAAAAAUUCUUAUUGGACAAGAGGUACGUACUCUGAAAAUAAUUGUGCUCUAAGAACAUUUAUGAUAUUUAGUUGAUUUCCUAUUUUGAAGCUAUUAUUGUUUAGAAAUUAGAAUCCUAGUAUUUGGUAGGCAACAUUACGAUGUGUCUAGAUCUCUUCUCUAGAUCUUAGUUUCUCACGGCUAAAUGGCUUGUCCCUGUUGUAUCUUCAUCUGUGGUAAUUUGCAAAAUUCAAAAAAACAUUUUUUUAAUUAGAUGUGAGAAAUUAUAAUUAAUAUUUGGGCUAGUAAAUAGUCUUGACAAAAAAGCGUCAACUAUAAAGUUUUGUUUUUAGAUUUUGUCAAUUCUACAUUUUUUAUAUAAAUUUUGUGUUAAUCCAACUUUGAUGAAAGUUGUGAUUUUUCCUUUAAAAUGCUUGCUUUUAUUUGUGUUGGCGCGCCACAUAAGCAACUGCAAGUAGAAUUGUCAUUUGUGCUGGCGGUUACUUAUACGGCCCACCAGCGCAAAAACAUGUCCUUACCAGUAUAAAUUAUUUUUGGGUGCAAUGAGGAUACAUUCCUGUGUUCAUUUACUCUAUCCUAAUGCUUGCUACAUUCCCUAUGUAUUUACAUGGCAGGUACCUCAUUGUAAUUGAUGACAUCUGGGAUGCUUCUGCAUGGUAUGUUAUUAGAUGUGCUCUUCCAGAGAGCAUGAAUGGUAGUAGAGUAAUAACAACUACUCGAAUUGAGGCUGUGGCUAGAGCAUGCAGCACUAAUCACAUUGAGUGUGUUUACAAGAUGAAGGCACUUAGUGACCAAGACUCAAAAAGGUUGUUCUUCAAAAGAAUAUUCGGUUUGGAGGAUGCUUGCCCUUCAUAUUUGAAAGAAGUGUCAGGUGAAAUUGUGAAAAAAUGUGGUGGUUUACCGCUUGCAAUCAUCACAAUAUCAAGCCUUUUAGCCAAUCAAUCAAACAAAUUAAAGGAAAAUUGGGAUUAUGUACGGAACUCUCUAGGCUCCAACUUUGAACCAAGCUUGGAAGGCAUGAGACAAAUAUUGAGUCUUAGCUACACAAAUCUUCCGUACCAUUUGAAGGCAUGCAUGCUAUAUUUAGGUAUUUAUCCGGAGGACUACACAAUCAACAAGAAUGAUUUGGCGAGACAAUGGGUAGCUGAAGGUUUUAUAUAUAAAGCUAGCGCGACAGAUCCAGAGGAUAUUGCAAAGAACUAUUUCAAUGAUCUCGUCAAUAGGAGUAUGAUACAGCCUGCAGAUACAGAUUAUAAUGGCGAGGUGAUAUCCUGCAAGGUACAUGAUAUGGUGCUUGAUCUUAUCCUACAUAAAUCAAGGGAAGAAAAUUUUGUAACUGUAAUAGAUGAUAUACAAGACAUGACAGGACAUAAAGAUAAGAUCCGUAGACUCUCUUUCAAUCAGGACAGUGUUAUAGAUUCUAGAUUCAUGGGAUCUGUCCAGCUAUCCCAAACACGAACCCUUGCAAGAUUCGGUAGCUCUUCACGGUUACCGCCAUUUCUGCAGUUCAAGCACCUACGGGUUUUAAUAAUUGAAACUUCACGAGCAAUUGGGCCAUCACCAUUACUUGACUUCGAUAGAAUAUGCCAUUUGUUUCAGUUGAGGUGCUUAAAGAUUGUAGCGGAAGAUUAUGAUGCGGUGUUACCUAGUAAAAUUGGAGAUUUGCAGCAACUGGAAACGUUUGAAGUACAACUUGACUACAAAUUUCUUCAAGGGAGGAAAUCUCUGAAAUUACCAUCAGAUAUUGUUCAUUUGAGCCGGUUAUUGCAUUUGAUUGUUCCAGUGAGGACAAUAUUGCCUGAUGGGAUAGGUAACAUGAGAUCAUUGCAUACUGUACACCGAUUUAAUUUGGCGAACUCACUGCACAGUAUCAAGAGUCUGAGAGAACUGACCAAUCUGACAGACCUUGAAAUUGGCUUUGCGGGCUCCAUUAUUGAUCAUGAGGUGGUGGAACGAGGCAGGGAAGUUCUCCACAUAUGCUUUGAAAAACUUUGCAACCUCAAAUAUCUAAAAGUGAAUAUUUUUCCCUCCGAAGCCUACUUGGAUGCAUUCAGUCCAAUACCUGCUUCUUUCCGCCAUCUCCAGAGAUUCCAUGGAUCCAGCUUUUCAAGGGUUCCUGGUUGGAUUGGCGAACUCCAUAGCAUCUAUGACCUGGUGCUUACUGUUCAGGAGGUUCUGGAGGAUGAUGUUGGGAUUCUUGCACAGCUGCCUUCCCUUAUCCACCUAAUCUUGCACAUCAGAGGAGCACCUAAAGGUAAGGUUCUCAUCCGCGGAGGAACUGGAUUAUUCCCAGUUUUGAAGUAUUUUGAAGCUCGCUGCUGCAGGGUAUCAUACCUGAGCUUCGAGGCAGGGGCAAUGCCCAAGCUUGAAAGGCUCGUGUUGUGCCUCAAUGCACAUAGAUGGGACAGGUACGGCGCCCCGCCUGCUGGCAUCGAGCACCUUUCAGGCCUCAAGGAAAUCUGUGUAGACAUUGGGGCUUUGGGUGCCAAGAAAUCCAACGGGAGUGCUGCAGAGUCCGCGCUGAGGAACGCGGCGGACAUGCACCCAGGUCGUCCUGUAGCCAACAUAAGGAUUAACAAUUUUCAAUGCUGGGCAUGUGAUACCAUGGAUGAUGAACCUUGCGAGAAGGACGAGGAAGGUUGGAACAGCAGCAGCACCUGAUCAAGGCCAGGUACAAAGUCUUAGCGUACCAUCACCUUUAUGCCAGCUGAUGUUUUUCAACCUUUCCUCGAACUAGCUAGCAGCAGUGGUAACUUUUUGUCUCAGCUAGCUGUGCCAUCAAUUAAAAGAUGUUUAUAGGAAGCCCUCUUUAUGUGUUCAUCAGUACCAAUUUCAAUUAAAAAUUUUAUUUAACUGGCGUUGCUUGUACUGCUGUCGUUAUGGCCAGGAUUUAGUCUGGGGACGAAACAGUAGUAUUUUGCGAGGCUUGCGCUCGUGCCUUAUCUCUGACAGACUGAACCUCAUCGCUCUUCCCUUGCUUACAUCAUGCUGAUAUAAAAUUGACUAGAUGAAACACGUAUAUAUACUACCUGAUGAUGAUAUAGAUAUAGAUAGAUAAGAACGUUACUAUAUGUUUACUGUUGUGUCCUUAUAUGAUAUAAAUAAAUAAAGAAAGGGAUCCAUAUGUGAUUUUUAUGAAACACUUUUCCUUAAUAAAAAGAUAGAAGUACAUGUAUGUCACAUAUAUGGCCACAGUGAUUACACGUUAGCAUUUCAGGUGCCACUCGCUUCCAGACCAAGUGCCACAGCAACGCCUGCCCCAUCGACAGCAACUAGGAGGAGUGGCCGGCUAGCUAAACAGGCUCUCAACAUUGCAAUCAGGCCAUCCAAAAAGGGUGAGGUUCUUGCUAUGAGAAAACUGGGCAUAAUUCCAGCUGACGGCGACAUCGAGCACGCAAGGAACUUCGAUAAAUUCAUUGCCACAACCAUGCAGCCGGCUCAUUUUGAAACUCUGCGUGAUGUUUUUCCAACCGCAAGAGAACUGACUGAUAAUGAUCUAUUGCACAUUGCUGGCCAAGCAGCCGGUGCCUGAUGACUGACGGCGGAAGCAUCAGUGCCUUGGGUUGCUGUCUAUUUUCAUGCACGAUACAAACCAGAAUGUCCUGGUUUGGAACGUGCGUGGGUUGAACGCAUGUUGCCGACGAGACGUUUUGCGUGAUGUCACGCGUGAGGCUAGAGCCACGGUCGUCUGUGUUCAAGAAACAAAACUUGCUGUAAUUUCUCCAUUUCUUGUGUCUGAAAUGCUUGGAAGUUCCUUCUCCUCUUACGCCUUCGCACCAUCAAUUGGAGCCAGCGGGGGGAUAUUGACGGCAUGCAAAGGGCCAGACCUAUCUUGCACCACACUUCACAUUGGGUGUUUUUCGGUCACUGUCACCAUCAGUACGACUGGCUCUUCCGACCACUGGUGUCUCACCAAUGUUUUUGAUGAAACAGGAGGGGGAUGAUCAUCCCCUACUGGAUAUAUAUUAAUAUAAAAGAACAAAAGUUGUAGAAUUACAAAUCAAGAAAUAAAAAAGGAUAGGAAGAAAAUCAGAAAGACUACAAUGAGUGCUCUAGCCAUUCAAACAUUGAUUGUUUCCAAACCUCUUUUACUCGCAGAACAACUUGAGUAAAAACAGUCCUAAACCUCAUCAUAGCAUCCUGCACUGAAGGAGUAAUAUUUCUGAAAAUCCAAUCAUUUCUCGCCAUCCAAAUACACCAGCUCAUGAGAACAAUGAUUUUCAUAAAAAAUGGAACUUGCAGCUGAUUUUUAAAGCUGGUGAGGAUUGUGAAUGGUUCAUCUGUCAGAUUAGCAAAAAGACUAAUAUUGAUCCAACACUCUUGGGUAAAGGGGCAUUGCAGUAGAAGAUGGAACAAGGUUUCCUCAUUAUCAUGCUGACACAAGACACAAGAAUAAGAAGGCAGAGCCAUGUGUUUUCUUCUAAGUACAUUCAUGGUACUUAGCCGGUCAUUGAGUAAAAGCCAGAAAAAAAAUUUGUGUUUACUUUGACAUUUAGAUUUCCAAAGCCAUCUGAAAACCGGGUGCACCUGUCGAUGUCCAGACAGUACAUGAUAUGCUUUUGAUGAGGAGAAGUGAGAAUUACCCCAGAUAUAUGUCCAACAGUCAUGAUCUUCAUUAAAUUGGAUUUCAUUCAGAUCUAUACCCAAUUGAAGCAGCUGAUCCAUAGCUUGGGUUGAUAAAGGCAAAUUGAAAAGCUGGUGCAAGUUAGGCAGGUCAUAAGCUUUCCUAAUAGAUAUGUCAGCCUUUCUAGUGAAAGAGUAUUAUUGAGGAUACUCUUGUGCAGGGAUCUUAUUAUUCCACAAAUCAUGCCAGAGAAGACAUGUCCGACCAUUAUGCACAGUUACAGAUGCUAGACCUUUGAAUUUUGUCCAAGAGUUUCACAACAUCUUUCCACCAAAAAGAUCCUUUUCGAACUUGUCCUGGUAACAUGCCAGAAGCAUAAUAUUUCUCCCAAAUUAGAUGUACCCAUGGGAUGUCUGCCUUGUUCAGGAACUUAUGGAGGUACUUAAGAAGAAGAGCUUCAUUUUGAGUCCUUAGAUUUAACACCCCAAGGCCACCCUCUUUCUUUGGCAAACAAACAAGAUCCCAGGCAGCCUUUGGAGGUUGCCUAUUAUUUAUAUCUGAGUUUCUCCGGAGGCAACAUUUUCUAUAUUUGUCCACUUAUUUAUAUACUGUCUUAUGAAGCUGAAAAGUGCACAUAUGAAACAUUGGUGUGGCUGUGAAAAUUGAAUUUGUCAACUGGAGUUGCCCUGCAUCUGAUAGAAAUUUUGAUGUGGAUACCAAUCGCCGCUCACAUCUAGUGACCAUAGGCAGAAACUCCUCAAUCUUUGGCUUGGUAAGACCAAGAGGAAGCCCUAAAUAGGUAAAGGGAAGCUUACCAAUAGCACAUCCAAAAGUCUGUGAUAGGAAUUGUAAUUUUUCCUCUGUGAUAUUAAUGGGUACCAUCAUUGAUUUACAGAAAUUGACCCUUAGACCAGUGGACAAUGCAAAAUUAUGAAGGAGCUGCUUCAAAUGUAACAAUUGAUUAGGACAUCCCUCCAUAAUUAUUAGGGUAUCAACAGCAUACUGUAAUAUAGGGAAAUCAGAACUGUAUGUCAGAGGAAUUGGGAGUGUGAGGUGGCCUUGUUCUUUGGAGUCAUUUACAACGGUUUGGUGGAGUCUCACCAAUGUUUAUGGCCCACAAGCUGAAGCUCACAAGAUCGAUUUCCUCGAUGAACUUAGAAUGGUGCAUACUAUGGUCACGCCAAUGUGGGUUAUUGCAGGGGACUUCAACCUGGUACUUGAGGCCGAAGACAGAAACACAGAAACAACAAACCGUAGAACAUUGGCAAGAUUCAGACGCCUCCUUGAUGACCUACAACUAAAAGAUGUUUACCUACACGGUCGGAGAUACACAUGGAGCAAUGAACGCUCUCAACCCACCAUGGCGAGGCUUGACCGAGUGAUCGUUUCAGUUGAGUGGGAAGCUAACUUCCCCUCCUCUUUCCUUCAAGCUCUCUCUUCGGACAUGUCUGAUCACUGUCCCUUGCACCUUGCAACACACUCAUUGUUCACCAACAAGCGCAGGUUCCAUUUUGAGUCUUGGUGGCUAAAAUUACCUGGGUACCUGGAGGCCGUGGCUAAAGGGUGGGUCUGCCCGUCAACCGUUACUGACCCUUUCACAAGGUUAGAUAUUAAAUUCAAAAACACUGCGAGAGAGCUGGACAGUUGGAGUCAGAAAUCGGUGGGGAAUGUUAGGAACCAAAUCCUCAUUGCCAGGGCUAUAAUUUCGUGGCUGGAUGCUGCACAGGAACACAGAGUACUAACCUCUCAAGAAAGUAAUUUGAGAAAAGAUCUCAAGCACAAGAUGCUGGGCCUCCUGUCAUUAGAGAGGACUAUUGCCAGAUUACCAUCGAGAAUAAUAUACCUUCGAGAUGGGGAUGCCAGUUCUAGGCUGUUCCAUAUGCAAUGCAGCCACAGAACGAGGAAAAGGUUCAUAGCAAAGUUGGAAUAUGAGGGAUCUGUUGCUUUCACCCAUGAAGAAAAAGAGGAGAUGCUCUUAUUUCAAACGCAUCAUGGGAACGGCCAUGCAGCGUAGCGAGGUGAUUGACCUGCAAUCCCUUGGCGUCCAGCAGCUUGAUCUGACACACUUAGAUGCCCCAUUCUCUGAGCAAGAAAUCUGGGCCACCAUCAAAAUGCUGCCCAAUGAAAAGUCUCCAGGCCCCGAUGGCUUUACUGCAGAAUUCUACAAAUCGGCUUGGUCAGUGAUCAAAGAAGACAUCCUGGCUGCUUUCGAUGCCUUCUACAGAGUAGCUUGUGGUCGACUGCACAAACUUAAUGGGGCACUCAUCGCUUUGUUACCCAAGGGACAGCAGCCAAAGUCACCAUCAGACUACAGGCCUAUUAGCUUGAUACAUAGUUUUGCUAAGCUUAUUGCUAAGCUUUUGGCCAACAGGCUAGCGCCUAAACUUGAACACUUAAUGGAUGUAAAUCAAAGCGCCUUCAUUAAGAAGAGAUCCAUCCAUGACAGUUUCAAGUUUGUAGAGCAAGCUGCUAGAUCAUUACACAAGAAGAAGAAAGCCUCUAUGCUGCUCAAGUUGGAUAUCUCAAAGGCAUUUGACACAGUUUGUUGGCCGUUCAUGCUGCAGGUCCUGCAAGCCCUGGGUUUUGGGGGAAAAUUUCAAGAUUGGGUAUCUAUACUGGUAUCAACAGCCACAACAAGGGUAUUAGUCAACGGAAUGCUAGGAGGUGUUAUUCGCAAUAUGAGGGGACUACGGCAGGGGGACCCCCUGUCCCCCAUGAUCUUCAUCCUUCUGAUGGAGAUGAUGCACCGUCUGUUCAAAAAAGCAGUCCAGCAAGGUGUUUUGGCUGCACCGGCCGAUCAUGGCAUACAGCACCAAUGUUCUUUAUAUGCAGAUGACAUGAUCCUUUUUGCUUCACCGACAAUUCAGGACAUGGUCACGGUUAGGGAAAUUUUACUCUUCUUUGGAAAUGCGUCUGGCCUGCACACCAAUUUUCAGAAAAGCUUGGUGGCGCCCAUAGCAUGCUCUCAACAGCAGAUUGAAGUAAUCACUGAAAUUUUGCCAACCAGGAUUUCUGAAUUUCCCAUUCAAUAUUUGGGGCUACCAUUGACAGUUGGCAGAUUAAGGAAGGCACACUUCCAACUGUUGAUCUUGAUCGACCGAGUAACGGCUAGUAUGCCCACAUGGAAGGCGCUAUUGAUGAACAAAGCCGGCCGAUUGACAACAGUUAGGGUGGUCAUGACUUUAAUACCUAUUCACACACUUAUUUCAUUGAAAAUGCCAGACUGGGUCCUAAAGGAGAUUGACAAAAAGCGCCACGGUUUCCUGUGGACUGGCAAAGAAAAAAGCCUUAGGUGCUCACUAUACGGUUGCCUGGCCGACAGUUUGUAGGCCUACUGACUAUGGCAGCUUGGGUCUAUUGGACCUUAUGCUGGCAUCCUUCGCCCUCGUCUAUGAUGGCUAUGGUUGAAGAAGACUGACGCGAAUCGGCCUUGGAAGAACCUACAAUUGGAGUUUUCCCGAGACACUGUUCUUCAGCACAUGUUCCAGGCUUCCAUUUAGAUACAACUUGGGGAUGGCAAUCUAGCGCUCUUUUGGCAGGAUGCUUGGUUGGGACAAUCUUCACCCUCUAUUCUGGCACCAGAUCUCUGUAACUUGAUCGUGUCGCAAGUGAGAAGAACAAGGACGGUCACACAGGCGCUGCAUCAGAAGCAAUGGAUUCUGGACUUUGUCGGAUGCGCUACAGUGCCUGCUCUUACACAAUAUGUUCUUCUCUAGCACAAGCUAGCCAAUGUUCAUCUAAUCCAGGGAGUUGAAGACCGAGUCUCGUGGAGAUGAGUCUAUUCUGCUCGUUCAGCCUACCGCGCCUUCUUUUUUGGAGCCACGAAGUUCGCUACCGCUAAGAUGAUUUGGAAAUCGUGGGCACCAUUGAAAGUGAAAUUUUUCAUCAAGUUGGCAAUUAAGGAGCGGUUGUGGACGGCUGAUAGAAGGCAUUGGCAUGGGCUAUAGGGAAACGUGAAGUGUACAUUAUGUGAACAGGAGCUAGAAAUAGCAGUGCACUUGCUAACUGCUUGCCCUUACACAAAGGAGGUUUGGCACAUCGUCUCGAUAGUGCUGCGCAUACAGAACACCACCUCACUGUUUGAAACCUCUUUAACGGACUACUGGGUGCAUAAGCGGCGAGCCAUGAGCAGAUCACUAAGAAAAGGGAUGGACUCAUUGUUUAUGUUGAUCUCCUGGACAAUUUGGAAACAGCGGAACGACAGAAACUUUGAUAGAGCUCCAAAAAGAGCUAAUUCGAGAACAAGCUGCUGAUUGGUGCGCAGCAGGAGCCAAACACUUAGCAAUGUUCCAAUGGCCGCGACAACAGCAGGACGACGCUGAAGCAACGGUACCUUAGUGGUUUCUUAUCCUGACCUUUGUGUGUAAACGGAUGUAAUUAAGUUGCCAUGUAAGCUCAAGCUACAUUUCAAAACCGUGUGCGUGAGCCGGAUAGACCCGCUUUGUAACAAUUCUAUUCAUUCUUCUUAAUACAAAGGUACGCAGCUCUCCUAUGUAUUCUUGAAAAAAAAAUACACGUUGAUAGGUUUUGUUAACUAUACGGCCGGUGUCUUGGACAUUCUUUUCCACUAUGCACUCCAUCAAUAUUUGUUAGCUUGUCAAAUUAAUUUUUUUUUCUAGAGUGCCUAAGCACCUUUCGAUUAAGAAGAAAGCAGUUUACAGACACAAUCUCAAUUAUGUUUUGGCGCCUUGAAUUUCAGACUUAAUCUGUACAAGCUGUUGGUUAUGAAUCAGCAGCAGUACUUGUGAGUUUGUUGGGUUAGAACCACGUGCUUCUUGCAUCUUGCCUUGUGGGCUAAUUUUACUGUAAUAAUAAUGGAUGUCGAAUGUACGGAUAUUAUUAGAUGUGCUCUUCCAGAGAAUAGAAAGGGUUGCAGAGUAAUAACAACUACACGAAUUGAGAGUGUGGCCCGAGUGUGCUGUGCAAAUCAUGACAAAUAUGCGUAUAAGAUGAAGCCACUUAGUAACCUGGACUCAAGAAGCUUAUUUUUUAAAAAAGUAUUUGGUUCAGAGGAUGCUUGUCCUCCAAAUUUGAAAGUAAGUUUCAGCUGAAAUAUUGAAAAAAUGUGGUGGUUUACCACUUGCAAUCAUCACAAUGUCUAGCCUUGUUGCCAGUUAGCCGAACAAACUGAAGGAGCAAUGGAAAUAUGUAUGGAACUCUUUUGGCUCUAACUUUGAAGUGAGCCCGAGCUUGGAAGGCAUGAGACAAAUACUGAACCUCAGCUACAUAAACCUUCCUCAUUAUUUGAAGACUUGCAUGCUGUAUCUAUGCGUUUAUCCAGUUGACUAUACAAUCCACAAGAAUGAUUUGGCUAGACAAUGGGUGGCUGAAGGCUUUAUAUGUAAAGAUCAUGGGGCAGAUCCAGAGCAUGUUGCAAAGUGCUAUUUCAAUGAGGUCAUCAACAGGAGUAUGAUUCAACCCACGGAUCUAGACCAAAAUGGUGAGGUGAGGUCUUGCAGGGUACAUGAUAUGAUGCUUGACCUCAUCCUACAUAAGUCAAGGAAAGAGAAUUUUAUCACUGUAAUAGAUGAAGAUGACAUACAAGGCAUGGCUGCUCUAGCAUCUCCAAGUUUUAACAAUUGAAAUUUCAGAAGGCUCUUGGUCAUCAGCGGCGUUAAUUGAGUUCACUGGAAUAUGUCAUCUGUUUCAGUUGAGAUACAUAAAGAUUCUAGCGAAUAGAUAUUCUAUAGUGUUACCUAGUAAAAUUGGGGGUCUGGAGCAACUGGAAACGUUUCAAAUAGAAACUCAAGUACUACCACGCCAAGGCCAACCAUUUUGUGCGCUUCCAUCAGAUAUUGUUCAUUUGAGAAACUUAUUGCAUUUGGCCCAGAACCCAGAAGAUGAUAUCAAAGGUCUUGCAGAACUAACCAAUUUGACAGAGCUUCAAGUCGGAUGGUACUUCAAUAAUGAUGACUUGGUAUCUAGUGAUGAGGUGGUGGCUAAAUUCAGAGGAGUUUUACACACUUGCCUUUAGAAACUUUGCAACCUCAAACAUCAAUCUGCUUGGAUGUGUUGGGUUCAGUACCUGUUUCUUUCUGCCAUCUCCAGAUAUUCCACUCAUAUUGCUGCUCAUGGUUUUCAAGUAUUUUACUCUUGUCAGUGGCAGGAUACCACAGUUGUCCUUCGAGGCAGGGGCAAUGGCCAAGCUUGAAAGGCUUGAGCUGGAUUUCAAUGCCCUGGAAUGGAACAGGCAUGGUGGUGCACCUGUUGGCAUUGAGCACCUUUCAGGCCUCAAGAAAAUCUCUGUACGCAUUUUGGCCUGUGGUGACAGAAGAUCCGAUAGAAGAGCUGCAUACUCCAUGCACAGAGGUUGUCCUACAACCAACAUCGAGUGUGGUGACAAGGAAAUGCUCGUCUCUGACUCUGUGGAAGAGUAAAGGCUGUAAGAGAGCAGGGUAUUUGGCGCAGGUACCAGCAGCACUUGAUGUGACCCCAUGCCAUGCAUAUGUUCAAUUCAUUUGUUCAUGCUAUCGAUAUUUUUACUGCUGCAGGUAGGGAGAGUGCCAAGUGCGAUCCCUUGUUUGUGGUUGCAUUGUGGUGCUUGUGGACUGCUCCCUGCUCUUGUGGUGGCUGUCUGAACUCUGAACAUCUGAAGAUGACGAUUCGGACUGUUGUUGCAAGUGUUCAGUUCAGUUGCGAAGCAAAUGGUUCAGUUCAGAAACAUAGCUGCCACAAGGUUGUUGCAAAUGUCUAAAAGGACAUGGUUCAGUUCAGAAACAUAGCCGCAACAAAGUUGUUGCAAAUGUCAAAAACGAGAAUCAUCGUACGACCUGAACUCUUCAAGAGUGAAGCCUAAUGAACCAGUCUAAAUUGUUGAAGAUCAACCUUAUGACAAUAUUAAACAGACCUCAAGCAAAUCUUGUAAUCAGCAUUGUGACUAGCAGUAAUAGAUCAUUUAUACGUGCAUGUGGUCAAGAUGCAUUAUAUCCAGGUAUCGAUUUUCUUCUCCAGUAUCAGUAAAUCUUCCACAUCAGCUAAUAGCUUACCUAAAUCAAUCUAUAUAUGCAACAUAGCACAGCGCUGAUAAGUAAGACAAACACAACCAGAACCAGAAAAGUACAUAACAAAAACUAGUUGAGCAUAUACUUGUACUACAUGAGUACAAGAAGCCAUCCAACUUUCAGAAAAGUCUGGUUGCUCCUAUUGCCUGUACCGAAGACCAAAUCAACCAGGUCAAGCACAUUUUGCUGGCUCGCAUAGCAGAAUUUCCAAUCCAAUACCUCGGGCUCCCUUUAUCACUGGGGCGUCUCAACAAAGCACAACUGCAAUCAAUGGUGGAUAAGAUCUCAGCUAGCAUCCCAACCUGGAGGGCCCCCUUGAUGAACAAGGCUGGCAGACUUAUGAUGGUUAAAGUCACAAUGAGUCCUAUUUGCACCCAUUCGUUGAUCGCAUUGAGAAUUCCGGACUGGGUGUUCAGAGAAAUAGAUAAGAGAAGAAGAGGGUUCUUGUGGGUAGGAAAGCAGCAGGCACAAGGGGGCCAGUGCCUCCUGCCUUGGAAAACUGCUUGUAGGCCAACUGAUUUGGGGGGUUUGGGAAUUCCUGACCUGCGCAUAGCCUCAUGUGCACUUAGGCUCAGAUGGUUGUGGCUGCAGAAAGUUGACCCAAACAGGCCAUGGAGGGAUAUGCAGCUGGACUUUAGCCGAGACACAACACUCCAGCAAAUGUUUCAGGCAUCAGUAGAAGUGCAGUUGGGAGAUGGAAACUUGGCACUCUUCUGGAUUGACAAAUGGUAUGGAGAAUUCUCUCCUUGUAUCUUAGUGAUAGAUUGUAUAAUGCACGAUGUAUUCCUCAAUAGCAACAGUUGUAUACAUAUAGACCACAUGGGGAGCCGGAUACGGCAGGCCCAUGGGCUAUGACACGCUUACAAUCCAACACUCCCCCGCAGUCAGAACUGGGAGCACCGCGAACAUUAAGACUGGACCUAAACUCAACAAAGACGGACGUCGGGAGCCCUUUGGUGAAGAUGUCGGCAUACUGUGAGGUAGUAGGGACAUGUAGAACUCGAACUUCUCCAAGGGCCACGCGGUCACGAACAAAGUGUAGGUCAAUCUCCACAUGUUUGGUCCGCUGAUGCUGAACGGGGUUGGUGGAUAAAUAAACGGCACUGACAUUGUCACAAUACACAACUGUAGCUCGUCGAAGAGGGCAAUGGAGUUCAAGAAGAAGCUGUCGUAGCCAACACGCCUCUGCAACCCCAUUGGCAACAGCGCGAUACUCAGCCUCUGCACUAGAUCUGGACACAGUUCCCUGACGCUUGGAGGACCAUGAGACCAAAUUAUCACCCAAGAAAACGCCAUAGCCAGAAGUGGAUCGGCGAGACUCAGGGCAACCAGCCCAAUCGCCGUCGGAGUACACAGUGAGAUCAGUAGGCGAGGUGCGAUGUAGGUGAAAUCCAAGCUCCAAAGUUCCCUGGAUAUAGCGCAGGAUGCGCUUCAUGGCAGCGAGAUGAGGCUCUCUCGGAUCAUGCAUAUAUAGAGAAACUUGCUGAACAGCAUAGGCAAUAUCAGGAUGGGUGAAGGUGAGAUACUGAAGGGCACCAGCGAUACUGCGAUAAUGUGAAGAAUCAGCCACAGGAACACCAUCAGCAGGUAGCUUUGCAUGAGUAUCAACAGGUGUACUGCAAGGCUUGCAGCCACGCAUACCAGCACGGUCCAGAAUAUCCAGCAUGUAUUGCUUCUGAGAGAGGAACAACUCAUCUGAGCGGCGAUCAACAGAGACACCCAGAAAAUGGUGGAGAGCACCCAUGUCAGUCAUAGAGAAUUCCCGUUGCAGAGCUGCGAUGAUGCGCUGAAGGAAACUCUGUGACGAAGCAGUAAGAACAAUAUCAUCCACAUAGAGAAGCAAGAAGGCUGUGUCAGCACCCCGCCGAUAUAUGAAGAGGGAGGUGUCCGCUUUGGACUCAACAAACCCAAGGGAGGUGAUGUGACUGGCAAAGCGACUAUGCCAUGCUCGGGGAGCCUGCUUCAAUCCAUAUAAUGACUUGUUCAAUCGGCAAAUAAAAUCGGGCUUGGAAGAAUCAACAAACCCGGUUGGCUGCUGGCAAUACACAGUCUCUGUCAAAAUCCCAUGGAGGAAUGCAUUCUUGACGUCCAGCUGAUGAAUGGGCCAAGAACGCGAUAGAGCAAGUGUGAGCACAACGCGGACGGUAGCCGGUUUGACAACUGGACUGAAAGUCUCCUCGUAGUCAAUACCAGGUCGUUGAGUGAAGCCUCUGAGAACCCAUCUUGCCUUGUAUCGAUCAAGAGAACCGUCAGCCAAAAAUUUAUGACGAAAAAUCCAUUUACCGGUGACGAUGUUCACUCCAGAGGGACGAGGCACAAGGGUCCAUGUGUCAUUUGCCAGGAGGGCGUCGAACUCUGCUUGCAUCGUGGCUCUCCAGUGAGGGUCGUCGAGCGCGGAACGAAAGCUCUUGGGAACGGCCGAGAGCGUUGUCGUGUGCAGGUUCAGACGAUCAACUGGCUGGCGGAAACCAGACUUGCCCCGAGUCCUCAUGCCGUGAUCAUUAACCACGUGCUCGAUGAGUUGGGGCAGGGUAGAAGCCGUGCGGCCCCCUCUACUGGCAGCUACCUGCGACGAGGUGUCAGCAGGGGCAGCAGAGGGUGUCGCUGUCGUAGUUGAAGGCGCUGGUGCAGCCGGUGGCAGGCUGGCUACAGCCGAGCCACCUCCAGGUGAUGCUGCCGUAGGUGCCUGGGCAGGUGGCAACGUGCCAGUGGCAGCCGUGGCUCCUCCACCUGCUGCCGAGGCUGCUCCAGCGGGUGCCAGCGAGCCGCCCGGGCUGGAGCCAUGCUCAACAGCGGGCGGCGCACUGGCUGGUGGUGGUGAGCCAGGGGGGUUGGCGCACGAGGGGGGGGUACCUGCAACCACAGAACGAGGCCCGAUGGGCAUAGUGGAAAAGUCAUCCUCGCUCAAGAAGUCAAGAGUGGCUGGAUCCGAAGGAGAGGUAGACAUCGCUGAAAAGGGAAACAUGGAUUCAUCGAACACUACAUGCCGAGAGAUGAUAAUUCGGUUGGAGUGUAAGUCGAGGCAGCGAUAUCCCUUGUGGUCGGAUGAGUAGCCAAGGAAGACACAAAGUGAUGAACGAGGGGCCAAUUUAUGUGGUGCGGUGGAUGAUAAAUUGGGAUAACAAGCACACCCAAAAACACGAAGAUGUGAAUAAGUGGGAUGUGUGCCGUAGAGAGCAUAGAAUGGUGUCAGGCCAUCAAGAGUCUUAGUGGGGUGACAGCUUAGAAGAUAUGUGGCAGUGUGGAGGGAGUCAGCCCAGUAGACGGGUGGAAGACUAGCCUGAAAUAAAAGCGAGCGCACAAUGUUGUUAAUGGUGCGAAGGGCGCGCUCGGCUUUACCAUUCUGCUGGGAGGUGUAGGGGCACGACAUACGAAAGAGGACACCAUGGGAGAGGAAGAACGUGCGGGCCGAAGAGUUGUCAAACUCACGACCGUUGUCGCACUGGACGGCCUUCACGAUGGUGCCAAACUGUGUACGAACAUAGGCAAAGAAAUUAGAGAUAGUGGCAAAUGUAUCGGAUUUGAGGCGAAGCGGAAAUGUCCAAGCAUAGUGAGAAAAAUCAUCAAUAAUUACGAGAUAAUAUUUGUAACCAGACACGCUAGCAAUAGGAGAGGUCCAAAGGUCACAAUGUAUUAAAUCGAAUUUAUGAGUAGCACGAGAGCUAGAUAAACUGAAAGGGAGGCGAACAUGGCGCCCUAACUGGCAAGCAUGACAUAUAUGUUCAUGUUUGGGUUUAUUACAAGAAAUAGCCUGGGUGCUAAUAAGUUUGGACAAUGCUUCUGAACCAAGGUGGCCGAGACGACGAUGCCACAGGGUGGGUGUAGAGGUGGCUGCGAAGACUGGUGUUCUGCUGCUGGUGGACGGGAAGAAUGGGUAUAGAUCCCCCGUGCUAUUGCACCUGGCAAUCACGCUCCGUGUUUGUAGAUCCUUCACAGAGAGGCCAAAUGGGUCAAACUCGAUAGAGCAAUUGUUAUCAAUGGUGAACCGACGAACAGAGAUCAAGUUCUUAAUAAUGCCAGGGGACACUAAAACAUUAUUUAGAACAAGAGGGCGUUGUGGUGUAGAAAACGAGUAUGAGCCAGUGGAGGUGAUGGGUAGGAGAGCACCAUUACCGACAAUAAUAGAGGAAGGAUCGGACCAGGAGGGUGAGCGAGGAGACGAGAGAAUACCAGAGUGGGCGGUCAUAUGAGAACUGGCACCAGAGUCAGCAUACCACUCGGUGGGUGUCGACGGCGGCAUCAAGGUCAUUGUGUUGAAGUUGUUGACGAGGGACGCUUGGUCGAAGGAGCCACCUGCCAUGGGGUUCCAUGCUGCAUACUGCGGCGUCGCGCCGGCCGAAGAGGAAGCCGAGGAGCCUGCCACCGGGCCAUAGCUGAAGCCAGGGGGCGGUGGUGGGAGCUGGUAGUACCCUCCGUGGUACGGUGCCAUGUGGAGGGCCGGCUGGGGCUGCUCGAACGGCAUGUAUGGGGGGCGCUGCAGCUGCUGUCCAGGAAGGCCGCCGAAGCCGUGUGGCCAGAGCUGGAGAGUGCCAGACCAGGGGUUCUAUCCUGGCCGAACAGCAGGCUGUCCAGCGCCCUGCACGGCGCCGUUGGGGGCGCCCUGGCCGGCGCCCGCCUUGCCGUUGUUGGUCCCGCCGUUGCCGCCGCGUCCCCGGCGGCGGUUGCGGGAGUUGUUAGAGUUGCCCGUCCCACUGCCCUGGACACCGGAACCACCAGAACCAGUGCGUGGCGGCUGUGGUUUUGCCGCGAGCAGCGCCGGAGUCUCCGACGGCGGUGCGGGAGUGACGUCGUCGUGGACGUCGUUGACGUCGAUCUCUUCGAGGAGCAGCAGGGUGCGUGCCUCGGCGAACGUGGGGAAGGGCGCGCGCAUCUUCAGGUUGGACACCAUGUGCCGGUACUUCCCAUUGACGCCGCGUAGCGGGGUGAGGACAAGCUGCCUAUCGCCGAUCGGAUCACCGAACUCCUUGAGGGAUGCCGCCAUUGUUUCAAGGCGACGGCAAUAAUCGGUCACUGAGAGAUCGCCUUGCCGGAAGGAACGGAACUCAGCCUCCAGCAGCAGUGCACGCGAUUCGCGCUGGCCGAGGAACUCGUCUUCGAGGAACAGCCAGGCAGAUCGGGCAGUGGGAUCACGGAUCAGCAGGGACUGUUGCAGAUCGUUGGAGACGGUGCAGAUGAUCCAGGUGAGGACGCAGCUGUCCAUGGUCGCCCAUGCCGAGCGAUCGGGGUAGGCGAUGUCGGUGAGGACGUGCUCCUUCAGAUUGUACUUGCCGAGCACAAUCAAGAAGAGAGGCCGCCACCGACCGUAGUUGUUGGACGACUUGUCCAGCACCAGGGUGAUCGCGCUCUUGAUGUUGUGGAGUGCGAUCGCCUGGGCGUGGAGGGUGGCGUUUGCCGCCUCCUUGGCGGUGAGGGCCAUGUCGAGGGCCUCCGCCUCCUCUUGCUGUUUCUUCUCGGCGGCAGCGGCGGCGGCAGCGGCGGCGGCGUUGUCACCGGCCAUUGGGGUUCCUGGCGAUGGGGAUCGGCGGCAGGAAGAGUAGGAGAGGGGCCUGGCGAGCGUAGCUCAGCGGCAGGCGAGGGGAUCGGCCGGCGAGGAGCUCAGCGGGGCGGCCGUGGGUGGGUGGAGCCGGCGAGCGGGUGCCCUGGCGGCGGCUAGGGUUGAGCGGAAGCGGGUCGCAGGAACGACUCGCGUGAUACCAUGAUAGAUUGUAUAAUGCAUGAUGUAUUCCUCAAUAGCAACAGUUGUAUACAUAUAGACCACAUGGGGAGCCGGAUACGGCAGGCCCAUGGGCUGUGACACGCUUACAAUCCAACACUUAGCUCCAGAGUUGUGCAAGAUCAUCAGGCCAAUUAUCAGGAAAAGGAGGACAGUAUCACAAGCUUUGAACAAUAAACACUGGAUACAGGAUAUUGUCGGGAGAGCAACAGUACCAGCGAUUUCUCAGUAUGUGCAACUUUGGCAUGUAAUUCAGGAGGUCCAACUGACUCCUGGGAUUGAGGACAUGGUUUCCUGGAGGUGGAAUCUAUUUGAAACAUACACUGCAAGAUCUUUUUUUCGAGAAUACGCAAGAGAAUUGCGUACCUUUGCAUUAAGAAGAAUGAAUAGAAUUGUUACAACGUGGGCCUACCGGGCUCACGCACACGGUUUUGAAAUGUAGCUUGAGCUUACAUGGCAACUUAAUUACAUCCGUUUACACACAAAGGUCAGGAUAAGAAACCACUAAGGUACUGUUGCUUCAGCGUCGUCCUGCUGUUGUCGCGGCCACUGGAACAUUGCUAAGUGUUUGGCUCCUGCUGCGCACCAAUCAACAGCUUGUUCUCGGAUUAGCUCAGUGAGUUGCAGAGGAUUUCUUUCUGGGGCUCUAUCAAAGUUUUUGUCGUUCCGUUGUUUCCAAAUUGUCCAGGAGAUCAACAUAAACAAGGAGUUCAUCCCUUUUCUUAGUGAUCUGCUCAUGGCUUGCCGCUUAUGCCCCUAGUAGUCUGUUAAAGAGGUUUCAGACAGUGAGGUGGUGUUCUGUAUGCGCAACAUUGUCGAGACGAUGUGCCAAGCCUCCUUUAUGUAAGGGCAAGCAGCUAGCAAGUGCACUGUUGUUUCUAGCUCCUGUUCACAGAAUGUACACUCCGCGUUUCCCUGUAACACAUGUCGAUGCCUUCUAUCAGCCGUCCACAACCGCUCCUUAAUUGCCAACCAGAUAAAAAUUUUCACUUUCAUUGGUGCCCACGAUUUCCAAAUCAGCUUACACUGCAAGAUCAACUUAUAGAGCCUUUUUUCAGGGAGCAAUCAGAUUCGUGGGGGCCAAACUGAUAUGGCGAGUUUGGGUACCCCUGAAAGUGAAGUUCUUCAGUUGGUUAGCAGUGAAGGACAGGCUGUGGACGGCCGACAGGAGGCAACGUCGAGGGCUUGAAGAUCAGGCAUCAUGUGUGCUGUGCAACCAGGAAAGGGAAACAGCAGAUCAUCUGUUCGCCAGAUGCACAUACUCCAUGCAGGUUUGGCAGCACAUCAGCUCCUUGUUUCACAUUCAGAACAACGUCCAGGUCCAGGCGCAGGAAGUUACUCUCAUUGAUUGGUGGCUGCUCAAGCGAACUAACAUGACCGCGCUGAAGCAACGAGGCUUGGACUCGGUGUUUAUGCUUGUCUCCUGGAGCAUUUGGAAGGAACGGAAUGCCAGGACGUGUUCAGAGGAGCACAUCCGAAGUAGGCAAACCAGCUCGUCUCUGAAAUUGUAGAGCGGGCCAAUCUAUGGUGCGAAGCAGGUGCUAAACACCUCCGUCUCUUAGGAUGGCCUACAUUAGGAGGAGUCACAUAGCAUUAGUAGUUCUGCUAGUCUCCUGAUUUAAGUUGUUUAGUUGUUUUACUCAGUGUAAAUCAUUGUGGGGUUGCAGUUCCGUGUAUGUGCGCCCGGUUGGCUCGCGAUGUAACAAUCUUCUAAACGUUACGUUUCUUCUUAAUACAAAGAUACGCAGCUCUCCUGCGUAUUCUCGAAAAACAAGAAGCCAUCCAAAUCUGUUCCUGCCAUGCAAAUGCAGGAUUAUCACACACUAAGCUUUGCAAAUGACGGCGACAAUAUAUAAUUGCAACCACACAAAUAGCCCAUAACAAGGCAUCGUUAUCCGGUACAUGCAUAGAUAUUACACUGAUCCAACAUUAUCCAGGGCACAAAAGUACAGCUGACUGAUACAAGAUGUCACGCAACAUCACAGGGUAUGUUACACAAAGUGCUAAGGGCAAUAUAGGUUAUUGAUGGGAAGUGCCCUGUACAGCAGGUUGUGUAAAGUCUCCGUUGCACCAUUUCAAGUAAGUACAUAUCCCAAACAACGAUACUACAUAAAUCUUAAAAACCCUCUUGCCCUCGCUUCGAAGCUUUAAAAAUUCCUUGCUAUGCUGCUGGCUUUCAGAGGGAAACAGAAAAAGGAGAAGAAGAAUCAAUUGUCUGGAAUCAUGAGAGUCAAAUAAAUCAGGUAAAUAAUGAAUCGCACGCAAUGCACCUAAGAGUCUCCAGCACUUUGUUCAGCUCUUCGUUUAGAACGGCCCUUUCAUCUUCGAAUUCGGCUUUCUUUCGGGUUCCAUUGCUGUGCUGUCUGACCAACAAUUUAAAUAACAACGAAGCUAAUAGAAGCUACCAUGUUUAUUGAAACUACUGCUAUCAAGCUAUCAAGUAUCUACUGAUAUUAGUUAGUAUAAAUCAAAAUGCCACCCAUGCUUUCCCUUAAAUGUAGCAAAGACAAGAACAACUCGCGGACAUUUAAAGUGGAGCACACUGUGAGUCGGUGCUCGGACGUUUCUAGGAAGCCAGUAAGCAAUCAGGGUAUUCCUGAGAUCGUAGCAAUAAAUGUAACAACACAACUUGCGCAGACAUUAACAGGUUGAAAAAGGCCAAUAUUUCUAAAUAUACCAAAUUUGUGGAGCUAUUUCUGCCUGAAGAUGAGAUCUCUGAUAGUGUGCGCGCAGGACAAAAUGUUCCCUGCGUGUACGAGACACCACCACAAAAUGCAGGCUGAAGUCACUGGCACAACGAUUAUAGACUACCCUAGGAUGCAAGCAUAUGCGAAUGUUAUCUUAUAACCAUGUACAUAGUGGAAAAUAGGGCUCUAUGUGCAAGUUUGCAACACGUACAAUACAGCAGAGAGUUCAAUCCAAGUAAUGAAUACAGCAAACAACAAUGAGACAAGCCAAUAAUCUGGAGGGAGGGAGCAUCUAAACAUGUAACGAAUCUCUCUUUCGACUGCACUUGGGAAAAUUUGGCUUAACAGCGCAGGUUGGUCACAAUAAUAUGGUUGAUGGAUUGGUCAAUUCCAGAUAUACAUCUUAUCAAAUAUGGGAGAUGCAUGACCGAUAAAACCUGUUAUUCCGGAGACGGGAGGGACGAACCUGCAGAUUGCGGAUGGUGGCGAGAAACCGAGAGGGCAUACCGGCGCCCGAACGGCAGCGGAGGGCACAAACAGACGUCCCCCUCGCCAGGCUGCGGAGCGCCAUAGGCGGAGACCUAGAUUCUCCCUUCCCUCGUCUUCCUGCCCGUCUCUCCCUCCCUCUCGGUCGCGGGUAUAAAACAGACGAACGUUUCCUUUCCUUCCCCGUAGCGCUGGGUUUUCCUGAUCGACUAUGCUAAUGCGCCGCCCGGAACUCUCUAGGACUCGGAGUUCUGGGACUAGAGGCCGAUCGAGCACCAACGUCCCCGAGACCUAGGCGACCCUGACACCGUGAAGGCGCAGGACAAGCUUAACCUUUAGCCUAGAAACCGAAAGACCGGGGCACUUCUCAUGGCAAAAUGGGCCUGUCCACCCACGAACCCCACGUAAUGUCCCGAUUAGUUAGCCCGUUAAGCAGUUUAAACCAUGCAUGUUUAGCGACCUGCCGGAGUAGACUCAACUGCGACCUGAGUCGGCUUUCCGCCGCGCCGGAGCGGGUUACUGGAGUGGACUUAGCGCGACCGGAGUCGGCUUAAGUGCGACCGGUGUUGGCUUUCCGCCGGAACGGACCACCGAAGUCGACUUAGUGCGGCGGGAGGGGGCGGCGGGGGUGCGGGGCCGGCGAGUGAUUUCGAUUUUUUUAAUUUUUUAAUAUCCUGUCUUCUACCGAAUUGCUAGUACCGGUAUUGUUGUAGAGAUGAUUUCUCUAGUAGUGGGAGCACGAUCGGACGGCGCAUGUUUCCCAGUGGGUGGACGAAGGAUGCGUGGAUGAAGUUUUUUCACCACUUCAGUUUUAGUAGUUGUAGAUAGAUAGAAGAUAGAUAAACGUGAUGACUUUUGUGAGAAAACUUUGCUGACAAUCCAUUCCUCAUGUUUCAAUAUGAAUUUACCAUUUUUGGUGUCCGUUAGAGGUUGGAAAGAUAGCAACAUCUUCUGAUUACGCGGUGAGCUUGCUUGGUUAAACGUAAAUAUUUAAUCAACAUGUACUCUAUCCGUCCUAAAUUACUAUUCGUUUUAACUUUUCUAAAACAUAUCUUUUGCUACGUAUCUGGACAUAUUCAUAGUAAAAAUGAAUAGUAAUUUUGGACGGAAGGAGCACCGCUGAAGAUGAAUCCAUAUAUUUUAUUGACCAAACCAAGCUUCCGCUAUUUUAGUGACACGAUGACAUUAAAGGGUUCUAUGCUUCAACCACACGCGUGUACACGGAUACCCUGGCGAUGCAAUGUUUCAAGUGAAGUGCGCUUAAAUCAAUACUCCCUCCGUUCCAAAAUGUAUGUUGCUUUGAAUUUUUUAUCUAAAUAUAGAGUUAUAUCUACGCACAUAGCAAAAUCUAUGUAUCUGAAAAAGUCAAAACGAUCUAUAUUUUAAAACAAAGGGAGUACUUAUUACUGGUAUCAAAGAGUUGCAUGGAACAAACAGAUUGGUACAACUUCUGUCCCCAUAACCACGGAGUGCUCACACAAGGCACAAGCAGAUCGAUCUCACAAUACAUAAACAGAUACAGUUGCUCGUGUCCUCGUGACCCAUAAACUUAAACAAACUGUGCUUCAUGGCUUGCCAACCAUCACGGCAGUUGCAGCAGUAACCGAAACACAAAAGUAGCAAGCCCAUUCCACGGAUUUGAUACCUCAUACAGAAAACUGACCCAUCAAACCUCUUAUUCCGGCCGGAGACGGGAGGGACGAACCUGAUUGCGGAUGGUGGCGAGAAACCGAGGGGGCGCUGCCGCCGGCAUGCCGGCGGCGCCCGAACGGCAGCGGAGGGCACAAGCAGCAGGGCCCCACGUCCCCCUCGCCAGGCUGCGGAGCGCCAUAGGAUGUUCUCCCUUCCCUCGAGGCGGAUAUCAGAAGGCGGCCGUCUCUCUCUCUCCCUCCCUCUCGAUCGCGGGUAUAAAAGAUGAAACAGACCCCGAGUCCUUUCCUUCCCCGCCGGGAUUCUCCACCAGAAGCGAGAAAAGGCCAGCGGCCCAGCAAGACGAGAAGCGCUCCGGAGCGGCCCAGGACGCAACACGGCCCACCUCCCGUAUUAAUUCCCAGCAGAUUGUUACUGGAUUCUGAUUAUCCUCUACUAUGUCCGUAGGCCUUACUGGACCAAAAUAUAGUUUUCUAUCCGGAUGUUUGUUCAUUACUACGAGUUGUGAGGAGGAUGUUUAUGCUUCUUUUUUUUCGCAACCCUCUCAAACUGGGUUUCUGAAAGAUUAUAAGAAAGAAAUAAUAAAGGUAGUACUCUCUCCGUACCAAAAAAAAAUUGCAACCCUCACUUCUCGAUGAGUCAAACACUAUUCACGUUUCCAAAUAGAUUUAGUAUGAAAAUAUAUUAUAUGAUUGAUUUAUUGAUAUUUAUUUUGUACCACAAAUGUUUAGUACUAUUUUGUAUAAAUUUUGUUAAAUUUAAAAUUAGUUGACUGAGUAACUCUUAAGCAAUCUCCAAAUACGUAGUAUGUACCUGUACUUUGAUGAUGAUCACGCAAAAAUGUUUGUUAGUCCGAGCCAGCAGGGCAAGAUUGUCAGAGCUCGAUGGAUUAAACAAGUUGGCUGACAAAGCAGAGAGCAUUCUAGAACGAGCUACUCCUGACAAACAGAUUGACCAGCUGCCACCACCUUCUCUCGACUCUGAUGAAUGAGAGGCACAAAUGGCAGGGCCGGUGUGCAAAAGUUGAACAUGCCUUCUCAGAGAAAUGAAGAAAAAUUGGGUCUUUGCGAUGACCGUGUCGGCGUGUCGGAUCAGUUGGUGGCAGAUGGCACAUUUCCAAAGAGAACCCUGCCUUCAAAUAGAUUUGCGCCAACCCAUCAACACGCCGUUGACUUUGACCAUUUUACUUGCUCUCAGUUUCUAGACGGGCCUCCGUUCGAGCUUAUGGAGCAGGUAAACCUAGAGCAGCAAGUUUGUACUACGAGUGAAGGAACAGUGGUGUACAACUUCAGUUCUUGGAGAAGUUAGGGUACUGAUAGCGUUCGGACGUCCGAUGGUAAUUUUUUUUAUCAGACGCUCCGUUGCAGUAUCGAAACAAAACAUCUUACGUUGUUCGAUACUGGUGUAGAAAAUUCUCGUCACAAUAUAAACACUAUGUUUCAUACAAUAUUCACAAUAUUCACUGUGAAACAUAUAGAAAUAAUAAUUGCAACCUCGAUACUUAACUAUUGCAACAUAUGUCAAAGUCUUUGAUUUUUCUAAAAUUCCGAACGCCGAAGAAGAUACUGGUCAAAGAUGCAAGUAAGAAUUCGAAACACGAUGCACUGGUCAAAGAUCGCGUACGCAAUUACGCAAUAAUGCAGGGACCGGGUUAGGAAAGGGGAGGCCUGCUAAUUGCUAAUCCGAAAGGAACACUGCAUACAAGAAAAGCAGAGGCGAGGAGCCAACACGGCACGCCAAACCAAAACCACGCGCUCCAAAUUUCUUCUGCACAAGAGGAGUUUGUUCGUUCGUGUUCCAAGAUCCUCUCGCUCGCAUGCCCGUGAUUUGAUCCCCACCCACCCAAGUCCAUCUCCGCCCCCUCACUCCGGUGGUUCGUUGUUCCUCCGAUCCCAAAUCGUGAUCCACUCGAUGGCGGCCACCGCCGGCGGCAACAAGAUCCGCAACGCCAAGCUGGUGAGCGAUCCAACAUCCCGAGCCCUCGAAUUCCGUCGUGCCUCGAAAUUCUUUGAUCCCACCCGCCGCCGCAGGUGGCGCGUGGGUCUGGAUUUUUGGUCAACUAAUCUCGUCGACCCCAAGUCGCUCGUCUCUGCUCCCCAAUUUACCAGCGAUCGUUUAAAGAUAGCGUUUUUUUUCCCCCUUAGGGAUUCUUGUCUUGUACGGCGAUUUUGAGCUCUGCGAUGCUGAUACGCGUUUGCUUGCUCUGUUGGGUUCGUGACGCCAGGUUCUUCUCGGGGAUGUGGGCGCCGGCAAGUCUAGCCUGGUCCUCCGGUUUGUGAAAGGCCAGUUCGUCGAAUUCCAGGUAAGAUUCCAUACUCCUCCACAUGUGGAUUCUGAACUGAACUGAGCAGGUGUCCGUGAUGGUGGUGUGGAGUGGAGUGGAUGUUUGAAUAUGUUGCUUCAUUUGGCUGCAGGAAUCGACCAUUGGCGCGGCUUUCUUCUCGCAGACCUUGGCGGUCAACGACGAAACAGUGAAGUUUGAGAUAUGGGACACGGCAGGGCAGGAGAGGUACCACAGCUUGGCUCCCAUGUAUUACCGGGGCGCUGCUGCUGCUAUAGUUGUCUACGACAUCACCAAUGCGGUUAGUACAGCACAAACAUACUUACAUGAGCUGAUAAUAUAGUGAACAUGAUGGUAAAUUCUUGAUGUUAUGAUUUGCUAAGUCAUACUUGGCAAUUGCUAAAAUUCACAAGUAGGAGUGGUGUCAAAACAAGUGACUGUAGAAUUACUGACACAAUGUCAUACGAGAGCUUGAGUCACAAUUAAUAGUAGUAGAUAAGAAUUCCAUUGCUCCUAUGAUCAGAAUAGCAAACUGCAUUGUCUUUCUUCAUGAUCGGUGCAAAAUGUUUGGAUCAUUUUGGUGCUUCUUUGUUAAGGAAAGCUACUUCAAUCAGCAAGCAUAUUGUCAUUAUACUGUCCUCUGCUCGCAGCAAACCUUCGGUCCAGAAAUAGCAUUAAAUAUGUUGGUAUAUUAUUUGGUAGCUUAUGCGUUACUUUUCCUCUUUGCCUGGGUAAUACAUUUGCGGCCUAGCCACCUUCUGUGCUUUUCUUCCCGAAUGGUGAUCCAUAACCGAAAUAUGUCAGUACGACUGAAAUAGCAACUGAAAGAUGGUGUUAUGGGAAAUUGUUCGCACGCAUGUGAUGCAUCCUUCUGUGUGUACCAUUACUAGUGAUGUGUAUCGAUCUGUUUCUAUGUAAUGUAUAGCCAUUGUAUGUAUUGUUAAGGAAAUUCUGCUCUGAGCUCAAAAGAUGCAGUGUUACGAGUUUCAAAUUGCACGUGUAAUUUAUCCUUUGAAGGUGCAUUUAUACUAAAUGAGUCAUCAGAAAUAAACCAAUAUGAUGUAGCAAAGCUAGAGAAACUAGAUGUUUUCACCCUUUUUCUGUCUGCAUUUCAUAAGCAACCUAAAAUCUGAAUCGAUAUUGUGACCUUUUAAGGUGCUAUACUUAAUCAUGAGACUCUUGUGACUUGCUGCAUUCAUUAUAGCAAAACAGUUUCAGUUCGAACUUGUAUUAUCUUUGACAUUGCUAGCAAGGGUUCUCUUCAUGUCUACAUUGUUUCUUAGGCACAUUUUACCCACUCAUAAUAUGGUACUACUGACCAAUCUUGACUUGCCCAGUACAUCAGGCAACUCUAAAUUCAUUUUGAUUUUCUCCAUGAACAAAUUUGAUCCCAUCUUCUUUAGGGCCUCCUUUUAUCUUAGGAGCAUACAUAAAUUAUGGUAAGCACAUAUGAAUAGCGGCACUCAUUUCUAUUUUGCUGCAUUAUAGGCUUCUUUUACUCGUGCAAAGAAAUGGGUUCAAGAACUUCAAGCACAAGGUAACACAAUACUCCUUUAGACUUUUUCUCUGUGUUCUACAUAUAGAAAUCUGCACUUGUAUGGUGGAGUUUGCGUCAAAAGAAAGAUAUUGAUAUUUAGAUCUUAUGGACCAUUUGUCCUGUUGCACAGCUGUAUAAGAAAUCGAUUCAGCGAGUAUGAUAGGAAUUUAUUGGGAAGAAUUAUCUGUGGAUGUAUUAUGUGAACAAGUGGGCUGGUGUACAAGUAUUUGUUCUCAUUUAUCCCCUUUUGUUUUAAUGCAGGAAACCCGAAUACAAUAAUGGCUCUUGCCGGGAACAAGGCUGAUUUGUUAGAUGAGAGGCAGGUGCCAGCAGAAGUAUGUUACUGUGCUUCCUAAGUUACAUGUUUAACAAAUAUUCAUGUGCUGCUGCAUUUGUUUUAGUAGUUGCCAUCAUCUUUAUUCUUCAGAGAUUUCUCAUGCUUUGCAUUCAUUACUGUUUAUUAGUCAAAACUAUGUACACAACAGAGUGUGUUGAGUUUGGCUGCUGAUUCUGAUACAGCCUUGUUAGGAUAGGAAGUUUUGGCUAUCUUCUAGUACCGGAGUUAUUGACCGCACAAGGUACAUAGAAAUAGAGACAGGCUGAUCUGCAUCCAGUUUGAUGCCAAACUAAGCUAGGACCCUGGGAGCAUGGCAAUGUUGGGGAAUGGGAGCAGCAGUGUUCGUUCUUUUUCUUUUUUUACUUAUGUCAUCUUAUUUGUUAGUGAUGAUGUCUAUCAAAUCAAACUACAUUACAUUUUCCCUUAGUAACAUGAUCCUAUGCUACAGGAAGCAAAGGCGUAUGCUCAGGAGAAUGGCCUCUUCUUCAUGGAAACGUCUGCAAAAACGGCAAUCAAUGUGAACGAUGUGUUUUACGAGAUUGGUGAGUAACAUUUGAAACACACAGAUAGGCUAGUUGUUCGGCUGUGAACUAGAAAAUGUAUUUUUAGGGUUUUCUUUACAUUUGUAUCAUUUACCUGCUGUUGCUACCAUUGAUGUCUCAACUUUUUUUAUUUCAGCGAAGAAAUUGCUUCAAGGACAACAGGUUCAGAACCCACAGGGUGGAAUGGUCCUCAACCAGAGACCACCUGAGAGGACGGUGAGCUCUUCCUCGUGCUGCGCGUGAAGCACAAGGUAGAGUGUAGUUCCAAGGGGAGUACGUAUGCAACUACGGAGAAUGCCACCAAAUCUUGUGAAAUAGCUGUCGAUCCCAGCUGCUACAUUCCUGUGCCCUUUCUGCUUGUUCAUUGCCAUGUUCCCUGUAAAUGUGAAUACUAGAUUUUUACUGCAGAGAUUCACCUGUGUCUACAGCACAUGAUCAUGCUUGUGUAUUUCUGGGACUAGUGAAAAACAAGGUCUAGACAGAUUCGUUUGAUUCACUUAUUCUGGUUGCACAAUGUCAAAUUUACGUUUAUUUAUUAGCAAAUAUGUUGGUGCUUUACUACAGGUGAAGCCAGUAUUAAUAGAUACUAUUUCUUCUACACAAGACGAGUUGUUCGUUGGUGUUCCCAGAUUCUCUUGCUCGCGACCCUUGUCUCUGUGGAUUUCUACCUCUUCUUCUCCAACAAAUCGAAAACCUCCAUAAUUCGCGGCAGAUUGCAGGCUGCAGCAUCAAUUCGAGCCGAGAGAGGGUAGGGAGCAACGUUGAUUUGAGUUUGUGGUGGUUAAUUUGGAGUGGAGCCCAACCCUGCUGAUUUUGGACUCGAUCGCUGAACGACAUCAUCCUUCCGUAUCUGCCAUGACUGCUAAGCUUUGCACUAACUUUGAUUCUGUAUUGAUGCGUAUCAAUCUGUUUCUAUAUAAUGUGUAUCCAUUGUAUUGUUAAGGAAACUCUACUCUGAGCUCUGGAAAGAUGCAGUGCAAGUUUCCAACUGCAUAUGUAAUUAUCCUUUGAGGGUGCAUUUAUAGUAAAUGAGUCAUCAGAUAUGGAUCAGUAAGAACGUAUGAUAUAGCGAAGCUAGAGCAACUGGAUGUUUGCACCCUUUUUCUGUCUUGAUUUCAUGAGCAACCCAAAAUCUGAAACUAUAUUGUGUAACUUUUGGUGCUACUGGGUCAUGAGAUUCCUGUGAUCUUCUGCUUCAUGAUUACAAAAGGAUUUCAGUUCAAUUAUCGUUUUCUGCUCGAGGGAAGGGCCUGCACUCCACCUCGGCCCCGUGCUCCACGUCCUCGUGCUGCUCUGCCCCUGCCGCGGAGGUCGAGAUCGCCGCCUUCAGAUGCUGCGGCGGCGCCGCCGCUGCUCCUGCUUUUGGUGAGGAGAAAAACGGGAGAGGGAAAGGGGGCUGCUUUGGCGGCGCAGCGUCGGGAGCGGGAGGAGUGGAAGGAGAGAACGGCAGCAGAGACGGGUGGCGCGGCACCGGAGGCGGCGGCGACGACGCUGGGAGCGAGCAGCGGAGGACGAGCGAGGGGAAUUGGGCGGGGCCUCAGGGGUGGGUGGGAGCGCGUCUCGCGUCGGCGCGGCGGGGGGUUUCCCCAGAAAAUGGUAGGCGGGCGACUUUCCGCAAAAUGUCCACGAAUUUCGUCUUCUCGGCAUUGGAAUAUUUUGGAGUACAGGGUCGUGUAUGUAAAAGAAACGGACGUAUUGCUGUGCACGAGGGGCCUCGCUGGAUCCGAAAAAGGAAUAGAGUAAAUCCGAGGGGGUUUUUUUGCAAAAUGUCUGUCUGUCGUCCUCCCGAAAUUUGCGCCAGAUCAUCUACCCCACCGACGCCUCCUUCUCCCCGAUAGAAGACAGACCUUCCCAAUAGGUGGCAGGCCGUUGUAGUUGUGCUCCCACCUGAUGUAGUUGCCUGCAACAAGUCCAUACUUCAGAUGUUCCGACGGUAUCAGUCUUCGAGCAGUCACACAGUGCCUCUCCUGUGUCAUCCUCACCAUAUUUUCGAUCAACAGCUAGUUCUCCUCCUUCGCUCGUUUUUUUGGCUACUUGGCCACCAAAUCUCUCCCAUGUAACCCCAACUACACGAAUACCAUGCGCUGUCACUCAGAGCCUUGAUAAAAGCAUCGACUUUUGCUCGGGCCUGUAUGGGGUAGAGAUAGAAGUAUGCUACAGUGUCGCUCAGAGCCUUGAUGAAAGCAUCAACUUUUGCUCGGGCCUGCAUGGGGUAGAGAUAGAAGUAUGCCAUGGUGUUUACAGCAAGCAGGACACCGACAAUACUGAGCCCAUUGGCAAUAAGACAGGCACGGUUGGCGACAUAUGUUGCAAAAGUCUUUCUAUUCUACAAGCGAGCAAGAAUAGAGCUGAGGAGAGGAAGAACCAGUUAGAGAUUGAACAUAUGGUGACUCCAAGAGAGGCGCCGUGUGGCUGCUCAAAGACUGACAACGUCUGAGCGUGUUACUUGCAUCAGAGGGGGGUGCUAGUGGUAACAGGUUGGAGCACAACUACAAGGGCAUGUCUUCGAUUGGGAAGGAGUGGUUCACCGGUUAUCGCCAAUAUUGAUUGUUGCGUUAGGUUCUUAUGUCUGUAAUGCGAAACUUGUAUGUGGGAUGAACUUCUGUUGGGAAACCUACUUUUAGGAUGAAUGAUGAUUAGAAUGAUGUGUUUGUGCGGUAAGACCUUAUUGAUGAUGAGGUGUGCGGUUUGGACCUUAUUUCUAUUGAGCUAUGUGCGUUGAAUGCUAUGAUGCCUGUGGCACUGUUGUGAAUAUGGUUUUUUGCUAUUCUAAAAUCUGAAUUCAGUUGGUACCCUCUAUUGAAUUUAGUGAUGGCACGGGUGUAGUUUAACUAUGUAACUGAGAUCUAAGACCUUUCGUAUGUUUUUGAUUCAGAGGCACUCGGGCAUAGAGUUGCCAAAACUUUAGUGAUUGGCCAAAUGAAUGCUAAUCUCAUUUUUGCAUUCAUUGAAACUGUUGAUAUUUAUCUUCCAUUCAACUGUCUGUGCUCUGUAAGUCUGAAUUGUGAGAGAAGCAGUAUUGAGUUGUUAUAGAUGAUAUGAAGUAGAAGUGUGAGAGAUAUAGAUGAUAUGAAGUAGAAGUGUGAGAGAAGCAGUACUAAGUUGUUAUAGAUGAUAUGAAGUAGAAGCAUUUGGAGAGAACAAUAAUCACAGUGACACAGUUACAACCAGAUGGAAAUGGAAUAGAUUUGGCAAAGCAUAGAUCCAUUUAGCAUAACUACAAGUGUUUUCGCAGCCGCCCUCGCGUCCUCGUCCCCGUGCUCUCCUUCUGUUGUGCUAGCGUUCCCCCUUCUCGAUGCUGGUAAUGGAAAGCACGACCUUCAUUUGGAUCGAUUGAUUUCCCAUGCUCUAGCUAGAGUUUCUUCCCUUAAAUUCGGUGUGGCUAAGAGCUAUCAAUCCAUCCCGAAACGUUCUUGCUGAGAUGGGUGAGUUAGGCCCAUAGAUUUGGAUCUGAAUUUUCUGAAACCUCCAUUUGAGCCCUGAUAUUUGUUAUGAUGGUCAUUCUAACUAAUGACUACGAUUGCGGUUUUCCUUCUUAAACCUAAAUAUGUGAUGAGAAUUCCAAGGACCGAAGAUGUUUGCAAAUUCAGAACAAUUGCAAAACCAAGACCAAUUGCAACGCUACUGGAAUAAUGGGUAUUCAACAUAUUUGCAUGGCUGUUUUUUCCCUUACCAAACAGCAAAACCUGCCGGUGAAAAAUUAUACAUAUGUAUCCUUGACUCCUUAUGCACAGCAAAUCACAGGCGGAAUGCACUUACAGGUGAUUAAUAAUACAAUAAUGCACUUACAGGUGAUUAAUAAUAUAAUACUUCCAAACAGGGCCUUAGUUUGAUCAGGAUAGAAGUGUGGUCCCAUUAUUGUUAUUUUGACGAGGAACAUGGGAAUGAAUGUUUUUUAUAGCGUCACUUCUACUCUAUAAUGUUUAUACCUAAACAGAAUCAUCAGUGCUACUAUGAUUAUAUUAUAUUUAUACCAAGUAUACUUGUGUGCUUAUGCAAAAUUACUAACCGCCCGCCCCCACACACCCCAUUUGCUCCGUUGUUUUGUACAUAUCUUCAACCUAGAUUGUUUCAAGGACAAGGCACUUGAAAGGGGGAAGUUUUCGUCAACAAUGAUCAGUAUAUAUGACAUCAUUAUUUGUUCCCCUGUCAGUAUCAAUCUGAAGCUGGAAAUUGUGCAAAUAAUUUUUUCUAACCUAAAAUCAUGAUAUUAAAUAUCAUCACAUACCUAAUGAUUGUAUAUAUUAUCUGAAGACAGCAGAACGAUUCAUGGCCUGGAGAGUUAUUAUACUCUUUGCAAGGGUUUUUUAACCAUUGUUUUAAAUGCUUGUCACUCUUAUUGACUCAAACUUACUCUUUUUGAUCUCCAGGUUCUAUUCAGAAGAUACUUCCUCCGUCCUAUAAUAUAAGGCAUUUGAGCGUUUAAAAUUUGUCCACAUUUGGAGAAUUGCUCAUUUAAUUCUUCCUGAAAUUGAUAAGAUAAGGGUGGCUGAUUUGUGGAUUAUUACUAAAAAUAAAUUUCUAGUUAUCUGCAACUGCUAUUAAUUUAGGGGUACGUGUGUCUUUUGCUACUCCUACUAAUAUUUCAUAAAAUCUCUAGGAUGCCUUGUAUUUUAGGAUGGAGGGAGUAUAUCCGCACAGAAUCAAGUUAAGGCCUCUUACAGCGAAGGAUUCGGCAAAGUAUCGCUGAUGGGGUUGUGUUAUUAUAAAAUAAUCUACUUAGACCUAUAUUUCCUUUUCUUUCAGCUGCAAAAUCUGCUGUAUACCUUACUAAAUUUAACUUCAUUGCAGCACCGUAGUCUUGAGCCUUUGCUAGAUGACUUGCUCCCCGAGAAGUCACCUAUGAUUGUUCUUAAAUGGUUAGUAGUUUCUCUUUCUUGUUCAGCGUGCUUGCUAACCUGUCAUUAUUGAUAGUGACAUACCUGAAAUUGCAUUUGAUAAUUCCAUUUUCUUAACGAUCUUUUUUAUUUCAGACUAAGUAAAUAUGUGAAUCGAUUUUCAUUUCCUUCAAUUGCAAGAUCUUGUGUGGCCUUUCAAGUGCACUGACCACAGUUUGUUUUCUUCUUGCUGCAGCUAAAACCAUCUGAAUCUUGUGGUGGUGAAUAAUGUCCCGCUAUUUUUCAACAUCUGUGAUGGUCCUUGCAUGCCAAAUUUCCAACCCUGCGUCUUCUUCACCAAUGUAAUCAUCUUUCUUUCAAAUUUCCUAGAAUGUCAUAUCUAAAUCCUUAUUACAAUGAUAUAAACCAUGAUAUUUUAAUGCUCAUUCUAUCUUAAGUUUUCAUGCAUAUCUGUUAGGAUCCCAUCAUUCUUAAAGUUUGCCUGUUAGAGAAUAUUAACUGGAACAAAAACUUCUUACAUUUGUUCCAAUAUCAUGAGAAAGUUCCAAGUGGACACAGGAGAUAUCAAAUUCGUGCUCUCUGGUGCAAACGUAUAAUGUGUCCUGGAUUGACAUCACCUGGCGCAGUGUCUAUAUUGUGUCCGCCCCAGUUUACCAACAUAAAACCAAUCCUCAACAGAAGACAAAUAAUUUAUGCGACUUAUUUGAAAGUGCAACAGGCAUCAACUGGGCACUUGCUCAUGUUGCUGAUUCAAUUCAACACAGAUAAUUCCAGGAACCUCGCAAAUAUAUGUGGCUCACUUGAAAAAAAAAAUAGCAGAAUCUAAACCUGCAGAGUUACAACUGGAGAACUCUUUUGCUGAUGUGCACCAGAAACCAAAGUAGGUAAUGCAGGGGUAAAACAGCAUCAGUGUAUGGAAGCAUAACACUUCCCUUCUGUCAAUUAUCAAUCAGGGACAUGGAAACAUAUUAUUCUGAAUAAAACUCGGUAUGUGCCAUUUCUUUACUGCUAUCUAUAACCUUUUUUUUUGUUCACUGGAUGUAGUCAUCGUUGUAGCUGUCGCUGAUCACCGAGACAAAUCGCUCGAGCCAUGGCAGCUGAUGGAGGUCCUUCAUGGUGUCAACAAUAUACGAGUCGGCGCAGCGGGGUGGCGAUUGGCAGGGGUUGUCUCCCAGGCUGAAGCCACCCGCUAGGAACCUCUGUAUGAGUGCCAGCUGCGCACGCUCCUGCUCCGAGUACCCCUCGACGGCGGCGGUUGGCAUGCAGUCGAAUGUGUCCCACGCCCAGAUCUCGGAUGCUGCUUGGCUGGAUCGUGCUGCGGAGGAUGGCUCAAUGGCUUCAUCGUCCCAGAACACACAUUGGCAUGUUUGUACACCGCUAGCAAAGUCAGCGCCACAGGAGUAGCAGAACUCAUGCCCACACCUGCACAAGUGACAAAGUGACCUUUAGUACCUAGAUAAAAAAAAAUAGCACAUGUAUUUUUGAAUCAACCAUCUUUAGUGCAUUCAUUUUUGGGGCAACGGUCAUGUGUGACGGCAACACAAAACAUGCUUCACUACUUAAAAGCGGCAACACAAAAUAUGCAGUGUUGUUUAUGCUACAAGUUUUGUAUGACAUCAUUUUUGUCAUGCAACAAAUAUGCAGUAUUGUUUUGGGAACCAGAAUCAUGCAAGACCAAGUGGCAAUCUGAAUUAAAUACAAACCUUUUCAAGACAAGCAACCAUGCUUUCACAUUUCUACAACUAGCAGCUACCACAUUUCUAUUAAUUUUGGAAAACUUCCAAUAUUGGAUUCUUAGCUAAACUAUGAAUGCUUACAGUACACUAGACGUAAUCAUCGUUUCUUUAUGGGUCGUAACCAGUAGCAUUUGGACAACCUGACCUCGGUUCAGGUAUUGGAUACUUUUGACAAAACCAAGGAAACCAGGAAAUAAGUACUGCUUACUGAUUUAAACAACAGUAUAGCUCAGUUCUAUGCAUAAAAUUGUCUAGUUUUCUCUAGACAUUCCAUGCAUCAGACAUAAGAGGACAUGUGAAGAUUAUCGUCUUCUAAUAUCUGGCAAAUAUGUAAAAGGCAAACAUGGAGAUCAUACCAGCAAGUCAUAUGGAAGCAGCCUUGUGUUAGUUCAAUCAUUCGUCGACAUCUCUGACAACGCCUCCACCUAUUGUUUUGAGCAAGCCGAUGCAAAGAUAGGUCUCCAGCAUCUCUUUCCUCGACAGGCAAGCUCUGGUACUCAUCACAGCCCAUCAUGAUGUGCCAUGGCACUCCACAGUUGAUACAGAUAUCUCUAUGGCAUUCUGGGCACUCAACACAACUGAGAUCUGACUGACUUGAUGAACUUGCCCGAGAAAAGUGCUGACUAAGGUCUAAUAACACUGAACAGUUUGGAAAGGGACAAUAAAAUCUCUCCAUGUCUGAGGUGCCAGCUUCUGCGAAUGCUCUCUCCAGGGAAUCAUAGCUACUAACUGGAAGGAAUGACUUACACUCACUAGCUGAAAUUAGAUAUUUACACCUUAAUUGCGGACACCUUAUAGGCCGCUUUGAGGUCAGCAGCUUCUCUUCAACAUAUGCAGCCAGGCAAUUAUAGCAAAAUGUGUGUGAACAACCUGUCUUGAUCAUCUGAGAACCUAGUUUUUCCUCACAGCAGAUCGGGCAGGUGCCAACCUCAUAGGGAGAAAGAUACCUGAUGCCUAUCGCUUCUUUGGCCAACUGCAAGGGCCUCUCAAGUUCAAAGCUAGGAAGCAAUAUCAAAUCAAAGUCUUCCAGCUUAUCAACUAGUUCAAGAAUCCUGUGGCCUAAAGCUACCAAAAGCUGGUCUUCAAGAAUUUCAGCUUCUGCUAUCUGUCAGAACAAAAGCCAAUAAAAAGACAUGCCCAGUUAUCAAAAGAUGCACAGAUGUCAAUUUGAUGCACGUACACAAGGGAAAGGCAACUGAACUGAAAUUGCAUGACGGUUAGUGAGUACUCUUUAGGUAAGGGGACCAAAUUUUAAUGAAAAGCGUAUAAAACCGCAAAAUACAUACAGUUAAAUGUUCAAAAGCGUAAGCAGCAGCAAAAUUAGAAGCACGUGGAGCAUACAGCUGCGAGUCCUUGCAUAUUCACCACCAUUCAAGCAUUUUAAUCAUCUCAAUUCAAGUCAAUGUGUUCUUGAGUGUAAAGUUUUAAUACAAAAGUGCUCAACCAGUAGCAUUUGUACACAUAGCCGAUUAGCCAUUGGACUUGCCAACAGCAUGACUAUAUCCUAUGAGCCUAUGCCUGAUUGAAUUGGUUAAAUAACUAAUUUGGGGUCAGCCAAUAGCUCCAGAAACAACAGCAACAUAGACAAUUACUAUAUGCAUAAUUCAUUCGUAUAUAUAAAAUUAUGCACUUUCAAAGCUGAAGAAAGAUUGAUUUGCACCCACUCACCACUUAUCAAUGCAAAUUUAGAAUCUGUGUGCUCGUUUUGAAGAGCAUGUUUACAGGCAUCAGGCCUAUGAAAUCUCCAAACAUAAAGCACACUAUGCGAAGUCCUAUUGCAGCAAGUAAUACUUCAACGAGCUGACUGAAAGUAGAUGCACUUCGAAGCUGAUGAGGGAUUGAUUUGCAACCACUCACAACGUAACAAUGCAGAUUUAGAAUCUGUGUAUUAGUUUUUUUUUAAAUAACGUAUCUAAGACAUUAAGAGUCCCAGUCAAGCCUAUGAAAUCUCCAAAUAUAAAGCACAGUAUGCAAAAAAAAUCGUCUUAUUGCAGCAAGCAAUACUUCAAUGAGCUGACUGAACUAGAUGCACACUUCACCAAUUCUGCGCAAGCAAUCAAUUAUGAGAAGACAAAAGGCUCUUCUUACCUGAAAGUAUAGCUUCUCUGAGUUGGUGAAGGCGAAGAUCUUCCUUAUCCCAUUCUGCAGCGCCACCAGCAGGCCAUCCAUGAGUGCCAAGUGCUCAGCCACCAGCUCCUCCACAUAGAAAUCCAGCUUCUUCUGCACCUUGAGAACAGGCACUCCUGGCGACCUCUCCAUCACCACUCCAAUCCCAGACAAUUUCUUCCCCUCUGCCUCAGGGCUUGACACGCCCUUGAAGAACAGGCGCACUGAGGUCUCAUCGAGCUCCCCCUUUGUGACACCGGCCGUGAAGGACUCCUCGGUGUCCUCCCACUCCUCCUCAUCCCCACAGCAGCUCCUGAAGUCAUCUUCCCCCCUCGAAUUGCCAGCACCUGCCUCAGGUAUCCUCUCCUCCAUCCUCAAACAAUGAAUGACGAAAUCCCCGCAACCAAUUGAAUCAGAAUGUCCUUCCAACCCCAAUUCCAGCAGCAAUCUCCAUCAGUAAGGGCACAAGCAGACAGCAAGGAAGCAAAAGUUCCCACCAAACGAGCCCUUUUGAGCUGAGGACCUCACCUAAUCCCAGCCCCGCGAAGGUGGCCUGUUCCUUUUUGCCGCAACUACUCCCGGGCCAGCACCAGUGGCCUACCUACUAGUGCAGUGACAACCCCACAGCACAGAUUGGGCGCUCCGGGAUUUCGGGUCAGAAAUUGAUGGAGGAAACGGCCAGGAAGCACCAGACGGAGCUCCAGAGCGCGAAUUCCAGAGCAGCGAUGGCGAAAUUGGCCGGGACGGCGACCAAAUUGACCCAGACGCUGGAGCUCUCCCCGAUCCUCCAGUUCCUCAUACGUGACCGGCUCGGUAAGCACUCGUAAGGGGGGGAAUUCACCACCACGAGGUCCUGUUCUUCUGCGAGAAAGAAAGGACAAGGGGUGAAUUUUGAGGAGUUGCACACGACAAAAGCUGCAGCAGGUGAAUCGACUGGAACUCCUAAAAUCAACGAACAAAAUUCAGCGAAAGUAAUCGAAAAAGAAAAAGGAAAAGAAAAAUAGAAGGAGACAUUACGCGCGGGCGCAUCUGCCGGCAAUUUCGCCCAAAAACUCCCCGCGAACAGAUCUAUGAAACGCCCAAGAAGAAGGCGAAAUUUGGGUCCAAAUUAAGGGCAGGAAAAAAUCACCGGCGUCAAGAGAAACGCCCUCGCGGCUGCUGCUGCUCUUGAACCAAGGAAAAAAAAUAAACGAUUUUCCUGAGAAAAGACGGUAGGGUGAAAGGAAAAAACGCGGGGCGAGGAGAAGUGCGAGGCAAUCGGCUCCCCCCGGGGGCAGGAGGAGUGAGUGAAGCCGGAUUUAGAACCUCGCGCGCGAAACAGGGGAGUGGGGAGAAGACCGGGGGGAGGGGAAAUCACCUCGUCUGAUGACCGGGGAGGGAGUCACGUCGAUGGAUGGAUGGAUGGAUGGAUGGAUGGAUGGAAGGGAGAGGGCCUGACCGCCGCCGGGCCGGGUGGCCUCGGUGAGGAGGAGGAGGUGCGGGCGUCGCAAAUGGGGACAAAGAUGGGAGCUUUUCCGGCGGCGGUGAGGUGAGGGGGAGGAGACAGGUAGGAGAGGUGCCUUUCCUGCGGCAGGGGGCGAAGAAUUUAUUCCUCCCAGGCUCCCUCCUACCGUUCGAGAGGAGUGGCGUUAAAGCAAGCGCCCGUCGUAAUUAUUCCUCCUCGCAGACCGCAGGGAGGCCUGCUAGUGGGCCGGGUUGAAGUGGGUGGCUGCCUGCAGAAGCAGCUGGCCUUGGGGCCUGGGCGGUGGCCGGUGGGCUGAUUGAUUGAUCGGGAGGCCCACGUGUCAGUGACAGAGAGCCAUGGCAACGGGACGGGACGGGGCGUCGCGGCGCGGCUGCCACGGUGCACACCGUUGCAGCGCUGAGGCGGCCGACUCGGUGGGUUGCUGACACAGGCAGCGGUAGCGACGGCACAACCACCUGCUCUUCGUCUCAACCUCGUCGGUCAUCACCAUCAUCAUCUCCCUCUCAUGCUCCAGAGGAGGAAGAAGGAGAAGGAUUAACAGUGUGCAAGGAAUCAUAAGGAGUCUACUAGUACAGUACCGUACCAAAGAUUAUGGAAUCAUUAAGCACUGCCACACCUGUAAAACACUGUCUGCCCUGUAAUAAACAAGAAGUUAGUACUGGUUGCUUUUUAUUGGCUCGUACGUUGCACUGUUCAUGGCAUUGGCACUUUGGCAGGCCAGGUUGGUUUGCAGGCUGUCCCUGAAGCUGUUGCUCCCGUCAUACCGUCAGCAGCUAGUGAUUCGCCAGGUCCCUGUCUCUCCCGAUCCGCCGCUAGAUCUCUGCCAUUAGUCAUGAGUACGUGUGCAUUUUGUCAAUGGCGUGCAUAAACCAGCAAGCAUUUGAUCGAUGUAAUCUUCCUAUGAAUUGCAAUGAGAAUGUAAGGGUCACUCUCGGAAAUGAGCUCGGAAUUCCAAAACCACACAGAAGAAAAGUUGAGCUUGAGGCUUUGGGGGGCCCAACCGCCGCCUGCCUCAAUCUUAUCACCAUAUGCAUCUCAUCGCUAGCGACGUGAGCGAUGGAGAUUCUCCAACUGAUCGAUUGCAGGACCCUGCCCUUGUCAUUCCGUGAGGCCACGACGAAACGGCCGGUCCAUAGAUGCUGCAGUGUACUUUACUCAUAAUAAUGCCGCACUCUACUGACAAAUUUUUUAGAUGGCACUGACAUUAUAACACGCAUGCGUAAUGUUGGUUUCUCUUCUGAUGAUGCGUAUUGUGCGUCGUGUCGGCUGCUCCAAAAACAAGUGCUUUGCACGUGCACGUUGCAUUGUGUCUGUCAAUGCAGCAACAUCGUUACGGAUACUCCGUCGGUCCCUUCGUUUCAAAUUAUAGAUUUUCUAAGUUUAUACUAGAUUGUUUUAAUUUUUCUAGAUCUCAAAUUCUAAAUUUUUAACUAAUCAGUAAUCUAGAUAAAGACAUGCACUUAGAAAAGUGAGAGCACUACAGAUUACUGAUUAGGAACCAUAACAUAACUCGCACUACUAGAAAAAACACCUCUCAUCCGGAAGGUUAGUACGGUCACUUUUUGAUCCGGUACAUGUUAGCUUUAGUACUGAGUCUAACGGAUAGCCCCCUAGGGGCCUCCGUGAUCCCCUUUAGUACCGGGUGGAAGUCCCACCCGGUACUAAAUCCCCCCUCCCCCACGCUGCUCCUCCGUGCGGCGUUCUUAUCUUAUCCCGUCGCCCGGCCCCUCCCUCCACGCUCUCUCACUCUCUCUCCCACGCGUUCUCCCUCCUCUAUCUCUCUCCCUUCACUCCUCUUGCCUCCCCUUCCCUCCCCCCUCCGCUCGCCCCUCACCGGCAGUGAGGAGCAGCGGCGGGGUGAGGUGAGGUGGCGGCAGUGGGCCGGGGCAGCGGCGACAACGCAGGAGGGAUGCGGCGGGGCGAUGGCGGAGGGGGGCAGGGCCGGGCGGGGCUGGUGGCGGAUUUUUUUUAAAAAAAAUUAAUACCCUCUAGUAUUGGUUAUUUCAACCGGUGCUAAAGAGGUCCCCCUCUAGUACCGGAUUGCUAGUACCAGUUGCACAAUUGGUACUAGAGGAGGAGGUUCCGAACCAUUAGUGCGAUGCAAGCAUGCAUGGAAACAAAAACGAAAAAAAAAAGAAAAGAAUCACUUGCUUGCAGUUGGCUCCAAAACACUUGCAUAUAUAAUUGAACAGCUCCAUUCGAGAAGAUGAAUGAAUGAAUACACGUGACAACAGUAUGGGUAAGAUUCUUUCCUUCCGUGGCGUGGAGUGGAGCGUGGAGACGGUUGGGCUGCAGAGAAAAGAGAUGCACCGGAACAGAGCAAACACGCUGCAGGCUGCGUUCAGCACAAGGAGACAAGGGAAGGGUCAAACACGUGGCGCGGAUGGUAGGUACCUACAGGCUACAGUUACCUCCACUAGCCCCCUCUUCUUCUUUUACCACACCCACCGUUCGAGGCGUUGACAGUCACUAAUCAUAUUUUUCACUCAUGUUAGGAUCCGAUCAUGCAUGGUUGGCAGCACGUACAAUUCCUUCUACCAUUCCUGUCUAGUUCAAUUGUGCAGCACGUACAAUGUCCAAGCACAAGAGAGCUCUGGAUUGGACGAUGAAGAAGAGGCACUAUUGGCGGCAGGCCGCAGGCGUACGUUCAUUGCCGUGAUGCAUGGGGUUAGGAAACUUUUUCAUGCAUAACAGUAAGGUGCAUGCGCUCCUGGUUGGACCGACCAGCCCCACUCACCGACACACCUGGCCCCACCUAGCUGCUCAAUAAUGCUACUUAUCAGUAGUACUGUCCCAGAGAUUAUCAAAUCAUCAUUAGACACUGUCAGUCAGCAACACCUGCUAAUAAUGCUUCAUGUAUCUUCAAUUUCUUUGUUCCUGCACCCACACAUGAUGACACAAGCACACUGACUCGCUCCCCCUCGCUCAGGAUAAUAGCACAAACACAACCACAUGCAGCAUCGCCUAAACAAAAACUAAUAAACUAAACAGAAGCAGCCAGCAGGAUUAGUAGUCAAGCAACCUUAGUAUACAAUUAUGGUCAUUUUGCUACCAACUGACACGGGCAGUGAUAUGAUGAUGCGCAGCAUAGUUAGGGGCCAGGUGUCAGUCAGUGAGCAGUGAGUAUGCUUAGUUUCCAAGCGACCUCUUGCAUUGCAUCGGGCGUAUCUGCCGUGCAUGUGUGGUUGUGUACGUGUGCAUCACUACAAGAAGGAUGUUACGAUUUGGACGGUGGCACAUGCAUCGGAGCCGUGCUUAACCCGGCAAAGAUUUGAUCCAUGCAAUCACCAUCAUCUAAAUGCAUCUAGGUGCCACGUAAUUGAGGUAACCGAAAAGACCACUGCAUCUCGUAUGCCAUCGAUGCCAGCCUCCAUGACUGGGCUAUCUCUUGGGCUAUCAGCGCCCCGCCGGCCACGGGCACCAGCAGGGAGAUCGAGGAAGUCUUCCGCGACGAGUUCCGGCUGCGCUGUCGUCACCAAGCAUCACCCAGGAUCGCCGCCGGGCACACCAAAAGUACCAGAAAUAGUCCUUCUACAUGUGCACUAAUUCACAUGUAGAUUAGAAGAUCAACUCGUCAGGACUUCUGCACCUAGCCGGUCAGGCCGGUCCUCGUAAGAGCACCGCGAAAACCUACGUCCACCAUCUCGGGAGGGAUCCCGUCAGAGAUAGUGAACCUAAGGUUGCUCUGAGAUCAGCAGGCUACUCAGAACGUUCUCAACCGUUGUCGAGAUGAAGGAGAAAAGCAAAGGGGUUGGAAAAGCUAAGGUUUGGAGAUAAAAAAAUGUAAAAGAUAUGUCUGUUGAUUGGGUGGUGCCCCUCAAUCAGUCAAGAACCUUUAUAUUUAUAGGGUGAGAGGUCUUUUCUCGUAAGAAAGUCCCGUUUCAACUCCAAUUCGGUCAAGACUCUAAGAUUCGUCUCGGACUCCUGGUUUGACGCGUGGGGGGCCGUAGCACACGCGGAUGCGUUCCCACCCGGGACUUCGAUGACGUACGCGCCUACGCCAAGGAUUGCACCGGGCCCGCCUAGGACCCCUUCGACUGAGCCGACCACGCCAGCGACCACCCAACCGCGCCAGCAAAACUGCUCCGACUCCUCGGACUGUCCAUAAAGACCGAUCUGACCGGCUGAUCCAGCCUAGUCAGCAUUGCUGCCACUUUUUUUUGCUAACACCUUCCUUACCAGAUUCAAGCACCGACACGACUGCGAGCGGGCAACCAACCUGGGCUUCGUGAAGAGACAUGGCAUCGACAUCCGCUUCGUCAAGUGGCGGAGCUUGCGCACGCACGGCCAAGGGCAUCUCCAUGCUCUUUCGUGUCAAGCUCUGGCUUGACGGAGUGCCCAGGCAGGCGUGGGAUGCGGACAUCGUCAAGCGCGUAAUUGGGAGGCGUUGCUCGCUGGAGAAGGUCGAGACCGACCUCAUCUUUCCGGCGGAGACAAAGGUGAUCCACCUCUGGGCAUGGACUGCCAAUCCGUGCCUGAUUCCAAAGAGAGUUUGGCUCAUCAUCGCAAGCAGAGCUAAAGAUCCGACGCUUUCGUCAGUGAUGGUGAGAGAAACACCAGCGGAGCACUGGCAGCAGGGGCGCCAGUACCCAGUGCUACUUCACCUGGAGGAAAUACACGACUACACCAUGGCCACAGUGGAUGAGCAUGGCGUGUUCUCACCCGCCAAGCGUCGUCUCCCCCCUGGGCACCUGGGCGUUCUUGAUGGUGAACCGGCGCCAGCACCAGCGGUGGAGGCCUUCCCAGAUUCACACUGGGACCGUGCAGAUGAUGGCAACUACAGGGGCGACAGGCGCUCUGAUGGCCGUGAGGUCAGGCGCUCACGCGGGCGCUACCACAAUGACCAUCCUGACUUCGAGCGCUUCGACCGUCACAGUGCAGCACUUUGUUGGAAAGGAACAAUUGGAUCAGGGACCUUGAGCUGCGUCACAUAUGGGCAAGCAUUUCAACUUGUUGGAACUUCAUCCGGCAAACUGGCAGAACCUGAAUCGCUCGCUGCAGAGGUGGUGGGAGGACGACAGAGCAAUGAUGGCAGCAGCUUGCUCUUUGUUUUGGGCCUACUAGAUAGAGCAGGAGGACAUCAUAUGAUGGGCCUCGAUUUGACCCAACAACAUGAUGGAUGCUGUCUGUGCUGCUGCUUCGUAGGCCGGACUCGCCGCAGCAAACAGCCCAGCACGGCCUACUGGGGAACUUCGUGCUGACCUGUCCCAAGGACUGGCAGUCUCACGGACUCACGGUAAAGGUAAAUUAGCUGCUGCAGGAUUCUGAGGGCGUGUUUGAUAGUAAUUCUUAUCACAUCAAAUGUUCGGAUGCUAAUUAAGAAGAUUAAAUAUGAGCUAAUUAUAAAACUAAUUGCAGAAGCCUUGGACUAAUUCGCAAGAUGAAUCUAUUAAGUCUAAUUAAUCCAUCAUUAGCAAAUGGUUACAUUAGCACCACAUUUUUAAAUCAUGGAUGAAUUAGGUUUAAUAUAUUCAUCUCGUGAAUUAGCCUCCAUCCGUGCAAUUAGUUUUGUAAUUAGCCUAUACUUCUAAUUAGUAUCAAACAUCCGAUGUGAUGGAGGCUGAAGUUUAGCCCAUGUGAAACAAACACCCCCCAGGCAUCAUGCUCAUGCAACAUUUGCUGCUGUUCCUGUUCAUGGUACCAACAAAAACAUUUUGCAUUUUAUGUUACAUCAAUGUGAUCAACUAUCAUUCUUUUUGCAAGCAGUCCUGUCCAAACCAAAAAACAAAUCCAAUUGUUCCAAACUAUGGAACACCAAGUGGUAGCCAGCGCCCGCAAGCUUGGAUAUCCUUGGCUCUUAGGUCCCGUUUUGUUUCCCUCCAUCAGGAUUGAAUAAGUUGGAUUACGGUCCAAAAGCUAACUUUUUCACAUUAUUUGCGUGGAAUCAUGUAGAAAAAAAGCACGCAUACGACGUUGUAGUUUCUUCAGCAGCCUGAGGUGCGGAGUGACGGCUGUUGCUGCAGCGCGGGGAGCGACAGUGGCAGAUCCCUUUUUUUUCUCAUUCUUGGCCUGCUCCACAUCCUCCGGCAGCAGCGUCGCCCAGUACCAGUACGGCGCCAAUGAAUGGAUCGGAACAGCCGGAGUGGCGGGGCAGAGCGAGAGCCGAGAGAGAGAACGACAGAUCGAUCUGACCGGUGAUCAAGAGGUCGAGACCGUGGCUGCUGGCUGGCCUGCCGGACAGGGCCGGCGUGCGAUCGAUCUAGCGAGCGAGGCGCCCGACGGCCGACGCCGGCGCCGCCUCAGUCCUCACCCACCGUGCCGGCGAGGCCGCGCUGCGUUCGGCUCCGGGUCCGGUGAAGGAGCAGCAGGAGGAGCAGGAGCCAGCUGCCCCAGCCCCGUCGGCAAACCCCGACCGUCCCCCAACCGCAGCAGCAGGCACGCAAGCAGAGGUGCCCCACGGCUUCCGUGGUUUUCAGCCGAGGCGGAUGGUCCCCGACAGCGAGCGGGCCCCGUACCAGCAGUAGCCACGCCAUGAUGAGCCACGGCUAGCAGUUGGCUGCCGCCCGUACGCCGCGCUCCACCACUCCCACGUCUCCACCCCCGCAUCUCGUACUCGAUCUGUCUCUCUCUAGAUCUCGGCACAGCGAUCCAUUCCUGUCGACCUCUCUCCUCUGUUGGAUGAACCAUGUGGGCCAUGUUUAGUUACUCCCAACUUUCAACUUUAACAUUAUGCAAAAAGAAAAUUUUUCAUCACAUCAAACUUGCGGUAAAUGCAUGGAGUAUUAAAUGUAGAUGAAAUUAAAACUAAUCGCACAGUUUUGUUGUACUUUGUGAGACGAAUCUUUUGAGCCUAAUUAGUCAAUAUUUGGACAAUAAUUCACAAAUACAAACGAAACGCUACAUUGUGCUACAGUGCUAGCACAAUAAUUUUGCAUCUUCUAAGGGGGUGUUUGGAUACGAGGUGUUAAACUUUAACAGUGUCACAUCGGAUGUUCGGAUGCUAAUUAGGAGAACUAAACAUGUGCUAAUUAUAAAACUAAUUGCAGAACCCUGUGUUAAUUCGCGAGACGAAUCUAUUAAGCCUAAUUAAUCCAUCAUUAGCAAAUGGUUACUGUAGCACCACAUUGUCAAAUCAUGGACUAAUUAGGCUUAAUAGAUUCGUCUCGCGAAUUAUACUCCAUCUGUGCAAUUAGUUUUGUAAUUAGCCUAUGUUUAAUACUCUUAAUUAGCAUCCAAAUAUCCGAUGUGAUGGGUGUUAAACUUUAACAGCUGGUUGCCAAACAGGCCCUAAUUCGACCAACUAAACAAGGCAGUCGGAUCGAUGGGGGGCUUUUCCCUUGGUUGUGAGUGAAACAGUGGACCAAUCCAUCCUGACAAAGGGGGGGAGGCCGGCGGGGAAAGGGGGAACGAACGAUGCAUUGCUGCUUUAUAGCCACCAUGCAUGCCACGUCAGGCGCCAUGAUCUUUUACUUUCCAGCUCGUAUAUAUUUUUUUUUCCUGCUAGUAAAACUCGCAUCUUGUUUUUGGUUUCUACUUUUUUUUCUCGACGGCAAGGGCAUGCGGCACCGGUGCCUGGUUACACGUGUACAACGGCAGGUUGCAGCCCAACACACAACGAACGCGGUUUAUUUAACUUGGCACGCACGCAUUUAUUUAAACAAAUUUUAUCCCCAUUCUAGCUAUGACGUACUACGUAGCGGCCAAGAAAGCAUAGGCCUUGGCUGGUGACCGUUGACUUGACUGCUAGCGCAAGGCGAGCCAUCAGCCAUGCCCAUGGAGUCCAUCCAUCGGGGUUGGUCAAGUCAACGACGACGCUACCUGCCCAGCCCAGCCCAAUCCGUUGGUCUGAAACGUUUGCUGCCGGGGAUCCAAGGGCCCUAAAAAAAACAAGAAGAAACAGAAGAAAAAAAGGAAAUGUUUGCCGGUGCUCUCGGAGGCAGCAGGCGCGCAAGGACGCCAAAUCGGACGGCAGCCUCCAGAUCAGGGGCCGUGACGUCAUCCCCCGAGAUCCGAUAUCUCCAAUUAAGAUCCUGUCAGAUAACUAGAUCGCGUGAUAUCCCGAGUAUUUUCAUUUUCCUUCGCUCAGGAAAAGAAUGGCCACGCGGCCCCCUUCCUCUCCCACUGACAUGCGGGCCCGCGGUAACAAACAUUCUCCAAACUGCCCCUAACGAACCGGCCACGAUCCCCGCCGCCUCCGCCUCCCCCUUUCCCCCAUUCCCCCUUCCCGUGCUAUUUAAAACCCCUCGCCGCCUUCCGCCGCACCCAACCGAUCCGAUCCCCUCCCCUCCCCUUCCCCCGCAACCACCGCCGAUCGCCCAAACCCUAGCAAGUAGCAACCCAAGCAAGCGGCGCCGCCGAUCGCCAUGGACUCGGACCAGGAAUCCUGCAGCGACGAUUGGGUCGUCCUCGACUCCUGCACCUCCUCCGACGACGACGACCGCGUCCUCGCGCUCUCCUCCGGCUGCGGCACCCCCUCCUCGGGCUCCGCCACCGACUCCGACUCCGACGACGACACCACCGACAUCCCCAACCCCAUCCUCGCCGCCGCGGCCGCAAUCGCCGCCACCGCCGCCGCCGACGACGCCGAGGGCGUCUACGCGCUCUCGGACGCCGAGGACGACGACGCCUACCCACCCCCCUCCCCGCCCCUCCCCAAGCCGCUCGCGGGCCUCUUCCACCACACGCUCGCCCGCUCCGUCAGCUACGUCGCCUUCGACCCCGUCCCCGGCGCCGCCGACGCCCACCACGGCGCCAAGCAGCUCGUCCCGGACCCCACCUUCUCCGCCCUCAUCAGCGGCGACGCCGGCGUCGCCGCGCUCGCCUCCAACCGCGGCCUCGUCUGCCUCCGCGGCGCCGCCCGCGGGGUCUACUACGUCGCCAACCCGCUCACCUUCACGGUCGCCCGCCUCCCCCGCCCCAACCUCGACCACUUCGCCAAGGGGGACCCCGCCGUCGUCAUCACCUUCGACCUCGACAACCGCGACGACUAGGAGGACGAGGAGAACUCAGCCACCGCCGCCGACGACGGCCGCCGAUUCUACCGCCACUACCACGUCGUCGUCGCGUUCCACCUCGGGGACGGCAUCUACGCCUUCGAUUCGUUCUCGUCGAGGACGUGGGGCUGGACCGUCGGCACCGGGAUCGUCGCCGCCGAGACCGUCGUGUCGUCCUCUGGGGUCGGCGCACUCGGGUGCGCGUUCUGGCGCACCACCAUGGGCUUCUUCCUCUGCUACGAGCCCGUCUCGGGAUGCGCGGACCUCGUCCCCGCGCCCAUGGAGGUGCUCCAGUGGCCCAACUGGGAGCUCGGCGAGAUGGAGGGCAAGCUCUGCGCCACCUGCAUCGGCGAGCGUGUCAGCGCCGUCGUCAUCCAUCUGCCUCGACUUCGCGCGCCGCAACUCCGACGGCGCCGUCGCCUGGACUCUGGGCGGACACUUCGAGGGAGGCUGCCUCUGGGGACGCCAGGGCGUCAUGCUGCUUCGAUCGCAGGGUAAGGCCGAGGUCGUCAUGUGGGACCCCAGUGCCGAGAUGGUCGUCGCCAUGGACCUCGAAGGGCGCACCACGCGCACCAUCACGUUCAUCCCCCCAGGCACCGGAUACUGCGCAGAUUUCAUCCCCUACGUCAGCACAUUGGCCGCCGUCUCUGCAUCCGGGUAAAACUUCCAUCCAUCCGACUCCCUGCAUUUUCAUCCUGCACUAUGUUUGGUCGAUCAAUUGAAUGUCUAGAUUCCUGCUUGCAGACUAGUUUCAGCAAUUUCAGUGUUGGUUGAUGAACGGGGUCAUCUGAGUUUGGUAGUUACAGGAUGCGGACACCAUUUGGAAUAGUAUGAUUGUUAGAUUUUAAAAUCCAGUCCAUGCAAAUGGUACCCGUGAAUUCAAUUUGGUGCGUGUUUGGCUUAAUUGCAUCAGCUACUAAAUCAUGUAACAACUGCUGUCGAAUGAAACUGCAUUGGUCCCAAUUAGAAUCUUGUGCUGCAAAUUCGGUUUUGUCUGCUCAUAUAGGCUAGGUAGCUUGCUCUAUCUGUCAAUGAAUUGAUUAGCUUUCAUUCACAUGCUGUGCUCCUUUUGGUAGGCUUUUAUUAAAUAUUUUCUGUUGGUUUUUACUAUUACCCCUGUUGUUAAAAUGAGGGGAGAGUUCCAGUUUGUCUUGUAUUUUGGUCUAGUUAACCAGUCUAGUAAAACAGAAAACCUGUCUGCAGUGCACAAGCAGAGUGUCUUAACAACUCUUCUUUAACAUAACAUGGCAACAAAUGAUGUUAUUUGAUCUCAUUGUAAAGUAGGGUACUUCUGUCCAUAUUCCUGCUUUGCCUUUGGUUAUAGUAUCUUCGAUUGGCUUUCGAGCUAUCAGAAUUCAGAAAUAGAAUUCAGAAAUUAAGAUGUGUUGGUUUCGUACUUAGGUGCUCUGAAUUUGGAUGAUGGUUUUCAGAUUUCGCAGAAAAUAUUGUGACAUUGUGGCAUUUGAUAUUUUAUUCAUAUAUGAUGUUAUAAUGCACUUUUGGCUGUAAUUGUUAAAAGAGCAAUUUCAUCCUUUCCAGCACUGCAUGUCCAAUAGUUUAUAUAUCAUGGCUUAAUAAUUCAUUAACUAGAGUUGGGUUGCUUUUAUGUUUUUUCUUGUCCAGUAAUGGGUCGCGUGCUGAGCCUAGGACUAAAUCUACUAAUGAGGCUGGAGCAGCGUAUAACGCUAAAUCUACUAAUAAAGCAGGUGAUGCUGAGACAUACUAGAGUUGCAACAGCUAAAUCUGUAAGUAUCUUUACCCUCUGAAAGAACCUCAAGAAUCUAUACUUAUAUCUUUUUUUUUUAUUAGCAUGUAUUGCGCCAUUCCAUCUGAGUUAUGAUACCAUUGUAACGUCGGCUGCAGGUACCAAACCUGGAAUGAUUCUUUGAUACUAAGGAAUAAUGAAGCUUCCAGAUGUGUGCAGCGCAUAAGAGAAGCAAGAAGCAGCAUUCUUUGAAGCAGUUUUGCCUGCUAGUAUCUCUCAUGCAUCUUUUGCACUGUCUAGUUGUGGUAAAAACCACGUACUAGCUAGCUCUCUUAGUGUACAAAUGUAGGGUUAAGCCGGUCUGUCAAACAGUAAGUCCAAAACUGGUUUAGCUAGUAAAAACGCGGGUGGAACUAAUACGUCCUCUUGUGGUGUGACAGUUCGAACUACGACUUGGUUCUUUUUGAUGCGGUUGUUUCUGAUGUGUUUGCCUUUCCUAUUUGACUUUUUUUGUUUAUACUGCGCUGUGCCUAGUUCGUGCAGUAUUCUGCUAGUGUUGGCUAUUUUUGAACUCUCCUUUGCAGCUUCAAUCUGCUUGAGUUUUUGUGUUUUGUAGAGCAGGAGGAUGGCAUUGUCAAAUUAAAUUCGUUCAUUGAACUUUUUAGUACCACUAGAUUGGUGUACUUGGAAUUGUUGCUGUUUUAGAGAAUAUAAGAUGGGAGUGCAAGAUCUUUUGUUGGUUGCAUACUGGUAUUGCUUAUGUUUGCCAUUCAGUUAAGAGCAGGCAGUUGAAUCUUGUGAAAAUGGUCCUACUGUUCUUGUGAAUUUUUGCCCUUAUUCAGCCGGCUUAUCAGCCACCGAACAGUGUUUUCCUCUCACAACAAAUCAGCCGUUUCAGCUUUUCAGCCGGCUUAUAAGCUGAAGCGAACAGGCCCAUAUAAUAAAGCUCCUAUACCUUAGUCAUCUCCGGCUUGUUUCACCACGUAAAAGCUCAUGAACAUAGCUGCUAGUAUAUCUGAUACUGAUGAUAUCCCAGUCACCUGAGUCCCCUUUUGUUUUAGCAGUAUCAGUAUGCAAUUGUAGGGGGCACUGCGUGUCCUCGAAGCCUAAAACUUAUGCUCCUCGUAAUAGCAUCCCUGAAUAUUACAAAAGAAGCUGUGUGUUUAUGCUUAUUUAGAAUAAAGCAUUUAUAUAAACAAAAACAUUUUGUUGGAACGUGGCCAGAAAGUACCAAGUGACCAUCCUAUAUUAAUGAAGCCAUUUGUAAAGCUUAUAAAGCCAUUUGUAAAGCUUAUAAAGGAUCUCAGAAAAACUGUGUAUGCGCUCAUCCCGAACCAAGAAAGAAUUUGUGUAUUUAAUUUUCAGAGUUAUACUACAAACAGAAGAACUCUGAAGGACAAAUUAUUUUCACCGGAGUUCUUAUUCUGAGUUCUAUCAAAUGGUAUUGCCCCCUUUUUUUUUCCCUCCUGGGACAGAAACUUAUUACCCUCUCACUCAUUCACAAAAGGAGAUGACAUUGCAAUCCAUCAGAAAAAUUAAGUGCAAUCAAAAUUCUAACUGUUGGGCAUGAUUAAACAAAAAAAAAUUACGCAUUUAAAGGGUCUAUCUGGUUUAGAUAAGAUCACUACAACUGCAGUGUUUCAAAACAAUGGUUAUUUCAUACAUUGAAUUGUUGGUUCAAAACACAAAUAUGUGUAAAAUUACAAAUGAAAUAAAGAUAUUUGCAUCAAGAUACCUCUUUCUCAUGAACAGUUCCUAGAAUUUGACAUCUCACAAUUAAUCGAUUGCCUAAGCAAAUAGCAUUUGACAUCCCAGAGCCGCCAUAUGCUUGGCUCCAGCCUGAACCCACAGCUGACCUUCCUUGACGAUGAUGUUAUGUAGCGUACAUUCAAAAUGACCAGUGACGCCCUUAGUUGAUGCAAAAUGGGCAGGUAUGCAUGGAUACCAUUUGCAUAACCAGAACAAACCUAUUAUACAUAGAACAGCACAAACCAAUUCAGAGGUGCAACCACGGAUAUACGUAUCAAACAAACAAACAAACAAAAACAAGCAUGCUCAGAUAAUGACAUUCACCAACAGUAAUGAAAUUGCUCAAAAAAACUGCACUGAAAAUCACAUUGUGCCCAGAACAGCAAAAGCCUAAGCCUAACCAUGUUCAGAAAACCGUAACUAACAGGUUCAGAAAACACCAUUCGUACACCAAUACUGAAAUUGCUGUACUUUCAAAAGCUAGGCUGCAUUACUGCAAGCAGGCAUGCUCAGUGGCCGAACAUACAUUCCAAACUACCAAUCACGCUUGCACUGGCAAUCACACUAUGCCCAGAAAAGCCAAAGCCCAACCAUUCACACUACCGAUCACGCUUUCAUAAUAGAAGUUUGAUACUUGAUGUAUUACUAUAAGAGGAUUACAAGUGCUUUGUAUGCCAAUACCUAUUUUGAUUGUUUCAUUUGUAUCAUCAAAUAUCACCGUAGCGUUAGCACGGGCACCAUACUAGUUAGUUGAUUGGAAACGCUCUCAAUUGUGCAGAUGUGCAACAGCACCCUUCACAGUCUCGGAGAACGAACUCCGAGUUGCAAGACAGGCCACGGGUAGCAAAUGAUGGUCACACACAUCACCCAUGGGCAAACUCAUUCCCAGCCAACAUACAAACAUGUAAUGAGCAUGCUGUUCUGCCGCUCCGCCCGCAGCUCUGCCGCUGGCCUCGAGGUGUUCCGGCCUCAACGAUGCGCAUGCUGAUAGCGUUAGCGCCCUUCUGCUGUUCUGCAGAAGUUGAUGGCACCUUCAGCCUGACAAAAAAUGCCCUUGAGGUGAAAAACGUUCGGAAUUUCAGACGGCAAGCUCCUUGCAGCUGGUCCUCGAUGCACGAAAACAUCUCAGGAGAAGCAAACGUGGCUGGCAGUCACAGUUUACUGCUGUCGUCAGACAUCCAAUCGGAAAUGGAUGGGAAAGACCCCGCAUGAUCUAAAUGCUCAAAAUUGUUGCUUUCAGAAUUGCUUUCAUGAUUCAGCGUAUAAGAUGACAUCUCUGUGAUGUUUGCUGAGGUUACACACACACACCGGUUUGCUCUAUAUAGGCCCAGUAAUGCCUAAUGGCGUUUACAGCUCAGUAGUUCAUAAUAGGUUCAUUGCACGCUGAAAUGCCUGUCAUUUUACAAUGGACAGCAAUAUAAAUGAGACACAGUAGUUUGCUAUAUGAUUAAAUGAACCCUUGCGAAGUGAAGUAUCUCUACAGUCUGGCGUGAUGAGUGUUUUGGAAGAUCGCAAGGCAAAAUGGUAGUUGACCAUCUGGUACAAACAAUUUUGUCAUGUAUGCUCACAUGAUAUGAGUAAGAGACAAUCGAAUUUGUACAAGGAACUCCAGUAAAAUUUUAUUAACCUUCAAUCCAUUGGGCUCAUACCCACAUUGCAAUGAGAAACAGAGGCCUUGAUGCAAAUGGAAUGGAUCAAUGGGACCUGACCUCAAGGGCUUGAAAUGGGAAAGAGAGGCUUUGUGGUGUGUAGGCCGAAUAGGACCUGGUUUAUGAAUGGGCCGAAGCCCAACAGGAGAUUGUGUAGGGGAGAGAACAGGAGGAGGGUAGAGGGAGGAAGAGAAGCGUUGAGGCAGAGCCAGCCGCCUCCAGCUCCGGCAGCCCUCCCAGCAAGCAAGGCGGCGGAAAGAAUGGCUCUCCGGCGCAGCGUCGGAUCCCUCGCGCUCCGCUCCGCCGCCGCCUACCUCCGCCGCCACUGCCCCCUUCCCCCUCCUCCACCCGCCCUUGCCGCCCCCGCUCCCAUCCGCCGCCCGCUCGCCCCGCAGUGCCGCCACUUCGCCGCGCCGCCUGGUACUCAGGUACGUACCCGCACCCAACCCUCUCCCGCGAGGAAAGUUCUGCUGCUGCGGCUGCUUCCUUGCAUUUAUUUCCCCUUCCUGCAUCCCCUGCCUUGUAACCUAGCAGCUUGCUAUCUUCUUCUACUGGGGAAUUUUCGUGGCUCCUGCCCUGUGAUGAUCCAUUCCCGUCUCAACUUUGUAGGCCAAUAGGAAGGGAGGCAAGGAGGACGACGAUGACAAAGCGGGCCUCCGCAUCAACAACGCCAUCACCUCUCCCUUCGUCAGGCUCGUCUCAGAUGAUGGCCACAAUGUUGUCCCCAGGCAUGAAGCGCUGCAGAUAGCUGCCAGGAAGGACAUGGACUUAGUUGAGGUACGCCAUCCACCAUGUAUUCCACUGACGUCCUCUUUUCCCCCAAACCCAAAUCUCACAUUGUUCUAGUGAUUUGAUUCCUGCACCCAAUCAAUACUGCUUAUCAAGUAAAGCUCUUAUUUUUUCAGUAAAAAGGUCACGCGUGACUCAUGACACUGCCUUUACAUACUAUCAAGAAUUGGCCUGUGGCAAAUCUUAAUAGAUCACAUGCCAUGACUUAUAUUGUAUAUGCAUCCUUGCCGGACAAGCUUAACAACUAAAGUUUCUCAAACACAAUAUCACAUCAGACUUGCUGUCCUGACUAACUUUCUCAUUUGAUAUGCCAUAAUUGCUCGAAACAAGGAAUGCAAUGGAACUGCCCAUUUCCUUGUAGUUUCCCUGAAUAUGCUAUCGCUAUCAACCUUGAGGAGAAACAAGCGUGGUCGUUUCUUCUAAUUGCUUAAAUUAUCUUCAUGCUCAUGGUUAUCUUCCCGUGCAGGUCGACAGAAAAGCAAACCCUCCUGUAUGCAAAAUCAUGGAUUUUCACAAAGAGAAGUAUAAGAAAGAAACCAAAGAGAAAGAGCGAUUGAAAACCAAGGUAUCUACCCCUUCAGUGAAUUUUCUAUCUAUUUCAGCCGUACAAAAUAGAAUUACACAUCAAUAUAACUGCACUUUCAAUUUUGAGUGUCCAAUAUAUGCAACAAAUACAGUUGUAUUAUCAAAUCUAGACUCCAUUUUAGUUGGCUAGUUGUGAACAAACAAUUCAUCGCAUCUCUUUAGCUCUUACAGUUAGCCUGACUCUUAUAGAUUUCACUCUUGUAUCAAUAGGAUCAUUACAAGGCAAAGAUAAUAUCUGAGUUUGCAUGAAAGCAGUGGCAUCUGUUUAGAUGGAUCAUUGUACACAUACUUAAUCAUGUCAAUAGGAUAAGAACAAGUUGCUUUGUAGGGGUUAUAAUCAUGAGCAAGGUACCUUUCUGGUCGUUGAGUGAAAAUGACCAGAUUUUUUGGGUAUUCCUUUUUGGGCCUGCCAUCUAUUAACUUCUGCCGAUUUGAGGCUCUUAACUAGUAAGCAUUUAAGUUCGGAGCUAUUCAAAAGAGUGGUAACCAUAUUAUCUCCUAUUGUAGUUGUCGUACUUUUGCUUGGAUCAUGUCAUAUUGUAGAACUAUUCCGGUUGUGAACUUUGUAUCUGUGCCUCAUUUUUGCAGUCUGCUAUUGUCUUACGUGGUGGGGAAAACAAAGAAGUGCGAUUCAAGGGGAAAACAGUAAGUUGUUUUUUUGGCUUCUAUUACUUAUGUGACUGUAGCCUCGCCUUGGCAAUAACAGUUUAUCAGGUUCAGAUAUAGAGUAGCGUGCAGACUUGAUUAAUACCUCAUAACUGGAGUAUAGCUUGUUUGGACUGCUGCAAGCUUAUGUUCUGUUUAUUUGGAUCUAUAUGGACAAAUAGACCCAAUGCCUAGUUGAACCUGAAUCACUUUUCUCAGGCCAAUUUUAAACUGUUUCAGCAUUUAAACAGUUCAACAGUUACCAACAUUGUGAUCAUUUUGGAGACCUUGUGGCAUGCAUCUUUGUUGACAAACACUAACUUUUUCAUGUAGGAACUAAAAGAUUUGGCAGUGAAAGCAGAUGCAAUUACCAGAUUAAUGGAGCGGGGUUACAGGGUGAAGGUGAGUUUUUUCUUCUUUGACAGUUAUUAUUUAUUCAGUUCUGCAAUACUCGUGGCAACACAAUUAAAUCAUUCUCAAUCAGCUAUUCUUUUUUUUUUCCUAAUCUCAUGAUGAUUCAUAUAAAAUGUUUUGUGAUGUUUGCUGGACAAUCCCUAACAAAUUGAUGCACAUAGACACAAGGAAGCUAAUUAGUAAAUAUUAGCAAGAAUGAAAAGGAAGUUUCUGUAGAUCUGUUUUCAAGUAUAGCAUGAUCUGUUGCAUCUUGCAGGGUUCAGUCUUAGUUUUUAUGGACGUUCCUUUGAUUGGAUUGUUUCUUUUUCUUUUUCCAUUUUUUGUGUGUGGUGGGUGGGUGGGGGUGGAGGAGUCUGGCAUUUCUGAUGAGACACAGAAUUGGCUCAUUAUGAUCAGAAUAGGAUUAAGGCUACGAUGACUAUGUCUUUUUCAGUGGAGAUGAUUGGUGGCCUUAUACGAUGUGGGUGUCAUUUUUACAAAUGUGCUCUGAAUGAGCAUCCCUAUAUCCAUUUGCAACUAAAUCUCCAACUGUGUUAUCCUUAUUCAACAUAUCUGCAUUUUUUAUUCAUAGUCAUAUGCAUAUAUUUAUCCUAAACUUUUAAGUACGAACUCUGAAAAUCUCAAUGACGUUCCUAUUUGACAGUGCAUGGCCAUGCCCUCAGGUAAUGAAGGAGAAGAUUUAGGAGCACCACUAUCUCGGUUGUUAGGACUUGUGAGUACUCUGCCCCUUUUCCCCCUGUUGCUCAUUAACCAAAUGCCAUCAAAUUCAUUUUGAGACUAGAUGAGGUCCUGGUAACAUUUCCAAUUCUGUUGUCAGUAAAAGCUUACAUGUUUCAAUAAAUCCCAUCAAUUGAACAGAUACAAGAUGUGUGCAUUGUCGAAAGUGGUCCACACUUAGACUCGAAGCAUGCAUACGUUAUUGUCAGGCAUGUGAAGUUUGCAACAAAGAAGGGUGGAAAGAAAGCCAGCAAAGCCAUGGAAGAUGCUGGAAAAGGUACCCACAGUACUGCACCUGUUGCUGGUAAUGAUAGUGAAGAUGAGACAAUUGAAUGUGGUGGGGAAGCUGUUGAGAAAACAGCCACCCAUCACUCCAGUGAUUCUCCCAUCCAAAAAGAAGGGCAGGAUAGAAGAUUUAAAAGGGAGUUGAAUCGAUCGAAACCAGAUCCAGGGGCCAACCGUGAAAAAUUGCACAAUGCCAAUGCUGGGGGAAGCAGAAUGAAUCCUGGGCAGUGGGGACCACAAGCAUCUGAACGUAGACUUGGUGAUGUAAACCCUGGCAUGGAAAGGCCAGAGAAUAGCACGCAGGAUCAAAAACCUGGUGAAACAAACAGGUAUGCUGCUCGAAAACAGCCGAUGAGAGGAGAUAACAACCGAGGUUUCAACCAAGGAAGACCCGUGCAAGAUGGUAGAAGUGAAAAUGCAGGCCGUUAUGAAAACCAGAGACCUCCUCUGGAGCAGCAGCAUAACCGACCGUUACCAAGGUUCAACCAAGGUGGAUUGCCACAGGAUCCAAGAAACGACAGGAGAGGUCAUUUUGCAUCGAACAACAACAACCAAAGGCAACCUGCAGGUGGUGGUGGUUUAAGCAGCGAUCCUAAUCAAACAAGCAAGAGUUUUGGAAUCUUUAGUAGUACUCCAAAACCUGCCUCAUCUGAUAUGAGAAAGACAGAUGGUGCUGGUACUGCUAGUAAGCCUGGUAAUACCGACUCACCUAAAAGCUUUGGGAUUUUUAGUUCUAGGAAAUAAGUGAGAUAGCUUAGGGUUCUGUUCUACAGAAGACUGGGGAUAUUUAAUUUGGCGCAAUAAAUCCAAUCCUAGUUGUAUGGUUUGAACCUACAGACAUGGAUGGGGUGUUUUGGUAUUUUAGUAAGGAAUUGUGGAGGAUUGGCAUUCAUUUCAGCGUCAGCAGAUGUGUUGUUUCGGUGAUGAAAAAAAGGGACUUGUUAUAGGCAAACUUUGAGAAACAUUUUUUUCUUGUGGAGGAGCUCUUAGCUUGUUGACAGGUUAAAUUGCUACUAUCGCCUCGUUGGAAGAACAAUUGUAUUGAAAGCAGUGUACCAACCACAGGUUUCAUUUUCCAUACUAUAGUAUUUUUGUUUAGAUGGUUGCCAUGAUAAUCAGCUGUAUGAACAUGCGGAAGCUAAUGCAAUGUUAUUAUUAUUGUUUGGGGCCUUUUCUUUGGGUUCGAUAAGAUGCCCAGGAAGCAACGAAUUUUGUAGCUUUGGUUGGCUGUCUCCAGCUCAUUAACCAGAUGCCAUCAAAUUCAUUUUGAGAUUUGUUGAGCUCCUGGUAACAUGUUAUUGGGAGGCACGUGACGUUUGCAACAAAGAUAGUUUUGGGAUUUUCAGUAGUACUCCAAAAUCUGGCUCGUCUGAGCAGAGGGAGACAAAUGGUUCGUGUACACCUAAAAGUUUUGGGAUUUGGGAUUUUUAGUUCUAAGAAACAAGUGAAAUAGCCAAGGGUUCUACAGAAGAAGACUGGAGAUAUUCAAUUUGGCACAAUAAAGCCAAUCCUUGCUGUAAGGUUCAGACCUGCAGACAUGGAUGGUGUGUAAGGGUGUUUUGGUCUGUUAAUAAGGAAUUCUGGACGAUUGGCAUUCAUUCAUCCUCAGCGAAGUGUUGUUUGGGUGAUGAAAAAAAGAUUGGUGAGAAUGUAAUUUUUUUUUGAGCUGGCUCUUAGCUUGUUGACAGUUAAAUUGCUACUGUGGGCUGCCUUCUAAGUUCAACGGGGCCUCCUAUAGCCUGAAAAUGGUAAACCCUUUGCAACCAGCAGAGAACCAGCACUGCUGGCAAACUCAAAGGACGUUUUCUAGUUCCCCAAUGACUCCCAAACUCUAGCGGCGCCUCCCGACCUCGGCCUUCUUCUCCGCCUAUGGCGACGCGUAGCCUGGCCUUCUUCUCUGCUCUCCGCCGUCGGCUGGGUCCCGGCAUGCCCCCGUCGGCGCACCCUCGGUUCAUCGACACCAUCCACGGUCAAACGUGGAAAAAAAAAUUCGCCAUGCUGUCCCAAUUUCGACAUGGGAAAUACUCGUACUUGAGCAGUUUGAGAAUUUGGAUUCACCAUCAGGUCCCUCGAUCCGUAUGAAUGUGACGAUUCUCAUAAAAGAAGGAUGCGCAACCCCAUGACCGAAAUUAGAUGGGCAGCCGAAUGGGCCCACAAAAUGAGUGAUAUGACCCUAGUAGCUACACAUGACAAAUGGUUGGUGCCUUUUACAAUCUUUCCUGAAAAUGCCACUUCAACAUCUAUUUUGCCUUCUUAAGGUCCUCUAAAACAACAGAGGCAGCGUUGCGUCCUGGAGCACCCAUCACCCCGCCACCUGGGUGUGCACCACUCCCACAGAGGUACAGACCCUUCACAGGGGUUCUAUAAUCCGACCUGUAUAAUCCAAAGUGCAAAGAGGCUAGUCACGAUCCCAAAGCAAUGACUUCUGGCAUUCAAACUUUAAAGAUUGGCAAGGAGAAGGAUUAAGAUAAAAUUAUUAUGCGCAUCAGGGUUCCUGACAUACCAUCCCUUGGCUGGCCUCAUGAGGAAAAGAGAAUCCAAGCCCAUUGCACCAUGAAAAAUGUUGCCUCCUGUCAAAUAUGAAUCAUGUAUGCUCCGCUAAGUUUUAAACCGGUAAAUCGAAACAUCAAAAGUAUUCUGUAUGCAAGUCUUGCAGGUCAUCUUGAUGCAAUUUCUAAGAUCAAUAAAACUUCUUUUAUCGAAAAAAUGCAAGUCUUGCAAGAAAGAAAGAUUGUGUAUGGGAAAGAGUUUACCUGUUAGACCAAACUCUCUUUCAAGAUCAGGUGGAGUCAGCAUAUCAUAGCCUACCACUGAUGAGCUAAAGCCCGGAGCAUAUUCAUCAAUCAAAGAAAAGCAUCGCUCAGCAAAGGAUUUCUGAAAAUUAGUUUCCGUCAAAAUGGUUAGUGAUGCGGAAAAUACUUCUCCCCACAGAUGGUGUUUAUUAACAAUGCCUAACAGUAUUUGUUGGGCAAUAUGCACAAACAACCUGUGCGUGCCAUAGGAAUGUACAAUAUAGAACACAGAGUGCAAAGUGAGAUCAAAGUUGAGUAGGAUCUACAUACUCUAACAUUAGAAUCCUGCCAGCUGCCUUCUGAAAGUUUGUAGGGUGUAUACUGAACAAAAAGAUUAAUAACAUGCUGACCUAUCGAAAGGAUAACACAAAAGAUGGAAAUUGUGUGAGAAUAGGAACGAAAUUGCUUUGGACACAUAAAGAAUCGUUGCAGGAUCCAAAUGCUAGUAGUUAGUUAUGCCAAUGCAUUGAUGAGGCAACAAGAAACUUGCAUACCUGGUGGAGAGAUGGUCUUAUCCAAGACAGAAGGAAUUGUCAUUUCUAUAACAGGUCUUUUGGAUGAGACGCCACCUGCAGCUUCCUUGUAUGCGAGUUCAAUUUCCUCCAUGCUGGAGAAUGAAUAGAAGUUCCGUAUUAGUAAGCAGAAAGUAUGGAAUAACUCUGUCAGAGUGACACUAUUUUUUUUUUGAAUAACUAGUUUUCCACACAAUCACAUGAGAGGCCAGAUCAUCUGGCUUUUCCCUAUGAUAAAGGUAACUAUAUACUCUGGGCGAUCACAUAUAGUAUGAUUGUGGUUAGCAUGAUCAUGAUCUUUCAUUAUCCUGGGCACUAGUGACAAGUAAGAACAUAAUUACAUCAAUUUAUAUAUGUAGAGAACAAAUUUGGUAAAUAAAGUUGAGAUAACUGGUGAAGGGCACUAUAUCAAAACAGCACAAUAUAUUAUUGAGCAAUGACACUCUUGAAUUAAGAGACCAUUUCCCUUGCCCUACUGAUGUUGAUAAGUGCAGUCUGUGCAGUGCAUGAACAUAUAUGAGAUAACAAAUAGUAUCUAACACAUUAUUUGUCUGUCCAGUUACUUCAAAGAAAGAUCAAAGACAACAGAAUACAAUAAUAUUUCACAUGGUGGAUUACCUUUCAGACCCAAUGUGUAUGGUGCCCAUGUGCUCUGGGCCACCUUCAGGGUUGAUGUCUUUGCAACAGUGGAACUGUGGCAGCCUGUCAACAGCCACAUUAAUCUUUGUUGUUGCCUGCACUCAAAGAAUCCAUAUCAUAUUAUUAGAAACUAAUAUUACAAAAUUCAGUUGAUGUGAUCAUCAAAGUGCCGAAACAGUUCAUCUUAAAAGUAAUUCCAUAAAUUUUAAAUGACUAUUUACUAAUAUGGAGUUAUCAAAAGUCAUGGUCAAGCUGCAUCUUCGUUAAGUUUUAAGUUCUCCAAUGUUUUCCCAUUCAAUGAUGUCACAAACCGGCAUGUGGGUGUAAAUGAGUUAUGAGGGUGCUUUUCAACUUAUUGGCUAUUUUUUAGGUGCAAUUCUUCCAUUAAAAAAGAAUGCAUCAAAAUAUGCUUGAACAUAAGUACUUACAGAGCUGUAAUCUGCUGUGUUAAUAGCACAGAGGAAGUCCUUUGGAAGAACAUUAGCAGGCACUAGGUCCUGCAAAAGAAACCAGAUAGCAGCAUCGAAAAUAUCUGUUUAAUAACGCUUGCAAAAUUCGCAGGUAGUUCUUCGCAAUGUUACAUGUUUCAGAGUUUUCUUACCACAAAUGUUUUGUAUGGAGUGGCAUUUGAUAGAACAACUGGCGAGUGCACCUCCGUUCCAUCAGCCAAUGCUACCUACAAAUCCCAAUCCUUCAAGAGGUUGAAAGCAAUGAAAUACACUUACAGGUUAAUCAAAGUACUUACCCCUUCUACCUUUCCUGUAGUUUCAUUAACCAUUACUUGGGAAACCUAAACAUGAACAAUGGAUCAAGUCAAGCAAGAUACCUAACAUGGAAGGUAAGACACGAUAUGAAAAAAAAAAUGCCACUAUGUAGCACAAAUGGCCCUUUUCCUUUGGAAAAAUCUAGUUGACAGUUUUGAAUAAUUGAUCAUUUUGUUUUCUGUUUAGAUUUACACAAAUUACUGUCCAAGGAGCAGCCUUGUAUAUAAAACAGCUAGCAUCAUGCCAUAAGAAUUGGAAAGGCACCUCGGCAUUUGUUACAAUCUGUACUCCUGCUUCAAGAGCUGCUUUGCUUAUAGCUGAUGACACUGAACCCAUACCACCUUGAACAUACCUGUAGCAAGUGUAUUAUUUUAUCUAAUCAAAUAACAAGUUUUCUGAAAAAACUGAAAUGGUGAACUGACAAAACAACUAAUAGUGAACCCGGCAUGCUAACAAGCAGAUAUGACUACAUAGUAUGAUGCCAUUGUCCAUAAGACUGGAAAUUUGUUUGCCUAGCUAUACACACCAGUUGACCACCUGUAAAGUUUAAUCCAUGCAAGGACAAUAUAGGUCUGUGCAUCAGUACACGGGGAUCAGGUGUAGAAGGCUACGUUUUUCUACAGUUGAAUAGAAGAACAAAGAUAAGAUCUCAGAGAGUCAAAGUUAGAAGCAUACGCCCAAACACCACGUUGACCACCAGUCUCCCCCAUGACAUGGUGCAGGAGAACAUAUCCAGAACCUGGAGUGUUCACACCAGCCUACAGAAGGGGAGAUGCAGCAGUGAAAUGCCAACAGUCUAGGAAAUAGAUUUUGCUUAGUUCAUUAAAAGCACCCUUACCAUGGUACCUAUCACCGCGUCAGUUGCUAGAGUUGCCUUCAAAACAUCGCUCUGUAGUAGAUAGCAGUCUAUAAUAAGCCUUUUUGUUCACAGGUAUAAGAAUAUUAAGUGCAGGCUGUCAAUUGCAAUAAAGCAAUCACACAGUUGCUUCACAUGAUCAAUGUGCAGAAGUGUUCAAGAACAGAUGAAACUAAGCUUCCGACCUCAAACCAGUAGUUCAGGAUUUUUGAUGCCGGAGAAAGGAGGAGGUCAAAGAAUUCCCUGCGAACAACAGUUGUAUUUUAGAAAGGGUGAUGCUAAGUUUACAUACUGCAUUGUGCAUGAAUGGUGUGGAUCAUAGAAUUGGCAAGUGGCCAAUACUUAGUACUCACACCAUGUUCUUCUGCCCCUGCUGCAUCACAUGCCGAAGAAGACUGCCCCAGAAUGCUGACUUGUCUACCCUAUCCUUCAUCCUGUCAACCACAGAGGUGUGGAGCUCCUGCCUCAGCUCGGGUGGAGCCGAGUCUAUGACAAAGUCCAUGAGCUUGCAGAACCUCUCCAGCUGCUCCUCGUACCUACACAUUCACAUAUAGAUCCUACAAGAUCAUUCUAAAAAGCUACAUGUUCAUAGAAACCACAUGACUUUAACCAUUUAUCUAAGAUCAUUUGAAGACAAAAUGCACCUCGGAUAUGCAUUUGCAUCCUUCCUGGAGAACUUGCUGAUCUCUGAGUGGUUCAGCUCUGCAUCCGGACCAAGGAGCAGGUAUCUGCCGUCAAGGCAUGGCGUGAACGAUGAAGGACUCCGUGGCAGCAGCUUCAGCCCGUGCCUCUCCAGCUCCAGGUCGCUUAUAUAUGCAAGCACCGGAAACAGCAGCAGCAGUUAUCAUCGGCAGUUCAGCACGACAUAUAAACAUCGGCAGUUCAGAGUUCAACACACAGAACAACACGCACUGGUAGAAAGAUUGCAGAAUGCAUCUAAACACAAGGCUGCGGUGCGUGAAUUUGACAGCAGCGGAGGUUGCAAUCGCAAAAGACGUGUCCUUGGUGAGGUUACCGGAGGAUGGCGGGGCGGAGGAGGCUGAGGAGGUAGCUGCAGCGGGAGAAGCGGAAGCCAGGGACGAGGUCGGACUCCGACACCGCGGCGCCGCCCAGGACGCCCCGGCGCUCGAGCACGGCGACGGAGCGGCCCGCGCGGGCGAGGUAGGCGGCGGCGACGAGGCCGUUGUGGCCGCCACCGAUCACCACCGCGUCCCAGCGCUUGCCCCUGGGCAGCUGCGACGACGCGGAGGCCAGCGCCGCCGCGUCCGUGGAGAGGCACCGGCGGCGGGCGGCGUCGGCGAGCAGGAGGCGCCUCGCCGCCUGCGACAUCGUGGGGUUCUGUUUGGGUUCGGCCGCCGGCCGCCGUGGUCACUUUCCGCUUUCCGCUGGUCACUCGUGGGCGGUUGGUGUUCACUGCAGAUUACGCGAGCGCUACCGAGAAGACGGGUUCCACAGAGUACGUAUUACUAGAACAGGCCACGAACGGUGGAACCGUGGAAGCAAGCAAAGCAACUCGAAUGCGACCCCAAAUGGAUGCUCCUAUGCUGGAGUUGCUAUUUUCUGCAUUUGGAGUUAUUACAUACAACAUGCAUGACAGCUGACAACUAUAUACCGUGAGGUGUAAGUAUAUCACUAUUGUCUAAUAAACUGUCUCAUGUAUUAAUAUGUAAUUUUGAGAUGACUUAACAAACAACGUAUAUAAUAGAUUAUCUCAUAAUAAUUCUAUUUUCUUAAUUUAUGCAUUGAAAAAAAAGAAAUAUUAUGAGUUGCAUAACAACCACAACUCGUACACAUGGUGGAGUAGUCGUCUCAUAAUCCUAAAAUCGUCUAUGAAACGGUUGUUUCGCAAAACAACGACUUCUUUCUCUCUCCUCGCUCUCUUUUCUCCACAUCAACAAAAAUCUUACGUGGCAUUACAUGAGAUGACCUAUGAGAUAGAUGAGGUGUACCAAUGUACUUGCCGUGAGGAAAGGAAAUCUAUCGGCGAUUCUCGGAUAGCAAAAAUGUAGUAUUCCCUCCGUUCCAAGUUGUAGGUCAUUUUAGCUUUUUCUAGGUGCAUAAUUUUUGCUAUGUACCUAGAUAUAGUGUAUGUCUAGAUGCAUAAUAAUACUUAUGAACAUAGAAAAGUUAAAAUAAUUUACAAUUUGAAACGGAGGAGGUAAGAAAUAUUUUUUCUUAUUUCAAGGGAUUGUAACAUCAGGUCUAAACUUCAUGUCAUGAACUCGUUCUCUCCUUUCCGGGCCUCAUUAAGAAAAAAACAACAAAAUCAGCACGUGAGCAGCCAAACGUUGGUCAUGGCAAUCCAAGUUUCGAGCAUCCCUGUUUAAUUUUGUUCAAUUUGCAGCUGCACCAAUGUGCUAGUGCAAAAAGGAUGCGACCAUGUAAAUAGAUCCUCGUUCAAGCAUUUUGCCUCGUGUCAGCGAGCAAGGAAAUGGCCAUGGUGCAGUGUUUCCAUCCUUAAGAAGCUUGCCUCAAUCUUUCUAUCCUUGCAACUUGCUCUCCAACCUUGGUACUUGGUAGGGUUGGCAACGCGGUGUGAGGCUAGCCAGAAAUCUAAACAUAAGCUAAACUCACCUCCGAUGCUCGAAAUCUGCAUGAGGUAGAACGAAAACAUAAAGCCAAGCAACAUGGCCAAUGGAGGGUAGGCCCUGGGUCAACAUAAUUAUACAAUAAAUACUAUUUAGUUUUCCCUUACACAACAAGCGGUCCCAUGGUCUAGCGGUUAGGACAUUGGACUCUGAAUCCAGUAACCCGAGUUCAAAUCUCGGUGGGACCUUAAUUUUUUUGUGUUUUUUUACUUCUUUUUUUUUUCUUUUCACCUGUCACCAUCGCUGCACAUCCUUAGUAAACACAGGAAGAUUUCUUCCAUAGUCUACACCUCCAAAUCCAUUCGGCCGUGAAGAUCAUCAGCAGUACGGAAGGAAAAAAAGAUUUUUACACAAGCGCCACCUUUUGAAAAUUCCUCGCCUGUACAGUCUUGUUAAUAUCUUGUCUAGAGUAUUAUCAAGCGCUAAAGCGAGUGAGUGUAAAUGGAUAACCUUCUCGCUUUGUGAGAAAAAAAAGGAUGACGAUGACACCUUAAUCACCAUCCCGAGCGCUAAGAUAAGCAUGCUACGGUCAGCAACGACAUGGAAUAUUUUUUUUUGGCGUGUAAACGACGUGGCACUUUGUCCGUCCCGUCCCGUUAGCUGCCCGUCCGGUCGCGUGCAAGGAACGGAUGCCCCGUGACAUGUGAGCUGGCCAGGGGUAGGGAUGUCAUUUCGCUGUUAGAGAUAUUUUCGGCGUCCUGCAGGCCGCAACGCGGGUCACUCUGGGCCCCACACCUCACGUGGGGCCGCCCCAGGUCGUCAGGGUCUCGGUCUUCCCACCCACCCAGGCUUGUGCUCCGGGGACAAUCAUUCCUCCCCAACAGAGCUGCCGACACCAUCAUCUUUGAAUCAUUGCCAAAUCUCUCAGGUCAAGUCAAUACAGCAAGGCUUGUACUCCAUUCUGAAGAUGCAAAGUGGUGACAUCUUUUCUUUUUUACAAGAGGCUAACAAUGAGAUUUUCUUUGAGGAUCCAUCAACGGAGUAAAAGAAAACUUGAUAAACUCGAAUCCAGCUCAGACUGAGGCUUUGACACAAAGACACCUGCAAGCUUCUCCUCGUGUUAGCGAGCUUAAGGGGGUGUUUGGAUCCUGGAGCUAAAGUUUAGUCCGUGUCACAUCGGAUAUUCAUAUGCUAAUUAGAAGAACUAAAUAUGAGCUAAUUACAAAACUAAUUGCAGAACCCCUAGGCUAAAUCGCGAGACGAAUCUAUUAAGCCUAAUUAAUCCAUGAUUAGCGAAUGUUUACUGUAGCACCAUAUUGUCAAAUCAUGGACUAAUUAGGUUUAAUAGAUUCGUCUCGCGAUUUAGCCUAGGGGUUGUGAAAUUGGUUUUAUAAUUAGUCUAUAUUUAAUACUUCUAAUUAGUGUUGAAACAUUCGAUGUGACAGGGGUUAAAAUUUAGCCCGGGAAUCCAAACACCCCCUAAGCUUGAGAGGAGCUCUUCGGAGCUUGCGAACAAGCUACCUUCGAGCCCCUAGCGAUCGAGGUUACCUCGUUGAUAACUUAGGAUAGUUUUAGAUAAAUUCUGCUAGCACGUGAUAUGAAAAAUUUAAGAUCCAUUUAAGAUCACGACAUAUCUUUAUUUGCACUCGUUCUUGUUAUUUCCUGGUAAUAAUAAUUCAUGCGCUACUGCUGUGCUAGAGGUGGUGUGCACGGUUUGGUGUGAGCGUAGCGGCAGAGAAAAAAACUAGUACCACUUGGCCCCGCAUAUUCCCAAAUCCCAAGGGCACCAACCCCCGCGUCCGAUGACAUGUGGGCCCAGCCCGCCCUUAUCCUGCGUCCGACGUGGUCGCCGUCGGAUCCGAUCACGACGGCCGCGGCGGCUUCGUCUCCGCUAUAAAGCGAGGGCAAGGGGCAACUCGGCUUCUUCGUGCUCUCUCAGAGGUGGGUUGGCUUCUCCUCCCCCUCCGGUUCGGUUCGGUUCGGUUCGGGUUCGUGAGGUGUUCCGGUUCGGGGGUGAGAGGCAGAGAUGGCGGCGUCGGAUGUUGAGUACCGCUGCUUCGUCGGCGGCCUCGCCUGGGCCACGGACGACAACUCGCUCCACAACGCCUUCAGCCCCUUCGGCGAGGUCCUGGAGUCCAAGGUUAGGAUGAUUUCCUUUGGGGGUGGAGAACAAAACGAGAUUUUUGAAGGGGAAAUGGGGGGAACUGUCCAGAUCUGUGGUGGCGGAGGGUUUGGUGUGCUAGAUCUGAAGUGUUUCUGACAUGAUGCCUUGGCUUUCCCUUGCAGAUCAUCCUCGAUCGCGAGACCCAAAGGUCCCGCGGCUUCGGCUUCGUCACGUUCGCGAGCGAGCAGGCGAUGCGCGACGCCAUCGAGGGGAUGAACGGCAAGGAUCUCGACGGCCGCAGCAUCACCGUCAACGAGGCCCAGUCCCGCAGCGGCGGCGGCGGCUACGGUGGCGGCCGCGGCGGCGGCGGGCGCUACGGCGGCGGUGGUGGCGGCUAUGGCGGCGGUGGCUACGGCGGCGGCGGCGGCGGCUACGGUGGCCGUGGAGGCGGCGGCUACGGUGGCCGUGGAGGCGGCGGCUACGGCGGCGGCGGCGGCGGCGGCUACGGCAACCGCGGCGGCGGCGGCUACGGCAACUCUGAUGGGAACUGGAGGAACUGAGCGGUGGGGCCCGCGUGGCCAAGUUAUCUUGUCGCUACUACUGUUACCAGAGUUAUCCCUAUGUGUCUAGUGUCUUCGUCGUCGUCUCCGACCUGUGUUCGUCUUCUGUUUCCUGUUGUUGCCCAUCUGUGUUUUUGAUCGCAAGCUUGUUCGUCGUGUCUGUCGUCAGAGCUAUCCUCAUCUCCAAACAUCCCAUGAACCGGGUGUUGGGAUUGGGAUGCUGUUAUCCUCGUGAAACUUUGUUACCAUCCGUUUUUAAGUUAAUCAGAUGAAAAAAAAAUGGUGCUGCUUGGUGCUGCAAAUGGAGUUCGUUGCUUCUGAGUGUUGUGGAUGAUAUUCUAAUUUGUAAAAAGUAAACAGCACUGAGAUAAAUGUUGCAGUGCUUUAGCGAGCAGAUCAGGGAAAAAGUUGCACAAAUCUGGGGGAAAAGUGAUUUGUGCUAAUCAUGACAAAGAUCCUCACGUAUGGUGCUAAUCCAUGAAUUCCACUAGCCUCCAGAUGCCAUCACAGAUACAGAAUCCAACUUGGACUAUUUUUUCAUGACGAAAACAAGUAACAGUAAGUUGCAGAGAUUUGGAUUUUUCAGUCACGUUUGCAUCGAGUCUCAGCCCAACAAUCCUCAACUCGAAACUCCCAUCCCAUCGAGAUUCCACCAGGAAGAUUGGAUCUAGCUGCAGUGUCUUCAGUCGAGGACGUAGAUGCGCGAGGCGACGUCUUGAACGAGCCAGUCGAAGCCCUGAAGCAGCCCGUCGCCGGUGAAGGCGCUGCAGCCGACGAUCUGCCAGUGACGGCUCUUCUCCAUGGCCGCCAGAUCCAGGACCUGAAAAACCAAAACCACACCAACCAAAUCACAACAGGAUUCCAACGAUCGCAAUUCGCACGUGCACGGCUGCAGCAGGAACACUGCUAACUGUGCUAUAAUAAGCUGUCUAUACUAGUAAUACACUGCUUGUCUGAUCUCGAUGUCGAAAUAUGGUGGCUCAACGCUCAACUAAAUUAUUGUCUGAUUUGAGAAUCUUAGCAAGGCGCUGUUCGAGUGAACGAUUAUAAAUUCUAGAUGCACACAAGUAGAUACUAAAAAAUAUGAACUUGACAAACACCGCCAGAAGACCCGAGUACCUUGGCGAUUUCUGCUGGUUUCAGGGCACCCUGAAUGUCCUGCUUGUUUGCAAACACCAACAACGAAGCUCCGGCUAGUCUCUGCAAUCAAGAUUACGGCACACAAGACAAGCGCGAUUGCAAGAGUCAUUGAUGGUGAACAGUAAGUCAAUGAACAUCGCAUCAUUUUCAGGCGACUUUAGACUUCUGAGCCAACAAAAGUGAUCAGCGUGAAGCUAACUGUUAGCAUCGCUGACUAGAUGAUGCACCUCUUCUUUCAGUAGAUUGUGGAGCUCUGCUCGACAGUCAUCAAGCCUCCGGAUGUCAGAGCUGUCAACCACCCAAACCAGGCCGUCAGUCUGCUCGAAGUAAUUCCUCCAGUAUGAGCGGAUCGUCUUCUGUCCCCCAACAUCCCAAAUGUUCAAGGAGUACCUGCGACAAUCACCAUUUCGUCAAUCUGCAGCAAUUUGUGACAAAUCAUUGCUGUACCCAUGACAUUUCUCAUCACCAAUUCACUAUGAGUUCCAAGAAGCAGUUGAAAUUUUGGCAAAUAUAUCUAGUUUUCACCUAUAUGACCUAACAGCAACAGACUGCAGUUGAUUGAACACUACAAGCAGAAACCACAACUCCAAGCUGUUUUCAGAAGGAAAUUUUUGACUACUUAUAGUACUGUCCUAAACAGGGACAUGCCUCAAGAACUUCCCAACUCAAGUACAUCAGGAGGAUGCAUUCAGUUUCUGCUGUCAAUAUUGCACUAUAGUGUAUCUGAAAUUCACAAAUAGCCAGGUGUGCUGAGAGGGGGCCGACCUGGUUCUGUACAUUUUCCUAUUCCUAGCUAGGUUGUGUUUGGUUCCUGGUAUGAACUAUUCAUGUAGCAAACGGUCCUGAUCCUGACACAACUGUCGUGUUAUUGAUUGGAUCGAACCAAUCAUUCCUGGAUGGGCUCGUUCAGAUUCCGGGCAUAUUCCUUUAAGAUGCACUCCUGCAAUUUCUUUUCAGGAAAAAGGGAUCUAAAAUUAAAAAUUGCGCGUUUGACUCCCAUAAGACCAGAACUAAAGACAGCGCUGCUUCCAUCGGAGCUUGCUGCAUUAGCUUGCUUAUGCUGACAUUGAUGCCAAAAUACAGUUCAAAAUAGCUUUCAGUCUUGGUAAACAAGCAUUAACAUAAGAACCACCAAACAAAUAUUAUAUCUAUGCCACUGCUGGAGAGGUAAUGUAGCUGGAUAACCUUCACCGUUAGCUAACAAUUACUGUUUGGCUAGGCACAGCCACAGGGGCAUAUAUUUUUCUACCUAUGGCUGUUAACAUUAUGACUGCCUCAUCAAUAAUUUAAAAGUCACAUGUUUGCAUUGUGAAAGGGUCAUGUAAAGUUUAUCUUUGGUGAAUACUAAGGCUAGUAAGUCCAGAAGGAUAGGAAAAGGUGCAGAGUAGGCACACUUCCAACAGUUCAGGAAAAUGAUCUAACAUAGAGUCAUCCUAAAAAAAAUGCUCUAGCAAUUUCAUUACAAUCGACUCAAAAUUGGAUGCUCUAUGCAGUGGUGGAACUUCAACAAAUUUCCAGAGGAUACUUAACUGCUUAAUUCUGUGCUUUUUAUUGUAAGCAAAUAGGGAUACUUAGCUUAUUAGCAAAUUGUAUAACCAGGAAGGGCCAUGGCCCCCUUUGGCCAUCAAGAAGCUCCACCCAUGGCUCUAUGGUUGAUACUAGCAUUGCAUGUGUGGGGCUUCUAAUGUUACUGAAUUCUUCAGAAUACUUUAAAUACAAACAGUGAUUUCCUUGUAUAGCAUAUCAUUACAAUCAUCUAAGCAACUAAAUAGUUAUCCAAAGCUAAUUAUACAACAAAAGGAAUACAUACUUUUGAUACUUGAUGGUCUUGAUGUUGAAGCCAAGGGUGGGGCUGAUUACACUGGUGUCCUCCCCAUUGAUCUUCAGCACAAUCGUUGUCUUACCUGAAUUGUCCAGGCCCCUGAAAUUAUCACAUCAUUGACCCAACGAAAAGCAGAAAGAAUCAUGAACGUGAGCCAAGAACUCGAUAAUGGGAAUCCUUCAACGCAUAAAGCAAACAGAGACUGCAUCUAAACCCAAGAAUAAACAGCAGCAUGUAUUUGCUGGGACCAUGGGAGAAAUAAAAGGGGUUGGAAUCAGAGGAAAAUGCUUACACCAUGAGAAUCCGCAUCUCCUUUUCCUUGCGUUUGAUCUUUCUGAUGAUGCUAAGGAGACCCAUCUUGGAGGGGCGGCCCAGGAGAUGAGUCAAGAGGCAAGGAACAUAAAGAGAGAGGCUGAAAGAGUACUGAAUUCUUCAAUGCAGUAGAGCCAGUCUUUGUUUGUGAUGUCGCUCAGGUCACUAUCAGCAGGUAUUCAAGCAUCAUCCCCCUAUGGUUCGAUUGAACACAGGUGCGCAAUGUCACAAACAGAAACAACAUUACAACAGUUCAGCUUGCCUCUAAAUUACACAGAAAGAGCAGUAUUCCUCUGCUGGGAACAAAUCUCAAAUCUUGUUAAACCAGUUUUACAAGACACGUAAGUUGGCACGGAAUUUUCACAUCGGUGAUUUUUUUAAUACACUUUGUCUCACACGAAAUGGCCACUCUUGUAAUAAAACUCGAAGGUAGCAGCUUCAUUCUCAAACUACAGGAACCGCAAGAGCACCCUUCAGAGUGCUGCAAUCGACCGAACAUAAUUCCUACCAGGCGUCCAGGCACAACUUUGUUUCGAAUCACCCCCAAAACCCAAAGGAGUGAACAAAGCAUAGGAAAACAUCCAUUCAACUAGCGCAAGAAGGUGAGUCAACGUUGAGCCAUCGAAGAAAGAAUUUCUUAGUUUUUUUUGGCGCACCUAUUCUAGAAGCGAGGAGGAGGAGGCGGUCGUCCCCGCUCGGCGACGUCGCCCUGGCCCCGGAGUAAAAGUCGCGGGGUCGAGAUCGGGGUGGCGCGGCCUCCGGGCUCUGGCAGGCGAACCGUCGUCCUGCUCGCGGGCGGCCGUCGCCGGCGAGAUGCAGCUUGUGCCCAAAUCUGAAGGACGGCGACCGACGAUGGUUGGCGGUGGGCUAGCUAGUUGCGAGUUGGUUUUGAUGGGCCGAAUGCAGUGUUUUCGUUCUUGUUUGGGCCCGGCCCCCGCUUCCUUUUCGAGGGGAAAAUCCCAUGCUCGUCUUGUAAGGCCCAGUUUGGAUAUGGGUCUCAAGCCUGCCAUUCGAAAUGUUGAAUCUAGUAUUUAAAAUGUUGUAACAUACUAUUUCAAUAUUAUUGUAUAAAAUGAACUAGAUUUUAAAAAAUGUCGAAUCUAAUAUUUAAAAUAUUGAACAUACCAUUUCAACAUUACCGUAUAGAAUGUCGAACUAGUUCAUUCGAAAUGUAAACUAGAUUUAGAAAAUGUUCAAUCUAGUAUUUAAAAUGUUGGACAUACUAUUUCAACAUUAAUGUAAAAAAAUUGAGCUUGUUCAUUCGAAAAUGUUAAACUAGAUUUAAAAAUGUUGAAUUUAGUAUUUAAAAUGUUGAACAUACUAUUUCAACCGUAUAAAAUAUUGAGCUAGUUAGUUCGAAAAUGUUGAUCUGGAUUUAAAAGUGUUGAAUCUAGUAUUUAAAAUAUAAAAUAAUUUCACAUUUUCCUCACGAGGUUGUGGGAAAAAUACAAAGAAAAAGUUACUAAGAUGGUCACAUCCUACUUAUGCGUUGGGUACUGCGCGGGUCCCAGCGAUCCAGCACUCCACCUAGUACCUACUUACUACUGUCACUGCAUGUGCUAAAAAAAAAUACCGUCACUGCACGAGGUAGAGGGGUAUUUGGAUACGAGGUGCUAAACUUUAAUAGAGUCACAUUGAAUGUUUGGAUGCUAAUUAGGAGGACUAAACAUGAGCUAAUUACAAAACUAAUUGCACAGAUUGAGUCUAAUUCACAAGACGAAUAUAUUAAGGCUAAUUAAUCUAUCAUUAGUAAAUGGUUACUGUAGCACCACAUUAUCAAAUCAUGGACUAAUUAGGUUUAAUAGAUUCGUCUCGCGAAUUAGACUCCAUCUGUGCAACUCCUAAUUAGUAUCCAAACAUCUGAUGUGACAGGUGUUGAAGUUUAGUAGGAGGUAUCACCAAACACCUCCAAGUAACCACGGAUAGAUUACGAGUGUGUGUAUAUAUAUAUAUCAUAUAUAUAUAUAUAUAUAUAUAUAUAUAUAUAUAUAUAUAUAUAUAUAUAUAUAUAUCAUAUAUUUAUAGAGCAAGCAGCUACCGUGCUCCCCACAAAAUUAUAUUACAUGAGACUGUACGCCUGGGUAUGGCAGGCAGGGCACACCAUAUAACUAUCUUAUCUCUGCAGACUGCAGGUCCGGUGGUAUAACUACUGGUAAUCUAUACAGAAGCAGUGCAGGUACGAACUGUACGUGCAUCAGUUUCCGUACUGGGGAAUCACGCGGCCAUGGCCAUGUCCUCAUGUACCCCACAACGCAAGCAGGACGAUCGAGAAGGCACGCAGCAGCCAGAUUAUUAACAAAUCCUUCCCAAUGCAAUGCAAGUUCCCAACUAAUCAAAAUUCAUUCUUGUUGUUGCUGCUGCCGCUGCUGAAAUUUAAAAUCUCAAGACAUGCACGUACGAUCGAUCCAAAUAUACUCUUGAUGAUCCAAAUAUUCGUGUCGUGUAGUUGAAAAAUUAAAUCAAACCAAAUCCCUUUUUCUUAAACUUUAAAGAAAACCAGCGCGAUCUCGUCCGGUGAUCUCGUGAUCCCUAUACUAGCUUAGCUUGGUUACUGAUCGGAUCCCUCAAAUAAACAACUCCAAAUCCACAGUCCAUUUAUGUAUAUCUCUCCAUCAUAAUAAAAGAAAUAAUCCACGACCAGUAUCAGUUGUUGCCAAUGCCACCUUUUCUUUAUUUUUAAAUCUCUCUCGGAUACUAUGUGUAAUCUUCUCUCGUACCGUACGUGUGAUGUGUAUAUGAUGCAGCGGAUCAUGGAGAUGUUUUUUCUUUGGUUGUUAGCACUGCUGCGUGCUGCUAGAUUUCUUUACAACUGUUAAAUAAGUAAAAUAUUUAUCCAAGAUCAGCCACACGAGAUAAUAUAUAUUAAUGUACUAACUCCUACCACCUACUUUAAUUGUUUAUUCAGAGGGUUAUUCCUUAUCAAGAUCGUUAAAUAUACCAACACCGCAGGAUUGUUUCGCACACACGUGCUAUAUUUCCUCCAUGUGUAACUAGUUAAUUGUGAAAUCUUAUCCUUACUGCAAGCUAACUCAUAUAUUAUUCCCUUCAAAAAAGGAAAAAAAAAGAAAAGAAAGGUAUUAUCCAGAUAAGUAUAUAUGUUUAUUUCUAUCAUUAUCCAGAUAAGAUAUAGAUGUGCCAAAAGACUAAUAAUGCAACAAUGCUCCUAGCUAUAUAUUAUUGUGAUCUUCAGAAGAUAAUGUUGUCUUGUCCAAUCAAUAUAAUAGGCUCCUUAAUUAGAACGUUGAAGAUCGAGAAGAUUUAGCAAAUCAUGCGUGGGCUUAAUUAAUUACUUGGUUGUGAUUUAGUUUAUUUAUUUGCUGUGGAUAUACAGGAACUACAUAUAAUUUUUGCAAAAUUCAACUAGUGAUCAUCAGAAAGUAUAUAUAGCAGUUCCAAUGCAUAAGGUGACAACUUGUACUUUACUCUUACAACUACGUGCCAACCAAUGCAUAAUCAACUCCAGAUGGUAUUUUUAAUCACAGCCAUGUCCCGAGAUUAUUGGCUCGAGGUCUACGCGCCCACCAUGGAUCCUGCAGCAUCCUGUUCCUGAUUGGAACCAACAGUUUUUUGGAUUUAAGUAUAACAACAAAAUUAAUCUUGCAUGAUGACAGUAGCUUCGUCUCUACUUUAAGGGAUUCUCCAUGAUUUGCUGACGAUCGAUUACAUACCAUGCUCCUAUAUAUAUGCAUAUGUCUUGUUAAUCCAUCGAUUGACACCUUUUCGAUCAGCAAUGGAGGAUCGCAUAAUUGUUGAAGAUUAUUCGACAAGAUAUAAUAAUCGACAUAAUCUUGAUCUCGUUUUCAACAGUAUAUGAGAGCUAAUUUAAUUAAUUAAUUUCUGCUGUGAAAUGGAUAGGUAUAAUUACCUGCUCCUGCAUGCAAUCUUUUGGCUAGCUAAUACAUUUUCUUACAUGACAGCGGGCAUUGUUGUUAUUUUAAAAAUAACCGCUAGCUCUGAUUGAAUCGCCAGCUGAACAUGUUGGCUGACAGUGUUGCAUUGACUGGAGAUAGUGUUGGCUGCAGCUGCUUUCGUUCGUGGGCCCGGCUUCAAUUGCCAUGCCACGUGGGCUUGUCUCGCACAGGCGCGCACGUGUACCCUCUCUCUCGAUCAGCUAACAGUACAUUGCAGAACGUCGAGAUCGACCUGUGUUGUUGAUGCUGAUAUGCUUUAUUUUAAUUUCAUUUCACUGUGCUCAAUUAGCCUUGCUGUCUUGUUAGCCUUGUUAAUUUCAUUUCAGUAUAUGCAGACACACACAAAAGCCGAAACAGCUAGCCAAUUGAACUGUCACCAACUGAACGUGCAUGCUUGAAAAGAUCUGUGUGCCUGUAUAUACAGACACGCUUCAUCUACGUGUCUGUGUGCCACAAAGCAUUUUUUUUUUGGAAAGAGAAGAAAUAACCCAAGCAUUUUUUUUAAAGACAAGAAAAACACUAAAGCAUGGUUAGGCUUCACAUCAGUACGUGUCACAGCGUGUGAUCUUUUCGGUCCCGGCCUAGCUCUACGUGCCAAACUAUAAGCUGCUUUAUUUUCAGCACGCGCGUAUAAAUUCUUUAUCUUUUUUAACAGCCGCAAUUUGUACAACGUUUCCAUAAGCACGCAUGCUAAUGUAUAUAGGCACGUGAUCGAUUACUUUGCAUGCCACCACCCACUUGCCUCGAUGAAACCGACCGAUCGAUUUUAUUGUCAACCUCUGUCCCACCGGCAACCGAUAGGCGUUUGAGUUUUUAUAUUUUUGCUGAGAUAGGUAUCCCAAGAUCGAGUACGUAUGUGUACAAGUAUUAUAUACCAUAUACAUCCGUACCAUACACGCCUGUGGUUUCGAUGCCCUAAUAUAUUGUGUAAAUAUUUAAAUAUUAGUGGUUGUUUGGAUACGAGGUGCUAAACUUUAACAGUGUCACAUCAGAUGUUCGGAUGCUAAUUAGAAGGACUAAAUAUGAGCUAAUUAUAAAACUAAUUGCAGAACCUUGUGCUAAUUCGCGAGACGAAUCUAUUAAGCCUAAUUAAUCCAUCAUUAGCAAAUGGUUACUGUAGCACCACAUUGUCAAAUCAUGGACUAAUUAGGCUUAAUAGAUUCGUCUCGCGAAUUAUAAUCCAUCUGUGCAAUUAGUUUUGUAAUUAGCUUAUGUUUAGUACUUCUAAUUAGCAUCUAAACAUCCGACGUGACAGGUGUUAAAUUUUAAUAGAGUGUUCCCAAACACCCCCUUAAUUAUUAUGGAUAUAUAGGGUCGUCGAUAUGUGUAAUGGAAAACGUUUGGGGGAAAAUUAAGGCAGGCAGAGUAGAAGCUGGUGAGCCAAAAUUCAGGCAACAAAUUAAAAUUAAGGUGCCCUGAUCGAUCUUAUUACCAGGCAGCAUUAAAAUAACACGCUGGUGGCCUGGUAAGGUUAAAUUAGUAAUGCUCAUGCAUGCAGACGCGUAUCUCUAUAUAUGUGUUGUGGAGAUUUUCACGUAGGAUGAAAAUUAAAAUAUAUAGCAGAUGUCCCUUUUGUAUCAUCGUCACUGAUUAGUAAAGGGUAAAGCGACCAAUCAGAGAUCAGGUUGCUUUAAGUUGUUUCCCGGCAAUUGAAUAACUUUUCCUUGGUGGGGGAAGAAGAGCACAAGAGUCAAGAUCCUCUGAUCUCCUCAUGUGUGUUUCACGUUUGUGUUCCUGUUGCUUCUUCGUCUGCUAACCAACUACACUCUGCAAAAAGGAAAACAAGUCUUUGGAGAUGAACAACAAACGGAUAGCUAUACGUACACAUCCAUAUGACGGCACUUUAUUCGUGUCUGUUUUCAAUUUUUUCAAGACGAUGGGGCCACCUUUAAUUUCUUCGCCACUUAAUUAAGCUCUCUAUCAAUCUUCAAUUAUUUGGAUAUUGUCUCUGGGCUAACCCUUUUGCACGAAGCAGGGUUACAUGGACUACUUCAAUAUAUACGAAUUGAGUUGAGCUUACGUAGCAUUUCAUAUAUAUUCCUAUGGUAGCACUGAAAUUGCAGAUUCAGUAGUAUUAAUAGUACUUCCUCCGUUCCAAAUCCAAAUUGUACGUUGUUUUGGCCUUUAUUUUAAGGUUCAUAGUUUUAGCUAUUCACGUAUAUAUACAUUUAUAUUUAGAUAUAUAACAAAAUCUAAUAUUUAAAAAAGUCAAAAUGACCUAUGAUAUAAUUUAAAAUAGAGGGAGUAAUUAAUAGAACUGAAAUUAAUUAUAUUGCUACUAGCUGGACGGUAGUACUUUGUUUCGCAGGGCUAGGUUCCAUCUGACUGAUGAGACGACAGGGCUAGCUGUUAUUGCGAGAACACAAUUAGCGAGGGCACUGGUGAGAUCAAGCAUGUACAUGGUGAGAUCACCACGACAUGCAUGGGAUGUUUGCACUGUGCUGCGCAUGCAGCAUGCUGGACCUGCGGACUGCAGAAGCUGGUCGAGCUGUCCAACAGCAUGUGGGCCCAACUCAAUAGUAACAACUUUGUUCAUUUUUAAGCUAAUUAGUUUGUCCCAAUAAACGUCAUAUAUGUCUUUUUUUUAAAAAAGGGUAGCAGUGCUGGUGUAUAUCCUGAUUGACAAACCACAUGACACAAAAUUUUUGCAAGCACUUCCAAUUGAUAGGGCAUGCAUGGGGACAAUGUUGAUAUUAUAAAUAAUGACAAUCGUAUAUUAAUUAAUCCCUCCAUCAGAUCAACUUGUUCCUCGCCGUCGCCGAUCUUGUCAUAUAAUUAACAGAGAAAUACAUAAUAAAAAAAACACAUGCAUGCUCAAGUAAUAAAUUUUAGUAGUUUAAAAAUUUCAGGGAGUCGUCCAACACAACUCAAAAAUGAAGAGUUCACUGCUCACAUUACGAAAAUAAAGCACAUGUCAGAUGCACAGCUGAUCAAGUGCCUAGCUAGCUCCUUCAUAUAUAUGAAUGCAUCAUGCACAUGCUGCUAUAGUAUGAACCCUAGAAACGGUCACUGAGCCUCCACAAUUAACAAAGUGCAAAGUACAAAUCACUAGCUCAAUAGAAAAACGUAACCGGCCUAGCUCCAGUUGACUUGGACCAUGCAUCCACACACACACACACACAAUGGUAACAUACGGCAGUAGAAUUGAAUAUGCGUGUUAUUACUUGUUUAUGCCGUGCAUCGAUCUCUAUAUAUGGCUAGCAAACGGCACGCGUCGCAGAGGUCGUGUACAAUCUUCAAUUUCACAUCUGUAUGCAUCAUAUAUGCACGGUGUCGUGUCAGCCACCAGUAACGUACUAUAGUGGCUCAUACCCUCCUCAGCUGUUCAUCAUCAGCACGUACACAUGCAUAUAGUGAGUGAAAUUAUUGCUUCAACUCCAACGCUUUAGUCGCAGCUAGCUAGCAGUGUCAGAGGUCGGAACUUCAUCCAUUUUCUAAAAAAAACCUCAAUGCUUUCAUUAUAUUAUUAGCUCCCGGCCCAGCCUCACACACACGCAUAGCAUAUCAGCAAUUCAUCGGCAGCUAACUUUUCUUUUCUGUGAAAGUAGUGUAAAUUAAUUAAAAGACAGGUAUAUAAACCCUAUACUAAUACUAGUAUAAUAUUGGGGAGGGUUAGGCCACGGUGCAACAGCGGCGAGGAAACUAAUAUUUUAUGUGAGGGCGAAAGUAAUCAUAGAGGAGGCGAGUGGGGACAUUGACAAGAAGGGAGGGCAUAUGUGUCCAGCAACCCACAGGGGGUCCUUAUAUCUACCAAACAGCACACUCCUGCUGCUUGUUGAGUCUUUUUCUCUGGAUGCUAGCUAGCUCCAAGAAGAUAGCUGCAGAUCGAGAGGCAUCACCAGCUUUUUCUCUCUUCCAUCUGCAGGUACUUGUUGGUUGGCCGGCAACCCAUGCAGCAUCCAUAUCUCUUCCUCAUCUCUUUGAUUCGAUCUCUUCUUCUUUGAGGAGUUAGCUUUCCGAUCUUAUUUGGCCAGCUUGUUCUUGAUUGCCUUUUGAUUUCUUUGGAUUAUUUGUUCUUCAAGUACUACUGCAUGUGGAUACUCAUGCAUGCUUGCUGACGGUCUGUUGUUGCAUGCCGAUCUGUCUGGGCACCUGAACCUGACCAGCAGUGACUGACUGACUGACUGACUGAUUGAUUGAUUGGCCUUUGUCUUCAGAUUGAGAGCUCAGCUUAUUACCACUUAUUGCAGUAGUAGCAGCUUAAUUGAUUCAGUUUCAUUUGCCUUUUGGUUCUAAUUAUCAUCGUCUUCAUCCUUCUCUCAUCAUCAGACUCAGAUGCCCUCGAUUUUAAUCUUCUCCAUACAAAUAUCAUUUCUUGAUUUGCUCGUUGUUGACUGCAUCUUCAUGAUUUUUUGAUGAUUUCAAGAUCCUUUCUGAUUUGUUCACUCAGUCAUCAGGGACAGGAAUUAUGGAUCGACAUAUGGAAGAUUCGAGCACGUUCCUCCAGUGGGCAAUGAACCAGCUGCACCAUCAGCAGCCCUCCGCCGCCGCCGCAGCUUCUGCAUACCAGGACGGAGCUGGUGCCGGCGGCAGCGGCGCCGCCGGAAACAGUGAAGCUGUCUUCCCGUCGCUCCAGGCGCUCCGCAGCGGAGCCCCCCAGACCCAACCCCAGCCCGUGGCCGCCAGCGUCCGAGUCCGCGACCUGACGGUGCAGGUGGACCACCGGACCAACAGCUCCAGCUCCGGCGACAGCCCGGGCGGAGGCGCUGCCAUGGACCACGACGCGACCACCGGGUGGUCCCCCCACACCGCCCGCUCCAGGACCACCGGCCUUGGCGGCGGCAGCAACAGCAGGCCCAUGAGCUGGAACUUCAGCGCCGCGGCGGCGCAGCCAGCAGCGUGCGAGAGCGGCGGCGGCGCCGCGCUGCCGGACGCCGCUGUGGCCGCGAGGGCGGUGCAGCUGCCAUCGGCGGGGAGGAGAGGGGGCGGCAGCGCGGCGCCCGCUGCUGCUGCUGCUGCGGCGCCAUCGUCGUCGCCGGGUCCAGUGCAGGACCACAUCAUCGCGGAGCGGCGGCGGAGGGAGAAGAUCAACCAGCGGUUCAUCGAGCUCUCCACCGUCAUCCCCGAGCUCAAGAAGGUUACUAGCUCACCAUUUCUUUCUUUUCUUUUUUGAUGACUGAUUCAGCUAUCAGCUGUCAUGAGAUAGCUAGUUGUUGAUAUAAUCUUCUCCUUCUUGUUAUUUUCUUCUUCUCCUUGUUCUCGUCCUCCUACCUCUUUUGUCAUUUUUGUUCUUUAAUUUCAUGCUUGUUUUCAGCCAUCUCAUCAAGGGGUUAAUUUUCAGCUUUGACAUGGCUCUUGGUGAAUCUCACAUGUUGGAUCGGACCAAGAUUGCAUGUACAUCAUCCCAAUAAAAGUGCAUGUAUUUACCGGCACUGUUGUUGCCCAAUCAUUUACUGAUAUAGUACAAAGAAAAGCGAGCUAGCACCUAGCAGAUUAGGUUCUUAGCAGCAAAAGUGCAAGCAUGGAGCGCAUAUAUUCUUGGUUUCAAGAACAAAUUUCAAAGUUAAAAAUUGUAUUAUGCUAGGAAAAUUUCAGCUACUACAGUGCACUUAUUAUAAUAACUUGAUCGGUAAUGGAGCAAGCAUGGAUCAUUUAUAAUUACUUGGAUCAUCACUAAUUAACUACAUCAUGAUCUUGAUGUUGCAGAUGGACAAGGCGACCAUUCUUGGGGACGCGGUGAAGUACGUGAGGAAGCUGCAGGAGAAGGUGAAGACCCUGGAGGAGGACGGCGCCCACAGCGCCGGCGGCAGCAGCAGCAUGGUGCAGUCGGCGGUGCUCGUCAAGAAGCCGUGCCACCUGCAGCCCGAGGACGAGGCCAUCAUGGCGAGCGGCGGCGGCGGCGACGGCGGUCAGCUGCCGGAGAUCGAGGCGCGGCUGUCGGAGAAGAGCGUUUUGGUGCGGAUCCACUGCCGCAACGCGAGGGGGCUUCUGGUGAGGGUGAUAUCGGAGGUGGAGAAGAUGCACCUCUCCAUCACCCACACCAACGUCAUGCCCUUCCCCGCCUCCACCGCCAUCAUCACCAUCACAGCCAAGGCGAGUAUGAAUAAUUCAUCAUAUUUCUUUUUAAAAAAAUCAUCAUAGGAUCCAUCGAUCUGCACUACGUACUGUAAAUACCAAUCAAUUAAUCAAUUGCACCAUGCAUGCAUUCAUGGGCAACAACCGACAAGCUAGUAUGCAUAUGCAUGCAACUAGAGAGCAAGCAAAUAAUGCUAAUAUUAUAAUAUAUGUACUGUCUUUAAUUUGAGUAGUGUGCACCAUUUCGAUAUUAUUACCUUAUGGGUAUUCCUCUAUUUAAUAACAUUUAUCAUUGUAUGGACAUGUGUUUUUUCUUCUUCUCAAGGUACUCCACUCAUGGUAGAUCUUGAGGGAUCAAUGGAUGAUUACACGAGGAAAAAACAAGAUUAGGCAUAUAUAAAAAGGAAACACAAUUACUACAUAUUUAGGGUAAAAACAUUUUAGAUGUGUUAGGGGAUUAAAGGCAAUUGCACAAGGUGCAAUAUAUAUGCAUGUAUUUGGCAUGAACUGCUAGUUAAAAUAUUAGGCGCUCAUUAGUUGUGGAUUGGUCAAGUCAGCUGGCAGAUGAAAUUUUCGUCUGUUAAAAAGUUUAUAAAAAGAAUUGACUUCGGGCCGGUGUGCUUGAGUAGUUGAAAUAAUAGCAGAUGAAACAAAAUGAUGUGGGAAGAUAGUUGAUAUGAAGAAACUGUCAAAAGGGUGGGGUGACAAUUUGUAAAAUGUCAAAAUGCAUAAAAGCUGCUUUCACAUCCCUUUUGUAAUAUAAAAUGUCAAUUUAAGGGGACAAUGUGAUCCGACUUCAACCAAUAAUAUCCAACAUAACACACUAAUACUAUGCACUGAGAGUGAUACCUUGACUUAUGAAAAGUUACCAUUCUAUGCCAUAUUGCUUGGGUAACAAUUUUCGUACAAAGAUGAUCAUAUUAUCUUUUGUUUGAGAUGAUAGUAUAUAUGAUGUUAAUGAUACUUAACACAUUAUUUUGAUCAGAUUAUUGUUCAACUGUCUUUCAGGUGGAGGAGGGGUUCAUUGCCACAGUGGAUGAGAUAGUGAGAAGUAUUAACUCCGUGCUACACCAACAUUACAGCAGCAGUUCUGAAGAAACAAGAGGAUAGAAAGUAGACAACAACCGCUAGCUAGCUUAUUUCCUAGGGGGAAAAAACUAAGAAGAGGAUCACUACUGCAGCCAUGCUUCUCUCCAUCCAUGAGGUGAAGGGCAUCAAAUAAUUGAGCACGCAAUUAAGCCUCUUUAUCUGAUGAUAUAAUAACAUGAGAUCAGACACAGAAACUCUCAUCAGGUAAACUAUGACGAAAAGAUGGCAUGCAUCAACAUGUUGAUCAAUGACGAGGAUCGAUUUCUCAACCACAAGUUGCAAGUUUCGGCCUAGCCGUACACUCAUGCAGUUGCUCAAUCAAAAUCAUUGAUGAGAGCAUCAAAAUGACCUUUUGCUUCAUGCAUGUCAAAAGAGAACAUGCAUGUUAUUUAAUACUGUUUUUUUGCAAGUUAAAAUGUCUGCAUCAAACCCUUUCAUAUAUAUAUGUACACACUUGCUAUCGAUAAUAUUUCUGGAAAAUACAACGAUUAGCUGGAUCAGAAUAGGGCUAACAAAUCCAAUAUGAUCUCGAUCUGAUCUUAUACCAAAUAAUUACGUCAUUUAUUUUAGAAAACCAUCAAUCUGGAUUUGUUUUAAAUUAGUAUAUAUAAUCAGGUAUGCAAUCUUCUCUGAGUCAUGUAUGAGUCAUCAGUCAUGCAUCCAAAAGAAAAAUAUAUAUUUCUAUCGUAUAAAGGUCGUCUGAUCCUCACAAAAAGAAAAAAAAUAUUAUAAAGGUGUAUGGUUUAGUACUGUACGUGUUAGUUAGACGCUCUUUAAUUAUGUAGCGUUUGUUUAAGAGAUAUCGCGUGAUCUGUACAGCACGUACUGAAGAUACGGAAGCUCCGGUCAGAAAUUUAAUUAAAUUAAAGAUCUCUCGAUCCAAUUGUUUUUUGUGGUGAGAUACAGGGAAAGCUGUUGAGAUUUGCAGUGCAAAGUUGGCACAGUACUGUUUGCAUAAAAUGCAACAUGUCUUUGGUUGGCAUAGCAAGCCAAGAUCGAAGAUAUGAUCAUCGAUCAGGUACUGCAUGCAAUUGUAUUAUAUAUUCUGCAGUUGUUGCAUACCAAUAUAUACCAUCAUGUCAUGGAUCAUGUGUGUGUACACAUUAAUAUACGUGAUCAAGGAAUAAAGCAUGAUGAUUUAGCAGCCUUAACGACGAUUUCGAGAGAUUUGUUGCAAUCAUAUAUUGGAUUAUUCUUUUUUUCCUUGAGGAAGCAUCGUGGUGAUGAACACACCAUCUUCGUUCCUUCUUCUGGGGACCCGGCCGUCUGGUCGUUGCCGGACAAGAAAUACUCUAAUGACACAAAGGGUACAGUACCAAACUGGAGGGACAUGAACUAAAAAAUAUUCUGAAUUGAGAUCAGUUGGCAGAUCAGCAGAUCUCAAGCAACUAUAUAUUCUUUUCAACUUUUGAUCGCCUAAAAUAAGAAACUAUCGUUUUGGUAUAAAAUAAGAAACCAUUAUAUUAAUUUGUUUAUUAUGUAUCAGUGCAAAAGUUACACUUUAGUUUAGCUAAAGCUAAGCUAGUUAAAAGUAUACUAUAACAUCUAUAUCAGUAGGCAAUUGGGCACAUGCAUGGCUGGAAGCAGGUUUCAAUAAUUGGUGGAUUAGCCAUGCUGCCCUGGAAUAUUUUAUUAUUAUUGCCAAUGAAAGUUUAUUAGUUUGGAGGCUGCAGGGUACACGCCAUUCAAGUGUUUAGUUGUGACUGGCUGCAUGCAUAGCUGACUGUAGUAAAAGGAAAGCUCCAUCAUCGUCUCAAAAGAAAAAAGAAACGAACACGCCGUUAGCUUUCUGCAUGGCUGUGCCCUGAAUGAUUUGGUCAUCCAUCGAUAUUGCAAAACUGAACAUGAGCUCUGAGCCGUAAGUGCAGAGAUCAGAUCUGAUGGAGGCAGCACAUCCUCUCCUACUUGAAUGCUUGUAUUGCAGAAGUUCUGAAGGAAAAAAAACAAUAUAAUGCAGUACACGCUUUAAAAAAAAAUUCCACAUUCUAAGUGAAGUGCAAUCUAAAAAAGAUCGAUGGUCCAGACUACUGAAAGAGAGGACCAGACACUAACAUUCAUAUAUAUAUAAUAUCUACUGGUCAAACUGACACAUAAGUUUUUGAUUUAAACAUUGGCACGCGCGGUCCCCAAACUGACUGCUAUUUUUUUCGUAAUAUAUUUAAUUUUUAGGGUGAAGAAAAAAAUAUACUACUAUAAAAACUACUUUGCAAGGCAGAUAUCAUUUCAAAUAUCAAAACUAAAAAUUAUAAAGAAAAUUGCAAUCAAAGUUUAUAAUGGUUGCCUUGCAAGUAACCUAAAGGAUGCUCAACUUUUUACUAGAUGGAGUAGCUGGCUGAGUGAAAACUAGCAACCUCUGGAGAUGGUUCUCAGUUGAAGAUGCAAUCUGAAUUAAUUGUACUGGACCAAAAAAACUUGAAUCUACUCCCAAAGAAAAAAAAAUACCUUCUUGCCCAUAUCAGAGAGUCAGUGUCGUCAGUGGUCACUAGUAAUAAUAUAUUUUUUGCGGUUUUUAUGAUGCUAGCUUUCAUGUGGCAUCUGCAGCUGCUUUGAUACCCGACCCAGCAGCUUAACUGUAGGAGAGGAGUAGCUCAUCACGAUCACGCACGAACCCCCCCGUGACGGGUUUGAUGUGACUAAUUAAGGCAGCGAAGCUACCAUCAGUUGCAGUGUUUAGAGGUUUUUUUAGCCAGCUAAAAGUCGGCUAGUUAAAGUUUAGCUGGGGUGUUAUCCUACCCUUGGGCCUCCUUCCUUCCUCCUCCCUCCCCUUCGGCCUCCGCUCGACCGCAUGCUGCCGCGCCGUCAUCCGGCCGCACCAGCCGCUGCCCCCGUCGUCCGGCAGCACCCGCCGCCGGUCCAUCUGGCCGCGUCGCCGUCCUGCCGCUCGUCUUGCUGCGCCGCCAAUCCACGUUGGGGCCGCGCGGGUGGCCGCGCCUCUCGUCGCAUGCUGGUGGCGGCCGCUGCACUGCGCUAGAGCCGCUUCACCCCUCCACGCCGGCCACCACCUCGCCUUCACGCGCCGCCGCUCCAACCCCGGCGGCGGCCCCCACGGCGGCGGUAGGUCCUGGACGGCUCCAUGUCGCAUUGAUUGGAGUGAUUUCUGUUGGGAAUGAGCGAGGGUGUUUUGGUCUUUUGUUGGUUUAGGCUAGUUUAGGGUAAACCAGCUUAAGGAAUGAAUGUUUAGCCGGCUAAAGUUUAGUUGGGUCCUAUUUCGAUCGCCAGCUAAAUAAAGCUUGUGUCACUGAACUCAACCACUUGCCCUGAUCUCCAGAUUGUUUAUUGCAUUCGGUCGCCAUUAAAGGUUCUUGCUGAGAUUCAUGCAUGCUUUGCUUUGGAUCGAGCAGCGUACGUACAGUGUUCUCCAGCCCCAUAGGAGUAACCUUUGCCAGGAUAACAUUGUUUUCUUGCAUUGCAUAAUGAAAGCAACGCUACUGCCAAACAUGCACUGCAUCUGGUUACAUCGAGCACUAACAAUCUGCGGAUACAAACGAUCCAACUGUACCAGGCAUGCUGUCAUGAAAUAAAAUCACCAUUCUUUUCUACAUGCUGUCGUUAGGUGAAUACUAGAAACCAUCCUUUUUCACCUCAUCCAAUCUUGUAUGUAAAGAUCUCUAUUGAGAUCAUACAGUCAAUCGGAUAAGGUGCAUAGGGCAACACACAUCAGAGAGACAGACCCAUCUGUUCAGAAGCAACUUUUAUUACCACACUUUCCUUUUUUUCCUUUUUUUUUUCGGCGACCACAUAUUUAUCCUUUUUAGUACAGCCGUGUAGGUUAUUCACGCCAUGUACACAGUAUUACAGAGAAAUUACAGCAAGGCUUUCCAGGAAGCCAAAACACAGCACAUGUCUUUCUAUGUUGGGGUUGGACAUCUGCUAGAUGGCCGGUCUCACUUGUUGAUGAAAGAGACGCCCUUCUGGAUACUCUCGGCCAGCUCUUUCUUUGCCUUCUCAAGACCAGCUCUGCAUGAUAGUGAUGUGUGAUGAAGAUGAAGCGUAUGUAGAUCAGUAGAGCUCUAUGAUAUCAAAUAGGAUUGGACUAGGUAGGCCCCGAGCUGAGCAAGUUAAAACAUGUUGCAACUCAUCUUUGGGUCUAAUAUUUCUGCAGUUUCCAUGUAAAUUUUUGCCUAGGACCAGUGCUGGAACCCAGGCAGCACAGGUCACAGAUCCGCCACUGUAAAUAUGGUAUGUUGAAACAGGUUUGAAUAUAAUCUGGCAAUGUUAUGAUUGUGAUCACUAUAUUCUAGUAUAUGACAGUGUUACUGACUGUGAGCCAUAGGUCCAUGUCCAGCAGAAAAGAACUCAUGAAACUGGCUUAUUGUCAGUAUCUACUACCAUAUGAAGGGUCCAAUCAUGAUUCACAAAGAGUAAUAUGAACACAAAUUUCAGACAAAGUAAAUUCGCUGAGGCAGUUGCCUGCCCCUGGUGUUGACUGAUAGAGAAUAUCUAUCCUAAAUGCAUGCCGGGAACAGGAAUACUUCCAAGUUUCAAAAGUAGAGGGUGCAGACCUUUCGAACUCAUUCAAUGGCCCAAGUGGCAAUAUUUCCUCAACACCAGAGCGCCCUAACCGCACUUUGGAUGCAAAGAAAGGUAGCUCCGUCACCUUCAAUCACAAGACAAGGAAGACAGAAUUCACAAAUCAGAAAUACUAUUUAGUGAAGGUGGUUAAAACACAAAUUGAAUCAUGAUUAUAUUCAGUAUACACGAAAGAAGAAACCUGAGAAGCAACAUAAGAGCACUCCACUAUUCCGGCAUCACCACGCAGUCCUCUCAGGCAUGCAUCUGCAAAUUUAGCAGCUGCAUACGCCUACAAAGCAAGUUUCAAUGUUAACUGAACCAGCACUACAAACUACAAACUGUGGACACUAAUCUUGAUACAAGUGGCAGAAACAGACCAUUGAAAGAGUCGCUGAUCCUGCUCCAGCUUUAGCCUGAAACAUAUACGGUAUGAGAUAAAAAAAUGAUUUUUUAGUAUUGACCGCAUUACAGUCAAGAACAGUUUCCAGAACUAUUAUUGAGAGAAGUAUGAGACCUUCACUAAACUAGUAACACCAAAACCUAGCACCUGGCAUAUGGGUAAAAAGCCAUGCACCUAAUCUUGCAGUUAACAUCAUGAAGAUGCCAUUGAUAUGCAUAUACGCACCCAAUUAGUCUUGUAUAUCCAAUAUAAUGACUGUCCAGAGUCCAGACGUUCAUAUAUCCAUUUUACUAGUGAUCUGACUCUUAUACUCUCAAAAUUAAGCAUGCCAAUUCUUUUUUUCAGCUUUGUUAAUCAUAGAACUAAACAGAUAAAACCAGUGCGCAUAGUAGAUCUAGGGCUGAGGAAAUGCAAAAGGGCCUGUGCAAUUGACUUUUCUUUCAUCCUUGUGUAUAAGAGAUACAGAAUUAGACGGCAAGGAAAAGCAUACCUCAACUACUUCUGUCCCACCAUUCUGUAUGCGAGAAGUGAGGUGAUUAACCUCUUCUGACGUGAGUGAGCAGGCAGGAUUCACCUAUGUAUAAAAUAAAAUGGUGAAAAUUGAAAUUGAUCCCCUACUAUUUCCAGACCUGUGAAAUAAUUUUCAAUAAUUUUGUAUCACUUCCAAUUAUUCCUAAGUCCUAACCUGUGAAAGGAGUGGUAAUAUUGUAACUCCAGCAUGCCCACCAAUGACAGGAACAUUGACUUCUCUGGGAUCAAGUCCAAGAACCUCUCCCUGCAAAACAGAGGUGAAUCAUAGAAAUUAACCAUAUAGAAACUAGUAUCACCAUAAUGAACCAUGGCAAACUCUGCUUAUGAUUUGAAGCGCAUACCACAAAAGUGUUGGCUCUCACUACGUCAAGUGUUGUAACCCCUAAAAGGCGCUUAGGAUCAUAUGUGCCAGCUUUCUUGAAAACUUCAGCAGCAAUGGGAACAGUGGAAUUGACAGGAUUACUGAUCACGUUCACAAUUGCCUUAGGGCAGCAUUUUGCAAUUCCCUCACAAAGAGUACGGACGAUUCCAGCAUUGAUGUUAAACAGAUCAUCCCUUGUCAUCCCAGGUUUCCGAGGGACACCAGCAGGAAUUACCACAAGAUCCAUCCCAGUUAGAGCAUUUUCUAACUGUGGUUGGCCCAAGAAUCCACGCACCUGUAGAAUCUCAAACCUAAGUAAGUACAUCCAGUAAUACUAGCAUUUACGAUUCAAGAAUCCAAUGGAUAACAGAACAAAUGCAGAGGGCACUCAAGAAAAUCUCAGAACUAACAAAACUGAAUCCAAGGAUAGUUACACACUUGUUAGAAAAAACUGCAAGCAGGAUGUUGUUUUUAACAAGGCAAAAUUAACUCUCCUAUGCAGAUUCUGUUCAGGGCCACACAACAUACUCGCUUCUAAGUGUUGUUACAGAAGGGUCAGGGGAGUGGGACGGGUACAUUAUGUGUACUGUAUGCCGCCUUUUGGAGACAGCUACAGUGAAAAUCUCUGUUAGGAAUGGAUGCAAGUUUAGCAAUAGAAAGGCUUUUUCUAUAAUGAACCUUUUCAUAUUGUUAAGCCUCUAAUGUUCAGAGAUGGUGUACUGGCUGUGUGGAAAGACAGUCCACAUAAUACCAAAAACUUAGUAACAAGAAACGGAUCUGCACAUCUCCGUAGGUAGUGGCUGGGAUUUGUUACUCCAUUAUCUAAAAAUGUGACUGUAUAAGUUGAGAUUUGAACAAUUAUCACUGAAUGGUCAGGUACUAAGUCUCUUUCAAGGCUUUCAGUAGAAAUUCUGACAUGACAUGAUUAACACAACUCCCAGGUAAAUUUCACAGGGAAAUUUUAUUUUUUUCAUGAGUUAAAGAAUUAUAACAGCAAGCUGGUUAAUCUCAACUUAUAUGCUCUUAAUAUUAACCUAAGAGUCACAAGUGCAGUAAAAAGACCUACGUGCAGCACUUAUAUCCUCUAAAUAUUAACCUAAGAGUCCAUAAAGGAACUAAUGGUAAUAAGGCCUACUAGCAUGCUGGUGUCAAUCUAUCUUCUGAAUUUGCCAGAAUCUCUUAAAAUGAUUUUUUUAUAAAAAAAAUGGGAUACACGCAAUGGCAAGAAGCAUACCACAGCACCAGUAUUCAUGUGGCUAAUGUCAGCCGUGACACCAGGUGCGUUGACGACAUCAUAUAGAUGGAGCACCGAAACAAGAGGGUUCAUCUUCAUCAGUAGCGCGAGUGGCUGCCCGAUCCCACCAGCUGCGCCCAAGAUUGCGACCUUGAAGCCUGGCGCCGCCCCUUUUGCACGGCAAAUGGAUCCCCUCAGGAGGGAGACCUCCUCCAUCUUGAAAACAAAGCAAUGGUAGAGAAUUUAGCAGAUAGUUAAAGCAGAUCUCAGAGAAGAAGGCAGUACAUCAAUCAAAAGAUUUAAGGUACAGCUGAGCCUAGACUCAAGUCUGAAGGUAUAAACUCGUAGAUAGCCCAUACCAGGUAUAAUUAUCAGGAGAACUAACUUGAACACAAUUCUAAAAUCACUAAGACAGGCCGGUGGCAAUCAAAUAUGCAGGUACCCAAAAGGGACAGCUUGGGUUCAUUGCCAGAUUCAAGUUAUGUUUGCUAGAACUUUGAAGUGUGUGUCAUGUGUGGUUUAUCAGGUACUGGCAUUCAACUAUCAACAGCUAAGCAGAAAAAUUAUGGAUUGAUGUAAUUCCUGAUGGUAUUUGAUACGAGAUUGAAACGGACUCUACUAUUUAUCAGCACUGUGCUCAUUUGCGCACACGAAUCGUUCAUCCGCAAAUCAGUACCCAUGUGACUGUGAGAGAAAUUUCGGGGCCCCCCGGACCAAAAGGAUCGUCCUUUGACGCCAAAGAUCCCAGCUUUCGUGGAGCGGCGGCCGCCUUCGCCGGGCAAAUGAGACGAGUCCCUUGACCAUUGACGGCGGGUCGGACGGAGCUUGGUUCUCCGCGGCAAGCCCGAAUUCACAGCGAAAGCUGGGCGACUAGGAGGUUCUAGAGACGGGAAGGGCAGGCGACGGUGAAAGCGAAACCAAGCAGUCCGCCAUCACUCCCUGAUCCGGAGGACCCCGGGCAAAUCAGGCGAAGCGGAGAGGGGCCCAAGGAAAAAGGGAGAACGCGGUGACGAACCUGAGGGUGAGAGGAGGCGGGGUCCGGGCGCAGGUGGGAGGCGAGCGUGGCCAUCCGCCUGGCCGCCGCCGCGUCGGCCCCUUGCUGCUCCAUGGUUGCCUUGGAGUUGCAGAGGCAGAGAGUCUCGCAGGAAGAGGAAGAGGGUGUCUGUUGCGAAACGUAGUAAGGUGUUCGCGGGACGAUGCGUGCACGUUUCCGACGGAGUUGGUUGUGCUAUGGUAUGGGCCGUAUGGGCAGGAAGGCGGGCGGUGCGCAGAGAAACUCUGUCGUCCCAAAAUAUAGGUUGAUUUAGUUUUUUUUAGAUUCGUAGAUAAUUUAGAUCAAGGCAGAGAAAUUGUAACACCCAAAUUUUUAAAGAAUUCAAAUUCAUUAAAAUUGGUUCAAUUAGGAUGUCAUUUAAAAUUCUUAGGCAUAUUAAUUUUCUUUUUUUCUCCAAAUUUAAUUAAUUCAUCAUAGGAGUUUAUUGUACAUUCAUGCUGGUGCAUUUAUUUUGAUUGCUUGAGUUUGAAUCAAAUUUGAAUUUCAAAUUCAAUUUUCAAAUUUUCGAAACCUUACUUUUCUCUUUUUCUUUUUCUUCUCUUAUCUUUCUGAUGGGCCACACCCUUCUUUCCCCUUCUUCCUUUUCUUUCGGCCCAGCCGCACAGCAGCGUCGUCGGCCCGCUCCAUUUUUUCGCCGGCCCGCGAAACUCCCCGCUCCGUUUUCUCCCUCGCCGGCCCAGCUCUCCUCGCCCGCUCGGCCCACCGCUUCGCCUUUCCUCCGCGGCCCACGAAGCAGCGCGGCCUGCUCCCCUUCCGCCGAUCUGAUGGGUGGGACCCACCCGUCAUCCCCGUCCUCCGGCCGUAUCCGGCCGGGACUCCUCCCCCGACCGCGCCGGACUCCGCCGCCUCCGCAACCACCUCGCCCCCGCUCCGAUUUCCUCGGGCGUUCAAAUCCGAGGCCGCCCCUAUCUCCAAGCGUGCCGCCCCUAUUUAAGCCCCCCCCCCGGCCUUGAACACCCCGCGCCAGCACCGAAACCCUAGCCGCCGCAAGCUCCAGCGCCGCCGCCACUUCUCCGCCGCCAAGCGCCGCCCUCCGGUGAGCCUCGGUCAUCAUGGACCGCCAAAACGAGAACGCCGUGCUUUCCUCUUGCUUCUGGUGUUCUCCGCGUGCGAAACCGAGCCCCGGAGCGCCGUUUCGGCCAACUCCGGCGACCCCGCCGCCGCUCGCCGUCGCCGCCGCGCUACCGCCGACGACCGCGACCGUCGGAUCCAGAUCCGACGGCUCGCAGCGGGUCAACCGAACCGCGUACCGGUCAACCGCGUCGCGCCGCUGUUCUUUUUCACUUAAGCCCUCGCCUUUUCCGCAAAUCAACCCGCGGUCCAGAUCACGUUGAAAAUAUUUACAGAUCUGCCCUCGCGUUUUUCGGUUUAAGCCCUGAGUUUUCUACAAAUCAACCCGCCGUCCGUUUUGGAGUUUUUGCGCGUUAAACCUUCGGUUUAUACGCGUAAUUACGUAUAAGUCCUCGGUUUUUUUCGCAGCUUGACCCUAGGAGUUUUGUUUUUCUCGCAGAAAAGCCCUUGGAUCUUGUUUUAAUCAUAUCUUUUGCAUCUUAACUCCGUUUUUCGCGUCCUUUAUAUCCACGUGUUCGUUUUAAAGCAUAGAUCAAUUUUACAAGCUUGUUUUCUCUGUUUAAUUGUGAUUGGUGUACUGUUUCUUACAUUUUGCUCAUGUUUGCUUGUAUGUGCUCGUGUGACGCGUGUAGACGUUCAACAGUUCGAGGGAUUUGAAGAUCAAGCCUUCGAGGAGUACGAACAGCAGGAGCAAGGCCAAGAAGGCAAGUCGUGUCCUUGAUCACUACUUUUCCGUCCUAUACAUCUUUACUUUCUCGUACUCAACAUUUAUGCUAUGCAUAUGUUAAGAUUAAAUUCAUGGGUCCCAAUUAAGGUUCGCCUAGAUUGAAACUACAUUUGCCUUGACCAACCAGGUUUACCUUUUAUCUUGGGUAGCUCAUGCUUAGUGCUUACUUGGUAUAUGGUGGUUUAACUAAACUCAAUGUUUAAUCUUGCUUUACUUCUGUUAUACCUUUUAUUAAUACAAGAUCACUAUUGUUUAAUCGGAACAUGGAGAACCACCCAGGAAAACAGUGCUACCACAAGACUAAUGGCUCUGGUCUUGGCUGAAUAAUUAGAAACUCUAGUUUGGGGUAAUCUUACCGAAAGGGCAAGAGGGGAUGCGUUGAUGGGAUAUAGCACUCGCUCUCGGGGGAAGUGGGCUUGGCUAAGACACUAUACCCACUAGGGGACUGCUAUGUUCUACUUCGACCUGAAACCUUAGCGGGUUACCACAUUGCUAGCGAAUCUUUGUAAAGGCCUCGUAGCGUCCCUAUGCAAUCACACCUCGGAAGUGUGGUAUGUUGCCUUGCAAACACCGCAUGGUUGGGUCCAAAGUUCUUUUGAACUUUUACGCGACUUGUGGGUAAAGAUGUGCCACCUCUGCAGAGUGUAAAACUGAUCGAUCAGCCGUGCUCACGGUUAAGAGCGGCCUGGACCCUCACAUGAUAAUAUUAUCGGAAGAUGGAUUUAAAUUGUUGUCAUUUCAUGCAUAUGUUGUUUACUUUAUUUAUGCUCAUGUUUAAUUUCGAAUGGUAUAAACUUAUACUUAGUUAAUUGCUAAAUAAAACUUGACCAACUGAAUUAAAAGCUGAUGCCAAUUAAGCCUUAGCCAUACCUUGAUUUUCCUUACACUACACUAUUCCCCACGACUUGUUGAGUACCAACCAUAAGUGUACUCACCCUUGCAAAACCGCUGUUCAGACCAAGCUAAUUUGGAGGAGUAUCUGCACGACUUUGAGGAGUUCUAGGCGUACGGUUCAUCAGUCAGCUGCCUAUGGUGUCGUCGUCGUCUUUGGAGUUCCGCUGCGUAAUAAUUUAGGUUUAUGUUUUAUUGAGACUUUCGGUCAUGUAAUAAUAUUUAAUACUCCCUUUAUUCGCUUUAGCACUGUCUUUAUUAUUCACUAUUGUCGUACAUGUGUGUAACUUAAUCCUGGCGCACAUGUAUUUAAUACACUCGAUUUUUUUCUUAAAAUCAGGUGUGACAGAAAUUGCCUUCGUUUCGGUCUUGGUCUCAUUUGCAUUUGUUUCCCCUUUACCUUUGCAACACGAUCUCAUGGAGGGCCAUGGAGUAUCUUCGGUUGGUGGUGACUAUAGUUCGUUCCAUUUCUUUACUGCUCCUCUCCUCUGGUUGAAAAUUCUGUUGACUACCAACUAAAGCUGCCUCGUAUACAGCAGCCAUAAAAAAAACGGGGGGCUGUUAGAUUUCCUUUUGGAAAUAUUCUGAUCUCGCUACAAUAAUUGACUCUUGAGGUUAAGACAUAGUAACAUUCUUGACAAAGAUGGUUAAAAGAAGAACAAUUUCUAAAACAGUGCCGUACAACAACACAACAGAUGUUGGUAUACAUAAGUUGAUUUUCUAUACAGUUUAUAACAAUAAUCAGUCAAUCACUCUCUCCACACUGUCUCUGAGAUGCAGGCAUUGCCACACUAACUAAUCCAAGCGUAUCAGAGGGCACAAUUGGGUAUUGACAACACCAGGAGUGGUUAAAGGCACCAAAGUCAACUUGCUGCUGGAUCUUCGUCUGCCGUACCUUCCACAUGAGCUGGGUGAGAUGAACAUGUAAAACUUAUCUGCAAUUGCAAAUUGAAUGCUCCUGGAUCUUCGUCUGCCGUACCUUCCACAUGAGCUGGGUGGGAUGAAAAUGUAAAACUUAUCUGCAAUCGCAAAUUGAAUAAUGGCCGUUAGCAUCCCAACAACAAACUUGCAAACUUUUUCGAAAUCGAGCUCCAUGAUACUGCUUACCAUGGUAUAUUGGUUUUCUCCAAUGCUUCAUCAUUCAGAGUCCAUCUUGUGCCCCCCAUAUGCAUAGACCUCGUGAAUGAAGGGGAAAAGGCAACGGAAUUGUUAGGUCACGAUGAAUCACUUUGAGCGGCAUCAAGACCCAGCAGCAUCGGGCUAUAUAUAUCAAUGCAUGCCUUUUUCUUUGUAAGCAUGCAAUUGUUAGCGGAAGGUCAUGAAAAAACUAUUACUGUAAAUCAUCAUCCAUUUAUCAUGACUUCCUUUUAUUUAGCACUUCAUGCAUUGAUGGUCUUGGUCUCCACACACGCUCCAUGGCAAACGCAAAAAGGGAUUAAGUCAUCCAGAUAAAGGCUGAGAGGAUAAACUUGUUGACCAUAUGUUUUACAACAGGUAGUACGUCUGAAAGCUAAGAUAGUCUACUGCCUAGCAAGUUCGAGGCAAACCUCAGCCUCAUAGGUUCUUCAUUUCUUCAAACUUUGGUGAGCGUUAUAUUAUUUUUUGUUGCAGAGCCUGAGAUGCCCGCAAAAAACUGACCAGCUCCUGGAUUUUGACACCCUUCUCAUAUAUGAUUUCAGUAUAUUUCAGCUUCCGGCAUUGGAACCGCACAAGGUUCCCAAACCGAGGAUAUGUCUUCUUCAGCUUGGCCUUUCCUUUCCGUCCCAUGGAAACUUUUGGGAGCUGUCUCCACCAAACAAAGGACUCGUAAGUUACAAGCCAAUGGAAUUAUGGAUUUUCUCCUAAUUUUGCUUUUAAAAAUUUUAAAACCCAAUGGACAUUUCUUCCAGAACUUCUCAAGUAUGCAAAUAGUCAACCCAAAAACAUAAUUCAACUUCUGCGACAGCAAUUCUUUCACUUCUGUGGUAAUGUAACUGGUCUGUUCUCACAGACUUCUCUAAUCCUGGAUCAGAGGUGUUGUGUGCAACUCGACAGUACAACAAGAAACAUAUGAACAUAUAGAGUAACCACAAAAUUCAGGACAAAAGAUCAUCAUUAACAAGACGGGUGUUCUAACUGGGUGCAGAUAUUUGAAAGAAGAAAGCCCGAGCAAUGCUGCUUCAUCAGAGGAGAAAACUAAAUCAGAGUUUAGAGCUGUAUACUGUUGAUAUCAGCAACAGGCCCUAGUAAGGCGGUUUAUAUUGCAAAAAUGCUGGGCUGGUGGUGAGAAUUAAACAACAAGCAACAUAGGGGUGAACAAACUAAGCACCAUACAUCCAUACUAGAGAUCAGUAUUAAUACAGCCUAAUAGCAAAAGAUCCGAUGAUGAACUUAACAAGUGUGGAGUUGAAAGGUCUGACUAUAUCUCCGUAAAGAAAGAAGGGUGUACUGUUUUAAGCUGCCCCAUCCUCGGAUCCCUUGCAGUACCUUCAGAGUACUUUCAAGUUUCAAUAGCAAAAAAUCAUCUGAGACAUGUAUGCAGGUCAACACGUGUCACGUAGUCAGAGUAGAUAAAGAAAAAUGUUAAGUACCCGUACCCAGAAAUCCUGCAAAAUAAGCUCCUCCAGAUUUGGAGACUUGUGCAGAAAUCUCCCAAGAGCCUUCAAUUUAUCAGCAUCCCGUUCGCUGAAGAAACAGUAGCUGAGAGACAAGGUUCUCAGGUUGUCGAACAUUGGGAACUUAUCUAACUCGUUAUCUAAGAAAGCCUGAAACAGAGAAGCAGAAACAGACUUGAGUCAAUAACGAAACUGAUCUAGUUCAGUAGGUCUUGCACAGAGUUCUGACGGUGGUGGUGAAAUCUUCAAAUGAGCUUUACUAGUUAUGCAUGGAACAGAGACGGCUGUAGCAUGGAAGAAAGGCAUACCAUUGCUUGAAAGAAUUGCAACUCCAAACUUGUCACACUGAAUAGACUGCCAAGAAGAAUGGCUUCAGUUCUUGGAGAUAACUGUUCAGGCAUUACAGAAAUUGAUGCCUUGACAAGGGAAUUUCCUGCCUCUAACGACAGACCAUUGUUGUAGCAACUAGAGUCCAGGAACAUGGAAGCUAGACAAGGAGCCCUGACGACCAAUGUAUCUGCAACCCGACUUGUACAAGCACGAACUACCAAGUUCCUGAGCGUGUCGGAUUGAACGACAGCAAAGUUGUUGGCACAGUUGUGGAGGAGCAAAUCUUCCAGGACUGGGCAUCCAGAACUGAGCCGCUCCGAGAAGCAAGGGUCCAAAGACACCCACAAGCUCCAAGCUUUUGAGGAGAUGAAAGCCGGAGCCAAGGCGGGGGAUCUGGAAGUGGUACCUGAAGAUGUCGCGGUAAACACGAAUCUGGAACACAGGAGGCUGGCACUUGAUGCCACGGCGGACCCAUCUCUCGGUGUCGCGACACAGAUCGGGAAACUCAGUAGCCCAAAACAAGUCGAGCCGGAAAGCGUCCAGGCAGCGGGCGUUGUUGAGCAUCAGCAAGUUGUUGGUGAAAUCCUGCAGCUUCCUCCACCAGUGGCCUCCUCUGAAAUCGCUGCUGCUGAACGCCACAGAUCCAUCCACCUCUUAGACAGCACGGUGGUCUGCACCGCCUGCCGGGACGGGAGGAAGGAGAGGACGUGGCAGAGGAGCUCGUCCGACAGGGCGCUCAGCCGGUCCGGUGCCGAGCCGCGGGCCGUGCGGGCCUGCUUGGCGGCGGCCGCCUCCAUCGCAAGAAAAGCCCCGUCCGGAACCCGACCACGGCCGCGGCCACCUCCGAUCCGGUCGCCGGAGGAAGAGGCAAAACCCUCACAUACGGAGGUCUCGUGCCUCCCGGCGGCGAGGAAGACGAGCGACAGCUGCUGAAUCUGAUGGCCCAGCAGCCAGCAGCAAUCGCCUCUCACUCUUCUCACUCUCUCUCUCUCUCCCAUACGGAUGGGCCAAUGGGAUCAGGCGGGAUACGGCCCGUUGAAGCACCGGAUGAAUCGUUGGGCCUCCAAUUGGCCCAGCAGACAACCCUAGUGGCCGAUCUCCAACCGGUUAGGGUGAUCAUUCGGACGGGACUUUUCUAUGCAUCGCGGGACUCAACUACUCCCGCUAAAUUCAAUGUCCUAACGUCGCUGACACCCUCAUAAUUUAUAAACUACGAUUUCCUCCGUUCCAAAUUACGAUUCGUUUUGGAUUGUAGAAGUACAUAUUUUUGAUAUAUAUAUAUAUUAUGUCUAUAUAUACGUAGAAAAUGCUAUGCAACUAGAAAAGCCAAAGUGAAUAGUAAUUUAGGAUAGAGGGAGUAUUUUAUAAGUUAUAACUUAGGCCCUCUUUGGCAUGGCUCCAACUCCGAGUAGAGCUGCUCCACUCCAGAACUCCAGAACUAAAAUGGUGUGUUUGGUUAGAUGGGUGCUCUCAGCUCCAAAAAAGAUCAAUUUCAAUGUGUAUUGCCAUUGUUGCCCCCAAUUUAGGCCCCACUUGUCAUCCUCCCCAAGCACCAUCCAUCUCUCUUGGUCAAGUGAGCGUCUGCCCCUCCACGCAAUCCCAAGGGCCUUGGCUAUGGCGCCCCCCUCCACUCCGGCAGCCCAGUCCGACCGUGCCGCGCUCCUCAAGGCCUUCGACGAGGCUUGCACGGGCGUCCGCGGCCUCGUCGAGUCCGGCGUCUCCUCCGUCCCCGCGCUCUUCGUGCACCCGGACCCCUACGCCUCCGCGCCGCUCGCGCCCCCGGGCAUCUCCAUCCCCGUCGUCGACCUCUCACUCCCCGCGCCCGCCGCUGCCAAAGCCGCCCGCAGCUGGGGCUUCUUCCACAUCAUCAACCACUACCAAGCCCUCGGCGUCCCAGAGGACUACCCCGCGCGGGCGCUCACCGCCGUGCCCGCCUUCAACAAGCUCCCGGCCGUCGAGCGAUCCGCGCACUACGGCCGCUCCAUGACCGGCGGGGCGGCGGCGGCCUUCGGCGGCGGGGCGAGACGGGCCGGCGGCGGGGCUCGGCGGAGGGGCGCGAGGGGCGGCGGCGGCCUUCGGCGGCGGGGCGAGACGGGCUGGCGGGGGGGCUCCGCGGAGGGGCGCGAGGGCCGGCGGCGGGGCUCGGCGGAGGGGCGCGAGAUCCGGCGGCGGGGCGUUGUGUCCGGCGGUGGGGUGAAGUCACGGGAGAGGAAAGAAGCAGAGGCGCACGGGAGAAUGGAAAGAAAGAGGCAAAGAUGAAACAUUAUUUUUGUGUAAUCAGUGGCAGUGGUGGGUAAUUACCCACCAACUCCACGAGGAGGUUCAAAAGAGGGGGUUUUGGAGCAGCAAAAGAGGUGCUCCAAAACUCCACCCUCAUUUGUACUACAGCUCCAUGGAGUUGGCAGCUCUGUGGAGUUUUGGAGUUAGGGUGUUUGGCUAUUUUUUUUGCUAGAGUCGCUGGAGUUGUGGAGUGGAGCUGUGCCAAACAGGGCCUUAUUUGCUUAGGGUGUGUUUGGUUUUGGAACAAUGUGGGUUGUGUUGGAGCCGACCUCCUUUUAUGGGUUGGAGUCAACCCAUCUCAUGUUUGGAUGAGAGGGACGGAGAGGGAUGGUUUGGGCCCAAUUUUUUGUUUGAUUGGAGGGACUGAGAAGGUUGGGAUGGAUGGUAUUUUCACACCGUUAGUUGUGGGUCCCACCUAUCAGCUACAGGCCCACAUGUCAUCCUCACCCACCUUAUCUUCUUCCUCUGGCCACUCUCCCUCUCCCCCGCGCCGCCGCCCCUCUGCACGUGCGGCCACCGCUCCUCCCUCUCCCCCCGCGCCGCUCCUCCCCUGCGCCGGCUGCCGCCCCUCUCCUGCGCUGCUCCCUCCCCACGUCAGCCGCCGCUCCCCUCCCUGCAUCCUCCUCCGUUCCUCCUCGGGCGAAGGGCGGUGGCGAGGAUAGCGGGAGGAGGCGGGGCCGGUGGGAGGGUGGAGGGGCCGGGUGGAGGGCAUCAGGCAGACGGCGGACAGGUGGCGGGGGCGUCAGGCAGGCGGCGACGUCGAUCGAGGCAGAUGCGGGGGCAGGGAGGUACGCGCACGGGAGAGCACGACGCUCGUGCGGGUCGAGUGCGUCCGCUCGUUUUGGGCGGACACAUUCAACCCGCAUCUACGGGGAAUAUUUCUUACAGGGGACGAAUCCAACCUAUUCCAUUUCCAACCAAACGUGGGACGAUUGGGGUCGAACCCGUUCCGACCCACAUCAACCCGGUAACCAAACACACCCUUAUGCUUGCACUCGUGCCUGCAUGUACUUAUUUGCAUAGCGCUAAAGGUUAUAGCUGUCGCUAUAGCUGUAUUUAGCGGCUAUAGGUUGAGGCUAUCCGCACUCGGAGCCUGCAAAGACGCCUCAACUGGAAAGAUAGAGGUGCAUGCACUGCACUGCAGCACGCUAUCCCCAUCUCCACUGAAGCGUUCGCUACAGGAAACCUAGAUACCCAGCAUUCGGCCCCGCUACGCUAUGCUCUCUCUUCGCAUACCACGGGCCCCGCCCACCCCACCGCGCCGCCCGAUCUCUCUCUCUCUCCCAGGCGUGAUACAGGCGAUGCGGCAGCAACAUCCAUAUCCUCCAGCGCCUGUAAAAGUUCUUCAGACAAGUGGGCCAACCCCUUUACCACGUCCUUUGCAGACCGCCGCGGUGCGGUCAGCCUCAGGAGCACUUCAUUGUAUUGCGACUUCUACACGAAUAAGCUUUAGCUAUUGUGGCGCUACACUUUAAAGAAAGAUUAUCUUGAAACCCGCCAUAAAUUUAGUAAACCGUACCUUAUUAAUAUUAUUAUUUCAGCUGUACACAUACCCACUACCUCCCACCAUACCCCUGGCGGCGUGAGAUGGGCAGGUGGGUGAGGGGGGAUUCACUCCAGGGGCGGACGGCGUGAGAUGGGCGGCGGGCGGAUCGAGAGAGGGCGGCGGGAGCGGGCGGAUCGAGAGAGGGCGGCGGCGGCGGGCGGAGGGAGAUAGGGCGGCGGCGGCGGGCGGAUCGAGAGAGGGCGGCGGGAGCGGGCAGAUCGAGAGAGGGCGGCGGCGCGGGCGGAGGGAGAGAGCGUGCGGCGGCGGGCGGAGGGACAGACGGUGGCGGCGGCCGAAGGAAAAAGCGGCGGCGGCGGGCGGAGGCAGAUGGGCGGCGGCGGCGGCGGGCGGCGGGAGCUGGGUGGCGGCGGCGGGCGGCGUGAGUCGGGCGGGAGAGAGACCUGUGGGCGGGUGGGUGCGGUGCGGGUGGAUCUGGCGUCGGUGCGGGGGUAGGGAGUGUCCAGAACCGAUUUUAGUCGGUUUUAGGAGGGGGGUGAGGGCCUAAAAGAUUUGGACCUCCUAAAAGAUUUUAGUCACUUUUUAGGAGGAGUGUUUGGCACUUUAGGCAGUUUUUAGUCACCUUUUAGGAGAUAAGGUUUUAGGAGGAGGGAAACAAACAGGCCCUUAGUCUUGUCCCAAGCAGCGUGGAGAUUUAGCAAGCAGAGUAGACCGAUCCGUUACCAUGUCAUCUUAUAUAGCCAACGAAGAGAAUAGGGAUAUACCUACGCUCGCUACAUGCCGAGAGCUACAUUCGUACUCGUAUCCACGUGGAGGCGUCCAGCACCUUGCAUCAACAUCAUCGACCAAUUCAAUUCUGUGUAGCGGUAUUAUAGACGGGGACGGCCCAAUGCAUUUUUCCCCACUAAAUAAACAAUGAAUUCGAUCACCAUUGCAUGAUGUUGUACCAUAGGAGUACUCUAAUACAUCAAAGUACUCCGGUUCCGAUCAUGGAUGGAUCAAGAAACUCGUGCUAACGAGUAAUUUAACAUAUGUAGGAACUCGUGCCGGCGUCAACCUGUCCGAUCAGGACGGGUGGGGCAUUAUACUGCAUGCGCGCGUCAUUGUGUAUUGGUAUAGUAAUUAAGCUAGCGGAUAUAAUCUGCAGGGCUUCUUGCAACGCGCAAUAAAUAAAAAGGAUGGCGAUUACUCCCUCCAUGAUUACUCCCUCCAUCAUGCAAAGAGCAAAGAGCGCUCUUUUAAGUUUAUCCUAAGUCAAACUAUUUUAAGCUAGAUUGACCAAGUUUACAAUGAAGAUAUCAAUAUUUACACUCUUUGCGGGACCAGAAAUCAAGGGUUAGAUUCCUCCAUAAUGCCAAUCCAGCAAAGCACCAAUAACUUCUGGUCCCUCGUAGAGAAACAUGCUCUACGACAAGCACAACACACGUUGCAAUUUUAUUACUUUACCAUAGUAGAUGGAGCGGUAACUAGCUAGCUAACCACAUUUAGUUGAUAUAAACCAUGCCAGAUACCAUAGGGAAAGUGGCAGAUCCAGGGGGGGCUACGCAGCUCACGGAGCCCACUCUUAAGCCUCUCCUACAAAUUUUGACCAUGGAUAAAGGAGAAGAAGAAGAUGUGACACAAAUAUAUCACUACCAGCAGCUAUGAUCGUCCUCCGUAGGGAAACGUGUUCUACGACAAGCACAACGCACGUUGCAAUUUUAUUAUUUUACUAUUAUUUUUACUCUAAGCCUCCCCUACAAAUUUUCAUCAUGGAUAAAGGAGAAGAAGAAAAGAGAGAAGGGGAAGAAGAGAAAGAGGAAGGAGAAAUGGAGAAGGAUUGGGUGAACGAGCCCCCUGGGCCCUGGCCCUAAGCUAGCAGACUGCGUCCGCUGGAGUUUUCACGGUGCGUUCGUCGUCUUCUCCCAGUUCGUUGAGCCUGACUGGAAUUUCGGGCCGUUUUCUAUCGGUACCGCCCAUUUUCAGCUGUGCUUUCCAUUCUAAAAUUAAGGAGCUACGUACCACCAGCUGAAGAGCUAGCUAUCUUGUAAAUGUGAUGAGAUCGAUCGACGAGAUCACUGAUGACUAUACAUACGUAUGGAUCUUUAGGUGAGCCGGCCCUUAGAAAUCAAAAUCUACCUAGCAACGGUCCACGUAACUGAACAGUCUUGACAUUGCAUCAAUUUUCAGAACCAAGACUAAAAUUGCUCAUUCAAGAUAUGUUACUUACGCUGACCUGCCCUAGAAAUCGGUGCAUUUUCAGGACCGAUCACCAACCCGUCACUACGUUUGGAUUGAUUUAUGCUGCCACAUGGAAUUUAACGUGCUAGCAGACGGGAUUGCCACCUGCCAGCACAAAGGUUCCCUGGAAAUACAUAAUUAGUAUAGUAGCUAGCUAAUAAUGUAGAAACAAUUUUUUUGGCACAUAAUUUUAGAAGCAGUUAAGAAAAAUAUAAAGAUUUAGAGCCCACACUGUGAUUGAUUUUUUUGAAAGAUGGUUUUAUUGAGCCAAUAAAGAAAGCUAUUGUAAUUAAGUACUUGUUUUGCUCCUUUUUUUUCUAUUUAUGUACACCUGAAAAAAAAAGAUAACCAGGAUAUCGCCAAGAUUAUCGUCGUCGAGCUAGCGCAAGAUGCAAAAUGACCAAAGACUGCUGUAAUGGUACGAGGGUAGCUCUCUUGAACAGAGUAUCUCUNNNNNNNNNNNNNNNNNNNNNNNNNNNNNNNNNNNNNNNNNNNNNNNNNNNNNNNNNNNNNNNNNNNNNNNNNNNNNNNNNNNNNNNNNNNNNNNNNNNNUAGCUGAUUGGCGCAGUCAGAUCACGACGACAGGAUGAGGAGGCACGUGUGCUAGUCCCUCCAUUUCAAAUUACAGGUCGUUUUAAUUUUUCUACGUUUAUAGCUAGGUACUUUGGAUAUAAGCUAGCAUUUUUUUUUACAUUGAGCUUUGGGUCAUUAUAUUUCCUCUUAGAAACCUGAAUCGCUGGCGUUAGAAACCUGCAUCCCUAGAUGUAUUCCGGAAGCCGUUCUUGCGUCUACGGUUUACUCGCUUGCGCAACUCUGGCUGCCUUGUCUACUACACGAAUUGGGUGAGGUGUGCAUGUGAAGCGUACCUACAGAAGUGUAAACUGCCGUUAGCUACCAUCCAUGUUAGAAACUUUGUAAACAUUGUUGAACUCCAUGCUACUUACUGUUGUAUCUUGGUCUCCUCCAGUGCUUCAGAGUUCAAAUUAAAUCGAUCGAGUUCAUCACAUCAUGCUGUGCACCGGUAGACCUCGUGAAGGUGUGUAAAAGGACAAGGUUAUUAGCGGUAGCUCAUGGAGCACUAUAUGAGUGACAUCCAAUCCAAGAGCACUAUAUGAGUGACAUCCAAUCCAAGAGAGAGAGAAAGAGAGAUGCAUGAAUGGAGCUCGAGCUUUGUCCCAGGCACAAGCACUCGAGGCGUCAAGGGAGUAGAGAAUGGAUUGUGACUUGGUGCCAGCUGAUGCCCACGCGUCGCCGCUGUCCAGAAGCGGUCGGCAUGCAGGUAAGCACCAUAAAACAGAGAGCAGUGAGAGAGUCCAAAGGGAGAGAAUAGAGCUCGGUCACCAGUAGUCUGGAAAUUUCAGAUCGACCAAUCCUUUCCCACAACUAAUUUAAUUAUUAGAUAGUCACUAUUUCUUCUCAAAUGUUGUCAGUAUAUAGACAAGCAUGUAUUCAUCUAGAGAAAUGCACUUCAGUUGUCUUGGUAGAAUAUUUUCAUUGAACUACAAACUAGGUUAUGAAGACUGUUAUGUACACUCAAAACAGUGCAGUCACUUAGGUAUUUUUGGAGAAAGAAUAAAAAUAUAAAAUGAAUUUUUUGGGUUAAAAAUUGGUACAUGUGUUCAACUCAACAUUGUAUACAUGUUUUGUCGGGGUUACCCAUUUGGUAGAUUUGUAGGUGGGGGAGAUCGUAAGACCAAGACCUCGAAUGGUAGCACAGGAACGCAAGGUUUAGACAGGUUCGGACCUCCGGAGAGUAAUACCCUACGUUCUGUGUUUUGGUGGAUUGUAUUGAUGAUUGCAGGUGCGAAUAGUUAACGUGCGGUGGGGUGAAUUGAGGUACCCUUGGGGGGGCAUCCCUGACUGCCUUAUAUAGGCUGACGACCUAAUGUUACAAUCGGAUAGGAUCUAAUCCUAGUCGGUUGUUACACGGAAAGCAAUCUGAGUCAGACUACAAUAAGUAUCCCUCGGUAUUCGGGCAGAAUUCGUUCGCCCGGUCUCCGGACUUGUGCUCCACGCGUCUUCAUGCCUUAGCCCGCAUGGCAUGGUAGGGCGGGCCCACUUAUCAGGGCUGAUCAGUAUCUUGGUCGGUGGGGACCCGCGGGUACCCUUAUCCCUCACGUUUAAAUAACGGUAUAUAUUUAUCAGGAUUCCGAGCCCAAAUUUAUUACCUGCAAUUUCAAAAACAAUAUAUUGCAAUGUGACCACUUAAGCAUAUUAGGAGGUAGUUCUAAAAUAACAAAUGAGGUCCAAAAUGGGUGUAACUUGGGUUGUGUAGUAUUCAAUACGGAUAUCUCUAAAUGGUCAACUUUAAACUACUCCUACUUGCUUGCAAUACGGUCGCAUAUUAUAAAGGAUAUAGGAAACUUUUAAACAUGCAUUCUUACAUGUUUACAUGUUGUACAACAAGGAAAUAUAUUGGUGAUUUAGCAGCUUCUUCCAGAACUUCUCACAAUAUGUGUUAAUCAUCUGAUUUUUUGUCAUGGUACCGUCUUUUUUUUCCCCAUUAGCCUGCAGGGGGAUUGAUACCUUGUUUCUAACGUAUCUUACCAUAGGCACGUGCUAAAUUUCUUGAUCGGAAACAUUACUAUUCCGAUCUUUUACGGAGAAAAUAUUAUUGGAUUAUUGUCAUGGUGCUAAGAGAUUUUUAAUUUGAUAGAAAUCGGUAUUUCCAAAACGUAAAUCUAUAUCAUUACCAAUAACUAACUACCCAUAAAAACUCCACUGGGCCAACGCAAGCUGGCGCGGCAACGGGCACUAGCUCCGGGCAGGCUCUUGAGCCUAACAUCCAUGUUACAAACUUGCCGGACUCUUUCCAAUUUGAGGUCCAUGUUAUCUUGGUCUCCUCCAAUGCAAUGCUUCAGAUGGAGUUCCUCUUUGCCGUAGACCUGCUCAAGGUGCGGGUAAAAAAAGAUUAGCUAGGUUAGCGCUAGCCGCAUCCAAUAUAAUGCAAGGAGCACUGCUAGCUGGACUAUACAUUUAUGCAUUACAGCCGAGUGUAAGCAUGCAUGCAGUUAUUGAUAGAAUGCAAGAAACCAUUUGUGAAUAAAUCGUUCAUUCGUCAUGCGAGUGCAUGGUGAAUCGGUGCUGUGCUCCGAUCCCUGCUGGUCUCAGAGUAGUCGUACGUGUCACCACCAGCUGAAGAAAAGAGAGAGAGAACGGGAUGAAUCGUACUUGUUUGAGUUGGGCAGGCCUGGGAAGAUUUGGGCACGAAACAAACAGAAACUAAAGCACACUAGGAUUGGCUAUGGAGCAGCAGCGAGCCGCUGGAGCUGAUUACACAUGCAUUGUACUGCUACUUUCAAUAUGUAUUUGCCUACUUGUGUGUACAUGCUCCUGCAGUGCCGUUAUUCCCGUCGCUACUUUCUUUGAACGACAUGAUCUGUGUGUUUCUGUAGUAUUAGUGUGAACGCUGGGACAUUCUCUUUCGACAUUCUCGCUACUACAUCUGUAUGUUUAGUAUACGUGUAUAAACCGAGAGAGAGAGAGAGAUCCACUAGAUAUGUUGCUCCAUCGCUCUCAGCAGGCUCCUUUACUUUUGUCCCUGCUGAGAGCUUAGUCAACAAACAAAAGAAGGGAAAAAAAGGUAUUUCCACUAUACAUCCUCCAUGGAUGAUCAGCUAGCUGUACAUGUGCCCGGAAAGGAAAAACAAAACAAAGAAAAAUGCACUAUACUACUGCCUUAGUGCCUUUUAGUUAGUUGGGGUUGGCCUCCGGAGUGCUGGCUGUGGACUGGAUACGUACUUGCAGUGCAGGCGUGCAGCAGCAGCAGCAACCGCACCACUCUCCCAUCUGUCUCUUCACGAUAAUAUUGAGCGUGUUUGGAUCGCGGAGCUAAAGUUUAGUCCGCGUCAUAUCAAAUAUUCGGAGGCUAAUUAAAAGGAUUAAAUAUGAGUUAAUUAUAAAACUAAUUACACAGAUAGAGGUUAACGACGAGACGAAUCUAUUAAGCCUAAUUAAUCUAUCAUUAGCAAAUGGUUACUGUAGUAGCACAUUGUCAAAUCAUGGAUUAAUUAGACUUAAUAGAUUCGUCUCGCAAAUUAACCUCCAUCUAUACAAUAGGUUUUGUAAAUAGUCUAUAUUUAAUACUUCUGAUUAGUAUCUAAACAUUCGAUGUGACAGGGCUAAAGUUUAGCCUGUUGUGCACGCAUGCUUCUGCUCUUUCAGGAUCGGAGGAUGCUAUGCUCUGUCUCGCAGUGCAGCGGGCAGAUGCAAACACUCGCUCCUUCCGGCAAGCAAUGCAAAUCAGCCAAAUUUAAUUAAUUUGUUUUUUUUUGCUGAUUACAUCAUGUCUCCAAAUCAAUUAACUAGAGCUGCUAGCUUGUGGGGUCUAUGUAGAUGAUCAACUAAUACAAUGUUUAAAUUCUAGAAAGUAAGGACUUGAGCUAUUCUUCAUUCUUUGAACAAAACCAAUUUAAUUAAGUUUCCUAGAAGCUAAAUGCCAACGAACGAUUUCUGAUGAAAGUGGCUAAUAAUGAUGCUUGUUAAACACAAAAUUAAAUGAAAAAGCUUUUGCAUAUACCACAAGCAUGCAAAAUAAAAUGUUUGUACUGUAAUUUUCUUGUGACUUGAUAAACAACCCACCCGGAUGGAAUAUGUUUGGUGGGUUGGAUGCUGUGAGUGGAAACAACCCGUAUGCAGAUUGCGAGAAAUCCCUGUGAUGGCGACGGCCAAGCUCGGCCUGGCAUCUCUGCCGACCCCUGCAAUGAACUCUAAGCUACUACUGGCCUGCCUUCUAGAAGCCAAGCGGGAUGCAAAUAAAAUUAUCGUUGUAGUAAUAACCUGGUCAAAGGGAUUCUUAUACGCAGGCAGGAGUGAGAGCGUGACACCUGUGUAGAAAGAAGCUGGGGCGGCGUCAGUAAGUCAGGGGCGUCUGCAUCGAUCCUGUGAUGAUUCGCUAGCUCGUUCGACUGGCUGACAGGAAGGAAGGAAGUGAUUGCCAAGGAAUCGGAACUCUCUGUGCGUGCGUGACAAAAAAGAAGCUGUCGACAAGGCAGAGAGCGCGAUCGAGGGAGGAAGAUGCACACCGAUCUGGUUUCUUGUGGUCUGAAUGUUGCCAAGAACACGCGGCCCGGGGAUGACAAUAUCUGAAGGGAGCAUGUUUGUUGUUCCUGCAGGAGGCACAUGCUUUGCUCCUCGAUCGAAUUCCCCCUCUGUUUGCUUGACGAAAAGAAAAGGGUCAGCGCGUACCAAAGGGAAUAAAGAAAGAAGUUUCAGUUUCGUUCAGUGGCACCUCGAUGGCACAAUGAUGCGCGCGGCUUUCAGAUCGUUCAGUACAGUUGCCACCUCGAUGGAAGGGAAGCGAUCGAUCAGAUAACGGCAAAUAGUCACGUCAGGAUUGUUUACGACCCCACCUCACCUCACCUCACCUGCUGUUGCUGUUGGUGUGUGGAAACGCGGUGGAGAGGAGACAAGCAGCGAGUCAAACGCGGCGGCGCCUGCUGCUGCGUCACUACCCCAUCCAACCCCCACCGAUGGGUGUGGCUUUUGGCCUCGCCGUGCCGGUGCUGUCGUCGUCGGCUGCCGUCUCCAUCCCGGGGGCGGCGGCCGGCGAGUUACGAUCGAGCCUGUUGGGCGUCUUCUCUUCCAUCUUCCGUCUUCCUUCCGCCGCCCACCUAAAAACAUUCAGCACUUUCAUGGAGUAAAUUUUAAUCCCACCCUAUUUAAACAGGUUACACGGAUUAAAAUAGACUAAAGUCCAUAAAUGUUGUUGAACAAAGCCCAUUUUACACUUUUUUCUAUCCUCGGUAACCCUGCGCCUACUCCUUCCUGGCGCCAACCGCUCCCACUGUAGCUUGGACUAGAUCUCAAAUUCCCGUCCGUUGCCGUGGUGCUGGUGGUGCGCUUGGUCGGGGGAGUCAUCGCUGCGCCGCCACAAUGCCGCAGUACCAGGAGCUGCCAUGCGGCGGGCAGGUUCUCGACAUCGACACGGCGCUCAAGGACGGCAUCCUCGGGUCACGCUGGAGCUUGAGGAUGCGGUGGCGGGGGACGCCGAGAAGCAGCUGGUCGAGGUGAGGAAGAUGAUGGACGAGCUCGACGCUGGGAGGGAGGGUGGUGAUGGCGGCGGGUGGGAGGGAGGCCGCGGGAGGAAGGGCAGUAAAUAAGGGGCAGGGGUGUCCCAAACAUCCUUUAGUCUAGUUUAGUCCAAUUUUAUGGAUUAGAGGACUAAAGAUUUUAGCCCAAACUUUAGUCCAAUUUAGGGACUAAAAGCGUAUCAAAAUAGUGAAGUCCAUGAAAACCAAAUACUCCUGAGUGGACAGUGGAGGCCUGGAGUGGAGUGACCACAGCUUGGACCCCAUCCUCGUGCACGCGCGGCACCACCGUUUUCGUCUCUAGUGCGUGCGUGGCAACUCGACGGUCACCAAAAAGCAGCAGCACCACCCGCUCGCCUUUUUCUCCAUCGCUUUUACUCUUUAUUUUAUUUCCAUCCCAAAACACAUGACACACACACAACUACACUGCAUCCACAAGCGACAUGUAAAUGGGAUGAUGCAUCACGAAUAAAUCCAGCUCGAUCGUCGUCUUAUAUGGAGAACCAGCUCGAUCGCACGUGAAUUACCGCAGAUAAAAAAACAAGUGCGUUCGCUACAAAUGCACGCGAUGCAAUCUCCGGUUUCAAUUUUGUAGCCUGGCAUGCUUUGUUACACUUCUUACACACAAGUACUCUCAGUCCACUGCAGUAGUCACCACUACGAGCUAAAGCUAGUCAUGCAUGAGUCCAAGUGAUGAGUCCACCGUGCUUGCCAUCGAGCGUCGUUGCUUCUCAUCCAUCUUUGACUGCACCACCACCCUCAUCAUCAGAUAACGACGACCACCACCUAGUGCUGCUACGACUUUUACACAAACUUCACGCUCCAAGAUGAUUAGUACUUGUAUAUCCGCGUUCCAUCUUCUAGCUACCUCAAUUGCAUAGCAAAAUACGGGAAAAAGAAACAGGAUGGUUGGAAGGGCCUUCUCUAAAAACGGUUUCAGCAGUAAAGCUAAAGCAGGUGGAGUUAGAAAUGGUAGCUUCGUAUAAAUUCUAAGUUCAUUUUAACCUCAACUUCAGAAUAUAGUACCUCGUUUUGCGCAAAAUAGAUGAAAUAAUUCCUACACCUAAAAUUCACGAAGUUACGCGAAUUUUUGAACCCUGGUUGUUGGCACCCAACUCAAAGGCAUAAAAAAAAUCCUAUAAUACUCCUACAUAUGGCGCCAAAUUAAGGCAAAGCAGCUCAUUACACUUUUGUAGAGCAGCACAUGCUUUAAUUUGCAAGUUCAUUAGUACCAUGCAUGCUCUUUUUUAGUGCGGUUUGUCUGUCCAGUGAUUAAGAACAACUAACUAACCCCCAUAUAAUCCCAACCCUUGCUGCCUACUCCUAAUUCGUUCCAGAGCAUCAUCACCACACUUUCGUCCGUAGGUGCAUCUGCAUCUGCCGUACCUUAAAACCAGUCAAACUCCGCACACUGACAGCCAAGCUCAAAGGAACCAACCAGCAGACGUCCUUCCCUUCCCUCCACGCCCGGCGCCAUGCCGCCCGCCCCCGCCCUCCCCCUCCUCCCCCUCCUCCUCCUCCUCCUCGCCGUCGCCGUCGCCGUCACCGGAGCCGCCGAGGUGGACGCGCUCAUCGCCUUCAAACGCUUCCUCACCGUCCCUCCGGCAGCCGCGCCCUUCUUCGCCACGUGGGACGCUACCGCGGCCGACCCCUGCACCUUCACCGGCGUCGCGUGCGGCACCGGCCGCGUCGUCACCGGCGUCUCCCUGAGAGCCCUGAACGUCUCCGCCGCGUCCGUGCCCUUCGCCGACCUCUGCGCCGCGCUGCCGUCCCUGACCACGCUGUCCCUGCCGGAGAACUCGCUCGGCGGCGCCAUCGACGGCGUCGUCGGGUGCGCGGCGCUCCAGGAGCUCAACCUCGCGUUCAACGGCUUCAGCAGCACGGUCCCGGACCUCUCGCCGCUCACCAGGCUCCGCAGGCUCAACGUCUCCUCCAACCUCUUCGCUGGCGCGUUCCCGUGGGCCUCGCUCGCCAAGAUGCCGGACCUCUCCGUGCUCGCGCUCGGGGACAACCCGUUCCUCGCGCCCACCCACGCGUUCCCCGCCGAGGUCACCAGGCUCACCAACCUCACCGUGCUCUACUUGUCCGCCGCCAAGAUCGGCGGCGCCAUCCCGCCGGAGAUCGGCAACCUGGUCAACCUCGUCGACCUCGAGCUCUCCGAUAACGACCUCGCCGGCGAGAUACCCAAGGAGAUCGCCAGGCUCACCAACCUCAACCAGCUCGAGCUCUACAACAAUUCCCUCCAUGGCGAGCUCCCCACCGGGUUCGGCGAGCUCACCAAGCUGCAGUACUUCGAUGCGUCCAUGAACAACCUCACCGGCAGCCUCGCCGAGCUCCGGUCCCUCAAGGAGCUCAUCUCGCUGCAGCUCUUCAGCAACAACUUCUCCGGUGGGGUGCCCCCGGAGUUCGGCGACUUCAAGGAGCUCGUGAACCUGUCCCUUUACAACAACAGCCUCACCGGCGAGCUGCCGGCGAGCCUCGGGAGCUGGGGGCGGUUCAACUUCAUCGACGUCUCCACGAACGCGCUCUCCGGGCCGAUCCCGCCGGACAUGUGCAAGCAGGGCACCAUGCUGAAGCUGCUCAUCCUCGAGAACAGCUUCUCCGGCGGGAUCCCGGCGACCUACGCGAGCUGCAAGACGCUGGUGAGGUUCCGGGUCAGCAAGAACAGGCUCACCGGCGAGGUGCCCGAUGGGCUGUGGGCCCUCCCCAACGUCAACGUGCUCGACCUGGCCGAGAACCAGUUCAACGGCAGCAUCGGCGGCGGCAUCGGGAACGCCACGGCGAUGACCUAUCUCAUGCUUGCCGGGAACAGGUUCGCCGGCGCGAUUCCGCCGUCGAUCGGCAACGCGGCGAGCCUCGAGAGCAUGGACGUGUCGAGGAACGAGCUCUCCGGCGAGUUGCCGGAGAGCAUCGGGAGGCUGUCGAGCCUCAACAGCCUCACCAUCGAGGGGAACGGGAUCGGCGGGGCCAUCCCGGCGAGCCUGGGUUCGUGCUCGGCGCUCAGCACGGUCAAUUUCGCCGGGAACAAGCUCGCCGGCGCGAUCCCCGCGGAGCUGGGCAACCUGCCGCGGCUGAAUUCUCUGGAUUUGUCCAGGAAUGAGCUGACCGGCGCCGUGCCGGCGAGCCUCGCCGCGCUGAAGCUGAGCAGUCUGAACCUGUCCGACAACCAGCUGACCGGGCCCGUGCCGGAGGCGCUCGCGAUCUCGGCCUACGGCGAGAGCUUCGUCGGGAACCCCGGGCUGUGCGCCACCAACGGCGCCGGCUUCCUCCGCCGCUGCGCGCCGGGCUCCGGAGGCCGGUCGGCGAGCGCCGCCGCGCGCCUGGUCGUUACCUGCAUCCUCGCCGCGACGGCGGUCCUGCUGGCGGCGCUGGGCGUGUUGAUAUACCUGAAGAAGCGGCGGCGCGCGGAGGCCGAGGCGGCCGCGUCCGGCGCGGGGAAGCUGUUCGCGCUGAAGAAGGGCUCGUGGGACCUCAAGUCGUUCCGGAUCCUGGCGUUCGACGAGCGCGAGAUCAUCGCCGGCGUCCGCGACGAGAACCUGAUCGGCAGCGGCGGGUCCGGGAACGUGUACCGGGUGAAGCUCGGGAGCGGCGCGGUGGUGGCGGUGAAGCACGUGACGCGGGCGGCGCGCUUGUCGUCGUCGGCGCGGUGGCGGGAGUUCGAGGCGGAGGUGGGGACGCUGAGCGCGAUCCGGCACGUGAACGUGGUGAAGCUGCUGUGCAGCAUCACGAGCGAGGACGGCGGCGCGAGCCUGCUGGUGUACGAGCACCUCCCCAACGGCAGCCUGCACGAGCGGCUGCACGGGCCGGAGGGGAGGAAGCUGGGCGGCGGGCUCGGGUGGGCGGAGCGGCACGACGUGGCGGUGGGCGCGGCGAGGGGGCUCGAGUACCUCCACCACGGUUGCGACCGCCCCAUCCUCCAUCGCGACGUCAAGUCCAGCAACAUCCUCCUCGACGAGGCCUUCAAGCCCCGCCUCGCAGACUUCGGCCUCGCCAAGAUCCUCACCGCCGCGUCCGCUAGAGUGGACUCGUCGGCCGGCGUCGUCGCCGGCACGCUCGGGUACAUGGCGCCGGAGUACGCGUACACGUGGAAGGUGACGGAGAAGAGCGACGUGUACAGCUUCGGCGUGGUGCUGCUGGAGCUGGUGACGGGGCGGCCGGCGAUGGUGCCGGUGGAGGAGGGCGGCGGCGACCUGGUGGAGUGGGUGUCGCGGCGGCUGGAGAGCCGGGAGAAGGCCAUGUCUCUGGUGGACGCGCGGGUGACGGAGGGUUGGGCCCGGGAGGAGGCGGUGCAGGUACUGCGCGUGGCGGUGCUGUGCACCAGCCGGACGCCGGCGAUGCGGCCGUCCAUGCGGUCCGUCGUGCAGAUGCUCGAGGACGUCGCCGCCGCGCGGGAGGACGACGCGCCGGCGGCCAAGCUCAUCCAGGUCAAGGUCGUCUGAUCUCGUCGCUGGCGUUGGCCGUGCCCGGCUGGCACCGGCGGGUGACCGUCCGAUCGGAGAAGGUAGUUGCUGUACGUAGGUAGGACUCGUUCAGAGCAGAGAUGCCAGCUGCGGUCAACACAGCACAGCAGCAUGUGUAGCAGUAAGAUUAUUACCAGAAUAAUCAAUCAGCCAAGCAACCUCUUUCAAUCUGCAGCUUAGCAGCUUAGCAAUACCUUGUGGCUGUAGCAGUAAGAUUACAGUACUAGAGUACCAGGCAAUUUUUGUAAGUGAUCGUUGAGAGGUCAAUGAAGUGAGCUUUGGGUCCUCUUUCCAUGGCACGCCAAACAUUCUGUCUCUUGGACUCCCAACUGCAGAAGAGAAAAGGAAGAGACCUCGGGAGAUUCUUGAGAAGUCGAUCGAGAUGAGACACAGACAGACAAGCCACCUGGAUGCAUGUAGUCACUGUAUGAAGCAUUGCAGAUAGUACAGUAGGAUUGUUGAGAGCAGCUAGGGAGAAGGCAGUUGAGGUCAAAGCAGUGGCAUGUGCAGUCAGAUUGUUGUUGCUAGAAUGAAUAAUCAAUCGCACAAGCAACCAGUACAGUUUAGCAUAUCUGCAGGCGUGCGUGCAGCUGUAGGAGUAAGAUAAUGCACUGGUAGAUAGCAUCAAGUUUUGUAAUCGCCCACAAGUCAAUACCAUUAUGCAUGGAUUAGUCGACCCUGCAGGCUCCUCUUUCCAAGGCACGCCAAACAUUCCCUGUCAGACUCCAACAGCAGAUGAUUUUGAUUCAUCCUCUUGUGCAGAGAAAGAAAAGAAAAGAAAAGAAAAGAAAAAGGAGAUGUUGGUUCUCUCCUCUCGGGGGAGAUUCUUGAGAAGUCGAGAUGAAACGGACAAGCCACCUGGAGGAUGCACAUGCCCAGAAUCUGUGAGCAGGAAGUUCAGUUCAGUUGGGAAUUGGUUUUCAGGCAGGCGUGGUUACGUGAGACUAACGGAAGGGAGGCGUCGUUGUCGUGGAGGAUUGGCUGGCGACGCAGAGCUUUCACCGGCCCGGGAAUCGCUGCCGAGACGAGGCCGUGGUUUCAUACAAGCUACAGCUACAGCCAGAGACUUCCUUUGAGGCAGCCGUGGUUUCGAAUAAUUAAUAAAAACAAACAGAUGGAAAUUGAACACUCCACCGCCCGCCGGUACAGUGGAGUGCAGGAGCAGGACUGAAAUGACAGCCGCAAGACCCGGGGAUUGUCUGUCUUCCUUGUUGGUGGUGGCUGGUGGAUUCAGAUUUCAGAGUUACGACGCUUGCCCCCUUCCUCUCAUCGGCCCAACCCCCCAAUCAUAAGGGCAUCAUCAUAGUUUCAUUCGCAGGUAGUAGUAGGAAGGGGGUGUUUGGUUGUUUAGGACCUCCUAAAAUUCAUGUCAGAUCGAAUAUUCGGAUGUUAAUUAGGAGGACUAAAUAUAAGCUAAUUAUAAAACUAAUUACACAGAUGGAGACUAAUUCACGAGACGAAUCUAUUAAAUCUAAUUAAUCCAUCAUUAGCACAUGUUUACUGUAGCAUCAUAUUGUCAAAUCAUGGACUAAUUAGGCUUAAUAGAUUCGUUUCGCAAAUUAGUCUCCAUCUGUGCAAUUGGUUUUAUAAUUAGUCUAUAUUUAAUACUCCUAAUUAAUAUCUAAACAUUCGAUGUGACAGGAAUUUUAGAAGGUGCUAAAGAAACAAACAACCCCGAAUUCGUUGGAUGUUCACAGGGCCUGGAUCCUGAGCUGCAUGCCAUGUCACAGGAAAUGUGUUUCUCUGAAUCCUGAGCUGCUGUUCUAAACUGACUGACAAUGUGUUCGUUCAUGGAUUGCUGGGUUGGUUGGUUCAGACUGACAGUACGCGCGUUAAGUGGGGACAUAGGUCGAUCGAUCCGAGAACACAACCCCCGAAAUGGAUGAUUCAGAGGCAGGCAUUGCCCCCCUCCAUUCCCCAAUCACAAGGCAAUUUCGUCGCGAUUUCAUUCAGCAGGUAUGGAUUUCUUGGACGCAGAGGCUGUUGGCAUGCAGUCUUGCAACAAUGAUUUGCUCUAGUCCAACAGCAAACCACGCAGGUUUCUGCUGCAUGUCUGUCUGACUGUUUCAAACUGACUGCCAAUGUCUUCAGGGAGGGACAUGCGUAGAUUGAUUUGCGGAAGCAAGCUGAGUAGCUGACGCUACCUGAGAUGAGAUGAAUGGCUCAGGGAUUGGAGUGACUGACUGACUGGAGGGAGAGAGCAGCUGCUGGAUCUGGGCAACGAUCUUCAAACUGAAUUUGGGCUGCACGCACCUUGGGCUCAACUGCCGCUGUCAGCUUCGGGCCUUCUCGUAGCUUCGGGCAUUGGGCAAUUGCACAAAAAAAAAAAAGCAUUCGGCGGCCCGGUCCCUUUUCUUUCCUCCGCUGCCUUCAUUUUUUUUUUUCUUUCUCCGCUCCACCCUCUCGGCAUUUCUCUACUAGCGGCGCCGACAGGGCGAGCGGCCGCCCUUGCCCCUUGGCCUGGUGUUCGUCUGGCGCUUCGCCGGCGACGAGGAUCCUACAGGUAUGCUCGCUUAUCCCCCUCCUUUCCCUUCCCUUCCCUUCCCUUCCCUUUCCCUUCCUGCUGUGCGAAACCGAACACCAAAAACCCUGAUGUAUGCUAUUUGUCUUCGGAUCUGACCAUGUAUUUAUCUGCAAAAUUCGAUCUUUUGCAAAAACUAUCGGGUGUACGCCCAUGUCCAAUUCUGGGUCCGCCCCCGAUCCAAGUGAAGCCUGCCCUUUUGCUUUAAAAAAAAUGAUGCAUUGAUGGGGAAUCCCCCGUUUUACCCUCUAGUUCCUUAAUUUAUAGUGCAUUUCGGUUUUAGGGUAUAGGGAGUUCUAUCUGUGUUAGCAGCAGUAGUAGUCUUUAACUGAGGCACUUGCCACAGGCACCAAUGGAACGUCUUGAAAAAAAAUGUGAUUUUUGCAGUCCCUUGUCAAUACACUGAAAAUAAUUUAGCUCCAACAUUUCCUGCAGCAGGUGUAAUUAGCGCGAAAUAUUCGUCCAGGGAAGUAAGAAUGCCGUAAGGAACCGCUGAGGAUUGUAGGUGGUUAUGGAUAAUGAUAAUGGAGAUGCGGAUGACCUUGGAUCAGGAUGGUUUGAAGUGAAAAAGGUUUAUUUCUCUGACGAUUUUCUCGUAUGGCGGUGCAUUAUGCUGGGCCAAUUCGUACUGUUAUUAUUCCUAACUUAACAUGGACCCAUUUUACAGAAGCAUCGGUCCAGCUCGAAAUACACAUUGCAGAGGUCUUCUGGAGGUUCCAGCCAGAAAAUUCCAAACUCGUCGUCACGGUCACGGCCCAACUGUAGCAGUGACAGUUCAAGGUGGCAUGACAGGCCGCAACAUCCUCCUCCGAACAUAAAUGCUAAUGUUGGCGUUGAUGAAUCUGGUACUGGAGAAACAACUAAUGUUCUAGCUGAAAGAUGCAAUGAUGUAGGUGCUAGUGACCUGAAGGGUGUCUUAAAUACUUCAGCCUCAGAGUAUGUAGCAGAAAGACCUGACGAGCUGCUGGUGGCUGAAGAAACAAGUGAACCUCCCAAAACCAGUCUGGCUGAUCAUGCAAAUCCUUCAGUGCCUCAUGAGUCCUCGACCUGUUCAGGCAGUGUUGCCAAAUGUGCAGACGAUUCUCAGCAUGUAAAAUGUUCUCCAAAAACAGAGUCGCUAGGUGUUUUGUCCAAUACUCCUGUCAAGUUUGGAGACUUUGAUGAAGUUCCAGGUUUAUCAUUACCCUCUGAUUCAUACAGAGAUAACAGUUCUUCUAGAGACCAUGGGCAUGGUGGAGAUGCUGCACAUUCCAGAAAUGAGCAAAAGGAUGAAAGUAAACCCAAAGUGGAGACGAACUCUUGUGCAACAAUUGAUGAGGCAUCUCCAAUCAUUAUACAAGGAACAGAGACACCCAGUGAUGACACGAUAGGGCCACUGGAUGCACAUGAAACACCAGAAAGUAUGUUGAAUGUUAGUGGUUCAGCAGCCUCAACUGACUCUGUUUCCCUACCCUGCUCCAGUAAUGAUCAUGAAGUUCCAGUUACAUCUUCAUCUGUUGCGUCCACAGAAAGUAGAACGUUACUUCCUAACCAUGCACCAGCUUCUGCAGAUUUCGGAUCUGAAACUGCUGAGAGCAAAGAAAGAUUCAGGCAGAGGCUAUGGUGCUUUCUUUUUGAGAAUCUGAAUAGGGCUGUUGAUGAACUUUACCUCCUCUGUGAACUAGAAUGUGACAUGGAACAAAUUAAUGAAUCCAUACUUGUUCUUGAAGAAGCUAUAUCUGAUUUUCAAGAACUUAAAUCCAGAGCAGAGCAUUUUGAUAACACCAAAAAGUCUCCUGGUGUACCCAAAGAGGGGAUGCCAAUGGCUGUGAAAGCUGACCAUAGGAGACCUCAUGCCUUGUCUUGGGAGGUCUGUUCUCUCACUAGCCAUCCUGAUGUCUUGUGGUCUAUUUUCACUUCUGCAUAUUUAUGAUUAAUUGACAACUAACUACGUGAGCAUAGCAUCUUCUUCCUUGCAUCAACAUGCGUGUGCAUGAAUAUUGAAUGGACCUUCAGAGUGAUGUAUUGCUGGAUUGAGAACUGCAAUAUUAAUAGCUGCAUGUUUUUCUUUCCAUCCUUGCAUGACAACUUUUUCUGCUGUGUUUCAGAGUUCUAAAUCUUGUUCACUGCAUCAUAUAUGCAGGUCAGAAGGAUGACAAGUUCACCACACAGGCAAGAAAUACUCUCUUCAUCUCUAGAGGCCUUCCAAAGGAUCCAAUUGGAACUGGCAUGCAAGCAGGCUGGUAUAACGGCAGAGAGAUUUACAUCCAGCUCUUCUGGAGAAGUUUUGAGUAGCUCAUCAGAGCUGACCACAGCAUCCGCUACUGUUAGGAAUAUAAGUUUGAAAGUGGAGAGUCAGGUAAAACUUCCUGAUAGUGGUAGUGAGAAAAAGAUUGCUGGAGAGAAGCAAAUCAGGGAUGCAUUCAAGUCAGAUAAAUCACAUCCACAAAGUAUGCCUUCAUAUUCUGCAAGGAGUAGAAGAGGGUCACUAGAACCGAUCUCGGAAAUAGAGAAGCACACUUUUAAGAAUGACAGGGAGUUGCCAGAAAACAAAUUUGACAGGCUCAAGUCAGCCGAUGUUGUUAAAAAGAGUACAGUUCAUCUUGAAAAGGAGAAGCAAAUUACAGCACCUUGGAAGUCAAUGGAUGCCUGGAAGGAGAAAAGGAACUGGGAAGAUAUAUUGAAAUCUCCUGCACGGAGUUCUCGGGUUUCUCAUUCUCCUGGUGUUGGCAGAAAAGUUACAGAUCGUGGUCGUGUUCUACAUGACAAGUUGAUGUCUCCUGAAAAGAAAAAAAGAAGCGCUUUGGAUAUGAAAAAAGAAGCAGAAGAAAAGCAUGCACGAGCACUGCGAAUUAGGAGUCAACUAGAAAGUGAGAGGGUUCAGAGGCUACAACGUACCUCUGAAAAGUUAAAUCGUGUCAAUGAGUGGCAGGCUGUGCGCAGCUCAAAACUGCGAGAAGUAAUGAAUGCACGCCAUCAACGUGGUGAAUCUCGUCAUGAAGCAUAUCUUGCUCAGGUUGCAAAAAGAGCUGGUGAUGAGAGUACUAAAGUAAAUGAGGUCCGUUUUAUUACAUCGCUGAAUGAGGAAAACAAAAAGUUCUUGCUGAGGCAGAAACUUUAUGAUUCUGAAAUGCGGAGAGCUGAAAAGCUACAGGUGAUCAAAACAAAGCAAAAGGAGGACACUGCUAGGGAAGAAGCUGUUUUGGAACGAAGAAAGUUCCUUGAAGCUGAGAAGAUGCAGCGCCUUGCUGAAAUACAGCGCAAGAAAGAAGAGGCUAUUUUCAGAAGAGAAGAAGAGCGCAAAGCAUCUAGUGCUGCACGGGAAGCAAGGGCUGCAGAACAGCAGCGUAGAAAAGAAAUAAGAGCAAAAGCGCAACAAGAGGAAGCUGAACUUUUAGCCCAAAAGUUAGCUGAAAAGCUCCGUGAGAGUGAGCAGCGCCGCAAGUAUCACCUAGAGCAGAUACGGGAGCGAGCCUCUAUGGAUCUUAGGGAUCAGACUUCACCUUUUCAGCGCCGCUUUCCAAGUAAAGAUGGCCAAAACCGUUCAACUAAUAGCGGCGAAGACUCUCAGAUUACUGGCAAUUCCAGCACCGCAGACUCUGUGGUUAAAUCAUCGAAUAAUGUACAGAUGAAACGAAGGAUCAAAAAGAUUCGCCAGAGAUUAAUGGCUCUGAAGCAUGAAUUUAUCGAACCACCCAUAGGUGAAAGUACUGGAAUCACACACAGGGCUGCUCUAGGAGCUGCCAAAGCUAAGUUAAGUAGAUGGCUUCAAGACCUACAGAAACUUCGUCAAGCUAGAAAAGAAGGCACUGCCAGUAUUGGUUUGAUUGUUGGUGACAUGACAAAGGUAUUCUCAUUGUCCCAUUCAUUCUGUAUUGUAUUGUAAGUACUGAAGAUGUUUGCUAAUAGCACUUUCUGUUUAUUUGGGUACAGUAUUUAGAAGGAAAGGAUCUUGAACUGCAUGCAUCAAGACAAGUUGGUCUGCUUGGCUUCAUUGCAUCUGCUUUACCUGCAUCACACACUUCAAAGCCUGGAGCUUGUCAAGUCACUGUCUACCUCUUGCGCCUGUUGAGAGUAUUGCUCUCACUUCCAGCUAAUCGAACAUAUUUUCUAGUACAGAAUCUUUUACCUCCGAUUAUUCCCAUGCUAUCAGCAUCACUGGAGAAUUACAUUAAGGUGGCAGCAUCCAACUCUGGAAGUUCAAAUCUUCUGCCUAACAAAACUUCAACCGAGAAUACAGAGUCAUCAGGUGAAGUGUUAGAUGGCUUCUUAUGGACUGUGACCAUGAUCGUUGGCCAUGUACACCUCGAUGAUGAACAACUUCAAAUGCAGGGAGGUUUGAUCGAACUGAUUGUAGCUUAUCAAAUAAUUCACCGUCUGCGAGAUUUGUUUGCCCUUUAUGAUAGGCCCCAGGUGGAAGGAUCCCCACUCCCAUCAUCUAUACGCUUUGGUCUCAACCUUUUGGCUGUCUUAACAUCUAAACCUGGAAAUUUCUCUACCAUUGAUUGGGAGUCCUGCAAAUGCAGGACAUUAGGUGGCACUAUAGUUCAAGAAUAUGAAUAUCUUAGCUCACAAGACAGUAUGGGGAACCAGUUGAUGACACUAGAGCAGUCUGGAGAUAACAAAUUGGCAUCCUUGUGUAGUGAACUGCCUGAAGAAAACAAAUCAUGUAAACUGCAUGACUUGAGCAUUCCUGGGGACAGAAAAUUGGUUGAUGAAGCUAGAAAAGACUUGAUACCUGUCUCAGGUGGCCUGAAUAAUCCAGCAAUGCAACCACCUGAUUUGGGGAUUGCUACAGAGAAGCGUUCUGAAAUUCCUAGCCAGGGAGAUGAAAAUAGCACAAUCGACAGUUUUCUUGAAGGAAGAAAGGUGAACAAUGUAGGUUCAGGGUAUAACAGUAGUCCUGGAAAAGGCAACGAGACAAGCCUAAAGCAUCCUGUAAUGCUUUUACUUUCUGCUAUGACUGAGACUGGCCUUGUUAGUCUACCAUCACUUUUGACUGCUGUGUUGCUCCAGGCGAACAACAGAUCAUCUUCAGAACAGGUUUGUCCGCCUGCUGCAUUGAGGUGCAUUGAUUUUUUUUGAGAAAUUUGUCAUGCUAUUUCAAAAUUCAAUAUAUCUAUAUUCCUUAUUGUCAUUUUUACAGAACUAGAUGACUCACAAAUUUACAUGUGCAUUUAGAUUAUUGGAUACAUAAUAAUUGAUACGUAAAUUCUUCAAAUAGGUGCUUUGUGUUCUUGUAAGUUGUAACAAAACAAACACGCUAAAAUGACACUGUACACAUUUACUAGCAUGCUUUUAUUUCUUAGGAUUUCAUUACAAUGUAAGCAGAAACUUGAGUUUUGGUGUCUCAGAAAUUAGUAGGGCAAACUUUGCAUGUUAUCGUGUUUUAUGGAUCUCUUUCUACAAAAAUUUACUAACUCAUUUUUCAGACUUCAGCUAUUCUUCCAUCAAAUUUUGAAGAAGUAGCCACUGGUGUAUUAAAAGUUUUGAACAAUGUGGCACGCUUGGAUAUAAAUCUUCUGCAGUGCAUGCUGGUAAGUCCUCUUCAUAAAAGAGGGAUGAAUAUUAUCAAUCCUAUUGUUGGUUGCUUGCCUGUUCUCUUGGAUGUAUCACUCUGAGUAGGUACAUUUGGGCACUGAAACUGAUGUGGUUCAUUCACACACGCUAAAACUUUAACUACUUUCCUAUGCAAGUCAUCUAUCCAUGGUAUCAGGAUAGAAUGAGCUAUCAACAAAGGUUUCAGAUGAAUUUUCUGUCUGGCAAAGCCAAUUUAUGAAUAUGGGAACCAUUGAUAUCUUUACACUCUGUUUUUUUUCCUGCAUAAGUUAGUAUUCUUAAUGGUUAUGAAUUGUUUUCAGGCUAGAUCAGAUCUAAAGAUGGAGUUCUUCCAUUUAAUCAGCUUCCUUCUGAGCCAUUGCAUGAACAAAUGGAGAGUACCAAACGAUCAGGUAAAUAUAAGUCUAUUCCUUGUAUAAAUGUGCGCUCAUGUAUUCCCAACAUGAUAUAUAUCAUAUAUUUUUCUUUGGUGCUUUUAAGUACUUGUUUUUUUAAUUAUCGCUGUAAAUAUUUCAUACAGUUACUCUCUAAUUGCUUUUAUGCAAUACUUUGUACUGGUUUUGCACAUUCAAUUCUUCCUCGGCUAUAAUGGUAGCAAGUUGCCCUUUAGUUUACUGUUAAAUGUAUGAAUAGGUGGUCUUCUUUACAUCAUUGGCGGCUUUAGAAUCUAGUUAUUGGUUCUUGUUAGCUAUUAACUUAGUUCUUAUUAUUGUCUGCAAUCUUCCUGAACAAACAUUUUCCAUUGAAUACAUGAUUCAAACAGUGUGGUUAUAAACAUGUUCCAUAUUAAAAUGUCUGAAAUGCAUGCUGUAGGAAGGUGAUAUGUGGGGUUGGGUAUAAAAUGACUGGAAAAAUCGGUGCAUUGGGGAACUGGAUCUUGUUAUUAUUUCAGGUUUGACAAGUUGUGACUCUUUGGGAUAUUAUUAUGAAGAACUUUUGACAUACUGCCAUUUCUUGCCCUAACAGUUUGCUUGAGUGUCACUCUGGGACAUUUCAGUACACAGUUGUGAUCAUGAAGGGAUUUUUUAUUGACAUACACAUCUGUAGUAUUUCUCAUGCUUGACAGUCAUUUGGACUUUACUCCUAAAGCGUUGCUUUUUCACAAAUGCAACUUUUUUCCUGCUUCCUCUGUACUCAAUUGUGAGGGUCUAUGCUAUGUUUUUAGGUUGGUUUGCUGCUUCUAGAGUCUCUGCUACUUCUUGGCUACUUUUCUUUGUUCCAUGCUGAGAACCAAGCUGUUCUUCGGUGGGGAAAGAGUCCCACCAUACUUCACAAGGUAAAUAAGUAGCCACAUCUCUUAAUUUCUUUGGAUUGUUGGGCAAAAAUCUGAUGAGUUAGGAUACAGCUGUGCGACUUGCCAUUUGUUUUCUUCAGUGACCCCGAGUUGAUGCCCAUCUUGGCUGCUGCUCUGAUCGCUGUUUGCUACGGUUGCGAUCAGAAUCGAAGUGUUGUACAACAGGAAAUAAGCACGGAUAUGCUUCGUUCUUUGCUCAAGUCCUGUCAAACAUCAUUGACUUCUCCAGAUUCCAUUGCUGUAGAUGGUUCUGGAAACAAUUCCAGUGAUAACACGCAGAGUUUACUUGAUACCAGGAGCCCACAAGGUGACAUCCCAAUAAGGUCAAGCCGCAAAAUUGGACGGCCAGUUGUUGGGAAGGGUGUUUCAGGAGGCAUCAGAUUCAACAGAAAUAGGGUUCAGAAGGAUGGUAGAGGAAGAGGUGUUGAUGAUGGGCCUCUGAAGCAAAGAGCUGGUGAAGCUUCAUCUAACUUCAUGUUGCAUAGAAAGAUCCCAGCUUCUUUCUUGGACAGAGCCGAGGAGUUCUUCUGCAGUGAGACAUGAAUUCGGCUCUGUAGCUGACCUGACCUAUAGUGCACAAGCUACUGAAUUUUACAAUUUUGCGAGGAUGGUGUUUCAGACUAAUUAUCUCAAAACUCUAGGCAAAUGUACGUUCGGCUGGAUCUGACUAUAGUUUUGGAAAGGUUUUGCGACCUCGUAUCCUGAUUAAACCAUGCAGUCUAAAGAUAAAAUAGCUAUGUAGGGAGAGAUGCACUGUUAUGUACAGGAAAAAACUGUGAUAAGAAAAAUCUGACUCCAUAUGGAAUAAAGGAACUGUCCAUAAUUUACUUCUGUCGGGUCACUUCUAAGUUAACGAUCAUUCUUUACUUAUUUCGAGACCGUCUAUUCUCUAGUUUGGAGCUCGUCAAUCAAAUGUUGGAAUUCUGGAGAUGGAUUGUUGAUUUGGCAACAGAUUAAUGAUUCUAGACAUAAUUUUGCAAAUUUGUCAUGGACUAAAUCAUGCAGCUUUAGCUAGCAACAAAUGGGUGAGCAAAAUUUUCAGCUACAUGUACCAGCUCAAACAAUAAGUCAGAUUGCACGCAGCCAAAACAAGAAAAGUAAAUGUUGAAUCUACUCCCCUGUUAAAAGUGCUCCAUAACUGGAGCAAUAUUCUUCAUUUCACAACAAAGCCAUCACUAAGGAUGGGUAACAGAUAGUAGUGAAGUGAAAUACAUACAAUUGUACAACACAUGCCCGGUUGCAUUCAGCAUACAUUCACAGAAAAGACCAACGCCCUAUUCUGCAACUAUUUCGUGAGCAUUUCCAGGAACCUCAAAUCCUAUGGAGCAGGCACUACCAGGGACGGUAACUAGCAAAGCGCAUGUCAUCUGAUUCGUCUAAUCGUCUGUUGCCUCACUUGCCUACAGUGAAAAGGAACAAAGACAAACAAUCCUGUCAGCAUUUUAGAGUAUCAGUGAAACAGCUAUGUUCAUCUUUAAACUAGUAAACAAUUUUCCCAAUCGUGCUACUCUGUGAAUUAAAAGUGUUAUGUACAAACAGUUAUCCUUCUCCGUAACACUAUAGCAAAUAGAAUCAUGGCGAUUUUCGCAAAAAAAAAAAAUAAUGCCCUGCUAUGUCAACACGUGCACACAGUACACCAUCAAGCGUCAAUCAGCUUCCCAGGUUGCUAUGAGCUAUCGUAAUUAAGAUUGAUACAAGAUUGUAAACUGCAAGGUAGGCGCUACUCCAGCAUCUCUAAAUCUUUUAUUUUAAAGAAAGAAGAGCUUCAAGUUAAUUUGUUAUAUCCGCAACGUGCCAACAUUGACUGACUGUCUAGUGAAUGAAAUAUUUGAUGCAACUUUUGCCUAGCUUGCCCUUCAAAAGGAGUAUUCAUUCUCCACCCACUACUACAAGCUAAUGCUAUAUGCCAGUGUUUUCACCUUGCCAUGCUAAUGGCCGUAAUCAUUUCUCCUUUUUACUACUAAAGAUUGUUACAUAUCUUUUAAACGAUCCGUCCUGUUUUUCACGGUGAAGGAGAGGGAUCUACCGUACCAUACCUAACUCUUCCAUUGCAUGAUGCCCUAUUGCCCUGUUAUCUUCACACUAAAGGGGUGUUUGGGAACACCCUAUUAAAGUUUAACACCUGUCACAUCGGAUGUUUGGAUGCUAAUUAGGAGUAGUAAACAUAAGCUAAUUACAAAACUAAUUGCACAGAUGGAGUAUAAUUCGCGAGACGAAUCUAUUAAGCCUAAUUAGUCCAUGAUUUGAUAAUGUGGUGCUACAGUAACCAUUUGCUAAUGAUGGAUUAAUUAGGCUUAAUAGAUUCGUCUCGCGAAUUAGCACAAGGUUCUGCAAUUAGUUUUAUAAUUAGCUCAUGUUUAGUCCUUCUAAUUAGCAUCCGAACAUCCGAUGUGACACUGUUAAAGUUUAGCACCUCGUAUCCAAACAGCCCCUAACAGUACCACACAAGUGCACGCACCAUCUGAUGGGUACCGGUACCGGGUACCCUCAGGAAAGGAGCUAAGGCAACCAAGCACCAAAAGAUCAAAGGCCUGACAGCUAGAAGUAUGUGGGAGGCGGCUCAGGAGACACCGGGGCCCACCUCCCGACCUUCCCUAAUCGGGGGCUGAGGGCCGCAACCCACUAGUCCGACCAGAUCGGGGACGGGGCCCACAAAGGGCCCACAACGCCCCACCCACUCCCUGACUCAGGAAGAUCUGCACCGUACCGGAGGCAUUAAAUGCGGGGCAUGGCCUCUCUGACCGCUCCACGUGGGGACAUGACCAGGCGGAGGAAGCUGACCUUUAACAGGGGGACCAAGGGUGAGGCUACACCCCUUAGACCGUCCAGGAUGACUUGCAGGACAAGGCCACGUGCACCGUACGCGCCCACGCGCCCCGACGUGAUCAUCACCGACAGGAUGACCCAUCAGGCUCAAGGUCAUGCCACUACUCCAGACCUGGUACAGGCCCGCAGGCGAGGCAGGACCCAGUGUCGGUCGUAACGGCGCGGAUUAGCCAUAGGCAGGUCGGGGAAAGCCGAGGGGAGCGGCACGGCCCGCCCAGGCAGCUGACCGGGGCUCACCCACUCAUCUCCGGUGCGGACGUCAGCAACCGAUUCCGUCCCAUUUACUGCCACGGGGUUGGUGGACGGGACGGAGCAUACCGCGGAAGCAGACUAGGCCGUGCGUAAGCAGCCCACGCUGCACAAGAGCCGACAAACAAGGCGUGCGAAGCCCACGGCCAGCCAAGAGGAUGGGACAAGGAGGUCCCCUGGCGCAAGGCUACCCGACGACACCACGACCCCUAACCUUCAAGGUCGGGACCCCCUCUAUUUCUCAACACUGUUGCCUGGUCCCUAGCCUAUACAAGGAGAACCGGACCUCCUUUCUCUCUGAGACGCAUUCAACGCAUACACCCACACAACGCACGAACAUUUGCUUGCAAGCACCCCGUUGUAAGCUCAAUGCACUUCAUCCAAGGAACACGACUCCUGUGGAAACUGGACAUAGAGAUUUUCCUGAACUAGUAUAACUCCUUAUCUCUUGCGUGCUAGCCAUCGGAAGUUAGGAGAGCGCAGCGGACAAUCACUAGUCGAUCAAGCAUCAAUCGGCCUCCCAAAUUGCUGUAAGCUAUCAUAAUUCAGACUGAUACAAGAGAGACAUUGUAAAUAAACUCUUUACACCAUAAUUCGGAUCCAAGUUUCCUUGGAUCAGUAAAGAAAAACAAACCAUCAACCAUAGCAUGCAGCUAUUAAUUGGGUUAUUAAUCCAUGAUAUUGUUGAUUUAUCUGGUCAAGCCCAAAUUAAUCCUGCUCUUUUCCAUAUGUGGCGAAUCGUAUGAGCUACUUUUGUUUACAACGAUUGGCCUGAUGUGCUUCUGAACCUAAUAAUGCCUUUUGGCCAGUCAGGAGAUGCAGGAAACACAUGAUGAUGAGUGGAUGCACAAACAAGGGAUUUUAAUUAAUGCUUUGGGCAUGUCAAGGUCUCCUUUUUUUCACUUCCACCACACCACCACGGUGAGUUUUAUCUAAUCUCUCUAGUGCUUGCUCCGUUUUGAGUGAGCAUCUAUGCAUAUAUCACCAAGCACCUUACUGCCACACCUUAUCCACACCAUGGAUUCCUCCACGUGGACCCACUACCAUCUCCGCAAAAAUGGUUCUUAGGUAUUCAUUUUUUUUUCUUGGCGAAAUGCAGAAAAGAAAAAAAUAAAGAUAUUUGACUUUUUCUGUAUGCAUGCCGCGUUUUCUUUCUAGGACAAUAUUUUUCAGUAGAAUUAAGGAUGGAAAUUUUAUUCGGUGCUAUCCGAACGGCUGGAAAGAGGAAAACAUUGGAUCACACGUGUGCAUUCUUACGUUUGAGAUGUUCUAUUCCCCGUGACAUUUCAUCUCUGGACGAAUUGUUCUUAUGACAAUUUAAUAGCAGUCCAGAAUCUGUGCCAAAUGCCUACAAAUGCUCUAGCACUAAUGGUGAAGUGCCUAAAUUCCAUAUGAAAUUCUUAAUUAUUCCAGGUUGAGAAUGUUGACUAAUGGACUCUUCAGGCAAAUCCAAAACCAUCCAGCAGUGGUGUUUUCCACCCAAAAGCUUGCAUAUCAAUUAUCAGCAAGCGUGCCUUUAGGCUUUUACUCCAUUAAGCUAAUAUAAUACAGCAAACUAAAGUACUGAUUCAGUUAAUAAACUACUAAGUACUGGCUGAACAGGAAAAGAUGCAGAUUGGCGUAUGCACACAUUGCAAAUAAACUACUGGGCAAAGCCCAGCAUCAUUCAGGCCACUACUGAAGUAUCAGCAGUCGAGCACAGAGUGUGUGUGUGUGUGCAGUAGCACUCACCUUCUGUUUUCAAUUGCUGCUACUUUCUGGUGCAGGCUACACUCCUCUAACUCACAGGUUGUGAGGGCUAUAGAAAAUUGCUUUUUGGGAGAUGAAGGGGCUUUACAUUUGUCAGCAUGCUGCUUAUCCUCCUAAAGUGUGAGCAAUGAUUGGGAUUGGCACCACUGGAGGCUUUCUUCUUGUUCCCCAUGGAGAUUGCAGGAUUAGAAGGAGCACUGCUGCAAGUUUUAUCUGCAGUGUCUUUGUGCCUUCAGUGUUUUCACAGCAGUGCAGCGGUGCAGGGCUGUGACUGUGGGUGAUGCCUCUCCACCCUAACACAGUGCCCUCCAUUUUCAGCAGAAAAUAUGCUGGUAGAUGCGUAGAUACUAGCAUGGUAGUGUUGGUUCAUGUCAACUCCUAACAGAAACUGAUUUAUGUCAACUCUUAGCAGAAACCGAUUUAUGUCAACUCUGAACAGAAGCUGAUGAACUGACAUCUCUGCUUUACUGAUCACUUGACAGGGGCACCUCAAAGGCUUAAAAGUGUGAAACACAUUUGGGUUCAGUUAGUGCUCGGCCGGGCCGGGUCGGGUUGGGUCGGGCUGGCGGGGGGGCCAGUAUCAGUCCUGGGCUGAGGAGUGACCAGGCCCAUAUGCGGCUGGCUAGUGGACAAGCUGGGCUUGACUGGGCUAGAGAAUGUAAUGUUACUUUGACCAGCACUACUGACUGCACAAGAAAGAGCUGAAGAAGAGAGGCUGGAGAAUGGUGUUGAUGGGCAAUGAGCAGCUGGGCAUAUAUCCCCAACAGCAAAAGCCAUGCAUCUCUCCUUCGUCUCCUUUAUAUCAUCACCAUUCACCAAUUCCAAUUCCCUCCACAGAUUCCCACUCCACUUAUAUACUCCCUCCCUUGCUGAUAGCGAGCGCCUCCUCACCAUUCCAUUCCAUUGCCUGCUUGCAACAACACUAGUGCAAAUCUGCAAUAAGCUAGAUUUCUUUCUUCAAAGUUCCAAGUUCCAACAACAACAACACGUACGUGCAAGAAGCAGCAGCAGCAGCAGAAGAAGAAGAAGAAGAAGCAGGCUGGUGCUAUGGUGUCCCCUCUCUGUUGUUCACUCCCACCCUUGCUCUGGUUUAUUCUCUUCUUCAUCUUCUCCGCGGCCGGCGAUGGCGGCGCGGCGGCAUUGGACACGCAGGCUGCAUACCUGGCCAGGAUGAAGGAGCAGUUCCCCGGGCCGGGCAUGUCGAGGUGGGACUUCUCCUCGCCGGCGCCGGACUACUGCCGGUUCCAGGGCGUCGCCUGCGACGAGGGCGGCAACGUCACGGGCAUCGACGUCACGUCGUGGCGCCUCGUCGGCAGGCUCCCGCCGGGCGUCUGCGCGUCCCUCCCCGCGCUCCGGGAGCUCCGGAUGGCGUGCAACGACGUCCGCGGCGGCUUCCCCGCCGGCCUGCUCAACUGCACGUACCUCGAGGUGCUCAACGUCAGCUACUCCGGCAUGUCCGGCACCGUGCCGGACCUGUCCCCGCUGCGGGCGCUCCGGGUGCUCGACAUGUCCAACAACCUCUUCACCGGCGCGUUCCCGACGUCCAUCGCCAACGUCACGACCCUCGAGUUCGUCAACUUCAACGAGAACCCCGGUUUCGACAUCUGGCGGCCGCCGGAGACGUUCAUGGCGCUGCGCCGGAUCCGCGUGCUCAUCCUCUCCACCACGUCGAUGCGCGGCGGCAUCCCGGCGUGGCUCGGCAACAUGACGUCGCUCACCGACCUGGAGCUCAGCGGCAACUUCCUGACCGGCCGCAUCCCGGUGUCGCUGGCGCUUCUUCACAGGCUGCAGUUCCUGGAGCUCUACUACAACGAGCUGGAGGGCGUGGUCCCGCCGGAGCUCGGCAACCUGACGGAGCUAACCGACAUCGACCUGUCGGAGAACCGGCUCACCGGCGGCAUCCCGGAGUCGCUGUGCGCGCUGCCCAACCUGCGCGUGCUCCAGAUAUACACGAACCGGCUGACGGGCCCCAUCCCGGCCGUCCUGGGAAACUCGUCGCAGCUGCGCAUCCUGUCCUUGUACCGGAACCAGCUCACCGGCGAGAUACCCGGCGACCUCGGGCGGUACUCGGAGCUGAACGUGAUCGAGGUGUCGGAGAACCAGCUGACGGGGCCGCUGCCGCCGUACGCCUGCGCCAACGGCCAGCUCCAGUACAUCCUGGUGCUGAGCAACCUGCUGACGGGGCCCAUCCCGGCGGCGUACGCGGCGUGCUCGCUGCUGCUCCGGUUCCGGGUGAGCAACAACCACCUGGAGGGAGACGUCCCGCCGGGCGUCUUCGGCCUCCCGCACGCCUCCAUCAUCGACCUCUCCUACAACCACCUGACGGGGCCGGUCCCCGCGGCGGUGGCCUACGCCGCCAACCUCACGUCGCUGUUCGCGUCCAACAACCGGAUGUCCGGCGAGCUCCCGGCGGAGAUCGCCGGCGCGUCGGGGCUCGUGAAGAUCGACCUGAGCAACAACUUUAUCGGCGGCGCGAUCCCGGAGGCCGUGGGGCGUCUGUCGCGGCUGAACCAGCUGUCGCUGCAGGGGAACCGGAUGAACGGCUCCAUCCCGGAGUCGCUCGCCGGUCUCCGGAGCCUGAACGUGCUGAACCUGUCGGACAACGCGCUGUCUGGGCCCAUCCCAGAGUCGCUGUGCACGCUGCUGCCCAACUCGCUGGACUUCUCCAACAACAACCUGUCGGGCCCGGUGCCGGCGCCGCUCAUCAAGGAGGGCCUGCUGGAGAGCGUGGCGGGGAACCCGGGGCUGUGCGUGGCGUUCCGGCUGAACCUGACGGAGCCGGCGCUGCCGCUGUGCCCGCGGCCGUCGAGGCUGCGGCGGGGGCUCGCCGGGGACGUGUGGGUGGUCGGGGUGUGCGCGCUGGUGUGCGUGGCGGCGGCGCUGGCGCUGGCGCGACGGUGGGUUCUGCGGGCGCGGCGGGACGCGGAGCACGACGGCGCGCCGACUUCGCCGGCGUCGAGGAGCUCGUCCUACGACGUGACGAGCUUCCACAAGCUGAGCUUCGACCAGCACGAGAUCCUGGAGGCGCUGAUCGACAAGAACAUCGUCGGCCACGGCGGCUCCGGGACGGUGUACAAGAUCGAGCUCAGCAGCGGCGAGCUGGUGGCGGUGAAGAAGCUGUGGGUGUCGGCGGCGCGGCGGACCAAGCAGCAGCACGACGUGCAGGUGCUGACGAGCACCACCAGCAGUGGUUGGCUGGGCGACCGGGAGCUGCGGACGGAGGUGGAGACGCUGGGCAGCAUCCGGCACAAGAACAUCGUGAAGCUCUACUGCUGCUACUCCGGCGCCGACAGCAACCUGCUGGUGUACGAGUACAUGCCCAACGGCAACCUCUGGGAGGCGCUGCACGGCUGCUUCCUGCUGCUCGACUGGCCCACGCGCCACCGGGUGGCGCUCGGCGUCGCGCAGGGCCUCGCCUACCUCCACCACGACCUCAUGUUCCCCAUCGUCCACCGCGACAUAAAGUCAUCCAACAUCCUCCUCGACGCCGACUUCGAACCCAAGGUCGCAGACUUCGGCAUCGCCAAGGUGCUCCAGGCGCGCGGCGCCGGCGCCGACAGGGACGCGUCCACCACCACCAUCGCCGGAACAUACGGCUACCUCGCGCCAGGUACCGACAACUGUCUAAUGUAUAUACAUAUGUAUAUGUUGUGCUGAUGUGGCAUUCACGACCGUGCACCCUGAAUGAACGCAACACAGAGUACGCCUACUCGUCCAAGGCGACGACCAAGUGCGACGUGUACAGCUUCGGCGUGGUGCUGAUGGAGCUGGCGACGGGGAGGAAGCCCAUCGAGCCGGAGUUCGGCGACACGAGGGACAUCGUGCACUGGGUCUCCGGCAAGGUGGCCGCCGGCGCCGAGGCGGACGCGCUGGACAAGCGCCUGGCGUGGAGCCCCUACAAGGAGGAGAUGGUGCAGGCGCUGCGCGUCGCCGUGCGAUGCACCUGCAGCAUCCCGGGGCUCCGCCCCGCCAUGGCCGACGUCGUCCAGAUGCUCGCCGAGGCGGGGCCACGGACUCCCAAGGACAAGCUGGACAGCAACAAGGACUCCAAGGGCUCCGCCGGCCAGCAGCAGCCCAAGCUACCACCAGCUAGUCCGUAGGAACGAGUUGAAGCCAUGCAGGUGAUAUACCGAUCGAUUAAACGAGUAAGAUAAGAGGUGAGCUGACUGAUCGAGGUCGUCCAAUUCAUCAGGCAACAGCAUUAAUUAAUUAUCGCUGCACUAAUUGAUCAGAGGAUGGUUUCAUUUACACAAGAAGCAUGCAAGCUGCAAGGAUUGUUCGCUCUUGCACUACGACAUAUAUAUAUAUAUAUAUAUAUAUAUAUAUAUAUAUAUAUAUAUAUAUAUAUAUAUAUAUAUAUAUAUAUAUAUAUAUAUAUAUAUAUAUAUAUAUAUAUAUAUAUAUAUAUAUUAUAUGCAAGUAGGGUAGGGUAGCUAGCUAUAUAUGUAGGCAGCAUAUGCAGUGGGUCCUCCUCGAGUAGUGAGUGAAGUGCAUCGUCACUCACAUAUACACUGCUUGGUGUUUAAGCAGAAUCUGAUGCUCCCAGUGGACCAGAGAGAGAGAGAGAGAAAUGUAUCAUAUAUGGAUGGAAGCAAUGCAGAUGUAUUGGCGCAUUCAGCUUUGAAAUGUUCCUUUCUCUUUGGAUUGGAUCCGCGGAUGGAGCCUUUAAUUUCUUUUUCUCGACAACUUUUUCUCUCUUGUGCAAGCUUUUGUUUUUGUGAGAGUGAUGCCAAGGGACAGUGCUGCUCCUGGCUAGAUGAUGCGAAGGUUUUUUGCUGCCGUGCAGGUGUUUUUACUUCUUUUUAUUCGAUCCCUUUUUUGCUUUCCUUUUUUUUAAAGCCUUUUUACGGUACAUAACACUAGCCUAUACUAGUGUUCAAAAAGACUAGUAUACAAAUAUCUAACGGUCAAGAUUAAUUGUAUACUACUGAAACCUUCACUUGUGGUAUGGGUAGUAUACAUGAGUAGUAUAGGUAGUAUAAGGAUAUCAUGCUAAAAGAACACAAAUGACAUCACUAAAAUUUUAUUUGUGACACUAGCAUAAAGUUUAAAAGGCUAUUCCAUUUGAAAUAUCAGUUUUCACGUGUAAUAAUUACUAAAUCAUCUAUAAUCAUGAACAUUUAGAUCUUAUAUAUCUUUAUACUAAGUAGUAUCUAUUUUUUUUUCCGUUAUAGAAUUAUUUUACUCGUGAAAGAAGGUUUUGGCUGCAAGCGCAGUGUGCAUUUUUCCACUCGAACAUAAAUUAAGUGAGUUGGAUUCUGUUUGUGGGCCUGGAUGCUGACGUGGCUGCGAGUACACUGCAUGAUAGGAGGAAAUGAUUAGCGUACGAGUGCCAUGGAGGUUGACUCAGCCUAUCAAAAGUAAGUAGGCCACUUGAUUAGUGACUUAGUGCCACGGUGGCCCUUUGUUACUGGAAUAAUAUAGUCCACGUGUCAAAGUCAGUGCUGAAUCUGCUGUGAUAUAUUUACUUCGGAAAUUUACGAGGAAAGAAGAAAAAAAACAGGGAAACUUUUCUGCCUGGUGACAUUUGAGAGCAUCAAAAGUUCUCCAUCAGUUCUUUACACCGCGACGAGAGCCAAGCUUAUCACGUACUCCCUCCGUCUCGUAAAGAAUGCUUUUUUAGUUUGUCCUACAUCAAACUAUUUUAAAUUUGACCAAAUUUACAAUGAAGAGUAUACUAUGAAAAUAUAUUUCAUAAUGAAUCUAAUAAAAUUUGCUAGACAUCAAAAGUGGGCGUGCUCAGUAGUACUGGUUGUGGCUGUGGCUGCAGCUAUAGCAGCCAUCCAGCAGCAGCUACAGGCGCUGCAGCAGCCUAGCAGGAGCGUUCAGCUUUGUUCACUACAUGUGCUUGGGUUGCUUCUUUUUUAGGGACGUUUGGAUACUAGGGGCUAAAAAUCCGAUGUGACAAGGGCUAAAGUUUAGCCCCUGUCUCCCAAACACCACUUAGCUGUGCAGCCGAUCGGAUCAGUAUUGAUCAAAUAUAGGAUGGUUUGACUUAGAACAGAAUUAAAGGGACACUCUUUGUGGACGAAGUGAGUGUGACGUGUGAGAUUUAUUUCUCAUUUUUUGGACUCAAGCAAACAAAAACUCAAUUAUGCUUUUGAUCACGAAGAAGCACUUUAUGGUCGAGUGCAUUUCAUGGGAAAUCAGGUAAAGCAUUAAAGUGCAAAGCAAAAAAGAUGUGCAUGCAUUUUUAGUAUUUUAUUCUAUCUGCUAAUUACAGAUGUGUCAUAAUACUUGCAGUCACUUUCGCAAUUUCGUUUUCAAGUAUUUUCGUAGGACUCGGUCUCCAUUUCAAAAUGUUACUUCAACUCCUUUCUUUGUUACAUUCAGUCACACUGAAAAAAUGCACCAAAUCCACAGGAUCAUUUUUCUUUUUCUUUUUUUUGUUAAAAAAUGAGCAAGUAGACAUAUUUCAAAUUAUUUGAGUCCUACUAUUCUAAAGAGGAGCUUCUUUCCUAGUCCUUGGAGAAAUAUAAAGCAUGACGACAGUUUGAGUUUCAGACCUUAGACCCUAAAGCUUAAGUUCAUACCAUCAUGGAUUGAUUUUUAUAACAUGAUCUUUGUCAUUUUGCAAGCAAACUGUGCCGUAGGUAUCUACUAUCUAGCCACCUACGAGAGCCUGAGCCUUUCUUUCAUCAGCCGUAGAAAGUGGCCAUGCUGCAUAGGGGAGUCAGGCCAGGUGUAGUGGCAAUAGGAAUCCACUAAUUUACAAGUGGGAGCGGUGCAUGCUUGAGGUGGUAAUAGCAGUAUAGUAGCUGAAAACUAGAUCUUGCAAAUUUGGUGGCUAUCCUUGUUGUAGCCUCACCAUGUUGAGUAGGAUGCCAUUCACCAGCAUAACAUGCUCGGCAUUUGCAUUUCUCGAUCAAUGAACGAAGCCUGUUACGAUCAUGUCAAGGUGUCAUCCCAGCAUUCCGACUAUUGAGUGAUGAAUAUGUAACUGGUGUUAAUUAAUGAAAAUGGAUUGAAGAUAUUUGUUGGACUCGACACAUCCUAUGACUUACGAGGCGAUAUGCGCCAUUAAGAACUGUGCCAAGGAUAGUGCUCAAUUGCAACAGUGUAAACCUGUAAAAAAGAAUGAAGAAAGGGCUGGAUCAGAUUCAAAAUUAGAAGAAGAAAAAAGCCCAGGAAAAUGAAGAAAUAUAUAAAGCCAAUUAUGAAUACAGUCCUGAUAGUUAAUGGAUAAUUUUUUUAUGGUUACAUGGUAAUGGUCGAUGUCUAAUUUCUGCAGGUAUUGUACUUCUGAUUCAAUUUUCAGCUCAAGAUAGUAUAAUAUUAGCCCAUUCUUAUCACCAAGACUGCUACCAAAAGUAUUUUAGCAGACAUAUUUUACCUUGAAACCACUUCACUCUCAUCGACCGAACCUUUCGAUGAGCUUCUGCUCAAUCUCCAACCUCUUCCUAACCAACAAUGUGUAAUUGUUCAGAAGUUCAGUGUCUCUCUUGCAGUCCCCAAAAGGAACAGCCAACUUCAUGCUCAGUGAUGUUCUAUCAAUUCUCCCAGAGUACACACAUGAGAAUGGCACAAACUCAUCUUGUUGAUUACAGAGCCACCCAUGGGCUGCUCGCAGAGCAGCACCCAAAGAUGCAGAGUCUGUAUUGAUUGAAUGAUAUCAGAAAUAUCAGAAUUAACUAGCAUAUUAAUUAAAUUUUCUCGUAAAUGAAUUCACAUUCCUUAGAAAAAAAUUGCAAGCGUGGACAGCAACUAGAUUAAUUAUUAUAACAGUAUAUCAUGCAUUUUAGGAGUAAGCAUAUUAAUAUGUAAGCGGUGCACAUUAGUAUAUGUCCUGUGCGGUUGUGCAUACCUGAUCUUUGGGAAGUGUACACUGGGCAGCCAAAAAUAGAUGCCAUUAUCUUGAGAAUUAUUGGGUUUGAGGACGCGCCACCAGUUGCUAUAAUACGCUUUGGAGGUACUGGCAGGCCACAUUGCUCAGCAUGGCCCCUCAUGGACAGGAACUGCCCUUCAAUUAUCGCACGCACCUAAAAUCAGGGCUGUUAAUUAAUCUACCUGAAGAAAAUUUGGCAAGCCAAACAGUUUGAUUUGCAGGUUUGAGGUCUUCAAACCUCCGAAGGAGGAUCAAACUCGUCAACUUCUUCUUCCACCAUCUGAUCUAAAGAUCUGCUACUCACGUUCUUGACAAUGUACCGGUGAAAUCCAACUAUAUGUAUAGGUGAGAAUCUAAAUGAGCAAUGGGAUGAAUACUGAAUUGCCAAAGGGUAAAAAAGAUAUAAGGCCAAAACUAAACCUGGAAGUGGUGGGAGAAUCUCAUGUUCCUUGUAGUAAAAUCCCAACUUCCCUCCUACAAAAGAAAAACAUAAGGUCAGGAAUCUUCAGGAAAGUUACUUUUGUGUGGUCAAUGCAAGCAUCUAUCAUGAAGCUUAAGGAAAGGGAAGCUUUAUGUAGUAACCGCCUUAGCCAUGUCGGGAUCCAAGCAUGACUAAAAUAGUGCACUGAGUUGCCAAUUAUUGCAAGGCUUUAAAAUGAAUGGUUGAAAUAUGUUCUAGCCAAGAAGUUGUCUCAGCUCUCCAACAUACUCUCCAAUGUUCAUUUUAUAAACACAAACUCACAUUUUAGCAAAUGAACGAUGAAGCAGUAAUAGAUUGGUGUACCAUUCAACAGGGCUGUUUCUUCAAGCAACCUGUUGAACAUAUCCCAAGAUCCCUCAGCAUAACGAUUGCGAAGGUCUGCACAAAAUGUAUGCAUUUAGUAAAGGGGAACAGCGCAACAGAAGUCAUUUGCCAAGUGCUAACCAUACCUUCUCGUGUCAGAGAUCCAUUUUUAUAGCAAAGCAAUACCAUGUAGGUCUUGGGAUCAACUGGGUUAGGAAAGAUGUUUCCCUCAAGGGUUGGUUCUGGCGACUCAGUGACCCCAAAAACCUGAAAGGGCCAUAGAGGCGCCACAAUCAGCACCAGUCAUUAGUAAAUAAUUAGAUAGAAUGAAACAACAUUGCAUAAGGAGUACAUUUUCCAGGAUUCUUUUACUAACUGAACAACUGUAGUAGAAGCAAGGUUUAGUUUGCGCGUUGCUAAUUCUGGAACCAGGUCAUAGCAUGUACUUUGCCAUGGUUUUCCUUUAUUAGUAGAAUCUCUCUCGUGGGAAAUAAGUCAGUGUCAAUAGCAGAUUUGUAAAACAUGAUGGAAGAUGAUUACUGUAUCACUUGUCCCAAGACUGAUUGCGAGAUCACCAGGAUUGCUCAAAGUUAAGCCUGCAUAAUCACAUAUAUAUGGAAAUGGAAAGCAUUAUUUGAGUUCGCAAGCAGCCUUCAUAUAUGCCCAACUUAGGUCAUGCUUUUAUCUGAACAAACCAACAUCAGAAUGUACUAAGAGACUUGAAUGUCAAAAAUUGGGACGAACAGAAGUACCUGCAAGGCUAUUGGGGUUGUCCCCUGACCACUGAAUAACUAGACAGCUGCUUGCAAACUGAAAUCUGCUACAACAUAAAAACGCAAAGUCUCAAUCUGACAAGCUGUCGUCACAUGAAAACAAUGAUCGAAACGUUAUUACAGUUUUACUAUGGUUUAUUUGCAUUAUCCAGCCUUUCAUGCUGUGAACACAGAGAACUGCAUUUCAGAAAAAUAAAUAUUUACUUGCUGAAGGAGCACAACACCUUAUCAGACAACUGCAUUUCAGAAAGCACACUUCACCUCUGAACAAAAUAAGGAGCAAUUUUUCCAGCCACAGCAUGAGCUGGUGCUAGUUUCCCGAUCCUCCCUUUUAAAUUUGGAGCCGUAGCCUGCAAAAUUGAAAUGCAAAAAAAUUUUAAUCGAGCUUAAUUCUAGUAUGUGCCACAGCACUUUUUUUUAAUUCAUAAUCCCCAAUUGCAAUCUACAAUGGCAAACAUAAGUCUGCAACUCUGAAUCAUGAAUAUAACAAGAGGCAGACAAAAGAAACCUGAAGAGCGUCCUCGCGCAGCUGGCGCGUGGCGAUGUCCAUGAUGUUCAUCCCAGCGCCGUCGGUCUCGUCGAUGCAGGCGUACCCGCCGACGAGCAGGGACGCCAUGAAUGAGCUGACCAGCGACACCCUCUCGGUGGCGUCGUACACCUGCGGCCUGGUCUGGUGCAUCUUCCGUAUCUGCGGCCCCGUGCAGCGCUCGUGCGCGCGGCACCCCGUGAGGGAGGCCAGCCGCAGGGCGCCGCCCAUCGCUGCCUCCACCUCCCGGCACUGCGCCGCCGUGCUGCUGUCCAUCCACACGGGCGACUCCAGCGCCGCGAACGCGGCCGCGAGCUGCGGCGCGAGGCUCCGGGCCGGGUCGAGCGCGGCCAGCGCGGCGGCGGCGCCCCUGGCCCAGUACACGCUGCCGUGCUGCUGCGCGGAGCCGGAGACGGCGGCGACGCGGCGGAGGUCCGCGCGGGGCCGCAGCCUGGCGAGGAGCAGGUCCAGGGCCUCGGCCCACAUGAGCGGCGGCGACACGAUGCGGCCGCGCUCGGCGGGGUCCCGGCGGACGCCGCCGUGGGUGCCGUAGUGCGGCAGGUCGGAGUCGAAGUGGACGGAGUCGGCGGCGACGAUGCCGAGGCUGGCGUCCAGCACGGUGGCCUUGAGCGACCUUGGUUGGGAGGUCAGCGGCCGAGUAGUGAAGUGCCGAGAAGGCAGCAAUGGGAGUGAAGAGCAAGCAAGUCAACGAGCGAGCGAAGAGGAGGCUUGAUUGAGCUCGAGGGCAAGAGGGCACUUACUGGGUGGAGCAGUCGAGGCCGAGGAAGAGGGAGUCGUCGGGGAGGCGGAGGGAGCAGCAGCCACCGCCUGCGUCGGCCAUGAUGCAGCAGUCUCCUCGCCUGUUGGUGUGCUUGUUGACUCUGUAAGGGAUGCAAAACGAAAAAAAUAAAGUACAAAUUGCUUUCGUUGAGAGUUGAACUCAAGACCUCCCGCUUACUAAACGGGUGCUCUAACCAACUGAGCUACGAAAGCUAAGUGAUCCUUAAUUUUGUUCAAAUUAUAAAUUCUUUUCAUGGAGUAUGCUGACGCUUCCUGUUCAACCAUUAGAAGAAAUUAAACCUAGCAUCUACCUCCAGAAGCCUAUACAUAUACCAUUUACAUUCCCCCUCCCUAGGCACUCACCUCGACCGCCAACAUAUUUUUUCCUCUUCAUCCGUGGCGGCCUGUGCCAUCUUGACAAGUACAUGGGUAUCAUUAUUAAAUAAUCUUAUAUUUAAUCUUAAAAUAACUCAGUAGACAAAUUGUAUAAUGUGUUAUCUUUAAAUUAUAUUGGUAAAAGCUUUUCCUGGCAUUCUCUAGUACUGACAAUAGUUGCAUCCUUUAGCUCAUCUUGCUAGGGGUGUUGUUGCGGCCACCAAAUUCAUUUGAUUUUGCUAGGUAAAAACUUGGUCUGCUCCUCCGUGGAUAGACGAAUGAUGGUGACGUUGGUGUCGCUUCCUCCUCGAAGGCAUCGUCUUGCAUGACCUUCUCACUCUACCUCCGCUAGCUCUGAGUUGUUAAGCAAUCGGUGAUGUGCGUGUGUUUAUAUUGUCUUUCUCUCCUGCAGGUUUAAGUCAUCUUUAAGUUGUGUUUAGUGUGUGGGGGUGUUGUGGUUUUCUUUUCGUAGUUGUGUUUGUGUUGCUUGUCGCAUGUGGUGAUUCUUUUAACUUUACAUUUUUGGUCUUCUCAAAUUGCAUAGUAGUAACUCCUUAAUGAAAACGUGCUCAACACAACUUAAAAAAAGCAAAAGCACCACUCGGGAGUGGAAUCAUGUGGCGGCAGUGGAAUCAUGGCCGCAGCCGCGCUCCACCCGUGGCCUGCGCGGGUUUCUCAAAUUGGUCGUGUAUUACAGGUGCUUCAUCCAGAACUUCAGCACCAUUGCAGGACCCCUGACGACACUGCUCAAGAAACGAUUGACUGAGGCAGCCACCGAGGCUUUCACGGCCCUCAAAAAGGCCUUGUCCGUAGCCCCCGUCUUGCACCUGCCCGAUUUUGGAAGAGAAUUUAUUCAGGGCCCGUUCCCCUCCUGAGCACCAAGCCCCGCCGGCCUCUUAGCCCUCCCAGCUCCCGCCGCCACCCACACACCUACCGUCCGCCGGGAAAAUGAAGCUCCGCCGCCGGGAAUCGAAUCCCCGCUGUUGGCCGCCCGUUCCCCUCAUGAGCCUCCUCCUUGGUACGGUGGCACGGCAAGGUUGCUGAAGCCAGCUCCAGGGACGCACCAACGUCGAAGCCAGUGGAUCCGAGACCGUGCAAGGCUUGCGGCGCCAGAUCAUGGGGGCGCAGUCCAUGACUUAGGCCACCGAUGUGGGACUGCUGCCGCGAUGUGGGGCCGGGGCUACCUAGGUGCGGGGCAGCAAGUGCGGGUUUCGCGGACGCCUGUCCCUCCCACAGCUGCGCCGCGCGAGGCCAAUGCCGCGAGGUCAUCGGUCGUCGGCCACCGGUAUAGCGGUGCAGCGUGGCACCCGUGUGACGGCCGAUGGCCUGGGCGCAGAACCCAUCGCGGUACGCCAUCCAUGCGGUUCUCCUUGGUGUCCUCGCCUCGAGCAGCGGGCCAGACAGUGCUGCUCCUCGCCGCGGGGAGGUCAGCCAAGGCUCGCCACUGGUCGUAUGUGGCGCGGGGUAGCCGAGCGGUUCUUGAAAGAUUCUUUGGCCUUCUUGUUUCUGCAUUCUUGGAACUAGUCGUGGAUGGUGAAUGUUGUCUGAUCGAUGAGAUCAGCUCUAAGGGUUGAGUUCUAUCAGGUUUGAGUUACCGAACAGCUCUCUAUGCUUGCCUAUUUGUUUGUUCACAUAUUUUCCAUUAGUUGAUGAUUUUUGUUUCUACUGUUGACCUCAGACACAAUCAGUUCAUUUUGGUGUGAAUUCGAUUAAUCUGUGAUAAUGCUAACUGAUGUUGGUUGCUUGUGAACUAUGAAUUGGGCGUUGCAAUCAAUGUGAUAGUGUUAACUUUUCAUAGUUGCACUGCGUUCAGAGUUGCUCAUGCACAUUGCAUUGCCGUUACUAAUUCUUCAGAAUGUUUUGAAGAUUUUGCAAGCCGGACCGUUUCAUUUCUCCGGUUCGGUUUUGGAGCAAGUCCAUAUAAUGCAGCGAUGCAACACUUGAUGACUUGCGCUUCUCAUUUAGUAUUUCAGUACCAGUGAUGGGAGUUGUUAAUUCACACUGCACUGCUGUCUUGCCGACCACCUAAAGAUUUUGCAAACCAAACUGUUCACCUGAGGAAGAAGAAGAAAAGGGGAAUAAGAGGAUGAUAGGUGGGAUCAUGAGUUAGGGGCAAGAAUGACAAUUCACUUUCAAACUCCUCUUUUCUGGAGCUGGGGACACCCUCCCAGCCAAACACCUCCAUCAGACAGCUCCAACUCCAUCUAGAGUUGGCUCCACCUGGAAUUUUUGAGUGGAGAAGCUUCACACAGAGUUGGAGUCAUGCCAAACAGGGUCUAAGUUUAAGUUUUGAAGGGGGCAUUGGGCUGACCAGGUUUUGAUGGGCCAACCACCGCCCCACACCACGGAGGUGUGGUUCAUGUGAAGGCCCAGUUCAAUUGUUUUCACCUUGCUUUCCACUUAAAAUAUUCUUUUUCCAACGAUUUUAGACUUUCCGACACCAUUUUAGGGGUGAUGGAGUUGUUGGCACGGUGCACGGCACCCACAUGGUUCCGUUUAACUUUAAAUCCUGGUACCCAUAUUUAGUUGGGAUGAUUCGACCUGAGCAUUUUGCGAGCCACGUCGGGCUCAGAUCGAGUGCCGAAAAAAGCUCCGCUCAUGGUGAGCUGAAACAUUGUGCUCAUGAAAUUGCUGGCGGUUGGUUAGGUAGUCCACCAGCUAUCACACCUAGCUUUUAAAACAAAAUCAAGUAUUAACUAUAUGUAUGCCAUGAUCAAGUUUCAUACAUAUAGUGACGUCAUUAGUGAAUAACAGCAACAGUAUCACGUAAAAAUAUAAACAAAGACUUACAAGACUAACAGAGAGACGCAGUUUAAACUCUGGAAACGAAGGCUCCACACUUCACAGGCACUCGACUAGGGGUUGCGUACGCCUAGAACUCAGGAUCAUCUUCACAACUUCUUCAUUGCAUCUUCUUCUUCUGAGCAGCAGUGAGCAAGGGUGAGUACACUUAUGAUUGGUACUCAGCAAGGUCAUAGGAACUAACUGGAAUUAAUGAUUUAAGUCCAUCUUCAAGUUUAAUUAACCAUGUGAGGGUCCAAGCCGCUCUUAACCGUGAGCACGGCUGAUAUAUCAGUUUACACUCUGCAGAGGUUGUACACUUUACCCACAACUCGUGGUCCCUCGUGUCGCCCAGGUUUGCAAAGCCCUUAAACACUUCCUUUGGUGAGCGGCUGGGGGGUCCACUAAGCCUUUACAAAGACACAUAGCUAACUAGUAGCCCGCUAGAGUUUCAGUAGCGAUGUGGGUCACAACCCGUUGUAAUGAGUCAGCACCUUAGAAGGCUACUGCUCCGGGUCAUACCCCCGACACCUUCCCCCUCCUUGCCCUUUCGGUAAGACCACUAGUCAACCACAUGCCUAAUUAGUCGGCUAAGAUCAGAGCCAUGUGAUGUUGUGGUUGUACUGUUUUCUUGGGUGGUUCUCCAUAUUCCAAUUAAGAUUAUCAUAACACUGUGAACAAAGCAUAGGUAGAAGGAUGGUUAGGGACACUUGCCUUUCUCCAACGACAAGUUACUCUUAUUACUCUUCGGUUCUUACUUUCUUGAAACUCUUAACCUUCAAAGCUUUCGAUCAGUGAUCCUUCUAAUCAUGACAAACAUCAGCAACAAACAAACAACAAGAGUGACUAAGAACAAUACACCAAAACAAAAGAAAGGCUUAAAAUAGCGUACUAAAGGACAAGGAACGAUCUAAGGAUCACCCAAACGCUUAAAACGAACUAUCGAGAGAUUUGAUUCACGAAAAAAAUAAAAACACUAUAAGCUAGGUUUAUUUUAUUUAGCAAAACAUAUGUAAAGGAUAUUUCAGAAAGAAAAUAUCCUAAGUUAGAAUUAAGACAAUUUAUACUUUAUUUGCAAAGACCGAGGUAGAAACCUAGUCAAGUUUUAUUUAUAAAUAUUUAAGUAAAAUUUAUGCAAAUUAAACAUUUAAUUUGGAAAUAAAGCAUAGAUGAAUAUCUAAGUGCAUAGCUUUAUAUUUCGAGUUCAACUAAGAAUAUUAUAUUAAAACACAUUUAUUUUGAUAUUAGCCAAAUUAACAUUUGAUUAUGAAAAUUCGAGUUAUAACCUAUGUAGCUUUUAUUUAGAAGACAAAUUGAAUAAAUAUUAGUCAAAUUAAAUUUAAUUUAAGAAAAGUUGAGGUUUAACUCUAAAUAGCUUUUAAUUGUAAGAAUUAUUCAAAUAAGUGUUAAUCAAAUUAUUUUCAGUUUAUGAAAAACCGGUGUAUAUCCUAAUUGACUUUUAUUUAGAAAUAUUAUGAAGUGAGCAUUAAUCAAGUUAACAUUUAUUGUGAAAAACGAUAGAUAUCACUUGGUGACUUUUAUUUAGAGAAACACAUGUUAAUCAGGCAUUAAUCAAAUUAAUAUUAAAUUUAUUUUUAAAGGCAUGAAAUGCAGGAUGACAACAACACUAACGUGUAAUUUACGCUGUUAUGAACGUAACGCAACUUGAACGGAUUUAAAAAGGAGCUAAAACGUGGAAUCUACGAAGAAAACAAGAUCUAGGGACCUAAACGCAAUUAACGAGGGUUAGCAAAGAAAUUUACCGAGACACAGAGAAGAGAGUCCGCGAAAAGAUGAAAACCUGGGGUUAGAUCUGCAAAAGGUUCAUGGAUAGGAUUAGAUUGCAAGAAAACGGAAAGUUUAGGGGGUUUUCUGAAGAUUGAUCAUGGCACAAAGAUAUUGAAGGAAUUACACAGUUUAUCAGGAGCUAAGAUGCAAAACGACUUUAUCUUCUUCUCCUUCAAUCCUCUAUCUUCCUUCUUCUGCUCGCUCCGCUUGUGUGGCCGGUUAGAGCUUACCGGCGGCGGCUGCCGGCCGGGCCAAGGGGUGGGCGGCGGCGGCGGUGGUGCGGCCCAGGGGCGCAGGCUACGGCGGCGCAGCGCGGGCCAGGGAAGCGGCGCGAGGCGGCGGCGGCCGGAGUGGCGGCGCUGGGCGGGGCGCACAGGGCGGCGGCUGCGCAGCGCUUGGGAGGCGCGAAGGCGAGCGGGGCGGCCGGGCGAGACGAGCAGCAGGGGCAACCGGAGCUCGGGCGCUCGUUUUAUAGGCGGAGGGAGGGAGCGGAGGCGGCUCAGGAGGUGAAUCGCGGAGUAACGGCCGGCGGCUAGAGUGGUGGCGCCAUUCAUGGCGGCGGGUUGGUGGAGCGGCAGUUUCCGGCCGAAGGAAGGAGAAACGAGGGGGCGGAGGCCUGUGCGUGGGAGGCGGAGGGUCAUGGGGAGCCGGAGGGGCGCCGAGAAGCCGGGGCGACGGGAAACCGAGCGGCGCCUGUGCGGGGAGCUCAAGCGGCGGCGCCGGCCGAAGCUUGAAGAAGCUUCCGACAUGCGGGGCCCACCUGGCAGCGAAAGGGAGAGAGAGAAAAGAUGGCGGGCCAAGCUGGGCCGGAGGAAAAGAAAGGGAGGUAGGCCGGUGUGGAGAAAAGCCUGGCUGGGCCGGUGUGGGGGAAAAAAGAAUGGCCGGUUGGGCCAGGGGAAAGGGCAGGGAGGCGCUGGCGAGCCUGCCUGGCUAGCAGGCCGGCGGAAGGGGAACCGGGCCGGCUGAAGGAAAAAGGAAUAGGGAGGGGGGAGAGGGAGCAGUUUCGGCCGGCGGGGAAAGAAGGGAGCCGGCGGCCUGCUUGGCCAAAGUGGGUCGGGCCCGUGGGCUCGGCUCGAAGGAAAAGGAUAGAAAGAUAGAUUAAUAUUUUCAUAAAUAUUUCAGUGUAAAAACAAAUCCAGAAAACUCUAGAUAAAGUUUUUAGAGCACGAAAUUUUUUUUAGAAAAUACCAAAAAUUCUGGGAAAAAUCUCAGAGAUAGAUUGGGACACAAGAAAUCCAAAUAAAAAAAUUUGGAGCUCGUGAAAAAGGAUUUUAGAACCAUCCAAAAAUUGGAUUAAGCUCAAGGAUUUUAGACCAGGGCCGGCUCCAUAAUUUUGAGGACCCUUGGUACCGAUUAUUUUAACCGGUAUUUAAAAGGAAUCUUUUAAUACCUUUAAUGCCGGAUUGUUAGUACCGGUUGUAUAACUGGUACUAGAGGCAGGUUAUGAAUCAGUUCCUGACCAAUUUUUUCGGUAGUGCAAGUGUUCAGUUUUUGGGCGGUCGAGCCUCGAGGUCGGCUCAAGUGGCUUGAUUUGUUAUUGUGAUGAUAUCGUAUAUUGGGAUUUAGAACUUCAAGACAAGAUGCCUCGCUGGCGUGCUUUUAACGUGAUUCUCCCCUCGUCUGGAAUAACAAGGUGUAUUUUAUUUUAUUAGGACAAGCAUUUGACCUAUGAAUACUCUAUUAAUACAAUUUUAAUAUGACACAAAAUAUAAUUAUAAGUAUUUUGUAAUAUGGGUAAUCUAAUAAAAUCAAGUUUGUGUUCAAAAAAUAUAUAUAGUCGACUUGUCGAUCAGUAUCUCCAUGUUAUCUUGUCAGUUGGCUCUGAACGUCCAAAAAGAAUGCCAAUUGGUGAGCUACGAGGUCAAUUAUAACCUGUGAGACCCAUUGGUACGUCAGUGAAAUCACUAAACUGCUUUGACUAGGUAAAAAGGGUUAAUUUGUUUAGUUUUAAGAGAUGUGAGAUGUGUGUUGUCUAGUAUUCAAGCUCAAGGUUUUUCUUACUCAUCCCUUCCUCCUCCGAACCUCUCAUCCGAGCCCAAUCUCUCGCAUGGCGCCCGACCCCUCUUAGGCCCCCUUUGGAAUAUAGGAUUCAUGUAGAAAUUUUGUAGGAUUUGAAUCCUAUAGGAAUUUUUCCUAUGUGUCCCUUUGGAACAAAGGAUUGACCAACCUUUUAAUCCUUCCAAAUUCCUCUGGAAUGGCUCAGUCCAUAAGAAUUUUGCAGGAAAUCUAAAAUGAGGUCUAACCUCUUUGGAAACUUUUCUUUAUGUCUAUCUCUUCCUUCUCAUUUGUUUGUUUUUCCUACGUUGCAUCUAAAUACACAAUUGCAAACUUUCCUACAUUCUCAAUCCCUGUAGAAUUGGAAAUGUAAUGUAACUUCGUUCCUACGUUUUCCUAUUCCUAUGUUUUGAGAUUUCUUUCAAAGAGGUCCUUAGGGGGUGUUUGGGAGGAGGGGGCUAAAUUUUAGCCCCUGUCACAUCGAAUAUUUGGACACUAAUUAUGAGUAUUAAACCUAGAUUAAUUACAAUACUAAUUACACAACCCCUAGGCUAAAUCGCGAGACGAAUCUAUUAAGCCUAAUUAGUCCAGGAUCCUCCAAAGUGGUGCUACAGUAACCAUUCACUAAUGAUGGAUUAAUUAGGCUUAAUAGAUUCGUCUCGCGAUUUAGUCUAGGGGUUCUGCAAUUAGUUUUGUAAUUAGCUUAUGUUUAGUCCUUCUAAUUAGUAUUCGAACAUCGACAGGGCUAAAGUUUAGUCCUCUCCUCCCAAACACCCUUUUAUUUGUUAUCACGACUGAUAGUACGUGACAGUAACCGUGCAACAUCUAGGUACGUGACAAGGCGACACAUGCAUAUGCCAGCUCAUUGGCUCGCCCUAAUCAGGCACUACCGUCCACAGAAGUGGCGCCAGAAGUCUGACAACGCAACACCGUUGCCAUGGGACCUAGCGGCACGGGCGUGAACCAGGCUGUACCCUCGUGAUGGCACAUGGAAAGCCGUGAUGAUAUUAUUGAUAUUACUAAACUUUAGCCCUGUCACAUCACACGUUCAGAUGCUAAUUAGGAGGACUAAAUAUGAGCUAAUUAAAAAACCAAUAGCAGAACCCAUAGGCUAAAUCGCGAGACGAAUCUAUUAAGCCUAAUUAAUCCAUCAUUAGGGAAUGGUUACUGUAGCACCACAUUGUCAAAUCAUGGACUAAUUAGGCUUAAUAGAUUCGUCUCGCGAUUUAGCCUAGGGGUUGUGCAAUUAGUUUUGUAAUUAGACUAUGUUUAAUACUCCUAAUUAGUGUCCAAACAUCCGAUGUGACAGGGGCUAAAAUUUAGCCCCUCCCUGCCAAACACCCCUUAAAUCUAAAGCCGUAAUGAUGCUUUCGAUGAUGCUUUAAGGCGACUGGAAAGCCGUAAUACAAAAUAAUAUCAUCACGGCUUUCGAUGCAACCAAUAAAUUAAGCGCCCCAAGAAGGUCAGUGCUUGGCGUUGGUCUCCAUUUACCUCCAAAGCGCUUCCGCAGACCAUCCUCUUCUCCACUCCAAAGUGUCUUCUCAUUUCUCAGCGUGUGCUCCUCUGACUGCUCUAAUGGCCGAGCUUGUGGGCAGCAUGGUGGUCGGGCCACUGCUGUCCCUGGUGAAGGAGAAGGCGUCCAGCUACCUCCUGGACCAGUACAAGGUCAUGGAGGGCAUGGAGGAGCAGCAUGAGAACCUCAAGGUCAUGCUGCCGGCCAUCCUGUAGAAUGCACAUGGAAAGCCAUGAUGAUAUUAUUUUGUAUUACGGCUUUCGAUGCAACCAUUAAAUUAAAGGUUUGUUUGGCUCACCCGUCACAUCGAAUAUUUGAUACUAAUUAGGAGUAUUAAACAUAGGCUAAUUACAAAACUAAUUGCACAGAUGGAGUCUAAUUCGCGAGACGAAUCUAUUAAACCUAAUUAGUUCAUGAUUUGAUAAUGUGGUGCUACAGUAACUAUUUGCUAAUGAUGGAUUAAUUAGGCUUAAUAGAUUCGUCUCGCGAAUUACACUCCAUCUGUGCAAUUAGUUUUUUAAUUAGCUCAUGCUUAGUCCUCCUAACUAGCAUCCGAACAUUCGAUGUGACACCGCUAAAGUUUAGCACAUAGUAUCUGUCGUUGUCAAGAUUGGCGGAUCAAGACUUAGACUAGUAAAUUUCUUUUAUGCGCGUAAGGCUUCAGAUGGUGGCGUAGGAGACACGGGUUUAGACUGGUUCGGGCAAGGGAAGCCCUACGUCCAGUAUCGAGGAUACUCGUAUUGCCCACGCGAGGUUCUGUAGUAGGGGUUACAGAUCGACGAGAGAGGGACUGGUCCCAAGUCUCUUUGUGCUUGUGCUCUCAGGGAGCGUCGUAGUGUGCUGCGGCUUGUGGGAGAAGAAGCCGAUCCCUUUCUCCGGCCCCUGGUGCUCCCUUUUAUACCGUAAGGGGGCGGCCGGAGUUACAGCUGAGACCGAGCGAUUGAGAGUAGUAAGAGUGUGAACGUAGUACGGUAAAAAAUACAGCAAGAAGGGAGGAACCAAGUCCCUAGGCGCCCGGCGCCUUCGCCGGCCCCUGACGAGCGCCGGCAUGCAUGCUGGAGGAGGGGGGCGGCCGUGUGCCAACUGUCGUCGCGCCCUACGGAUAGCCCCUUCGGCGUCCGUAGGCGUCGGGUUAUGAUGAAGGUGUUUCGUCGUUACUUCGGUGUCCGUUGGGGUGGACGGCGGAUGCCACCAUCCUGAUGAUGGCUUCCGGAGAGAGGGCGUUACAUCCUCGCUGCCGGGCGCGCGGGACCCGAGGGCGCGUGGGGCCCAAGGACAGGCGAGUCUUUCCUCCGCUCCGGUCGGCGCAGGCCAUGAGUACCCUGCGGCGAAUGGAAGGGAGCCGCCAGCACUGUAGCUUGUACAGUGUGGUCGUGCAUGGGCACUUGCAGCGGGUUGCGUGAGGAGCACGGUCAUCCUUCCCCCUGCCAGGCCUGCGGCGCAUUUAUGACGAGGCCGACGAGGGGGACCCACGGGAUCGUUGUCUUGUCCACCGGAUCCGCAUCCGAGGGGGAUGUCCGUCCUGGGGGCCCAGUGAGUCCGACUCCCGUGCUCGGGGUCGGACGAGGCGCAACCUUGUGGCGAGGGGUCGGGCGCCCCCGAUCCCGGGGUCGCGGUCGGACGAGGCGGAGCCUUGCGGAGGGAGGUCGGAUGCCCCCGACCCCGGGACCGCGGUCGGGCGAGGCGGAGCCUCGUGGCGGGAGGUUGGACGUUCUCAACCUUGGGACCUAAGGUCGGGCGAGGCGGAGCUUUGAUUAUGCUGGGUGGUCCUGGGCCUUCGUCUUUGUUCUUUUAAGCGGUAUCUAGGAGAUCGUUAAUAUUUCCCUCCAACAGUAUCCAAACACCCCCUAAGUGCCCCAAGAAGGUCAGUGCUUGGUGUUGGUCUCCAUUCACCUCCAAAGCGCUUCCGCAUACCACCAUCCUCUUAGUACUAAUGAGGCCGACCUCGUGCGCGACGUGGCAGACCGUUAUUUCAACCGGUACUAAAGGAUCUUCCUUAGUACCGAAUUGUUAGUAAUGGUUGCACAACUGGUACUAGAGGGAGGUUAUGAAUCGGUAUUUUUCCAAGUAGUGCAAGUGUUUCAGUUUUUGGGCGGUCGAGCCUCGAGGUCAGCUCAAGUGGCUUGAUUUGUUAUUGUAGAAUGCACAUGGAUAGCCGUGAUGAUAUCGUAUAUUGGGAUUUAGAACUUGAAGACAAGAUGCCUCGCUGGCAUGCUGUUAACGUGAUUCGCCCUGGUUUGGAAUUUAUUAUGACAAGCAUUUGGACCAAUGAAUACUCUAUUAAUACGAUUUUAAUGUGAUACAAAAUAUAAUUAUAAGUAUUUUGUAAUACGGGUAAUCUAAUAAAAUCAAGUUUGUGUUCAAAAAAUAUAUAUAGUCGACUUAUCGAUCGGUGUCUCCAUGUUAUCUCGUCAGCUGGCUCUGAACGUCCAAAAAGAAUGCCAAUUGGUGAGCUGCUACAUGAGCGGAAAGCAAGUCGAUUUGUCAACUUCAGAUCUAGCAGCUAAAACAAUUAUUUUAGGCGAGCGCCAUUUUGUAUUACGGCUUUCGAUGCAACCAAUAAAUUAAGCGCCCCAAGAAGGUCAGUGUUUGGCGUUGGUCUCCAUUUACCUCCAAAGCGCUUCCGCAGACCAUCCUCUUCUCCACUCCAAAGUGUCUUCUCAUUUCUCAGCGUGUGUUCCUCUGACUGCUCUGAUGGCCGAGCUUGUGGGCAGCAUGGUGGUCGGGCCACUGCUGUCCCUGGUGAAGGAGAAGGCGUCCAGCUACCUCCUGGACCAGUACAAGGUGAUGGAGGGCAUGGAGGAGCAGCAUGAGAACCUCAAGGUCAUGCUGCCGGCCAUCCUGGAAAGGAUCACUGACGCAGAGAAGCAGGCAACCUACAGACAAGCAAUCAGACCCUGGCUUCAGAAGCUCAAGGUGGCGGCAUACGAGGCCAUCCAAGUCUUCGAUGAAUUCAACUAUGAGGCCCUCCGUCGUCAAGCCAAGAAAGAGGGGCGCUACAUCAAGCUCGGGAUGGGCAACCGCAUCAUGUUCCGUUACAGGAUGGGCAACAAGCUUUGCAAGAUUGUGCGCGAUAUUGAGGCCCUUGUCAAGCAGAUGCGCGACUUUCGGUUCGACAAACAGCCAUAAGCGCAGGUCCAGAUAAAUUAUCUGCGUGAGAAUGACUCCACCAUGGUUGACCCAGAGAUUGUCAGCAGAUCCAGAGAUGAAGAGAAGCAAAAGAUUGUUAGAAUGUUGGUCAAAGAACAAGCUAACAAUAAGGAUCCGAUGGUCGUUCCCAUUGUUGGAAUGGGUGGGUUGGGUAAGACCACCCUAGCUCAGCUCAUCUAUAAUGACCCUGAAGUGAAGAAGCAUUUCCACCAACUGCUGAAGUGGGUCUGCGUGUCAGAUGAUUUCGAUGUUUGUAACCUUGCCAACAAGAUCUGUAACGCUUCUGAGAGCAACCUGGAGAAUGCCUUGCAGAACCUUCAGAGAGAACUCGCUGGAAAGAGGUACUUUUAGAAUUUAAUUUGAUGUUGAUUCACUCAUCUCAAACACGCACACUGGUUUUUUCCCUCACACAUGCUCAAAAUAUGUGCAUUGCCCUUGAGAAUAACGCGUAAUUGAAAAGAACAAGUAAAGCACAUGCAAACUACAUACACAAAAUUCAACUUCAAACUUAGAUCAAGAAGACAACAACGCCUCACCGCUAGCAAGUUUCCCUCUUGGAUAUGCACGGAACUUGCACAUCUCACAUACCAUUUACGCUUCCUCUUGUGGCAUUCACAUAACUUAAGAAAAAAACGUACUCAAAUAGAAACGCACUAAUGGCAUGAUUAUUUGUAACAGGUACCUUCUUGUAUUGGACGACGUCUGGAAUAAGGAUGCUAACAAGUGGAACAAGCUGAAUGCCUGUCUUAAACAUGGUGAUGUUGGUAGCGCCAUACUAACGACAACCCGUGAUAAAGAAAUAGCUCAACUCAUGGGUACAGUUGAAGAACAUGGCAUUGCACGUUUGGACAAUAAAUUCAUCAAGGAAAUUAUUGAGGCUAAAGCAUUCAUUUCGCAAGAGAGAAAACGAGCUGAUUUAGCUGGCUUGGUUGAUGACGUUGUUGACAGAUGUGCAGGGUCUCCAUUGGCAGCGAAGGCACUAGGAUCUGUACUACGUGGCAAGACAACGAAAGAAUGGGAGGCUGUGCUUAGCAAAAGCAUCGCCCAUAACAAGGACGAUCAAAUCCUGCCUAUUCUCAAGCUCAGUUACGAUGACCUGCCAUCACACAUGAAGCAGUGCUUCGCUUUCUGUGCUGUGUUUCCCAAGGACCAUGAGAUUGACGUGGAAAGGCUGAUCCAACUAUGGAUGGCAAAUGACUUUAUUCCCGAACAAAAAGAUGGUCAUCAUGAAACAAUUGGUAAACAGAUUUUCAGUGAGCUGGUCUCAAGGUCAUUCUUUCAAGAUGUGAAGCAAGUCAAAGGUUCAAGAUAUGGUUCCGUGUAUUGGUAUUUCUCUACAAGUACAUGUAAAAUCCAUGAUCUUAUGCACGAUGUGGCACUAUCUGUCAUGGGCAAAGAAGUUGCUACCAUAACUGAGAAGCCAAAGCAGAGUGAUGAGUUUCUUCAGAACACUUGUCGUCAUAUAUUGUUAUCAUGUAAGAAGCCAGAGGCCGUUUUGAAUGAUUCUCUGAAUAUAAGGUCUCCAGCUAUGCAAACACUACUAUGUGAUGAGGACAUAGAAAGUUCCCUGCAGCAUCUCGCAAAAUACAGCUCUCUGCGUGCAUUGAGACUUUGUCAAAUUAAGAGCACAAUCCUUUUGAAACCAAAGCAGCUACAUCUCUUGAGGUAUCUUGAUAUCUCCGGUAGUGAUAUAGUGGCACUUCCGGAAGAUAUCAGCAUUUUGUACAAUCUGCAAACAUUGAAUGUUGCGUACUGUCAGAAACUUGGCCGGCUUCCAAAGGGAAUAAAGUACAUGACUGCCCUCCGUCACCUCUACACUCACGGAUGUAGGGAGUUGAAGCGCAUGCCACCAGAGGUUGGACAUCUCACUUCCCUACAAACACUUACAAAUUUUGUAGUGGGUGCAUGCCCUGAUUGCAGUAGUAUUGCAGAGCUGCAGCAUUUAAACAACCUUGGUGGUCCACUACUGCUUAGUCAACUCGAAAAUGUGACAAAAGCAGCAGAUGCAAAACAGGCCAAUCUUGGAAAUAAAGAGGAGCUCAGGGAAUUGUCAUUAAACUGGACGUGGACAGGUAGUCAGGAGGAGAAACUACAUUGUCAUAAGGUGCUGGAGGGUCUCGAAGCUCCUCCUGGACUAGAGGCUCUGAGGAUAGAGGAUUACCAAGGAACCAGUUUCCCAACGUGGAUGGGUACGCUGACAAAAAUGGUGGAGCUUCAUGUUUCUAACUGUAACAAGUCCAAUAAGCUUCCUCCACUUAGGAGUGUACCAGCUCUACAAGUUCUUCGUCUGAAAAGAUUGAAAAAACUGGAAAGCUUGUGCAGUGGUGGUACAUUCUUUCACUUUCCUAAUCUGAAGGAGCUUACGCUGGACGAACUGCCGGAAUUUGAUAGAUGGUGUGAAGUAAACUGGGUCCAAGGAGAACAGAUAAUGUUUCCUCAACUUGAGAAGUUGUUUAUUACAAAUUGUGGAAAGGUUACAGCAUUACCAGGGCCAGCACUUCUCGGAGGAUCGUGCAGUGGAGAUUACAAGGAGCAAGACGAGAGGAAGCUUUGGUCGGCAUUUCCAGUCCUGAAGGUACUCGAAUUAAAAUGCUUAGCAAAGUUUCAGAGGUGGGGGGGCGCUGCUGAAGCAACUCAAGGGCAGCAGAUAAUAUUUCCUCAGCUUGAAGGGUUAUCAAUCGAAAAGUGCCCCGAACUGGCAGCAUUACCAUCAGCUACAUCUCAGGGAGUAUCAUUUGACCAUAGUGAUGUUACAGCAUGGUCAGCAUUUCCAAAGUUAAAGAAGCUCUUGUUAGAAGACUUAGAUAGUUUUAAGAGCUUGGGGAUGACGGAAGCAACUCAUGGUGACCAGCAGAUAUUCCCUGACCUUGAGACUCUGCGUGUUGAGAAAUGUCCGAAGUUGACAACUCUACCGGGGGUGAUAGAAGCACCAAAGCUCGGUGUAUUAAAAAUACAUGGCAGCCAACUGGCAGCAAUAAUAGUGCCUACAGUUAUUAACUCAUUGUCCAAACUGGAGUUAUCAGUCGAAGACACAGAAACUACUUUACCAACUGUGCAUAGUGCCUUUGAGCUGCUGGACGCCAGUAAUAAAUACCCUCUGACAGAUCUGAAGCUAAGCGGCUGCAACUUUCUGUUCCCCUCAAGUCCACUGGCACUAUGGACAUGUUUUGUCCAGCUCCAAGAUUUGAAAAUUGAGAGGAUCAACCAUGCGCUUGUCUACUGGCCGGAAAAAGAGUUCCAGAGCUUGGUAUCCUUGAGGCGCCUUACCAUUGACGAUUGCAGUGGUCUGAUUGGGUACGCGAAAGCUGCUCCUGGCCAACCAAUAUCAGAAAGGAACCAAGUUCUGCCCCGUCUCGAGGAUCUAGACUUGUGGGAUUGUGAAAGUCUGGUAGAGGUCUUCAACGUCCCCGCAUCUCUCAAGACGAUGGAUUUGCGCGGCUGCCCUAAGCUUAAGUCCAUAUUCGGAGAGCAACAGGACGAGCCAACAUUCAAUCAAGGGCCCAGCGCUGCACCGAAGCUGUCAUCAUCGGCCCGGGAUCACUUACUACUUCCAUGUCUUGAAUCUCUAUAUAUAUAUAGGUGUGAAAGCUUGUCAGAGGUUCUCAACCUUCCCCCAUCCCUCAGGGAAAUAGAUAUUACUCGGUGUGGCAAACUCCAACUCCUAUCAGGCCAGCUGGAUGGACUCCAAAGACUAGUUAUUAGGAUAUGCCCAGAGUUGAGAUCACUGGAAUCUUGCUUGGGAGAGUUUUCAACCCUGGAACAUCUCAGUCUCCGUGAAUGCGAAAGCCUGGCAUCCUUGCCCGAUGGGCCACAAGCAUACUCAUCUCUCCGUCAUCUUCAAAUUACAUCAUGUCCAGGUAUACAGUCGCUUCCUUCAUCCCUGAAGAAGAGACUGGACAACAUCCCUGAAGAAUAUAAAUAUUUGGAUGCUCGUUACGAAGGUACCCACCAAACUCAUUUGACGUUUCACCAUCAAAUGCAUAAAUCUGCUCAUGUGUAUUAUAUCCUCUUCAACCUGAGACCCCGCAUUCUAGAAAUAUAUAUACCAUUCGUCUUAAAGCAUCCUUGCAGUAGUUUGAAUGAUAUGGUGUGAUUAUUUUUACAUUAGAGAAAGGUGCAGCACACGACCACAGAAUUUUGGUGCCUUGGUAUAAUCACGUCGAGUUGUAUUACUUAAUUAUCCAUUUUGAAUUUCUGAAUAGAUAUGACUACUAAAGAAGCUGCUUAACGAGAAUGAUAUGUAAGGCAAAAUAGAGUAUCUUUGGUCCUCCACUUCUGUCUUCAGUUCAUCUUUAUUAUGUGAACUGCUACUAGUAUUUGCGUCUAUAGACUAUAGCUAGGUGUGAACUGUGCCCAGAAAUUAUUGACAAGGAAUAGUGGAAAGAACUCAGCAAUCACUAAAAAAGCAUGAAGAGUGUCCCACAAAGUUACUUUUUCAUGCAGUUGUCGGCUUGCUGGUUUCAGCACUUGCACAAUACGAAAUUUUAAAAAUCCAAGGGAUCCCUCCACACUUGGACAACUAAGAACACGACUAUAGAUUGUUUUCAAUUUGCAUUGAACUGAUAUUUUUCUAUUUCCCUAAUGUUACACCCCAAAUAGAGAUGCCAAGUUGCCAAUGCAACGAAGGUUUUUACUUGUCAAUUUAAUUGAAUUUUGCUGUCUAAAGGACAAAAUGUGGACUAAAUAAAAGGUCCCAGGAGCCUACUGUGUGGUACCUUUCUUUUAAUUGUUUUUGCUAACUUCACGCCUUUGGGUGUACAAAAAUGUACUAUUUCUGUUUUUGUUUCAGAAAGAACUGGAAUUUUUCUCUUUGGAAUUCGGUAGUUGUAUAUUUUAAUAUGCAUACUUGAAUCUGCUUGACGUACACGUUUUUCAUGUUAUACUAUUGAUAAAUCCUAACAUCAGCGAUUACCAGGUGCCAAGUUAUUGAAACCAAAGACAUGGAAAUAUGCCAUUCAUUUGUAGCAAUUAGUGAGCUGUCAAAACAUGAAGUACCAGGUUAGUAGCAUAAAAAGUUUGGGUUUUUAUUAGAAUCAUUUCAAUUAAUCUAGUGUUGAUUGCAUAUCCUCUCUAUUGUAGGGACAUGUUUGCCUCAUUUACUGUCAGCAUCCAAACCAUAAUGUGGAAAUGCUAUUUUCCUUCUAUGUUGAUCGUUGAUCAAGGUCUGAGUUACCAUACAGGCUCUGAUGCAAGUUGUUAAAGGCAGUAUAAAUUCUGUACCAGACAUUUAUUUAUAUUUGAUAAUCAUGAGAGAUAUAUUACUAUUUUAUUUUUGCAUCAAAUGGACGUGGAGGCUGGGAUAUUAAUACUUUCUCCCAUUAAUACAGCUACAUCAUGGCAGUUAUCUCCCUGUGAUUGGAAGAGAGUUCUGCAUUUUGCAUACCAACUGCAACUAUGAUGUUUAUAACUGGGCCUGGAGAGAUAUUAUGCCAUUUCUGUGACCAUUCUCUUCUAUUAUGUCCAUUUCACAUAUUCAAAACAAAAUUUUCCCUUAAGUGACUAUUCUAUUGAAUUGAUAUUUACUUUUUCAGAUAAUACUGAUAUUUUUAACUUGCUUUACUUUCCCUUAACAUGAUUGGAAGUUGAAGACCAUGCCUAAAUUUUUCAAAUGUGCCUUCCUUUUAGCGCAUUACUUCUUCGGUGACCAAUCAGCAUUUUGACUAGUUGCUACUGAUCAAUUAUUCAUACAUGCCCAAGGACCAAUAACUUCAUGGUGCAGCCAAUUAAAUUGUUACUGAUUUCAUGCUAUCAACAUGCAAAAAGAUAGUCAGUUGACACCUAGCCACAAUCAAACAAUAACCUAGUAGUUUGAAAUGAUUAUCGCAAUUGCCAUGCUUUGUGCAGAGAAGAUGACUCUUCGAGGUUAAGGAAGAUUCUACGAAUACAUGGCAAGUUUCACGAUGCAGGCAAUGAAUUAUUAAAAGCUGGUGGCAUAAUAGUGCACACGAAUGCAUACUUGUAUGCGCAUUGCAAUAUUGGAAAAUGUACCAAAGUGCAGUCACUGCCUUCUUCCCACAAACAAACAGCACUCGAUAAACACAUGAAGUCAUUUGCUCAUGACUUGCUGGUGAGCCACUAAGGCUCCAAGGUGCCGGCACACCUUGUAUAAAGGUGGUUCACUCUAGAACCUGAUCAUAAGGUAGGCACACCUUGCACUCUCUCUUCUCUAGGUCUAUUCUAGCACUAAUCAUUUUGCUAAGCUUGUGCUAAACCUUUGAUGGAUUACAUAAACACUUUUGGGUGGCUUGGAUGUGUUCUUGAUGUGUCUUACUCUUCAAUGGACUCCUACACACUUCAACUUCAUCCAGCAACUCCAAAUGGUCAAGUGGAGGGGGGUAUAAAUAGCCCAAGAGCUUAAAGAACCGUUGCUUGAAUGGGUAGUUAAAGUAUACCAUCGGAUGUUCCGAUGGUCUAUUUUUUGGUAGCAUCGGAACAUUCGGUGCAACUAGCCAUUGGCUCCACUGCGCCCAACUUCUUCAAGAAUUCAUUCGACGCUCCAUCCGAUGCCCCCAUCGUAUCAUCCAGUGCUAAUAGUUUUCUGACCAAAAUCUCUCUGAAACUAGCCAUUGGCUCCCCUGCGCCCAACUAAAUAUGUUUCGUUCGAGGGUCACCUCCAUAGGGCAUCAGAACAUCCGGUGCUAUAGGUCAAUUUCUGCCUUUCCUGAGAAUUGAUCCGACGCUACUAAAUUUUCCAUCGUCGGAUCAUCCGGUGCUUCCUGGAACUCAAGUUGAUUUCCCUGUUGGACCAAUUGCUCCGAUACUUACUCCGAUGGGCCAUGGCUUGGUCACUUGAAUACCAUAGCUUGGAUACUUGAAUAUCAUGAUUUGGACCUUGCCAUGGUUUGGUUUGCAUACUUGAAUACCAUGAUUUGGACCUUGCCUAUGGUUUGGUUUGCAUACUUGGGACCUAGAAAACCUACAAAGCAUAUACUUGACAAACUAUUAGUCCCAAUAAUUAUAUUGUCACUCAAUCACCAAAAUCACAAACUACGAACUAAUGGGGCCAUGUUCGCUACAAGGUGCAUGGUAGAGUGCUUGGAACUUGGGCGGUGAGGCCAGGUGGCGGUGGUGCCGCCGGCCGGGAGGUGGAGGAGGCCGGUUGGGCGGUGCUUGGGCGAGGACUUGACGACGACAUGGUGGGGGAGGGAGGUGGCGGCGGCUGCGGCAGGGGGGUGGUUGCCGAGGGCAGGUAGGGUCUUGCCGAAGCCCGACACCGGCAGCUACCGCGCCCUCGGCUGGGGUGGUGGUCCAUCUGGGCGGCGGUGGGGUGGCCUGACUAUUGGGAAGAAAGGUGCUGAACUGAGGAAGAAGAUGAAGGAUGUCCGUUCAAUGCUCAUCCAACGUCGCAGAAAUUCGUGUGUCAGAAAACGAUAGAAUACUCGGGUGGGCAGUAGGCACUCACUUCUAAAAAAGCUAAAACAAUAUAUAAUUUGUAACGGAGGAAGUAUUAAAUAUGAAAAUUAUGAUUUACUCCCAAAAACUGAUGAAUUAACUGAAGGUGUAUAAACUCUUCAAUUCACAAAGUGCAUUUAAUCUGUAUUGAACACUUCUCUUAGUAAGUUUUCUCAGCAAUAACCUGAAGAUCUUUUUUACUUAUGGGUUUACCUAUGCACUCUUUUCCCUUAAUUGAAAAUCUGGUGAUAGUAAAACAUGUUAAAAAGUUAUCCAUUAAUUUAAUUUUUGUGAAAGGGCUGUCUUAGGAAAUAGCCAGUGGAAACAUCAGAUUAGAAAGAAACAGGUUAUGCUUCAUAAGGUGUCUUCCAUGUUCCAUAUCUCAUCUUUUUCAUGCAUUACUUAUAAUGUUUGGUGAAUUUUUAUUUGCUGACUUUUGUUUACUGAUCAUGUGGAGAUACACAUUCGGUUGGCAAAAACAGAGAACCACUGUUUAGUUUCAUGUUGUCAUUGAUGCAUAUCUCCAUAAGUAUUCAUGUGGAAGAGCAGACUGCCCCUGAAGGCUGAAGCUAAAAGUAUUCAUGUGGCUGGCCUGGCAAGAUAGACUGCAAACAGGGGUGGCUUUGAAGAGAGGACGAAAUUGAAUGGAAGGGAAUGUCAAUUGUGCAGCAUACAAAAAUUUGUCUGGAAAUGCUUCAGUGACGCCCUGUGGUGGGGAGGAGUCCCAGCAAGUAUGCUUCAUUUCUUUCCGCAGAAGUGGCGGGUGCUGCUGCUGGGGGAUGGUGAUGGCGCCAAGUGAAAGGCUGGAUGGAGGCCUUCAUGGAGAAGCUCAAGAUCUCUUGUAGAAAACACCCAGGGGAAGCUGGAAAAAAAACAUUUUUUCACAAUUUCUAGUCUUUUGAGGUCCUUGCAAAGCUGUACUUUCAGUUCCUGCACCCUAGUUUCUUAAUUAACACAGUCGAGCUGGUAACCUGUUAUGGUCGGCAAAGUGUACCAACAUCGCAGGGGCGAGCCGUGGCUAGACGAGGCCGUGGUAGGCGAGCGGCUUGCGGUGUGUCAGUUAGGAGAGUCCGAAGGUUUAGGAGUAUUGUUUCCUUUUAUUGUUAUCCCUUAAUGGUAGUUAAGAUUUGUUAGGAUCAGAUAGGUGUACAAGUAUUGAACUCUUUUAGUUAAUAGAAAUCAGCCAGGGAUUGAGUUAUCUCUCCCGCUCCUUGGUAACUCCCCUUGCGCACGCCUGUUCCCCGACGCUGGCCAUCCAGGACGGCGUCGCAACCUCGCCGCUGUCUUUCCCCACCUACGACGGCAAAGAAGAUCCGCUGAGCUGGCUCAACAAGUGCACGCACUUUUUUCAGGCUCAGCGCAUCCGCGAGGCCGACAAGGUGUGGCUUGCCUCAUUCCACAUGACCGGCAUCACCCAACACUGGUACUACAUGCUGGAGCGCAACGUCAGCGACAUCAACGCCAUCUCUUGGCCGCGGUUCUCGUCGCUAUGCCAGCAACAUUUUGGGCCAGCUCUCGGCACAAACCACCUCACAGAACUAGCUCGCCUGCCAUUUCGCAAGUCGGUUGACGAGUACUAGGUGGCGUUCCAAGCCAAGACGGUGCACGCAGGCUGCCUAUCACCGCAGCAGCAGGUCCAGCUCUUCACUGGGGCCUGACUACAUCCGUGUUGACGUCGAACUGCAGGCUCCACAAGAUCUUCAGCACGCCAUGAUGUUGGCCUUCACCUAUAAACGUCGCGCGGCGGCAGUGCCGCGCCCUGCGUGCCCCCAGAGUCGACAGCAGCCAUAUCCGGGGGCGGCCGUCGCACCGUCCAUGAUGCCCACGGUGACACUGUCUCCGUCGACGCCACCUACGCCGUCUGCGAAGGUCCAGCCUGCACUGGCCGCUCCACCACGGCCAUUCCGUCGCCUCACGCCGCAGGAGAUGGCAGAAUGGCGCCGGCCUCUGCUACAACUGCGAUGAGCAAUAGGUACGCGGUCACAAAUGCCCGCGCCUCUUCUACUUGGAGGUCUCAGACUUCGUGGAGGAUGACGCCGUGCCAGCUACGGAGGAAACCCCACAGAUAUCCCUCCAUGCGAUCACCGGCCUCCGCACUAAGGACACGAUGCAGCUACACGUUCAGCUGAGCGAUCAAGAGUUCACGGCCCUUCUUGACUCGGAAUCGACACAUAACUUCAUCAGCGCUUCCGCGGCGCAGCACGUGAAUCUUCGGUUCCACGACAGCUGCGGUGCCCAUGUUGUGGUGACCAACGGUGAUAGAGUGGUGUGUCGUGGUCUUGCCCGCGAUGUCACCCUCCGCAUCAGCACCGAGGAGUUCUUGCUGGAUUGCUACUCGAUCCCAUUGGAUUGCUACGACAUGGUUCUCGCCGUGGCCUGGCUCUACAUGCUAGGGCCCAUUCUUUGGGAUUUCAAUGAUCUCCACAUGGCCUUCUGGCACUAGGGCCGCUAGAUUUUGUGGAAGGGCAUCGACUCGGCGCGUACCGAUAUUCCUCCGACUGGGCACCUCCACACCGUCCACGGACCGGAGGAGGCUCUCUUGGAUCAGCUCCUGGAGACGUACGCCGACGUCUUCGCUAAAUCGGUCGGGCUACCACCAACACGACCAUGUGAUCAACACAUCCACCUCAAGCCCAACACGGAACCAGUUGCGGUACGGCAUUACAUAUACCCGCAGCUACAAAAGGAUGAAUUGGAGGCACAGUGCGAAUCUAUGCUCCGCCAGGGCGUCAUUCGACCCAUCACAUCUCCUUUCUUAGCUCCAGUGUUGCUCGUCAAGAAGCCAGACGGCUCCUGGCAUUUUUGUGUCGAUUACAGGACGUUAAAUUCGUGGUAGACCACGGUAAAAGAUAAAUUUCCCAUACCUGUCGUGGAGGAGCUCCUAGAUGAAUUAAAAGGGGCACAAUUCUUUACAAAGCUGGAUCUGCGGUCGGGCUACCAUCAGGUCCGCGUCCAUCCUGACGAUGUGUCCAAAACAGCAUUCCGCACUCACCAUGGCCAUUUCGAGUUUCUGGUGAUGCCAUUCGGCCUGUCCAUCGCGCCGUCAACUUUCCAAGUGCUGAUGAAUCUCGUGCUCAAGCCGUUCCUACACCGGUGUGUCCUCAUCUUCUUCGACGAUAUCCUCAUCUACAGCAUGUUGUGGAGUCAGCAUCUGCAACACCUUCGCGCCGUACUUGACGUGCUGCGCGCCAACCAGCUGCACCUCAAGAGAUCCAAAUGCCUGUUCGCCGCAUCAUCAGUUCAGUACCUGGGCCACGUCAUCUCAGCAGCUGGCAUUGCCAUGGAUGCAGCCAAGGUGGCGGCAGUGGAAUCAUGGCCGCAGACGCGCUCCGCCCGUGGCCUGCGUGGGUUUCUCAAAUUGGCCGGGUACUACAGGCAUUUGGUUUCUUUGCUUAUUUUUAAGCAAGUGUCACAUCAAUGUUUAGAUACUAAUCCAGCUUGCCCAUACGGCCGGCCAUGAAGGCGUACAGAAGACUUUUGACCGGCUGCAUGCCACUUUCUACGUCAAGCACGACCGGCAACUCGUUCGCGACUUUUUCCACUGCUGCACAACCUAUCAGUGGAACAAGUCUGAAGCGCUGCACCCUGCCGGUCUUCUAGAGCCCCUGUUGGUGCCAUCCCAUGUGUGGGCCGACAUCUCUAUGGACUUUGUCGAGGCACUCCCCAAGGUACACAGCAAGAGCGUCAUUCUAACAGUGGACAGUGGUUGACAGGUUCUCUAAAUACGCCCAUUUCAUACCACUGGGCCACCUGUACACGGCAUCCUCCAUCGCGCGCGCCUUCUUCAACGACAUCGUUCGCCUGCACGGCUUCCCCGACUCCAUCGUCAGCGAUCGUGACCCUGUGUUCACGGGACAUGUCUGGCGCGAUCUGUUUCAGCUGGCUGGUGUCCGGCUGCGCCUGAGCACGGCGUUUCAUCCUCAACCGAAGGCUAGUCCGAAUCAACGAACAAGACCAUCGCAAUGUACCUCUGCUGCAUCACUGGUGAUCGGCCGCAAGAUUGGCUGACCUAGCUUCCGUGGGUUGAGUAUUGUUAUAAUACUUCAUUCCACUCAGUGCUAUGGACAUCGCCAUUCCACGUCGCUAUGGUCGCCAGCCGUCGACCUUGCUGUCCUACGACAAGGAAGUGCCCGCACCAACACAGUCGAUAACAUGCUGUCCAGCUGCGAUGAGUUGUAUAAUCUUUUAUUCGGCCAACCAAAUAGAACAACAUAACAACGGAUAUUAUUUUCAGUUUUAAAGCAUCAAAUUUGAAGGGAAUUUUGCUAGGCUCUUGAAAAACUAGUGCAAGAUUAUGCUAGGGAAUCGCUGAGUCCUUCUAAGGCCCUGUUUGGCACAGCCCCACUUCAGAACUCUAGCAACUCCAGCAAAAAAUCUAGCCAACCAUCUCAGCUCAAAAACUUUAUGGAGCUGCCAACUCCAUGGAGCGGUAGUGCAAAUAGGGAUGGAGUUUUGGAGCACCUCUUUUGCUGCUCCAAAACCUCCUAUUUUGAACCUCCUCGUGGAGUUGGUAGAUAAUUACCCACCAAGGCCACUCGUUAAAAAAAAUGCUUCAUUCUUUUUUCCUUUCGAGAUUCCCGAUGCCCCCAUCUCUCCUUUCCACGCACUCCUCUGCUCCCUAGAACCGUUGCUGGCUAGGCUUAGCGCCGCCGCCGCUAGAGCUAGCGGCCACCGUCGAGCUCUGCCGCCGCUAGGGCUAGCGGCUGCCAUCGAGCUCCGCCGCCGGGAAUCAAAUCCCCACCGCGGGCCGCCCAUUCCCCUCCUGAGCGCCAAGCCCCGCCGGCCUCUUAGCCCCUCCCAGCUCCCGCCGCCACCCACACACCUACCGUCCGCCGGGAAAACAAAGCUCCACCGCCAGGAAUCGAAUCCCCGCCAUUGGCUGCCCGUUCCCCUCAUGAGCCUCCUCCUUGGUGCAGUGGCACGGCAAGGUUGCCAAAGCCGGCUCCAGGGACGCACCAACGCCGAAGCCGGUGGAUCCGAGACCGUGCAAGGCUUGCGGCACCAAAUCAUGGGGGCGUAGUCCAUGACUUAGGCCACCAGCGCGGGACUACUGCCCCGGUGUGGGGCCGGGGCCACCUAGGUGUGGGGCAGCAAGCGCGGGUUCCGCGGCCGCCUGUCCCUCCCACAGCUGCGCCGCGCGAGGCCAAUGCCGCAGGGUCAUCGGUCGCCGGUCACCGGUACAGUGGUGCAGCAUGGCACCCGCGUGAUGGCCGAUGGCUUGGGCGCAGAACCCGUCGCGGUACGCCAUCCAUGCGGCGCUCCUUGGUGUCCUCGCCCCGAGUAGCGGGCCGCGUGCGCACCGGACGGUGCUGCUCCUCACCACGAGGAGGUCAGCCAAGGCUCGCCACUGGUCAUAUGUGGCACGGGGUAGCCAAGCGGUUCUUCAAAGAUUCUUUGGCCUUCUUGUUUCUGCAUUCUUGGAACUAGUCGUGGAUGGUGAAUGUUGUCUUAUCGAUGAGAUCAGCUCUGAGGGCUAAGUUGUGUCAGGUUUGAGUUACCAAACAGCUCUCUAUGCUUGCCUAUUUGUUUAUUCACAUAUUUUCCAUUAGUUGAUGAUUUUUAUUUCUACUGUUGACCUCAGACACAAUCAGUUCAUUUUGGUGUGAAUUCGAUUAAUCUGUGCUAAUGCUAACUGAUGUUGGUUGCUUGUGAACUGUGAACGGUGACUUGGGCGUUGCAAUCAAUGUGAUAGUGUUAAGUUUUCAGAGUUGCACUGCGUUCAGAGUUGCUCAUGCACAUUGCAUUGCCGUUACUAAUUCUUCAGAAUGUUUUGAAGAUUUUGCAAGCCGAACCAUUUCAUUUCUCCGGUUCGGUUUUGGAGCAAGUCCAUAUAAUGCAGUGAUGCAACACUUGACGACUUGCGCUUCUCAUUUAGUAUUUCAGUACCAGUGUUGGGAGUUGUUAAUUCACACUACACUGUUGUCUUGCCGACCACCUAAAGAUUUUGCAAACCAAGCUGUUCACCCGAGGAAGAAGAAGAAAAGGGGAAUAAGAGGAUGAUAGGUGGGAUCAUGAGUUGGGGGCAAGAAUGACAAUUCACUUUCAAACUCCUCUUUUCUGGAGCUGGGGACACCCUCCCAGCCAAACACCUCCAUCAUACCGCUCCAACUCCAUCUAGAGUUGGCUCCACCUGGAGUUUUGGAGUGGAGCAGCUUCACAAAGAGUUGGAGUCAUGCCAAACAGGGUCUAAGUUUCAGUUUUGAUGGGGGCAUUGGGCUGACCAGGUUUUGAUGGGCCAACAGCCGCCCCACACCACAGAGGUGUGGUUCGUGUGGAGGCCCAGUUCAAUUGUUUUACCUUGCUUUCCACUUAAAAUAUUCUUUUUCCAACAAUUUUAGACUUUCCGACACCAUUUUAGGGGUGAUGGAGUUGUUGGCACGGUGCACGGCACCCACAUGGUUCAUUUAACUUUAAAUCCUGGUACCAUAUUUAGUUGGGAUGAUUCGACCUGAGCAUUUUGCGAGCCACGUCGUGCUCAGACCGAGUGCCGAAAAAAGCUCCGCUCAUGGCGAGCUGAAACAUUGUGCUUAUGAAAUUGCUGGCGGUUGGUUAGGUAGUCCGCUAGCACAGUGCCUCACUGUGCUGGCGGUUGGUUAGGUCGACCACCAUCACAGUGAGCAGCACAGUGCUCACUGUGAUGGCAGUUGGUUACCUCGUCCGCUAGCAUAGUGAACCACUAUGCUGGCGGUUGGUUAGGUAGCCCGCCAGCACAGUGGUGUCUAUGUUGGCGGGUGCAUCCAUUUGUGCUGGCUCCAAGUUAGUGAUGGCCGCUCCACCCGCUAGUGUAGUGGUGUUUUACCCGCCACUACAAAUCGAUUCUAACAUAGUGUUAUCAGACUGAGUUUUUAGGUUGGGCUUGGGCUGACCUGAUUUUUUUCGAACUUUAGUUUUUCUGACCACGCUUGGCCCGACAUCUAAACUGGGCGGGCCGAAACCUACCGAGCUCGGGCUGUGCUCGAAAUGCUUAGGGGAAGAUACAAUAAUUUACCGGAUUGUCUCCACUAACAAGAUCUGCAACGCUUCUGAGAGCAACUUGGAGAAUGCCUUGCAGAAGCUUAAGAGAGAACUCGCUGGAAAGAGGUACUUUUAGAAUUUAAUUUGAUGUUGAUUCACUCAUCUCAAGCACGCACACUGUUUUUUUUCUCACACACGCUCAAAAUAGGUGCAUUGCCUUUGAGAAUAACACGUAAUUGAAAAGGACAAGUAAAGCACAUGCAAACUACAUACACAAAAUUCAACUUCAAACUUGGAUCCGCAUACACUUUUAAUUGCUAGUACUAGUGAACUUCGUACACUUGAAGAAACUAUGAAAAAUGUACACACACAUCAUGUCAAGUCCAAGAAACUAUGAAAAAUGUACACACACAUCAUGUCAAGUCGUAAACACAGAGAGCAAUAUCCAACAUUUUUUUUAAUUAAGAAAAAACAUCCGAUCUUGAACAUUCACAUGUGAAUGUCUAUGACCACAAAGUAACACAUCCACCCACAUAGCCAGAAGCUAACACGAGUACUUAGACUACAAAACUCCAACCAAGGAACACAAAAGACAAGAAAUAAAGAAAAUAAGAAAGAAAGCUUCAAACUUCUUCUACGUCCUUCCUUCAACCUUGCUUUGGUUCUUAUGCAGCAACAAACAUCUCACAUCAGCUGUCUUCUUAGAAACUUUUGAUGUAAGGAUCGUCGAUGGUCAUGUGCUACUUGGUAAUCCUUGUCAUCUAGAAACUGCAAUGAGUCGAUCUCUACCACGCAAACAGAUUGGGCAUUGCCAUUGCUCCAAGCUGUCAUCAAGGACUCCAAGACGACACCUCAAGAGGAGAGCAACAUCUCAAUGCUACUGCCGCCCGAACUAACAAGUCGGUUCGCUAGUUUUCACCUAGAUCUGUUCCUGUAUGUUGAGGUUCUCAUAGCAUAUAUAUAUAUCAUGUUCAAGUUUUCUAACAUGAGAAAAAUUUAAGAAUGUUUAACUUCCCCACUUAGUGCCUACUUGGAAUAAGAAACAUUAAGAUGGCCCAAGGCAAUUUUAGGAUCAUUUGAUCAAAAAUUUUAGGUGCAGAGAUCUUCAAAAGGUCAGCAGGAAGAAAAACAUUUCAUCUUUUUCUGCUCCCUCGACUCACACUAAGGAGCUGCAAAAGCUAACGACGCCUCUUGUUUCGAGGCCCCGCAUUGAAAUCAAGAAGACAACAAUGCCUCACCGCUAGCAAGUUGCCCUCUUGGAUAUGCACGGAAGAACUUGCACAUCUCACAUACCAUUUACGCUUCCUCUUGUGGCAUUCACAUAACUUAAGAAAAAAACGUACUCAAAUAGAAACACACUAAUGGCAUGAUUAUUUGUAACAGGUACCUUCUUGUAUUGGACGACGUCUGGAAUAAGGAUGCUAACAAGUGGAACAAGCUGAAUGCCUGUCUUAAACAUGGUGAUGUUGGUAGCGCCAUACUAACGACAACCCGUGAUAAAGAAAUAGCUCAACUCAUGGGUACAGUUGAAGAACAUGGCAUUGCACGUUUGGACAAUAAAUUCAUCAAGGAAAUUAUUGAGGCUAAAGCAUUCAUUUCGCAAGAGAGAAAACGAGCUGAUUUAGCUGGCUUGGUUGAUGACGUUGUUGAGAGAUGUGCAGGGUCUCCAUUGGCAGCCAAGGCACUAGGAUCUGUACUACGUGGCAAGACAAGAACGGAAGAAUGGAAAGCUGUGCUUAGCAAAAGCAUUGCCCAUAACAAGGACGAUAAAAUCCUGCCUAUUCUCAAGCUCAGUUACGAUGACCUGCCAUCACACAUGAAGCAGUGCUUUGCUUUCUGUGCUGUGUUUCCCAAGGACCAUGAGAUUAACGUGGAAAUGCUGAUCCAACUAUGGAUGGCAAAUGACUUUAUUCCUGAACAAAAAGAUGUUCGUCAUGAAACAAUUGGUAAACAGAUUUUCAGUGAGCUGGUCUCAAGG